RNAcentral lists this long non-coding RNA (233395 nucleotides) under Malus domestica (apple). RNAcentral's name for it is "long non-coding RNA (MDOM_LNC001350)". Lineage: Eukaryota; Viridiplantae; Streptophyta; Magnoliopsida; Rosales; Rosaceae. The record is from RNAcentral.
AACAAUCCAAACAUUUGUGGAAAAUACCAAUAAAUGCUCAGCUAAAAACGAAAGAAGACGUAGAAUAAGUUUACCAGUUCGGCCUGAAAAAAUUAGUAGAACAUGACAUGAUGAUAAGAAUCUAGUUCUAUUUCCAUUGUUUAAAACCCAAAUUCCAGAAAUCAUGAAAAAUGGAAACUUCAUAUGGAAAUUGAAGCUUUACCUGCAGAUCAGCAGCAGCAAACGGAAUCCAACGGCAUGUACGUCAAAAGUGAGAGAGAGUGCUGAGUGAGAUAAGUGAGAAAAUCGAUAAACAAAAGGAAAAUGGUCAGGCAACGGCAUAUACCUCAAAAGUGAGAGAGAGAGAGAGAGAGAGAGAGAGCUGAGAGAUGAGUGAGAAAAUCGAUAAACAAAACCCCUCAAAAUCACAAAAGAAAAUUUGAACAGAAAACAAAUUUGCAAAUCCAAAAUCACAAAAACGAAAUUGAAACAGCCACACCGAGAAAGCUGUAAUACUCACCAGGAAGCUAGCUUUUCUGGGUAAAAAAAUUAUUCGAAUCGAAUUGAACCACCAAGGAAAAUUCUACUGGUUCAGUAGUUUUUCCAGCAAGAAAGCACCUUGUUUGUAAUUCGUGAGAGGUUGGACAGCGAGAGAAACUGAUUUGGGAGCCAAAGAAAGCGAGGUUGGAGACCGACAGAGGCUGAGAAUUGCGAGAGAGAAAAAGGAAAAGGAAAGGAAGAGCGGAGAAGAAGUCACGAUUAUCGACGCGUGGGUAGCAUUCCACUGUGCCAAGGACGAAACGAACGGGCAAUGAACCCAACCAUUGAAGAAAGAAGCAUCAAAAUACACCAAAGUAAAGACUUGACUUGGUUUAUAGAGUGAAACUUUAACGAAAAGUUUCUGGUAUUAUUUAUUUUAACAAAAAAAAUAUAUAUUUUUAUACUAAAAAAUCAAUCAUGGUAUUACUCACUUUACCUUUUAUUUUGUGCUUAUCGUUAAAAUUCAAAGUUUUCAAACUCUUUUCAUUAAUUUUCCUUUUAUAUAAUUGGAAUGUGAUACACCUUAUUUUACUUCUCACAUUUUUUUAAUUUUCGAUAUUCGGAUCAGAUGAAUUGAAGAAGAUCAACGAACAGAAAUUAUCAAGGAAUGUGAAAAGUAAAAUAGGGUGUGUAGAUAGCAUACCCCAUAUAAUUAAUCAAUAAUAUUCCAUAACAAGAGCUAGGGCCAUAUAUUAUACAAGAUUCUAAUAGAUGCUAGACGUUAAUCGGACAACGAGUUAGGACCUAGCUGUUAGACAGAUUUAAGUAAAUUUACUAUAUAUUAUAUAAAUAAAUGUCUUUUAUACUUAAAAUGACACAUAAUUGUAUUGGGAUAUAUAAAUUACAAAAUAAAAUGACAUAUAUAUUAUAAAGUAUUAAAACAUAGGAGAAAAUACCCAAAUGUGAAACAACAACUGUAAACAAUUUUUUAAGGUGGACGGUAAAUGAUUCAGCUAUUUACAAAAUUCAAAAAGUGGGAUCACGAACUACUGGAUGGUUGUAUUAAUUAUUUGGCGGUGCUCUAAUAUAAUACAUCCAAAUGGGGGUGGACCACAUAAUACACCCCAAUGGAUCGUUUUAAGCUACUCCACUGCUAAAACUAUUGCAAAAUGCGCAUCAGGAUUGUACUUCUAUUAGCUACGCCUUUCCUUACUUGGCAAACGAACCAUAUAGUACACCAAGAUGGAUGUUAUACACGUUGGAGUUUGAGCAGAAUUUUAUUUGUUAUCUCAUUGUCUCACAUUGCUAAAAUUGAAAAGUUUAUAAUAUAUAACGUUUGCGUAUGAACUUGAGAAACGACAUACUGUUAGCCGGCCGAGAAGUUACAGGGAAAGAGAGGAAAGGAAGAAAGAAACAAACACGAAAGGACAAACACUAUCCAAUAGAUUAUAAACAAUGACUUAUUAGGGUGAUUACAGUUAUUCAACCAUCAAUAAUGCAUUAUUUUAGUUUGGAAUUUGAAAGCAUUUGAGAAGUAACAUGACAACAACAACAUAAUAAACACAAGUGAUUAGAAAAAAAGACCCAAAUGUGAAAGAAUAAUUAAAAACAAUUAUUCAAGAUAAGCGAUAAAUGAUUUAACCAUUUACAAGAUAUGAACUUAAAACAACAAUCCAUUGAAUCAUUGUAUUAACUAUUCAAUGGUGCUCUAAUAUAAUAGAUCCAAAUGGGGACCGACCAUAUAGUACACCCAAAUGGACCAUUUUUAGGAUCCACCGCUAAAAACUAAUGCAAAAUGGCCAUUAGGAUUGAACUUGUAUUAGCUAUCUUUCCUUACUAGUCAAAUGAACCAUAUAAUACACCCAAAUGGAUGCCAUAUGUGCAUAUAUAAACAAUGUUUUCAAAGGAUGAAAUGACUUUCUUGCCGGUAUGGGGGAAGAGGAAAGAAACUAGCACGAAACUGCAGACCCUAUCGAUCCAUUAUAAUAAAUUUCAAUGGUCUAAGUUGUUAGUUAAUUGUGCAAGGUAAAAACUUAUUCACAGUCAUCAACUUAACCACGUAUCUAUGGAAGACAUCGUCUCAUAAAACUUGGAUUAAGAACUGAAGUUCUCUUGUAACUCUACACAAUUGAAAGCCAGGCUCGCUCAAUGGGGCUUGAGUUUUUUGUAAACUUGCGUAUUUAGUGGAGAGGGCAGGGACCUCAUUUUUAUACAUGGAAUUCAAUAAGGAUCCCUCCCAUUAAGUGAUCCUUAUCAAAGAGUAACCUUAUCACCGUGAAACACUUAUGCAUUAUAUCAGCUAGAAGACUUUUAGUUUUACCGAGAAUGUAUCUGACUUGAAACUGUAAAGAAAUACAACUCCUGAUAAGUCUACCACAUGUGUCAAUCCUUAUCUCCUUAUCAUUCCACAUGUCUUUAAUCAAAUCACCAAGUGUUUGCUCUCAUAUACAACCUACACAAGUCUCAUGUAGUUUCAUUUAACUUAUUUUCCACAACGGUAAAUAUAUUUUAAUGGCUCCGGUUUUCACAUGCCAGUCAGUCACACGCUCAACUUCUCAACGUUAGGGCUCAAUGGCUCGAAGAGAGCUUCCCCAAUGGAUCGUUUUAAGCUCCUCCACUGCUAAAACUACGGCAAAAUGCGCAUCAGGAUUAUACUUCUAUUAGCUGCGCCUUUCCUUACUAGGCAAAUGAACCAUACAAUACACCAAGAUGGAUGUUAUACACGUUGGAGUUUGAGCACAAUUUUUUAUUUAUUUUUUGUUAUCUCAUUGUCUCACAUAGCUAGAAUUGAAAAGUUUAUAAUAUAAUAACGUUUGCGUAUGAACUUGAGAAACGACAUACUCCGGCCGGCCAGGAAGGUGCAGUGAAAGAGAGGAAAGGAAGAAAAAAAAACGAACGCAAAAGGAAAAAGACUAUCCAAUAGAUUAUAAACAAUGACUUCUUGAGGUGAUUACAGAUAUUCAACCAUUAAUAAUGCAUUAUUUUAGUUUGGAAUUUGGAAGCAUUUGAGAAGUAACAUGACAACAACAACAUAAUAAACAAAAGUGAUUAGAAAAAGACCCAAAUGUGAAAGAAUAAUUAAAAACAAUUAUUCAAGAUAAGCGAUAAAUGAUUCAACCAUUUACAGAUAUGAACUUAGAAAAACAAUCUAUUGGAUCGUUGUAUUAAAUAUUAAGUGGUGCUCUAAUAUAAUAGAUCCAAAUAAGGACGAACCAUAUAAUACACCCAAAUGGACCAUUUUUAGGCUCCACUGCUAAAAACUAAUGCAAAAUGGGCAUUAGGAUUAAACUUGUAUUAGCUAUAUUUCCUAGUCAAAUGAAUCAUAUAAUACACCCAAAUGGAUGCCAUCAUGCAAUAUAUAAACAAUGUUUUGAAAGGACAAGGUACCUAACACUGUCUUUUUAUAUAUGUAAGCAACAACCCUAAAUCUUAUUGGAGCUAAUUAACUAAUGUAUUUAUUAGACAGUUGGAUUCCUUAGCAAGUGGUUAACUAUUUUUGUUUAGUUUAGUAGUCAGGUCGUAAUUAAUUAGUCAAAUGAACCAUAUAAUACACCCAAAUGGAUGCCAUAUAUGCAUAUAUAAACAAUGUUUUCAAGGGAUGAAAUGACUUUCUUGCCGGUAUGGGGGAAGAGGAAAGAAACUAGCCCGAAAGUGCAGACCCUAUCGAUCCAUUAUAAUGAAUUUCAAUGGUUCAAGUUGUAACUUAAUUGUGCAAGGUAAAAACUUAUUCACAGUUAUCAACUUAACCACGUAUCUGUGGAAAACAUUGUCUCAGAAAACAAGGAUUAAGAACUAAAGUUCUCCUGCAACUUUACACAACUGAAAGCAAGGCACGCUUAAUGGGAAUGGGACUUGAGUUUUCUGUAAACUUGCGUAUUUAGUGGAGAGAGCAUGGACCUUAGUUUUAUACAUGGAAUUCAAUAAGGAUCCCUCCCAGUAAGUGAUCAUUAUCAAAGAGUAGCCUUAUCAACCUGAAACACUUAUGCAUUAUAUCAGUUAAAAGAGUUUUAGUUUUAUCGAGAAUGUAUCUAACUUGAAACUGUAAAGAAAUACAACUCCUGAUAAGUCUACCACAAGUGUCAAUCAUUAUCUCCUUAUCAUUCCACAUAUCUUUAAUCAAAUCACCAAGUGUUUGCUCUCAUAUAGAACUUACACAAUCUCAUGUAGUUUCAUCUAACUUAUUUUCCACAACGGUAAAUUUCAAUGGCUCCGGUUUUCACAUGCCAGUCAGUCACACGCUCAACUCCUCAACGUUCGGGCUCAAUGGCUCGAAGAGAGCUUCCCCAAUGGAUCGUUUUAAGCUCCUCCACUGCUAAAACUAUUGCAAAAUGCGCAUUAGGAUUACACUUCUAUUAGCUGCGCCUUUCCUUACUAAGCAAAUGAACCAUAUAAUACACCAAGAUGGAUGUUAUACACGUUGGAGUUUAAGCAGAAUUUUUUUUGUUAUCUCAUUGUCUCACAUUCCUAGAAUUGAAAAGUUUAUAAUAUAAUAACGUUCGCGUAUGAACUUGAGAAACGACAUACUUGUUAGUUUAUAAGUGUAUUUGCUGAAAUAUAAUAAGAAGUCAGUUUUAAAUAUCAGCCCUUGGAUCAUAGUCCAAGUGUGCAGCUAAGAUGUAAUCUUAGAUUAAUUAAUAUUUCCUCUUGCUACAUGUGCUAAGUGUGUGUGAAUGAAUGAAACAGUGCAGAGUUCGUUUCUUCUUCCUCAAGCUGAAUUCUCUCACUCUCUCUCUAGAUUUCUUACUCUCUUCCUUUCUUCAGUAUUUUAUACAUUAAUUGAAACACUCAUACAAGAUCAUAGUUUGUAUGCUAACAUGGCCUCAGAGCUGUGUUCGAUCAAUUGAUACUGGGCAUUUGGAUCUGUGAAGAGAGCUACCCAGCAACUCAAAGCUGCGAUCGAGUUGAUUGCGAUCUGAGUCUAACAUGGAAGGAUCGGGUAGUGGUGAGGUGAGAGCACCAAUUUUCAAUGGUGAAAAUUAUAAGUUCUGGAGUAUUAAGAUGAAGACCAUUUUCAAGUCCUACGGAUUGUGGAAUCUGGUUGAAAAGGGUUUCGAUGAAUCAGAUCUGAAGAAGAUUGAUGAAUCUGAGGCGAAGAAGAAAGACAAAGAAGAGUCUAGUGGUGCUGGGAGGAUGACGCUUGUUGAGGUGCUCAUGAAGGAUGCUAAAGCUCUGGGUCUGAUUCAGGGCGCUGUUUCAGAUGAGAUAUUUCCCAGAAUCUCUCAUGAAGAAACUUCAAAAGGCGCAUGAGACAUUCUGCAGCAAGAAUACCAUGGUGAUAAACAGGUUAGAAGUGUUAAAUUGCAAGGUCUUCGUAGGGAAUUUGAAUAUACCCGAAUGCGAGAUGAUGAAUCACUUUCUGUUUAUCUUACAAAACUAUUUGAUCUGAUAAAUCAAAUGCGGAGCUAUGGAGAGGAAUUAUCUCGAGAGAGAGUUGUUCAGAAAUUAUUAAUUAGUUUGCCAUCAGCUUAUGACUCUAUCUGUUCUGUUAUUGAGCAUUCGAAAGAUUUGGAUGUGAUUGAGGUACAAGAGGUGGUGGCUUCUUUGAAGAGUUUUGAGUUAAGGAUUGAUUGGCAUUCUGAAAAUAAAACUGAGAGAGCAUUUGCUAGCCUUAGUGUGAAUCCCAAACCAGUUAAGUUUACUGGAAAUCAAAAUGCCAAGUACCAUAAGAAUUGGAAGGACAAAGGCAAGAAGUGGGAUAACAAACCCACAGAUGGGGCUAGAAAUUCUUGUAAGCAUUGUGGCAAGCUACAUUUUGGUGAGUGUCGAUUCAAAGGCAAACCAAAAUGUUACAACUGUGAUAAGUUUGGUCAUCUAGCAAGGGACUGUAAUAGCAAGAAGGCAGUGCAACAGCUUAAUUAUGCCACUCAGGUAGACUCUACACCAAUCAUGUUUUAUGCUAGUAAUCAAACUAAUACUAGUGUAAAAGGAUGUGAAGAUGUAUGGUAUGUAGAUAGUGGGUGUAGUAAUCAUAUGACUGGAAGGGAGGAUCUACUGGUUGAUAUUGACAAGUAUGUGACUGCAAAGGUUGAAAUGGGUACUGGACAGCUUGUUGAUGUAACUGGUAAAGGAAGUCUUAUGGUUGAAACUAAAAUAGGCAAGAGAUAUAUCAAGGAGGUUAUGCUUGUGCCUGGAUUGAAAGAAAAUUUGCUCAGUGUAGGUCAAAUGAUGGAGCACGGUUAUUACUUGGUGUUUGGAGGUCAUAAAGUAGAGAUCUAUGAUGAUAGCUCAUAUUCCAACCUGAUUGCCAGAGUACCAAUGAAGGGAAAUCGAAGUUUUCCAAUGAAGUUACAGUCUGGAAUACAUAUUGCCUACAGGGCAAAUGUAUGUCCUUCUACUGCUAUGUGGCACAGAAGAUUGGGUCAUCUGAACAUGAGCAGUUUGAAAUUGAUGCAGGAACAAGAAUUGGUGGUCGGGUUACCGGAGAUCAAAGUAAUUAAAGGAGUGUGUGAAGGCUGUGUUCUUGGCAAACAAUGCAGAGAAGCAUUUCCAAGAGAAGCCACUACUAGAGCAUCAUUUCCUCUUGAGCUUAUACACAGUGACAUUUGCGGACCAAUGCAGACAACUACAACAGCUGGAAAUCGAUACUUUCUCACUUUUAUAGAUGACUGCACCAGGAUGUGUUGGAUUUAUUUUCUAAGGCAUAAAUCUGAAGUUCUCAAUGUGUUUAAAAGGUUCAAAGCUACUGUAGAGUUGCAGAGUGGAUAUAAACUGAAGAAGCUUAGGAGUGAUCGAGGAGGUGAAUACACCUCAAUGGAAUUUAACAGAUUUGUUGAAGAUGUAGGCCUGGAAAGACAACUUACCACUCCAUACACACCAGAGCAAAAUGGUGUGGCAGAGAGAAAGAACAGAACCAUCGUGGAAAUGGCUAAGUGUCUUAUGUUGGAGAAGAAGGUUCCACUUGAAUUCUGGGCUGAGGCAGUCAAUACCUCUGUGUACAUUCUGAAUCGAUGCCCAACCAAAGCCUUACAUAAGAAGACACCUUUUGAAGCUUACAGUGGGAGAAAACCAGGAAUUAAGCAUCUAAAAGUGUUUGGUUCUUUGUGUUAUGCUCAUGUGCCAAGUCAACAGAGACAAAAACUCGAUUUGGCAAGCAAGAGGUGUAUUUUCUUGGGAUAUGGUAGUUGUGAGAAGGGAUAUAGACUGUAUAACAUUGAAUCUGGAAAGGUGACUAUUUCCAGAGAUGUUGUGUUUAAUGAAGAAGCAUGUUGGGAUUGGAAUGCACAGAAGGAAAGAAGGGAGAGUAUCCAGAUCAUUGAAAUGUCUGCAGGAGAACAAAACUGUGAAGGAAGUGCUUGUGAUUCUGAAACACAAUGUGAAGUCAGUGAAGAGAAUGUUGGGUCAGAUUUAGUUACUGAGCUAUCUGAUCAUCAAGAAAGAGUGACAGGUCCACAGGAUUUUGAUCACACUCCUCUCAAGUACAGAAACAUUGCAGAAAUAUAUGAAAAGUGUAAUCUGUGCAUAAUAGAACCCGAAUGUUUUGAAGAGGCUGCCAAGGAUGAAUCAUGGCAGAAGGCUAUGGAAGAUGAAAUCUCUAUGAUUGAGAAGAAUCAUACUUGGGAUCUUGUUGAUAGACCAUUUGAUAAACCAAUCAUUGGAGUCAAAUGGGUUUAUAAAACAAAACUAAAUCUGGAUGGUUCAGUGCAGAAAAACAAAGCACGGUUGGUUGCAAAGGGGUACUCUCAGAAGCCUGGAAUCGAUUUCAAUGAAACUUUUGCACCUGUGGCAAGACUUGAUACUGUGAGAACCUUGGUAGCCCUUGCUGCACAGAAAUGAUGGAAAUUAUUUCAGUUAGAUGUAAAGUCUGCAUUUCUAAAUGGAGUGUUGAAUGAAGAGGUGUAUGUGGAUCAACCAUCUGGUUUUGUUAUACAGGGCAAGGAAGACAAAGUGUACAGGCUCAGGAAAGCUUUAUAUGGUUUGAAAACAAGCUCCAAGAGCUUGGUAUGAAGAAAUAAAUUCCUAUUUUGCAAAGGCUGGAUUCCACAGAAGUCCGAGUGAAGCUACUCUUUAUAUCAAGACAUCUCACAGUGGCAUUCUUAUUGUGUCACUGUAUGUAGAUGAUAUUAUUUACACAGGGAGUUCAAAGGAGAUGAUAGCUGAGUUUAAAGGUGAGAUGAUGAGACAAUAUGAGAUGACUGAUCUAGGAUUACUUCAUCAUUUCCUUGGUCUUGGAGUAUUGCAAACAGAUAAUUACAUCUUCUUGCAUCAAAAGAAAUAUGCAAAGACUUUGCUUGAGAAAUUUGGACUUAGGGAUUGUAAGCCGGUUGCAACACCAUUAGCUAUGAAUGAAAAACUUACAAAAGUAGAUGGAAGUGAUCUGGCAGAUGAGACUUUAUAUAGACAAAUGGUGGGAAGUUUGCUAUAUUUGACAGCAACAAGGCCAGAUAUUAUGUUUGCAGCAAGCUUAUUGGCUAGGUUUAUGCACAAUCCUACCAAGAAGCAUAUGGGGACAGCUAAGAGAGUUCUGAGAUACAUACAAGGCACUGUGACCUAUGAAGUUGUCUAUGAAAAGGGAAAAGGAGCAGUGUUGGUUGGUUAUUGUGAUAGUGAUUGGAGUGGAAGUGAAGAUGAUAUGAGGAGUACAUCUGGCUAUGCAUUCAAUCUUGGUUCUGGUGUGUUUUUCUUGGGCCUCAAUCAAACAAAGCAGUGUUGCUCUUUCAACUGCAGAGGCAGAGUACAUCAGUGCAGCAGAAGCUACUGCACAGGCCAUUUGGCUAAGAUUUGUACUCUCUGAUUUCGAGGAAGAACAAGCAGAACCAACUAAGUUGUUGUGUGAUAAUACCUCAGCAAUUGCCAUAUCAAAGAAUCCAGUUCAUCAUCACAAAACCAGGCACAUUAAUCGGAAAUUUCAUUUCAUCCGAGAUGCACUUCAAGAUGGUGAGAUUGAUCUGGUAUACUGCAAGACUGAAGAGCAGGUUGCAGAUAUAUUCACUAAAGCUUUGGCAAGGGAUCGAUUUGAAGUACUGAGGACAGCUUUGGGAGUGAUUUCAGCACAUCACUUAGAAGGGAGUGUUAGUUUAUAAGUGUAUUUGCUGAAAUAUAAUAAGAAGUCAGUUUUAAAUAUCAGCCCUUGGAUCAUAGUCCAAGUGUGCAGCUAAGAUGUAAUCUUAGAUUAAUUAAUAUUUCCUCUUGCUACAUGUGCUAAGUGUGUGUGAAUGAAUGAAACAAUGCAGAGUUCGUUUCUUCUUCCUCAAGCUGAAUUCUCUCACUCUCUCUCUAGAUUUCUUACUCUCUUCCUUUCUUCAGUAUUUUAUACAUUAAUUGAAACACUCAUACAAGAUCAUAGUCUGUAUGCUAACAAUACUUAGCCUUGUUCACCGCCCAGAGAUGAUAACACUUAGUGUAUUUCCUUUAAGUUAACAUGGGCUUCAUAAAAGAAGGGAACCUUUCCUGUAUCUUAUAUCACAACAUAGCAAAAUGAUUGACUAAAAAUACUACCAAACCUGAGAGACGAAUUUGAACUUGCAACUAACUGCUCAAUUAUCACCUAUGGAAAAAAUGACGAUAUAUAAUAUAAUCACCUUUCUUUUGUUGGAAAAUAAUAAAGUAGACGCCCUUUAUGACAGCGAGAUCGAAACAGUAUUUGUUCAAGGCCUUCAUCCUCGCGCAUUUUGAUUGCUUUUGACACUGUUAAAGCACCCAUUAAAAUUUGAAAGGGUCACCAUAGAUCAACAACUAUACAAUACAGAAAAGUAACAUCAAAGCUAAUUAAGCAAAAACAACAGUUGGAGAAGAGUAUGGCAUUUUGUUUGGCCAGGGCUGUGGAAAAUGUCAAUAUCAUUUAGUUGUAAGGUGAGAAGCAUUCUUUAUCCUUUCUGUACGAGAGACAAUAAAUUUAAAGUUCUUGUGAUGAAAUCAUGUAAAACAUUCAGAAGUCUUGAUUUAACCCUUUCUCAAGAUCAUAGGUUUGUCAUCUCAACUUAUAUCUUAGGUCUUAUGAGUGCUCGUAAUACACUAAUAUGACACUUGUGUUCUAGCCAGGACAGAAACAAAAUCAUGCAGGAAAUUGUCAUGACAACUCAAGUGUAAAAUGCGACCGGAAAAACACUAAACAGGAUAGCUAUGCUCUCUUAGUGUAAACCUUAACAACAAAGACUAUACCGUAUCUGUCACAGUGAUAUGCGACCAUAAGCCCAACUCCAAGGAUCAGCUUUCCAAGAGCUUUGAAGGCUACAAAUCAAAAGUUACAUGCAGUGAUGACAUAAUCAUGCAAAAAUACAAUCAUAAAUUAAAGGAAAACAUACUGACUUCUAGUUCUGGCAAUUCACUAUUGGGCCAUAUAUUUGAACCACAGUAUGAUGGAUACCUACAAUACAGAUCACAAAUAAAAUCUGUGCAGACACAAAGUAUUAUGUUUUGUUUACGCAAAAUCUGUAAGUUCUCAAAUAGGAUAAAUAAAGGUAAACAUAUCCUAGCAUAAAGAAGAUUUGUCCUGGCUAAUUCUAAGAAACCUUGUAUCAAAUGUAUGAUAGUUAUUCAUAACUAACACAAACAACAGUUUGGCCAAACAUUACUGGUCUGAGCGAUAUACUGUGUGACCACAGACAUAACAGACCCCACAUGUACUCAGAUUAUGAUUGAUGUCCCUAUAGACUUUUACCUUUGAAUUAGAGAUUUAUCUGUUGUAGGGCUAUCCAAUAUUGGAUUUGCAUAAAACGAGCCUUUUAACGUAUCUGCAAAACCAGAACACAAACGGAAAAUGAAUGAUGCUAAGAUCUUAGAGUUUCCAAAGAAACAAAAUUUAAAACAAAGAACAUAAAGUGAUACCAGGCUUUCCAGAUUCCAGCUUCUCUUUUCCAUGACUCCAUCCAAAAUUGUACCUAAACAUGGAUGGCAGGUAAAAAGAAGAUAAGCAAUAAAACAUUGUAAAGAUUCCCAAGAAAAGCAAUAAAAGUACGUAAAUAUUAGUUAAUAAUGCCAAGACCAUAGUCUGUGACAAAUCCAAGAGUUGAGAUGAGACUAUCUUUGUGGCAGGAAUUUUUGGAAUUUUUCUCUAUUGUAAGGAAAACAUAGAUUGAUGUUUGCGUUUACACGAAAAUUAUGUCAACGGCUUAAGAGAAAUCAAAGUAUAACAAUGGGAGUAAAAUGACUUACCUACUAUGAGGAUCUUCAAGUUCCUUCUUCACCUCUUCGGGCAGAUUGGCUAAUCUAAUAAACGAAAAGAAAACUCCCAUGAGCAGUGCUAUAACAAACUAUCUUCCUAAAUUCAUUAUGAAUUGCAGUUAAAACUUAAAAUGAACAUGAAAAUCCUACGUAGAAGGGAUAUACCUAGGUGACAAGCCUAGAAGAUUCCCGCGCAAGGAAGAAUAUCCCGGAACCUGCAAUUGGAAACUCAACGAAACAAUUACAAAGAUGCUAGAAAGAAAAUACGUAUUAGUUUACAACAAAACGCUAGCUCUCACGAGAAUCGAUUAGGUAUGAAGCAUCAAAACAAUAGCAUGAGACACCAUAAUUUAUGAGCUAUGAAUGGAAUAAUGGAGCAAAAUAUCGUUGCCCAAAGCACAAUCUACAAUCUACAUGACAGAGAAAGUACCCCGACAUUACAUAUGCAAGUUCAUGUGGUUUAUCUUUUUAACCGAUUCGUUAACAAAUUCUUUCUGCACAUAUAGUUUUAACUUACCAAAACUGGUAAUGGAAGAGAUAAUCAGUAAUUAACAACGGAAAUCGCAUAACGAAAUCAUACUUGAGUGAUUGAUAGGAUUCCCAACCCAUUUGGUCCAAAUCCUUCUUCAAUCUUCACUGACAAAUCUUUGUCCCUGUCCUGUAUCAAUCCAAAAUAAAAAAACGAUAAUUAGAAAAAUCGAAUUCUCGACAUGAUCGACGAGUUAAAACAUAGCAAUUAAACAAAACUAUGAAUAAAACAAUUAGAUUCUGUUUGGUUGCUGAGAAAAUGAAGAGAAUAACAACCAAAAAGUCAACUGAAAUAAAAUUUUGCUCUAACUUCAACGAAUUCUCUUGAGUUUCUGAGCACCCAAACAGAAAAAAAAAAAUUAUAGGCAAUCAAACCAAACUCUCAUGCUCAAUUUUCUCGGCAACCACAAAAAGAACUUAGAGGGGGGGGGGAGAGAGUUACUUGGAGCUCGGAGUAGGAUAUGGUGACUAGUGUGACGGUGGGGACGGCGGGGUCGGAGGACGGAGGCAUAGUUCGACAAUAAAUUUGGCGGGAAAGACGGCGGUUGGAGUGUGACGAUGGGGAAGAAUCCGUGGGAACGAAGAGGAAUUUUGGUGCGGAAGGAGGGUUUUUAUAUCGGAGGGAGGGAGGGAGGGAGGGAGGGAGGGAGAGAGGUUGAGAGCGAAAGGUGUGAUUGUCAAUUUCAAAAGAAAGAAGAGAGGUUUAGCGUCAAUUCCCUUUACCUCCAAACCAAAGAAUGCAUUCACGAUCAUGACGUGGCAAAAAUUGAAGGUGGAGACGAAUAUAUUAAAUAGGUAUAAGUAUUAGUUAAAUUUAAAAUUAAUUGUGUACUAUUAAAAAUUUGUUUGAAAGGAUUUUUAAAAUGACUGAAAGCGUUUUUUAUUAAAAUAUUUUUCAAAUCAAUUCUUAGUAAAACCAAGUGGAUCCUAAAAAGUUAUUUGGAUUACUUUAUACAAAAGCCGCAUAUCUUGAGCACGUAAAUAACAUGCUCUCUACUACUUUAUCUAAAAUUAAUUGACGAUGAGCCAAUAAACUGAAAGAUUAUGCGCAACUUUGAUUAUCCAACGAGUGAAGAGGCAAUUUACACCGACCUCAAGAAUUUGGGCUCACAAUCACUAGCCGAUAUGUUUUUUUCUCACAUUUACCUGACACGGCAAGUUCAUAGUUCAAUAUUCUGGUUCUGGUGUCCUAUGACCCUGACACGGCAAGUUCCACUUUUUGUUCAUUUUCUUGACGAAACCAUCACAUUUACCCUUACGGUACGGCACGGUUCCGGGCAUGGAGUAUGGAUUGGGUUCCGUUGCAGUCCCGACACUACUUGGCACUGUAGAGAGGGAAAUACAAAGACAACUUUGGAUUUCUUACAACGUAUUGUUCUUAUUUCACGUCCUGUUUCUCGAGUUCGGUGUUUCCGGUUGCAAAUUUUGGUUCGGCAGUGUAGUGCUCAGGAGAGGGGACUGUCUCACAUUGUUCCAAGCAGAGGCGUUUGACAACGAUUGCGAUAAUGUGUUUUUCUACUGGGAGAACAUACAGCAGUCAGCAGUUAUCUUUUCACAACCGUCUUCAGUAUUUGGAGGCACCUCAAGAAAUUAUCAAGGACAAACGAAUGUAGAAAAGAAGAAAUAUCGAAGUUAGUUGACAAAAGGGGACGAAAAAUUGUGAGAUACAGAGAAGAAGAUAAGAAGAAACUCGAUGCAAAUUUUAAGCUAGAUUAGUUCUUUUUCAUUAACGAGCGAUACAGAGAAGAAGAAACAGCUGCAUUUGGAAAUAGCCGCUUUAGUUGCCUAGUUUGUAACAUUAGCUUUAUGUAAAUCCGGGGAAGAAACAGGAGUAAAUAAAACACAAUCAGGCAGUACCACAAAAGAAAAAUGUACAAUUAGGAACAAUCGUCACUUCUCAAACUUUGUAGUAGAUCCAGGUAUCCGAAGGACUCGGGGCUAAUGUACCUGCAUUAACAAAAGACAAAGAUCAGAUUUGUGGAAGGGAGUCGCAUGGUAGUUAAAAUACUCAGCCAUGCGUGAACGGUUUGAGAUACCACCAUAGAGGCAUCCUCCAAGUGUGAGUUUCUCUCGUAUAGGAUCACUUAUUGUAAGAAUAUCAGUAGUGACAGUGAAAUACCUUUGUCGGGAAAGGAAGUCAAUGAUGACAAAAAAGUAAUUUGGCUUGAAACAUUGUGUCCUCCGUAUGAUGCUUGCAACAUGCAUCACUGAAUCAACUUGAAGCUCUCCACCUCUCCAUCUGUUAAAUGUUUCAUAAGCAGCAUUGUUAAAGUUCUCUCUGUUUGGGGGGAUAUUGCAGAUGGUUUUGAAUGAAGAAAGGCAAAAAUUCAUGCUAAAGGCAUAGUUUACAACUAGUAUUUGUAAAAGCUAAGCUCUAUAGGUCUCACCUUGAUUCUUUGGCACAAAUAGCUAAAGUUUUGAGAUGGGACAAAAUGGGUCCCAAGAUCCACAUACAGCGCAUCCGAUGGUGUUGAAAUCCUUUUCCCAGAGAUAAGCACCAAGAAAGACAUGACAGUGCUAAACUUAAAACAAAUACAAGGACAAUCGCCACUUCUCAAACUUUGUAGUAGAUCCAGGCAUCCGAAGGACUCGGGGCUAAUGUACCUGCAUUAACAAAAAAAAAAACAAAGAUUAGAUUUGUGGAAGGGAGUCGCAUAGUAAUUAAAAUACUUGGCCAAAUUCAAAACAUUUGAACAAUCAUAAAAUUUUGAAAGAAAUACGAAAUACAGACUUGCCUUCAUUAUCGAACUAAGAAAUCGAAAAAUGAAAGAGGCGUUUGACGAACUGAUUGUGAUUUGACUCAAACAUAUGAUGAUGACAAUGCAUCACCACCUUGAUUGUGCCUCUGGAUCAAAAACACACCAUCAGGAUCAAAAUUGUGCACAUUUUCCUUCAUAGGUUUGUCCCAUACUAGAUUAACCCCUGUUCUCUUAAUUGUCACAUAAUGAGCAUUUCUAUCUGGCAUUUCAAAAGUUAUAUCAACUUUAUCCCCGCUUUGCAAAUUGAGCUUAUUGUUCGAUAUUUGUCCCUGCCAAAGAAAAUAGUCUCUAAACAUAAUAUCACCCUUUUCUAUAACCCAAUCUUCCUUGCCUAUGCAGGUCUGCAACUCAGUACGCUUGGUAUUAUUUAUAUCAAUACUGGCACGAGGAUGACCAUCUUUACAUCUGAUAUAAGGUAUUGAGUGGUGAAAGCAGAAUAGAGUCAGUCCUUCAAAAUUACGACCAUUACUCGGUGGAAUUUCAAAACUGAUUGUAUUACCAUCUUCGACAAACUCAAACCAAUCAGGAACAUAAUUCCCACCGAGAAAAAUGCCACCAUAUCCACAAUAAGUCCAUUCCUAUAUAUACAAUGCAAGUGUCAUAUAUACUAGCAUAUGGGCACACACAAAGUGUGAGAAAUUUUUUUAUUUUUGUUUUUGAAAUAGGAGAGAGGAAGCGAGUGAUAGAGAACGUGGGAGUGGGAAAUUUUUUUAUUUAAUUUUUUAUUUUUAUAAUUAGAAAUAUGUUAAAGAUUACAUAUAGGUGAGGCCUUGAAAGAAAAAAACAAAUUUUGGUUGUGUGAAAUUACAUUUCUGCCUCAUAUUUCUUAUUCAUGUUCUGUUUUAAUUAGAUGGUUAAACUGGUAAUUUCAUAGGAUUUUGGUUGACAAUGAGUUUUAUUAAUUAGUAGAGAUAUAUAUAUAUACACACAAACACAUGUACAUGUGAUCGUUGUGUGUGUGCAAGUGCGCCAUAGGAAGGAAAUUAGAGAGAGAGAUAUAUACACACAAACACAUGUACAUGUGCGCGUUGUGUGUGUGCAAGUGCGCCAUAGGAAGGCAAUUAGAGAGAGAGAGAGAGAGAGAGAGAGAUACCUUUAGGAUGUUCCUCCUAAAAUCAGCUGUGAGUUUGGUGCAACAUUGCAUAUCAAUCCAUGUCAUGGAGUUUAAUGACUUAUCCAAGCCUGGAACCUCAGUGAUUGCGCUUGAAUCACGUACAUUCAGUUCUAUCAUAUUCGACAUUUUCGAAAAAUUGGGCAAUGUUACCAAAUUAUAGCAAUCAGAUGCACAAAGAAAUUUCAAAUUUGUUGGUAAAUCAUAGAUUGUAUGAAGGCCAUAUCAAUCAUCUAACCAGAGACUUUCAAGCUUUGAAAGAUCACUGAGGCUGGGUAGGGUGUGAAUGAUAUAGCAGUUACUUAACUCCAGAGUUAUAAGCUGUGAAAGACCACUCAGGCUGGGUAGGGUAUGAAGGGAACUGCAGUAACUUAACCGCAAACUUUCUAGCUUUGAAAGGCCACUGAGGCUGGGUAGGGUAUGAAAAUCAUUAAAUGAAAGAUUCAAAUGUUCUAAAGAAAUUAGACUCCCAAAACCUUUUGGGAAUGCAUCAUCGCUUAAACUGUUCCAUGAGAGAUCUAAAUUUCUUAAAGAGUCUAAGCCGUGUAACGAAUCGGUAAAUUGCAAAGGAAACGUCAUGCGCGCUAGAGAUAAAUGAGUGAGAUUCUUCAAUCUUACUGUGGAACGCGGUACUUGGCUUAUGGCUGUGUAAGAUGCUUUAAGUACUCUCAAUGAUAUCAUCUUCCCUAAAUCCUCGGGCAGUUCACUGAAUUGCAAACAUCCAUUAAGAAUAAGAGUAUGAACGGAUUUGGACUUGUAGAAAUCCCCAGGAAGCGAAAUAAGAUUCCUGCAGUAAUCAAGGUUCACCAAAGAAAGUUUUUUAAGAUGACCAAUGGAGGGGUGAAUCUCGAACAAACUCUCACACCAUUCCAAUAUCAACUCUUCAAGAUUUGGGAGAUUUGAAAAGUCUGGUGAUUUUUUUAAGUCAUGGCAACUUCCGAGAUUAAGGAUUUUCAAGUUUCCAAGCGACUGUUGCACAAAAUCAAAGGAAAAUUAAAAUUAAUAUCCAAAAGGAAUAUCUCGUAAAAAAGAGAGGGAAAAUCAAAUAGAAACAUAACAUCAUUAUGUGUAAUCGAUUGUACCUUGGAGCCCUCCCAAACUUGUACCAGUUUGCUAAACGUUAUUUUUAAAAUAACUAGUUCUCGUCGUUGAUCAAAGAAAUCAUCUGGUAUGGACUCUAAAGGGCAUCUAUCCCAGCACAACCAUAUUAACUCUUUGGAAAGAUGUUUGUAUUCUCCAUUGAGCUGCAAGUCAUAGAGCUGGAGCAGUCUCAGUUUCUUCAUAUUGGCAAAUGCUUAUGUACUAAAACUAGCCUGCAUAUAGCUUGGAAACGAAUCAGGGAAACCUACAACAAGUCCUUCAACUUCUUUAGUUCCCUGUUAACAACACAUUAUAGUGGGUAAGAAAAGGAUUAUCUGCAUCUAUUCCUAAUUGAGCUUCUUUAUGUAAAUACAUAUAUUUACACGUGAAUGUUUCUAAUGUAUAAUAGGCAUACGUGAAUGUUUUUAAUGUACGAUGCAUUAAUACAAAAUUUUAUUUAUCGAGAAUGUACUUAUAGAUUUAUCUCUCAAUACAUCAGUGACCUCUUGAUGGUUCCACAAUCUACUCCAUUCUCCAGGAGGACGACGGGGAUUUCCAUAAAUGAUUACUUUGGUCAUUUCUCGAAGCAAAUCAUGCAUAUUCAACUUGUUGUGUUCAACAGUUAUAAGGCAUCAUUCACAGAGGACACUGAUUCCUAUUGUUGCAAAAAAGUUACAUCCAUCUAAUAUUUUUGCGACAUCGUCCUUAUCCCAUCCAAUAAAGAAACAAGAUAUGUCAAGGAAUAUAUCCUUUUGUGUAGGAUCUAGCCUUUCAAAGCUUACUCUUAGAGCUUUCAUUAUUCCUUCAUCAGGAAAUUUUUUCAAUUUCUCCAACUGAUUUUCCACUAUGUUGGGGUUCUUUCAAUCAUAGAAGAACCUAAAACUUCAAGGGCUAGUGGCAAACCACCACAAUAAGAAACAACCUCUUUUGAGAGUUCAAGAUAUCCUUCAUUAGGCCAACUAUUUCCAAAGGCAUGCCAACUAAAGAGCUUCAGAGCUUCUUCUUCAUUCAUUUCCUUAAGCGGAUAUGUCUUGUCCACUUUCAUGUUCACUUGCUUUAGUAAACGUUCAUCUCGUGUCGUUAUGAUAAUUCUACUUCCUGGGCCAAACCAAUCACGAUUUCCAGCUAUUGCAUUUAGUUGUUCCACUUUGUCUACAUUGUCAAUAAUGACAAGUACGCUUCUACGUUGGAGAUGAUUUUUUAUCAGACCCAUACCUCGAUCAACACUGGUUAUCUUAGACUUGGUAUGUUUCAAGAUGUCAGAAACAAGUUUUCCUUGCAAAUCAACCAGAUCAUAUUCACCAACGUUGGCAAGGAAACUUUUGAAUUGGAACUUAUGAUGAAUGUGGUUAUAAAUGGCUUUGGCAGCUGUUGUUUUACCCAACCCACCCAUCCCCCAAAUUCCAACCAUGCGAACAACAUCUGAUCCACCAUUUGAAAUAUAAGUGAUGAUAUCUUGAAUGCGAGUAUAUAUUCCAACUGGGUGCUUGGCCACAUGUAAUUUUUCUGCACUUGGAAGCCAUUCCGGGAUAAUCUUGUCAACAAUUUCUCUAAUAAGCUUUGCUUCACGCCUGAAAAAUUAAAUUGGUAAGCUUAGUACGUAGGCUCAGUAGGAGCUAUUAGUACUAAUAUAAACAAUUUUCUUUCCUUCUUUCCUUCGCGUGUCUCUGUAUAUAUAUAUGUACACAAACUAGCUACUAGCUAGUAUGUGAUUUUGUGACCAACUUCAAUAAAAGAAACAAAUUCAUUCAUGGAUAUAUUAAAGUUAGGUGUAUCAAUUAAACUCCAAUUAAGAUUCAAGAAAUUUGUGGGAUGCAGGUUCGGGGUUCGGGUGAAGGCUGUGUUGAGAAUCAAUGUCAACCCAAAACCAUAAGUAAUCCACAACCCAAUCUAAAGUCCAAGUCCAUAUCUAGUUUGAUGAUGUAAGUGCUUACAAUUGCAAAGUUAGGCAAGUUAGGUUGUGUGUGAAAACAAAGCAAAGUUAGGCAAAGUUAGGUUGUGUGUGAAAACAAAUAAUUAGGUGCAAUUAAUGUGUUUUGUGUGGUAGUAAAUAAUCUUAGUUUAAUUAAGUAGCUUUCAUUUGGUUUGCUAUAAAUACCCAAGUCCCCAAGCCUUGUAAUUCAUCCAAGGAAAAACAAAGCCUAGAGCUAAAUAAGAAAAGCUUUGCUAAUUAGUUUGUUUUGUGAGCUUUCUUUAAGAGUGUGCUCUAUUUUUCUUCUUCUUGGGAUCAUUAGAGUUAUCUUGGAUACUCUUCUUAUUCAACAAUUAGUAUCAGAGCCAAGUCGGUCAGGGAUCGUUCUUGGUAGAGCAUUGGUUGUAAAGUCUCUUGAAAUUCCGAGUAUGCUCUGUGGUUGCAGUUUUGACUGAUCUUCCACAUCAGAAAAGAUUUCUUGAGAUUAUUGCUGGGGUUAUCACAAACCUUGAGAGGGAGCUUCUUUGUGUCGAGAGUAGUGUAUUACUCUGCACGGUAGUCACUCAAGCUUGUUCGGUGUAGUCAAAGUCUUGCCGAUACGAUGGGUGAUCUUCAAGUUGUUGGAGGAAUCAAUAAGCUCAACAACCAAAACUAUAACACGUGGGCAACGUGUAUAGAGUCUUACCUUCAAGGUCAAGACUUGUGGGAGGUUGUCGGUGGUAGUGAAGUUACACAACCGGCAGCGGAAGAUGCUAAUGGCAUCUUGCGAAAGUGGAAAAUUAAAGUAGGCAAAUCAAUGUUUGCCUUAAAGACCACAAUAGAAGAAGAAAUGUUGGAGCACAUUCGAGAUGCUAAAACGCCAAAGGAAGCAUGGGACACUUUUGUUACACUCUUUUCGAAGAGGAACGAUACAAAAUUGCAACUUCUCGAGAAUGAGUUGCUAUCGAUGGUACAACGCGACAUGACGAUUGCCCAGUACUUUCACAAGGUGAAGUCGAUAUGCCGCGAAAUUUCAGAAUUAGAUCCAACAACUCCUAUUGGGGAAACCAGGAUGAAGAGAAUAAUUAUCCAUGGUUUGAGACCCGAAUAUCGAGGGUUCAUUGCCGCUAUACAAGGAUGGCCGACACAACCAUCGCUUGUUGAGUUUGAAAAUUUGCUUGCAGGUCAAGAAGCUAUGGCCAAGCAAAUGGGAGGAGUCUCACUGAAGAGUGAAGAGGAAGCGCUCUACACCAACAAAAGCAAAGGCACCUUCAAGCGGUACACUGGUAGUGAAUCUAAAAAGGAUGGAGAAAAGGUGCAAAGUCACCAAGGAAAUGGAGGCUCUCAUUCUGGGGGAGCUUGGAAGAAUCGCGGUAAUAGUAAAAAGUUUAGUGGCAAGUGUUACAACUGCGGGAAGAUGGGCCACAUGGCGAAAGAUUGCUGGACCAAGAAAGAGCCUGCUGAAAGUAAUACUGCUACUUCCAGUUCGAAGGAGAAUAGUGAAGAUGGCUGGGAUGCUGAAGCAUUAUUCGCUACAGAGGAAGAAGAAUUAGCUCUCACGGUAACAACACCAGAACGAAUUGACUACAAUAAUGAUCCAACAAGUGGAAGAUGUUACACUUCACGAGAUGUGGUGUUUGAUGAAGCGUCCUCUUGGUGGUCAUCAGAGAAGGAGGUGCUACCAGACUCUAGAGAAUUUGGAGAACAGCUGCAACAGAAGAUGGGGGAGCAUACUAUCCAACUCCAACCAAUUUCAGAUGAAUCAGGAGAUCCAAAUGGCAAUGAUGUCGAACAAAGAGUGGCUCAGAAUCCUUGGGAAACUGGCGUGUAUCAACAACCAAACGAAGAAGGUGGGCCGAGUGAAACGGAAGAAUCAACUCCACAAUCUCAACUCCGAAGGUCAACAAGAACACGAAGGCCAAAUCCUAAAUACGCCAAUGCAGCCAUAAUUGAAGAAUCAACAGAACCUGAGACGUUCGAAGAAGCAUCGCAGAGUUCUGAGUGGAUGACAACUAUGAAAAAAGAGAUCGAUGCACUUCAGCAAAAUCAGACUUGGGAUCUCGUGCCAAAGCCAAGAGAUGUGAAAUCCAUAUCCUGCAAGUGGGUUUACAAGAUAAAUCGCCGUCCAGAUGGGUCAAUCGAGAGGUACAAGGCACGAUUGUUAGCUCGUGGUUUCUCUCAACAGUAUGGACUAGACUAUGAUGAAACGUUUAGUCCAAUGGCGAAACUUACAACUAUACGAGUCCUACUUGCACUUGCAGCCAACAAAGACUGGAAUCUGUGGCAGAUGGAUGUUAAGAAUGCUUUUCUUCAUGGAGAGCUGGAUCGGGAGCCAAAUGUCAAAAUGAGUGCAUAUGAAGGAAAAGAUUUGGAAGAUGCGACGAUGUAUCGACAAUUGGUAGGUAGUUUGAUCUACUUAACCUUGACUCGACCUGACAUUUCUUAUGCAGUUGGUGUGAUGAGUCGGUACAUGCAAAAUCCAAAGAAGCCUAAUUUGGAAGCAGUUCGACGAAUACUGAGAUAUGUGAAGAGUACAAUUGACUAUGGUCUUUUGUACAAGAAAGGUGAAGACUGCAAGUUAGUUGGUUACUGUGAUGCUGACUAUGCGGGAGAUCAUGACACCAGGAGAUCAACAACUGGGUAUAUGUUUAAGCUUGGUUCUGGAACCAUCUCUUGGUGUAGCAAGAGACAACCGACGACAUCAUUGUCAACCACUGAAGCUGAGUAUCGAGCAGCAGCAAUGGCAGCUCAAGAGAAUGCAUGGCUGGUACAGUUGAUGAGUGAUCUACAUCAACCAGUAGAUUAUUCAGUACCACUGUACUGUGAUAACCAAUCGGCAAUUCGCUUGGCAGAAAAUCCAGUCUUUCAUGCAAGAACUAAGCAUGUGGAGGUACACUACCAUUUCAUUAGAGAGAAGGUCUUGCAAGAAGAUAUUGAGAUGAGACAAAUCAAUACAGAUGAUCAAAUUGCAGACUUGUUCACAAAAGGUUUGAGUACUGGCAAGUUUGAAAAGUUUCGUCGUCAACUCAGCAUGGAGAAAAGAAUGAGAGCUGACAUUGAGGGGGAGUGUUGAGAAUCAAUGUCAACCCAAAACCAUAAGUAAUCCACAACCCAAUCUAAAGUCCAAGUCCAUAUCUAGUUUGAUGAUGUAAGUGCUUACAAUUGCAAAGUUAGGCAAGUUAGGUUGUGUGUGAAAACAAAGCAAAGUUAGGCAAAGUUAGGUUGUGUGUGAAAACAAAUAAUUAGGUGCAAUUAAUGUGUUUUGUGUGGUAGUAAAUAAUCUUAGUUUAAUUAAGUAGCUUUCAUUUGGUUUGCUAUAAAUACCCAAGUCCCCAAGCCUUGUAAUUCAUCCAAGGAAAAACAAAGCCUAGAGCUAAAUAAGAAAAGCUUUGCUAAUUAGUUUGUUUUGUGAGCUUUCUUUAAGAGUGUGCUCUAUUUUUCUUCUUCUUGGGAUCAUUAGAGUUAUCUUGGAUACUCUUCUUAUUCAACAGGCUGUGGUCCGUGGGCUACAGGUUGGGGUCGGCUGGGGAGUGGGGAUUAGGGAUUGGGGGUUGAAAGUGGGAGGUUGACGGGGUGUGAAUCAAAGAUGGAAGGUGAAGGGGUGGGCUGCGAGCUUGCGAGCGUUGGUGGGAUAAGGUAGGCCUACAAUUUUAUAUAGAUACAUAGGUGAAACUAACAUGUAAAGUUGUGAACACUUGUAACUAAAAUUUAAAGGAAUUGGUUACGAAGGACUAACGCUCCAUAUUUUAUCAAGUUCAAGGACAAAAUGUAAUGAAUUUUUAGUUGAGGAACCAAAACUACAAUUUUCCUCUAGAUUUUAUAUGAGAGAUUAAGGUGUAUUAAUUAAGCAUGUUAAUUAGAGUAAUACAACUUAAAUAUUGAAAAGCACGUGAAUGAUUACCUAUUAUCAGUGAUUUGAAGAUGGUAGCCAGACAAAUUUGCAGCUUUUGUAAGAACCUCUCCCCACUGCUUUACCCCUUUUUGUUUAGCUUCACGUUUCUUGUCAUCCUUUUCUUCACCCAUGCCCUCUACGUGCUCCUGAAAUUCUUCGGCUAACUCUGCAGCUUCUCUAAGAGCCUUUCUCCACUGCUUUACCCUUUCUCGUUUUUUUUCACGUUUCUUGUCAUCAUUUUCUUUACGGAUGUUCUUUUUGUGCUUCUUAAAUGCUUGGGCUAAAACUCCAUUCUGCUUCCUGACAUGUGAAGGAUCAAUGUGAUAGAAUAUUGGCAAAACAUGUCGCCCCAGUUUGUCUCUGCACUCCAUGAUCUUCACCAGCUCGUUAAGACACCAACUCGAAUCCGCAUAGCUCUCCGAGAAGACAAUGAUAGAGAUCUUCGAUUUUUCGAUUGCCUGUUCCAGUUCUUUUUGUAUUUCUUCCCCGCUUUUUAGAUCAUCCUCAUCAAUAUAUGCCUGGUAUCCCUUGUCUGUUAAUGCCGCGUGGAGGUGGUCUGUGAAGCCAUUGCGUGUGUCUUCACCGCUGAAGCUCAAGAACACAUUGUAAUUCCAAAGUUUUGACUUGGAGGAGGAUGAAGAGGAGGCUUCGUGGCUUGUCAUGGCGGUAUCCACCGUUAUGGCACAGCAGUGGUUCAUAUCACGAUUGAAAAAUGGCAGUAGUUCUGUUUGUGCUGUCGAACGGAUGAUCCUGAAAUACCUAAACCCAAGUCAAGCUCCUUCAGUCAACAAGAACAAAGUUUAUAACAUAAUAAUGUUGGCGUAUGGACUUGAGAAACAACAUAAUGUUGGCCAGAAGGUGCAGAGACAAACUUGAAUGCAAGCUUUCUCAAAUUUUCCAAACAAUACAGAUGACAAAAUCAACAAAAUAGAAUGGAAAAUGACUUACACUUUUAAGGCAUGCUCGAAUCUUGAUCUAAAAUUGGUGCUGGGUCGAUUGUUGGUCACCAAAUCUAAAUGAAGAAUUCCUCAGACCAAAUGAAAUUAAAAGUUAGGACUUCACAAAACCAAUUGAAAAUCUGAUUCCAAAGUUCCAAACACCCACCAAAUGAUUCCGGAUAAAGUUUAAACUCAAAAACCCAACAGAAACAAAAGCAUUGGUGUGGAUUAACUAUAUCUGAUUGUCGAACGGAUGAUACUGAAAUACCUAAAAGGCUAAACCCAAGUCAAGCUCCUUCAAUCAACAAGAACAUAGUUUAUAAUAUAAGGGCACGUUUGUUUGACAGGAUUAGCAAGGCUUGGACUGGACUAGACUAUAGUCCUGUGUUUGGUGUGCAACCGGAUUAGCUUUAAUGGGCUUAGGUGGGACUCGCUCGGAUUACACGCCUCCUUACAAGUUCUUAACGAAGAACCCCAAUUUUGGGCGGACUCGUAAGCACGGAGAGAAAACCGCGAGGAUCCCCAACGUCCUGCUCGUCCUCAUCUCUGCGAGGAUCCCCAACGUCCCUCGUCCUGCUCGUCGCUCGUCGUCGAUCUUGCCCUGCUUCCUCGUCGUCGUUCUCCUCACCCUCAUCGACGAAAGCUUCUCGUUGGUGCCCAACCCCAUGCCUUUGCCUCCCAUCAACGAUCUCACUUGCAUUGUCACUGGAUCCACCAGCGGCAUCGGCCGCGAAAUCGCCAGGUCUCCUCCUUCUCCUUCCUUCAAAUCUCCAAACAUUGACGAUUUCAGUUUUCUUGUUAGCUUGUUUGUUUAGUAUAAAUAAAUCAACUCAAUUUGCAAGAUUGCAUUAAGACUUAGGGGUCCCACUGUUUGGUUACUGAGAAUUUUGAUAACCUGGUGCCCAUUUCUCAGUUUCAAUUGUGAAUUUUGAAUUAGUUUUGCUUAAACAUGAAAACUGAACAGGCAGCUGGCGGAAUCAGGCGCGCAUGUUGUAAUGGCGGUGAGGAAUACGAAAGCAGCUAAUGAGUUGAUCCAGAAGUGGCAAAAUGAAUGGUCUGGAAUGGGGCUUCCUCUCAAUAUUGAGGUAACUUAUUAACAGGGCCAACGCUAAUAUCUACAUUUCAUUAAUUAUAUACAAACAAUACUAUUGUUUAACUUUAAUAGGUAAUGGAACUUGAUCUGCUUUCAUUGGAUUCUGUUGUGAGAUUUGCCGAAGCAUGGAAUGCUCGUUUAGGACCUCUCCAUGUUCUUAUCAACAAUGCUGGGAUAUUUUCAAUUGGAGGUUGAUCGCUUUGUUGACAUUUUUACCUGAUUUCAAAUGUUCAUCCCUUCAGAAUCUGAUCGGUCAUUUGCUGGACUACACUGUCAUUGGUGUGUUCAGAGCCGCAAAAGUUUUCUAAAGAUGGUUACGAAGAACACUUGCAAGUGAAUCAUCUGGCUCCAGCGUUGCUAUCCGUCUUGCUAUUGCCUUCCCUUAUUAGAGGAUCUCCGAGUCGAAUUGUUAAUUUGAAUUCCGUUGUAAGUUCCAUGGUCAUCAUGCAUACAAUUUUACACUCUUCUACUUUUGCUUUUCUGGGUAUAUAUGAUAUAUAUAACAUUCGCACACCUACGUACACACACAUGGAAAGAAAAACUAGUUGGCAUAUAUGCUAACUAGUUGUAGAUACAUCCUUAGGUUUUUAGAUUGGCACUAUAAAUGUAUUUCACAGUUUGAUAUUCUUGUUUUAUUGUUAUGUUAAUCUGAGAAUGCUCGUUCUUUCUUUAUAUAGAUGCAUUAUGUUGGCUUUGUUGACACAGAAGACAUGAACGUUGUUUCCAGGAAAAGAAAAUAUACAAGCUUAGUGGGUUACUCAAGCAGCAAGUUGGCACAGGUGGUCUUGAAAGUCUUUAUUGUUUGAUGGUUUCCAUAUUUUAGCUGGAACAAGCUUGUAAGAGCUACAAGCUUUUCUUCCUAUCCAUCUUUGUGGAAAUGAAUUCAGGUCCUCUUGAUCUGUAAAGUUUAACUACUUUGUGCGAUAUAUAUAUAUAUAUAUAUUUGAAAUACAGGUGCCUCUGUCUUUAUUUAGAUCUUUUUAGUUACUUGGACCUGUACAUUGAUCAAGUGCUUGAUGAUUGGGUGCUAUAAUCUGCUUGUGUUUUUUUUUUAAUUUUUUUUUUAAUUUUUUUAAUUUUUAUGGUUUCAACUUCUGCUUUGAUCUCUCUUUUCUAUUAGUUUGUAAAAGCUGGUCAUCUAUUACCCAAGGCUGGACACUUGCACAUAAUUAAAUGUCAAUUAACUGCGGUGGUAUGUAUAUAAUUUUCGACGCUAAAACAAGACUACUCUAACCUAGUCGUAUAUGGAUUGCAGAUUAUGUUUAGUAGUGUCCUACAUAAGCGGCUGCCUGCUGAAUCUGGCAUUAGUGUAGUGUGCGUUUCACCUGGAAUUGUCCAGACUAAUGUUGUAAGUAUCUUGACGCGUUCCCCUCCCUUCCUUGUUAUCUCGAAGAAGGAUGUGCCUUCAAGGUUUCUAUAUGAAAGUUCUAAUUGACAGUCUUGCAUGUUAUUAUUUUAUGUACCUUGAAGAUUUUACGUUCAAAUAUUAUUUACAUAUACAGUAUAGUAUAUUGAAUUUUAUGUAUCAUUUUGGAUUUCAAUUAAUUACAGGCAAGGGAUCUACCCAGGAUUGUUCAGGCUGCGUAUCAUCUAGUACCUUAUUUGCUGCAACAUUCACUACUUUGCUGGCGGCCGUCGUAAGCACCCCAGGCGCCGCCGCUGGUUUUCUGUUAAAUGGGUUUUUUUCUUUAUUUGAGUUAUUUUUGUUUUUGUGGGGAAGAAGAUUGGUAGAUGAUGUGGUCCAAUCUGGGAACCAAUGCAUUUUCUUAAACGGCUGAGAUUGAAAGACUGAUUUGGCCUGGUAGAGCAUCCAAGUAAAAAUUUGGGUGUGUAAUCUGUGUGUGUGCAUCUGUAUGUGUGUGUGUGUGUGUGUAAUCUGUGUGUGUGUAAGUGUAAUAUGUGUGUGUAUGUAAUCUGUGUGUGUAUACUAUGUGUGUGUGUGUGUGUGUAAUCUGUGUGUAUGUAAUCUCUCUCUCUCUGUGUAAUCUGUGUGUGUGUGUGUAAUCUGUGUGUGUGUGUGUGUGUGUGUGUGUAAUCUGUGUGUAUGUAAUAUCUCUCUCUCUGUGUGUAAUCUGUGUGUGUGUGUGUAAUCUUUGUGUGUGUGUGUGUAUGUAUGUAAUCUCUCCUCUCUCUGUGUGUAAUCUGUGUGUGUGUGUGUAAUCUUUGUGUGUGUAAGUGUAAUAUGUGUGUGUGUGUGUGUGUGUGUGUGUAUAAUAUGUGUGUGUGUAAGUGUAAUAUGUGUGUGUGUGUGUGUUUGUGUAGUGUGUGUGUGUGGGUGUGUGUGUUUGUGUAUUGUGUCCGUGUGUGUGUGUGUGUGUGUGUGUGUGUGUGUGUGUGUGUGUGUGUGUGUGUGUGUGUGUGUGUGUGUGUGUGUGUGUGUAUUGUGUGUGUGUGUUUGUGUAGUGUGUGUGUGUGUGUGUGUGUGUGUGUGUGUGUGUUUGUGUAUUGUGGCCGUGUGUGUGUGUGUGUUUGUGUAGUGUGUGUGUGUGUAUGUGUGUUGUGUUGUGUGUUGUGGUAUUGUGGUCGUGUGUGUGUGUGUGUAUUGUGUGUGUUUGUGUAGUGUGUGUGUGUAGUGUGUGUGUGUAUUGUGUGUAAGUUUGAACCAACUUAAGUAGUACAAUUUGAUUAUGUAUGCAGUGUAUGUAUGUAUGCAGGGUGUGUGUGAGUGUAUGUCAGUGUGUGAGAGUGUGUAUGUCCGUGUGAGUGCAGUGUGUGCAUCUGACCAGUGUGUGUGUGUGUAUGUAUGCCGUGUGUGUGUGUGUGUGUAUGUAUGCAGUGUGUGUGUGUAUGUAUGCAAUGUGUGUGUGUAUGUAUGUAUGUAUGUAUGCAUGGUGUGUGUGAGUGUAUGUCCGUGUGUGAGAGUGUGUAUGUCCGUGUGAGUAUGUGUGUGAGUGUGUAUGCAGUGUGUGUGUGUAUGUAUGUAUGUAUGUCGUGUGUGUGUGUGUGUAUGUAUGCAAUGUGUGUGUGUGUGUGUAUGUAUGCAAUGUGUGUGUGUGUGUGUGUGUGUGUGUGUAUGCCGUGUGUGUGUGUGUGUGUGUGUGUGUGUGUAUGUAUGCAGUGUGUGUGUGUGUGUGUGUGCAGGGCAAUCAAACCGGAACUCAAGAAAGUGUUCGUCCAAAGGCUUUUAAGCGACAACGCAAGUGGAUGAAGAUUUUGGCUAAUGUUAACAUGGAUGUAUUUUAUUAAUGUUAACAUGGAUGUAUUUUAUUAAUCAUACAAUCUUAUGUUAUGGCUUAUAACUUAGCUUUGCACUAGUAUUUUGGCUUAUGUUAACUAGCCAUUUUGUAAAUUAUGGAGAUCUAUUUUGGCUAAUGUUAACUAAUGUUAUGUUAACUAAGAUUUUCUAAAUUAUGGAGAUCUUCUUAUGUACUUGUAUUUGUUGAAGUUGCAUGUAUUGGGCACUAUUAUUUUUCUUCUGUUGGGUGAUAGAGUUUAAACCAAGCUACAUUUGCAAAUUAAACCCAAUUCUAUUAGCAGGUAAUAGAAACAAAACAAUUGUCAAUUUUUUUUAAGAUUCAUAAUAUACAUGGCAAAAAUAUGCUCCAAUUAACUCAUAUCAUGAGAUUUGUAGCAUUACUCUAUUACACAAUGGCAAAAAUUUGUAGUCCUAGUCUAAGCAAACACAAAUCUGGUGAACAGUAUUGUUUUUCUUAUCCUGCUUCUUAGUCCGACAUUACACCAAACGCUUCACUAAAUUAGUCCAGCUUAGUCCAGUCUAAGCCAGUCCAGCUUAGUCCCGGCAGCUAGUCCAGCCCGAGACAGUCCGGCGCAACAAACGCACCCUAAUAAUGUUGGUGUAUGGACUUGAGAAACGACAAAAUGCCGGUCGGGAAGGUGCAGAGAAGAGUAAGAGAGAGAAAAGAGGAAAGAAACAAACACAAAAGGACAAAGAUUAUCAAAUAGAUUGUAACAAUGACUUCUUUGGUUGAAAUGUGUAAGCAUACUUCUUUGGUUGAAAUGUGUAAGCAUCUAAGAAGUAGCAUGACAACAACCGCAUAAUAAACAAAAGUGAUAGAAAAAAGGACCCAAAUGUGAAACGACAACUAAAAACAAUUGUCUCGCAAGCCGUCGGGUUUCGCCGGAAAAUCUGGGUUUUCGAAGAAAACAAGUGUGCAUGAAUAAAUAGUCCAAAAAUGGACCUCAAAUCAUCACCGGACAGGAUUUAACCCAUGAAUAUAAAGGUUAAACGAGAAAUCUCACCUGGGUUUUGAGUUUCGAAGCUUGAAACUCUUGGCUCCAAGGGUGGAUCACUGAAAUGGUGCUCCGAUGAUGCAUGCAAAGAUAUAUUCGAGUUCCUUGAGUCUCAGGGAUUCCAAAUAUGUGAUUUUGGGGCUGGGUUUGUGAGAGAAUCAAAGUGAGAGCAAGGGUUAAGCUCUCGGAGUUUAGAGAGAGAAUGAGAGAAUUUGAGAGUUAGAGAGAGAGAGUGAGUGACAGGUGUCGAGCAAGGGGAAGAAGGGAGAGAUUUGUCACGGGUGAGGUAAAAACAAAAACUGUGGGCCGGAUUUUUGGGUUUGAGAGUCCCACGCCCAAAGAUUUGGGCCGGAAUGACAAAGCCCAACACGAGGGCAUAAUCGUAAUUUGCACCUACUUUCAGAACGGGUUGUUACGGUUAUCCACCGUUAUGGCACCGCCGUGGUUCAAAUCACGACUAAAAAAUGGCAGUAUUUGUGAUUGUGUACCGAACGAAUGAUAUUGAAAUACAUAAACCCAAGUCAAGCUUCUUCAAUCAACAAGAACAAAGUUUAUAAUAUAAUAAUGUUGGCGUAUGGACUAACGACAAAAUGCCGGUCGGGAUGGUGCAGAGAAGAGUAAGAGAGAGAUAAAGAAACGAACACAAAAGGACAAAGACUAUCAAAUAGAUUUAACAAUGACUUCUUGGUGGUGAUUACAAGUAUUCAACCAUCAAUAAUGUUUUAUUUUAGGUUAAAAUGUGUAAGCAUCUAAGAAGUAACAUGACAACAACUACAUAAUAAAUAAAAGUGAUAGGAGAAAAGACCCAAAUAUGAAACGACAACUAAAAACAAUUAUUCAACGUGAGUGAUAAAUGAUUCAACCAUUUACAAUAUUCAAACGUAGAACCACGAUUCACUGGACGGUUGUAUUAACUAUUAGGAGGUGCUCUAAUAUAAUACAUCCAAAUGGGGGUGGACCACAUAAUACACCCACAUCGUUUUAAGCUCCUACAUGCUAAAACUUUUGCAAAAUGCGCAUUAGGAUUAUACUUCUAUUAGAUGCGCAUUUCCUUACUAGGCAAAUGAACCAUAUAAUCCGCCAAGAUGGAUGUUAUACACGUUGGAGUUUGAGCAGAUUUUUUUUUGUUAUCUCAUAGUCUCACAUUGCUAGAAUUGAAAAUUUUAUAAUAUAAUAACGUUCACGUAUGAACUUGAGAAACAACAUACUUUACUGCCGGUCGAUCGGGAAUGUGCAGUGAAAGAGAGGAAAGAAAGAAAGAAAUGAACACGAAAGGACAAAGACUAUCCAAUGGAUUAUAAACAAUUACUUCUUGGGGUGAUUACAACUAUUCAACCAUCAAUAAUGCAUUACUUCAGUUUAGAAUUUGGAAGCAUUUGAGAAGUAACAUGACAACAAUCACAAAAUAAACAAAAGUGAUUAAUAAAAAGACCCAAAUGUGAAAGAAUAAUUAAAAACAAUUAUUCAAGAUAAGUGAUAAUGAUUCAAUCAUUUACAAGAUAUGAACGGUUUGGAAACGCAUCACAUAGUAGUUAAAAUACCCGGCCGUAAAUGAACGGUUUGAGAUACUGCCAUAGUGGCAUCCCUCGUAUGUGAGUUUCUCUCGUAUCGGAUCACUUAUUGUAAGAAUAUCAGUAGUGAAAGUUAAAUACCCGUGUCGGGAAAGGAAGUCGAUGAUGACAACUGACAAGAGAGAAAUUUGGCUUGAAAAAUGUAUGAUGUUUGCAACAUGCGUCACCGGAGUAUCAACUUGAAGCUCUUCAUCUCUCCGUCGUUAAAUGUUUCAUAAGCAGCAUUGUUAAAGUUCUCUCUGCCAGGGGGAACUGAAGAUGGUUUUGAAUGAAGAAGAAUGGAAAAUAUAAUUUAGAAAAUGAGAAAGAAAAAUAUAAUUGAAACUAAAAAAAAUAAGAAAUAAAAAGAGAGAUUUACUAUUUUCUAGGAGGUCUUGGAGUUGGCCGUGACAGUAAGAGAGGAUGAGCGAAUAAAUUGGGCCAAUUACUUGCUCUCUUGGACUUUGGGCUUUUGGUUUGGACUGGGCCAAUUACUUACUUGGGCCCCAUCCCAACUUGACUUUUUGUCGGUCGGUAUUGGCUAAGGUGAACGUGCUAAACUAGAAAUUUGAGGUUUUGAAUUAGCGAAUGAAUGUUAAGUAAGAGUGUCAUGAUCAGACUUGUAAGACUGUCUUUAAUAAGAAGUUGUUGCGUUUUGUCAAAACCGGUCCAUCUAAUUACAAAUUGUAACCAUAUUAGUUGAGUGCAUAUGCUACAUCACAUUUAGUGAAUAUUCAGUACGGGUGAUACAUGGUCAAACUUGUAGGUUGUUCAUUAAGAAGUUACCACGUUCUCAAGAGUGGAGUUAGAGGGGAGCACUUCCCUACCAAAGUGUUUUCCUUCUCCCCUUUACAAGGGAUUUGUGUCACUAUUAGAUAGGAGAUUCGAACACAAGACCUUGAAUUGAGAGGUAAACGAUUUUACAAAGCUUCUACGAGCACCUUCUUGUUUACCAAACUUAAUGAAACUAAAGGAGGUCUUAACGCCAUUUUGGCUAAUAGUAUUCUGUAUAUUUACGAAUGGUUUUAAGUUUGGGCUUAAUUGGAUAAUCAGAGAGUAGUGCAUCACACUAUGGAUAUUCAGAAACCGAAGGCAUAAUUCAUAUUCCUCCAACAAGUCCACGCAAAUAACCACAAUCAGAAUGUUAGUUCAUAACUGGCCAUAUAGAACGCAAUACAAAAGCACUAAAAGCGUCCAAGUGAAAGUGCUUUCUCCUCAUGUAGUUUCAUUUAACUUAGUUUCACAUGCCAGUCCGUCACACACUCAACUCCUCAACGUUCGGGCUCAAAGCAUUCUUUAUCCCUUAUGUACGAGAGACAAUAAGUUUAAAGUUCUUGUGAUGAAAUCAUGUAAAACAUUCAGAAAUCUUGAUUUAACCCUUUCUCAAGAUCAUAGGUUGUGUCAUCUCAACCUAUAUCUUAGGUCUCAUGAGUGCUCGUAAUACACUAAUAUGACGCUUGUUUUCUGGCCAGGACAGAAACAAAAUCAUGCAGGAAAUUGUCAUGACAACUUAAGCGUAAAAUGCGACCGGAAAAACACUAAACAGGAUAGCUAUGCUUUCUUCGUGUAAACCUUAACAACAAAGACAAUACCGUAUCUGUCACAGUGAUAUGCGACCAUAAGCCCAACUCCAAGGAUCAGCUUUCCAAGAGCUUUGAAGGCUACAAAUCAAAAGUUACAUGCAGUGAUGACAUAAUCAUGAAAAAAUACAAUCAUAAAUUAAAGGAAAACAUACCGACUUCUAUUUCUGGCAAUUCACUAUUGGGCCAUAUAUUUGAACAACAGUAUGAUGGAUACCUACAAUACAGAUCACAAGUAAAAUCUGAGCAGACACAAAGUAUUAUGUUCUGUUUACGCAAAUUCUGUAAGUUCUCAAAUAGGAUAAAUAAAGAUAAGCAUAUCCCAGCAUAAAGACGACUUGUCCUGGCUAAUUCUAAGAAAGCUUGUAUCAAAUGUAUGAUAGUUAUUCAUAACUAACACAAACAACAGUUUGGCCAAACAUUACUGGUCUGAGCCAUAUACUGUGUGACCUCAGACAAAACAGAUCCCACAUGUACUCAGAUUAUGAUUGAUACCCCAAUAGACUUUUAGGCGGUGCUCUGAUAUAAUACAUCCAAAUUGGGGUGGACCAUAUAAUACACCCCAACGGAUCGUUUUAAGCUCCUCCACUGCUAAAGCUAUUGCAAAAUGCGCAUUAGGAUUAUACUUCUAUUAGAAGCCCCUUUCCUUACUAGGCAAAUGAACCAUAUAAUACACCAAGAUGGAUGUUAUACACGUUAGCGUUUGAGCAGAAUUUUUUUUGGUUAUCUCAUUGUCUCACAUUGCUAGAAUUGAAAAGUUUAUAAUAUAAUAACGUUCGCAUAUGAACUUGAGAAACGACAUACUGCCAGCUGGCCGGGAAGGUGCAGUGAAAGAGAGAAAAGGAAGAAAGAAACAAACAUGCAUGAAAGGACAAAGACUAUCCAAUAGAUUAUAUACAAUGACUUCUUGAGGUGAUUACAGCUAUUCAACCAUCAAUAAUGCAUUAUUUUAGUUUGGAAUUUGGAAGCAUUUGAGAAGUAACAAGACAUCAACCACAUAAUAAACAAAAGUGAUUAGAAAAAAAACCCAAACGUGAAGGAAUAAUUAAAAACAAUUAUUCAAGAUAAGCGAUAAAUGAUUCAACCAUUUACAAGAUAUGAACUUAGAACAACAAUCUAUUUGAUCGUUGUAUUAACUAUUAAGUGGUGCUCUAAUAUAAUAUAUCCAAAUGGAGACGAACCAUAUAAUACACCCAAAUGGACCAUUUUUAGGCUCCACUGCUAAAAACUAAUGCAAAACGGGCAUUAGGAUUAAACUAUAAGAACUAGGAUUGCAGGGAAGACAAAACACGCAGGAAAGCUGUAAGACUACACAAGGUUUUCACUGUGAUUGCAUACCCUCAACGUUGUAGGGAGCAACCUUUUUAUAAUCACUUUUCAGAUUACAUCAGGGUUUCAAAAACCCUAUUUACAAGCUUACAUUUUGAAAUUCAAAUACUAUAACUAAUUCUGAUAAAACAAAUAUUUAAAAAUUCAAAUGAUUUUAACAGAAGCUCCACUUGAUAAGUGUUGUUGACUGAGUAAACCAACUGAAGAAUUUCUGUUUGAAGAGGAAACUUGACUCCGUCUAACAUAAACUUGUAUUAGCUAGCUUUCCUAGUCAAAUGAACCAUAUGAUACACCCAAAUGGAUGCCAUCAUGCCAUAUAUAAACAAUGUUUUGAAAGGACAAGGUACCUAAGACUGUCUUUUUAUAUAAUGUAAGCAACAACCAUAAAUCUUAUUGGAGCUAAUUAACUAAUGUAUUUAUUAGACAGUUGGAUUCCUUAGCAAGUGGUUAACUAUUUUUGUUUAGUUUAGUAGUCAGGUCGUAAUUAAUUAGUCAAAUGAACCAUAUAAUACACCCAAAUGGAUGCCAUAUAUGCAAUAUAAACAAUUUUUUCAAAGGAUGAAAUGACCUUCUUGCGGGUAUAGGGGAAGAGGAAAGAAACUAGUACGAAACUGCAGACCCUAUCGAUCCAUUAUAAUAAAUUUCAAGGGUCCAAGUUGUAAGUUAAUUGUGCAACGUAAAAACUUAUUCACAAUUAUCAACUUAACCACGUACCUGUGGAAGACAUCGUCUUUGAAAACUAAGAUUAAGAACUGAAGUUCUCCUGCAACUCUACACAAUUGAAAGCUCGCUCAAUGGGGCUUGAGUUUUCUGUAAACUUGUGUAGUUAGGGGAGAGAUCAGGGACCUCAAUUUUAUACAUGGAAUUUAAUAAGGAACCCUCUCAUUAAUUGAUCCUUAUCAAAGAGUAGCCUUAUCACCGUGAAACACUAAUGCAUUAUAUCAGCUAGAAGAGUUCUAGUUUUAUCGAAAAUGUAUCUGACUUGAAAUUGUAAAGAAAUACAACUCCUAAUAAGUCUACCACAAGUGUCAAUCCUUAUCUCCUUAUCAUUCCACAUCACCAAGUGUUUGCUCUCAUAUAGAACUUACACAAAUCUCAUGUAGUUUCAUCUAACUUAUUUUUCACAACGGUGAAUAUAUUUCAAUGGCUUGGUUUUCACAUGCCAGUCAGUCACAUGCUCAACUCCUCAAAGUUCAGGCUCAAUGGCUCAAAGAGGGCUUCCACUUCACUCUGAUUCACCUCCCUUUUACUUUGACGGGUUCCACUUCGGAUUCUGCAUUGACAAAAAACAGAAGCAAAAGAUUGUUGAGAGUUCUCCCACAUUGGUGAGGGACAAAGCUUGUUAUGUGCUUAUAUGAUCUUAGGCUACUUCCAAUAUUGCCAAUUUGUUUUAUGGUGGAACCUCAAUUUCAUCAUGGUAUCAAAGCCAAGUUGUCGACAUGUGAAGCCCAAUGGCCACAUGCGCUCCACGUCACCCAGUUGUUGUACACGUGUAGGCUUGAAAAUCCGUCACAUGUGCGGGGUCGUGUUGAGAGUUGUCCCACAUUGGCGAGGGACAAGACUUGCUAUGUGCUUAUAUGAUCUUGGACUACUUCCCAUAUUGUCAAUUGGUUUUAUGGUAAAACCUCAAUUUCAUCAAAGAUAACGAUCUGUUCUGAUACAAGGAAAGUAAGAUGAUUAUAUAACUGUAGGUCUAGUAUAGGCUGUAAUGGUUUAUGUUGCAGCAACUCCGUCAGCAAGUGAUUUUCAAGUAAGGAAUCUUGAGCAUAAUUAACGAACCUGAUCCUUGUCCACCAAAACUGCCCGCACACCUUCAGCAAAAUCAUUCCGCAAAGACGAUCUUCUAGCAACGCGAUAUUCAGUUUUCAUCACACCAGUUAGCUGGUAUGGAUCAAGUAAAGCACAUGUUACUCACUCAGAAAAUGUGAAAUACUACAACACAAAAUCUAUCAAAAGGAUGCAACCUUGAAGAGCUUCAUUUGCCCACUCCACCACUACAACGGAAACAAUUUGAUAGAAAAUACUUGACAGCCAUGUACAAGCCUCUCAAUAGAAGAGUAAGACAGAUUUCAUUUCAUCAUCGAUAAACAAAUGGCAUUGACAAACUUACCAGUAGCAUCUGAACUCUGCUGCUGCUUUUUAAGUUCAUCAAUUGCCACAAGAACCGACUUAUUUGCACCAAAUGCUGAAGUUAUUUGAGGUAAAAGACUCCUGAGCUGCGAUUCGAAUCUGGGUUGCUGCUGAAUUUCACCACAGUUGUAAUUGACAACAUUGACAAUUGUCUCUCUCGCAAUAGUACCUUCGUAAUGAUCCGGUACUGACCUUGGCCCGAUAGGCCAAUACCAAAGGCCAUUGUUAUGGCCACGAAGCUUAUACGUGGCUGUCAAGCCCGACACGUGAAUAGCAUACUCUACUACUGUGUUACAUUGUGAGAAUUUUAUCCAAAAUUAAUUGACAAUAAGUGAAUAAGUUGAAAGAUUAUGUAUGACUUUAAUUAUGCAAAGAGUGAAGAGGCAAUUUUCACCAAACUCCAGUAAAAAAUUUGGGCCUCACAAAUCACUAAACCCAAUAUGCUUUUCUCUUAUGCCUUUUGUUCAUGGUUCGAUAUUCUGGCGUCCGAGGACCCUGACAUGACAAGUUCCAACUUUUGUUCAAUUUCUUGACGAAACAAUCACAUUUACCCUUACGGCACGGCACGGUUCCGGGCAUAGAAUAUGGGUUGGGUUCCGUCACAGCUCCAACACUGUAGAGAAGGAAAUAAAAAGACAACUAUUUAUUUCUUACAACGUAGCCAGUCUCUUGACAUGGCUCCUGCUGUUUUGUUCUUAUUUCACGUCCUGUUUCUCGAGCUUGGUGUUUCCGGCAGGGCCGGUCUAGAGAUUUUUGAGGCCCGGAGCGACGUAAAAAAAUAUGCUCACUUUAUAUAAGAAAAUUAUUUGUUUUCACAUGUAAGACAUGGAUAAAAUUAUACUUACAAAAACACUUAAACUUAAUAAUUUAGAAACAAGGAAAAACUAAUUUAUUUUGUAUCGUGAGAAUGAAACAAAAAAACUCUGGUCUCUUCCGCUCCACCUCGGCCUGGAUUAGGCAGGUUGGAGCUCUCACCCCUGGCCAUGUACGAGGCAUUUUGGAUAGGCAACUUUUAGUUUCUCUUGGAAUAUCGCCUAACUCCUGUAAAGCUCCUUCUAUUGUCCCUGUUCAUUGGCUCCCCCCUCCUUUUUCUUGGGUUAAAGUGAAUACUGAUGGCCUUGCUAAAGGUAAUCCGGGUCCUGCGGCAUGUGGCGGGGUUUUUCGUGACUCUGCAGGUUAUUUUCUUGGUGGUUUCUCCCUAAGCUUGGGUCAUCGUACUUCUUUCUAUGCGGAGCUCCAUGCUGUCAUCCUUGCUAUCGAAUUGGCCCACACGCGGGGCUGGCUAAAUUUAUGGCUUGAAAGCGACUCUUCUAGUGUAAUAUCAUGUUUUGCUUCUGGAUCUUUCUCUCCCCCUUGGUCUCUCCAGACACGCUGGAACAAUUGUACUCUCCAUUUGCAGAACAUGGUUUUUCGUUGCUCUCAUAUUUUUCGAGAAGGGAAUGUUGUGGCUGACAAAUUAGCCAAUUUAGGGCUUCUAUCAUCUUCCCUUGUUUGGCAUUCCACUCCCCCUAUAGAGAUCCUUCCUCCUCUGCACUCAGAUUUCUUGGGCAUGCCAACCUACAGGUUUGUCUCCUCUUCUUGAUGUGUGUUCUCCUUUCUUUUCCUAACCUUUUUUGGAUUCCCUUUUGUUUUGCAGCUUGUCUUGCAGGUUAUUACCUUUUAGGUUUAUUGAGGGGUUUGGGCUUAUGUCCGCCCAGUCUUUUCCUUGUAUUUUCUUUUCCAAGAGGGGUACGGUCUAUGUCCCCCCCUCUUUUGUAUUUUCUUUCUCAAAAGGGGUAAGGUGCAUGUCCCCCCCUUUUUUGUAUUUCUUUUCUCUUGUUCUAUGAGGGGUUAGGUUUAUGUCCCCCCCUGUCUAGGUGUAUUUUCUUUUUUCUUAUCAAUAAAUUUCCCUCGUACCGCCGAGGUUCUCCAAAAAAAAAAAAAAAAAAAAAAAAAAAAAAAACUCUGGGUUUACAAGUAGAUAGAUAGAUAGAUAUGGCACAAGUUGCGGAUUGCUUUGCUAACUAUGAUGUUGAUCUGGCUGGGGUUCAUUGGUGAGAUUCUUGAUUUCCUUGUGCUACUUUGACAUAUCACCAUAAGUUGUCUUUUUUGCCUUGUUAUAGUUUCGUGUGGGGUUUUUUUUCUUCUAAUGUUGAUUGGGUUCUUUUCUUCCAACUCCUGCCCACUCAUUAUUGUCUGAACCACACCUAGUAUUACCCUCAUAUCCACUAAAACUUCAAGCUUUACCAAUUUGUCACAAGCGAAGAUGGUAGCUCCCAACACCAAUGAGGUUCCAAACAAUUACGAUCGAAAAAGCGAAGUGAAAGCUUUUGAUGAGACAAGGGAAGGCGUUAAGGGUCUUGUUGAUGCCGGGAUAGCCGAGGUUCCUAGAAUUUUUCAUCAACCACCACAAUUGGACGAUCAGUACUCCAUCAACAAUACAAGCACUGACUCAGAAGCCACCCAGUUUAGCAUUCCGCUAAUAGACCUUGAAGACCAUGGUAAUCCAACUAAGCGCAAUGAGAUUGUUGCAAAAGUUGGAGAGGCAUCAGAGACUUGGGGCUUCUUUCAAAUAGUGAAUCAUGGGAUACCUGUAGGUGUUCUGGAGGCGAUAAAGGAUGGGGUACGUGGGUUUUAUGAGCAGGACACUCGAGUCAAGAAAGAGUUUUACACUCGUGAUCACUCUAAACCUUUGUUUUACAAUAGCAACUUUGAUCUUUAUAGUUCACUGGCAACGAAUUGGAGGGAUACUUUUAAGUGUUACAUGGCUCCAUAUCCUCCUAAGCCAGAAGACUUGCCAGAAGUAUGCAGGUAUUUGACAACCCAAUUCUCUGGUUUAAUUGGUGACAUUAACCUGGUGCAGAUUCCUUCCUUGAUGGAUUAGAUCAUUAAACUCCAUACUUUUGACAAGUUUAAUGUGCUUUCCUGGUUUUCAACUUGCAGAGACGUACUGAUCGAGUAUUCAAAGCGAGUAAUGGAGUUGGGGAAAUUGUUGUUCGAGUUGUUGUCGGAGGCCCUUGGGCUAAAGCCAAGCCACUUGAAUAGCAUAGAUUGUAGUAAGGGGCUACAGGUUUUUAGGCCAUUUACUAUCCUGCUUGUCCACAGCCAGAGUUAACUUUGGGCACAAGCAAGCACGCUGAUGAUUCCUUCCUUACGGUCCUUCUGCAAGAUCAUAUUGGUGGUCUGCAAGUUGUUGAUCGUCAAAAGAAGUGGAUAGAUGUACCCCCUGUGCCUGGGGCUUUAGUGGUGAACAUUGGAGAUCUUUUACAAGUAAGCACACGUAUUACAAUUGCCCUUUUUUUUUUCUCCCUAAAAACUACUAUUAAAUUAAGAGAAUAGUAUCGUAAACUAAGCUAGUUUGUUAAUGACUAAUACUCGAGACAAGCUUUGGUCGCAUGUUAGCGUUUCUCUUAGAAUAUGUCUUAGAAUUCUUCGAUUAUCAUAAUUAGGUCUUUUAUGUUCAAUUCUUUUUGGGAUUUUCAGCUCAUAUCAAAUGAUAGAUUCAAAAGCGUAGAACACAGGGUAUUGGCGAACCGUGAAGGUCCAAGGAUAUCCAUUGCCAGCUUCUUUAGCACAGGUUUGCUACCAUUUACAAAUCUCUAUGGACCUAUUAAGGAGUUGGUAUCAGAAGACAACCCUCCAAAGUACAGGGAGACUACUGUGAGGGACUACGACACCCAUUUCUAUGACAAAGGCCUAGAUGGAACCUCUGCCUUAUCUCAUUUUAAGAUCCCAACUUAGACAUGGAGGAGCACAGACCGCAACGAACAAAUCCUGUCUACUAAAUAAUUUUGCAUGAAAAUAUAUAUUGGUUGUUUAAUCUGAAAGCGCUUUCGCACCACAAAAUUCUGGAUAUGCAUAUUAUUUUGUUUUCUGUUUGCAUAUGGUCUAAUAUACUUGUAGAAAGGGUUGGGCUUCUACCCAUGCAUCUCAGGUACAAACUUCCCCUCCUAUAAAUUAUUGUAAUAGUUUCGAACUCUCUAUCUUCCGCAAAAAAAUUUAAAAAGUAAAUAAAGAAGUAAAAUUUAAAAAAUAAAAGGGGGUUUUCUAACACUUUUAUUCAUCAUGUUUACAGUUUUUGUGGCAUGCUGCUUAGCGCUUAACGAAUUCAACUGUGGUUGUGGUUGCGGUUGCGGUUGCAUAUCAAUACUAUUAUACCAUAAGUGUGGGCUUGUUUGAGAAUGUUUUUAUUUGUAAGAAGCGGUUUUACACAAUUGUGUCGAAAACCUGUUAAAGUAUUUAUUAUAAUCCAACUGCUUCUUGGAGAAUCACUCUCCGUAAAGUCAGCUAAAAAAAGUAGCCAAUCCCGUCCAUCCUCCACACUAUAUAACCCGUACACGAAAGAGGAAGCUGAGGAGAAAGCAGCCAAAAAUGCUAAGAAGAUUAUAUUUUUAUACUAUAUUGAUGUAUGACAAGUGAUAUGUACAUUUCCGGUUGCAAAUUUUGGUUCGCCGGUGUAGUGCACAUGGGAGGGGAUUGUCUAGCAUUGUUCCAAGCAGUUAGAGGCGGUCGGUUGCGAUGAUGUGUUUUCUACGGCGAGAACAUACAGGAGUCAUCAGUUAUUCUCGCAACCGUCUUCCAUAAUGAAGGACGAGAGAGAAAAAAACGAAUGUAGAAAGAAAACAUACAAGUUGGUUGACAAAAGGGGAAGAAAAAUUGAGAGAUACAGAGAAUAAGAAAAGAAGAAAAUCGAUGCAAAUUUUAAUACAUAUGUAGUAGAUCCAGGUAUCCAAAGGAUUCGGGGCUAAUGUACCUGCAUUGGUGAAAAAACAAAGAUGAGAUUUUUGGAAACGCAUCACAUGGUAGUUAAAACAUCCGGCCGUAAAUGAAGGGUUUGAGAUACGGCCAUAAUGGCAUCCCUCAGGUGUGAGUUUCUCCAUCGGAUCACUUAUUGUAAGAAUAUCAGUAGUGAAAGUUAAAUACCCAUGUCAGGAAAGGAAGUCGAUGAUGACAGAAGAGAGAUUUGGCUUGAAAAAUGUAUGAUGUUUGCAACAUGCGUCACCGGAGUAUGAACUUGAAGCUCUCCCUCUCUCCGUCGUUAAAUGUUUCGUAAGCAGCAUUGUUAAAGUUCUCUAUGUCAGGGGGGAAUCUGAAGAUGGUUUUGAAUGAAGAAGAAUGGAAAAUAUAAUUUAGAAAAUGAGAAAGAAAAUUAUAAUUGAAACUUAAAAAAUGAGAAAUAUAAAAAGAGAUUUACUAUUUUCUAGGAGGUCUUGGAGUUGGCCGUGACUGUAUGAGAGGAUAAGCUAAGUUCCAAUGGAAAGUGGAAAUUUUCAGAGCGAGAGGGUAGCGGUUUUUUCGCUUGCUCUCUUGGACUUUGGGCUUUUGGAUUGGAUUGGGCCAAUUACUUACUUAGGCCCCAUCCCAACUUAUGACCUUUUGUCGGUCUGUAUUGACUCAUGAGUCAGACUUGUAAGGCUGUCUUUAAUAAGUUGCCGCGUUUUGUCAAAACUGGUCCAUCUAAUUACAAAAUUGUAACCAUAUUAGUUGAGUGCAUAUUCUAAAUCACAUUUAGUGAAUAUUCAGUACGGGUGACACGUGGUCAAACUUGUAAGGUUGUUCAAUAAGAAGUUAUCACGUUCUCAAGAGUGGAGCUAGAGGGGAGCAUUUCCCUACCAAAGUGUUUUCCUUGUCCCCUUUACAAGGGAUUUAUGUCACCAUUAGACAGGAGAUUUGAACACAAAACCUUGAAUUGAGAGGUAAACGCUAUUACAAAGCUUCUACGAGCACCUUCUUGUUUACCAAACUUAUUGAGACUAAAUGAGGCCUUAACGCUUAUAUCUUAGGUCUUAUGAGUGCUCGUAAUACACUAAAAUGACACUUGUUUUCUGGCCAGGACAGAAACAAAAUCAUGCAGGAAAUUGUCAUGAAAACUUAAGUGUAAAAUGUGACCGGAAGAACACUAAACAGGAUAGCUAUGCUCUCUUAGUGUAAACCUUAACAAGAAAGACCAUACCGUAUCUGUCACAGUGAUAUGCGACCAUAAGCCCAACUCCAAGGAUCACCUUUCCAAGAGCUUUGAAGGCUACAAAUCAAAAGUUACAUGCAGUGAUGACAUACUCAUGAAAAAAUACAAUCAUAAAUUGAAGGAAAACAUACCGACUUCUAGUUCUGGCAAUUCACUAUCGGGCCAUAUAUUUGAACCACAGUAUGAGGGAUACCUACAAUACAGAUCACAAAUAAAAUCUGAGCAGACACAAAGUAUUAUGUUCUGUUUACGCAAAAUCUGUCAGUUCUCAGAUAGGAUAAAUAAAGAUAAACAUAUCCGAGCAUAAAGACGAUUUGUCCUGGCUAAUUCUGAAAAACCUUGUAUCAAAUGUAUGAUAGUUAUUCAUAACUAGCACAAACAACAGUUUGGCCAAACAUUACUGGUCGAGCCAUAUACUGUGUGACCUCAGACAAAACAGAUCCCACAUGUACUCAGAUUAUGAUUGAUGUCCGUAUAGACUUUUACCUUUGAAUUAGAGAUUCAUCUGUUGUAGGGGUAUCCAAUAUUGGAUUUGCAUAAAACGAGCCUUUUAACGUAUCUGCAAAACCAGAACACAAACGGACAAUGAUUGAUCCUAAGUUCUUAGAGUUUCCAAAGAAACAAAAUUUAAAACAAAGAACAUAAAGUGAUAUCAGGCUUUCCAGAUUUCUUUUCCAUGACUCCAUCCAAAAUUUAUGAGUUAUGAAUGGAAUAAUGGAGCAAAAUAUCGUCGCCAAAACAGCGCAAUCUACAAUGUACAUGAUGGAGAAAGUACAGCAACAUUACAUUAAGUUCAUGUAACCUUUGGUUUCACAUGUAAGCCUUUGGUUUAUAUUUUUAACCGAUUCGUUAAUAAAUUCUUCCUGCACAUAUAGUUUCAACCCGAAACCGAAAAUUCCAUUGUCAAACAAAUAUGUAUAAUACCAGAAUUAAGUAAAUUACAACAUAUCACCAUACCGAUACUGAUGUGAUUCAGAAUUAAGCAUUUUUAACUUAUCAUAACUGGUAAUGGAAGAGAGAAUCAGUAAUUAACACUGGUGAUUCAGAAUUAAGCAUUUUUAACUUAUCAAAACGCGUAACGGAAUCAUACACGAGUGAUUGAUAGAAUUCCCAACCCAUUUGGUCCAAAUCCUUCUUCAAUCUUCACUGACAAGUCUUUGUCCUUGUCCUGUAUCAAUCAAUCCAAAAUCAAAAAACGCAAAACUAGAAAAAUUGAAUCCUCGACAUGAUCGACGAGUUAAAACAAAACUAUGAAUAAAACAAUUAUAUUCUGUUUGGUUGCUGAGAAAAUGAAGAGAAUAACAACCAAAAAGUCAACUGAAAUAAAAUUUUGCUCAACUUUCAACGAAUUCUCUUGAGUUUCUGACCACCCAAACAGAAAAUAAAUUAAAGCCAAUUAAACCAAACUCUCAUGCUCAAUUUUCUCGGCAACCACAAACAGAACUUAGAGGGGGGAGGAGAGAGUUACUUGGAGCUCGGAGUAGGAUAUGGUGACCGGUGUGACGGUGGGGACGGCGGGGUCGGAGGACGGAGGCAUAGUUCGACAAGAAAUUUGGCGGGAAACACGGCGGUUGGACUUUGACGGUGGGGAAGAAUCCGUGGGACAGAAGAGGAAUUUUGGUGCGGAAGGAGGCAUUUUAUAUAGGAGGGAGGGAGAGAGGUUGAGAGCGAAAGGCGUGAUUGUCAAUUUCUUUUUUUUUUUUAAGGAAUAAAGAAAGAAAAGAGGUUGAGCAUCAAUUGCUUUUCCCUCCAAACCAAAGAAUAUAGAGAGUUUUAACGAAAAGUCCACGAUACUAUUUACUUUAAUGAAAAAUUAUAUUUUUACACUAAAAAAUCAAACCUGCUAUUAUUCACUUUAACCUUUAUUUUGUCUUUAUCGUUGAAACUCAAAGUUUUCAAAUCAUUUUCAUUAGUUUUCCUAAGAAUAUAUUCACGAUCACGAUGUGCGGCAAAAAUUGGUGGUGAGGACAAAUAUAUUAAAUACAUGUAAGUAUUAGUUAAAUUUAAAAUUAUUUGUGUACUAUUAAGGAUUUGUUUGAAAGUGUUUUUAAAAUGAUUGAAAGUAAUUUUGGUUAAAAUGUUUUUUAUAUCAACUUUUAGUAAAACCAAGUGGAUCCCAAAAAAACAUUUGGUGUACUUUUUUACAAAAAAUGCAAUUUUAGAAUCCAAAAUUAAUUUAAUAAAAGUGGGUUUAGUCUUUUUUUAUUAUUUUUUAUUUUAACAAAGGAUAUAAUCUAUCUUGAAGGUGAGAGGGUAGACUUAACCUCACAAUGAGCUAGCACAUUAAUAAUGUGAUUCAAAUUCGCCUUUGCGAAAAUUGAAUUUAAGACCUCUCACUUACAAGUGAGGAGGAAUGCCUUAAAUCGUAGUACUAAGUAAUGUGUUUAAUCAUUUUUAAAAGACUUUAAAACGAGCCCUAAUUUGUAUCAAAUUAAAAAAUGUUGAAUUGGCCGGAUGUAAUAUGUAUUGGGUAUUUCCUCAUUCAAUAAUAUUUACGUUGUUUUCGGCAAAAAAAGAAAGAAUUCAAUUGGAAAAAAUAAAAAAAUGGGAAAUAAGGAUAUUCUAAUUAAGGUUUUUAUUCAUUGUUUUAGGUGGAUGGUUCAUAUGAAGAUUAUGAAACACUUUAAUUCUCUAAUGUGAGGUUCCGCCUCGAUCCAAAGUUAAACAGUGAAAAAUAUAAUUAAGAUUGUUAUUAAUUAUCAAUUCAUGUAUAUUUCCCCAUGUAUUACGUUUACUAAGUUAGACAAUGAAAAAUACAUAUAAGGCGUUACGAGAAUAUGCGUGGCUGUCAAGUCUGACACGCAAAUAGCAUGCUCAACUUGUAUUACUCCCUAAGGAUUUUAUCCAAAAUUGACGAUGAGUGAACAAGUUGAAAGAUUAUGCACUACUUUAAUUAUGUAACAAGUGAAGAGUCAAUAUUCGCCAACCCGACAAGUUCCACUUUUUGUUCAUUUUCUUGACGAAACAAUCACAUUUACCCUUACGAUUCCGGGCAUAGAGUAUGUGUUGGGUUCCGUUACAGUUCCAACACUACUUAGCACCGUAGAGAAGGAAAUAAAAAGACAACUUUGGAUUUCUUACAACGUAUUGAGUCUCUCUUCAUGGCUCUUGCUGUGUUGUUCUUAUCUCACGUCCUGUUUCUCGAGCUUGGUGUUUCCGGUUGCAAAUUUUGGUUCGCCGGUGUAGUGCUCAGGGGAGGGGACUGUGUCACAUUGUUCCAAGCAGACAGAGGCGGUUGACAACGAUUGCGAUAAUGUGUUUUUCUACGGGGAGAACAUACAGCAGUCAGCAGUUACCUUUUCACAACCGUCUUCAGUAUUUGGAGGCACCUCAAGAAAUUGUCGAGGACAGAAUGUAGAAAAGAACAAAUAUCGAAGUUGAUUGACAAAAGGGGACGAAAAAUUGAGAGAUACAAAAAAGAGGAAGAUAAGAAGAAAUUCGAUGCAAAUUUUAAGCUUGAUUAGUUAUUUUUCAUUAAUGAGCGAUACAGAGAAGAAGAAACAGCUGCAUUUGGAGAUAGCCGCUUUAGUUGCCUAGUUUGUAACAUUAGCUUUAUGUAAAUCCGGGGAAGAAACAGGAGUAAAAAAAACACAAUCAGGCAGUACCAAAGAAGAAAAAUGUACAGUUAGGAACAAUCACCACUUCUCAAACUUUGUAGUAGAUCCAGGUAUCCGAAGGACUCGGGGCUAAUGUACCUGCAUUAACCAGAAACAAAUAUCAGAUUUGUGGAAGGGAGUCGCAUAGUAGUUAAAAUACUUGGCCGUGCGUGAAUGGUUUGAGAUACCACCAUAGAGGCAUCCUCCAGGUGUGAGUUUCUCUCGUAUCCGAUAACUUAUUGUAAGAAUAUUAGCAGUGAAAAAGAAAUACCUGUGUCGGGAAAGGAAGUCAAUGACAAAAAAGCAAUUUGGCUUGAAACAUUGUGUCCCCGUAUGGAGCUUGCAACAUGCAUCACGGAAUCAACUUGAAGCUCUCCACCUCUCCAUCUGUUAUGUUUCAUAAGCAGCAUUGUUAAAGUUCCAUCUGUUUGUGGGGAUAUACCUACAGAUCCUCCUCCUGGAUUCUUUGCCUCUAUACGUGAAAACCCAACAUCUGGGAACAAACAAAUUACAUUCUCUGGCAUAGCAAGAACAGUCCUCUGAAAUGUAUCCAUACAAAGUUAGGACACAACAAAUUCAAUAAGGCAAUGUAAUUCACAACAUUGACAAUCUCUGUCUGACAAGGCAAUAAUACCUCUGUAAUGAUCCGGUAGCGACCGUGACCUGAUAGGCCAAUACCAAAGCCCACUGUUAUGCCAUCCAUGAAGCUUAUAUGGGCUUCUUGAACUCAGAGAGUUUGCAUAUUAGAGAAUACUCAGCAGUGAAUACCUGAAAAACGUGCAGCACAAAUAUCAUAUCGGCAGCCUCUCAAAUCUUAAGAAAACUACAAAUGGUAUCUUAGAAUAGAAAUGAAUCCUCUCCAACCAAUACAAAUCAUAUUACCCAAGUUCAAGCAAAAUCAAGAUUAAACAAAUGAUCAGAUUUGUAGGUUGCCCGAGAAUGUCAAACAUGAUAUUACAAAAGAAAAAAAAAUAUUGUAUGUAUUGAUAUUAAUAAAUACAUGCUGAAAGCACAAUCUUAGCCGCAAUUUUCGCCCAUGAGCGGUAGGUCUCGGGUUCGAGACUUGGGAGCAGCCUCUCCAUAAAUUGGGGUAAGGCUAGCCGACAUUCACCUCUCCCAGACCCUGCGUAAAGCGGGAGCCUUGUGCACUGGGUACGACCUUUUUUUUUAUACGAGAUUGAAUAGCCAAAGCAAUUAAAGAAGUAGCAGAACUCAUAUAAGUGACUUUCACAUUGAACUUUUAGGCUUAUCAACAAAUACAUCAUUAUGAUUCUAAUACAUGAAUUUUGUUAAAAGGGCUUGCUUGCUUGUAUUAAGGCUUAAUCAUCAAUGAUUUUGCAAGGGUCAAUCGUAUUGCUAGUUAUAAAUAUAUUCACUAUGAAAAUUACCAAAAUUACAUCUAAUAUGGUAGUGAAGGAAGUCAUCUUAUAUUAUCUUGAUUUUAGAAAACUGUGUAAGGUUAUAAGUCUGCUAUUAUAUAUAGUUAAAAGGACACAAUUAGACCUCAAUCAUAUUCGGUGGUUGGUUUUUGGUCGUGAUCUGCUUCACAUCACCGCCUGCAGGUAAUCUAAAUCUGGGUUAUUACUUAUCAACAUAGUUGCCAGAUACGGAUACAGUUCGAGUUCCUGAUUCGGUUCGGGUACGGAAUUCGAUGGUAACCUAAAGUAUCAUUCGUUAGAGAGUAUACAUAGACAGCACGAUAUUUAGUUCGAUCCGUUCUUAAUUCGUUAAAAAUAUAAAUUAAAAAUAUUUAUAAUAUACAUUUUACAAUAAUAUUUAUAGUUAUUGUAAACAACUAUUUUUGUUUAAAUUGAUUAUUUUAUAAGCAACUAGUUAUUUACCCAGAUGGGUCCCCCCCCCCCACUAACACAAUAAAAAAAUGUAAAAAUUACAAUUAAACUAAACAUUUUCUCUUCGUCUGCCCUCUACCUGAUGGAGAGCUUCCCAAAAUUCCAGUUGUUUCCAUCCUCUCUUCUCAAAAAAUUAAAGGUGUUUUUUCUUUUCUGUAUUCUGAUUAAAAAUUAUUAAAGAUUAUUGGAUGAAUCACCGAACUGACCACCGAAUCCAAAAAGUACUGGUGCGUACGUACCGAUACGGGAUUCGGACACCAUUUCACCGAAUCCGGCAACUAUGCUUAUCAAUGAAUCAACGUGCCAACUUAAUGGACACCAUCUAUCUCUAUAUGGCAAAAAAACAACACAAAAAUGAACAAUGAAGUGAAACAAUAAACAACAUGACGUGAAACAGCAUGAACAUCAAAGACUAACUUUGGUUCAAAGCAAAGCGUAAUGUAGAAACCUUCGGCAGAACAGGGGUGUUUUUGUCCUUUUGAAACAACCACUUUAAUAUCCUUUCCUGCAUUUACCAUGAUUGGUCACUCUUAAAACCUUACCUAAGAGACCCAAAAACAAAAAUAACCGCCGAAAGAGCUAAACAUACAUAUCUAGAAAAACUUAUUUAACUGCAUGCUAAAAUGGAAGUGUAAAAUUGCCAGGAAAGAUAAGAAACUAUUCAAAUACGAGUUCUGGGCGUUACCGCCACAAAAGGCACGACCCGAGCGGCUAUCAACAAGAACACACUUCACAUUUGUGUCAGCUUCCCCUUCAUCUAGAUAGCUCUUGUAUUUCACAUCCAUAUCUGCAUUUUCCAACAAUUCCCACUUAAACUGAAACACAUAAUUCUUUGGAAAAAAGCUAACUUCUUCGAAAUUUGAAUCCAACGUUUCGUCUUAUAACAAAUGCAAUACCAUAGAUUUGUAAUCAAUACGAUGCCAUAAAGUUCAAGCUCAAAAAUUCAAAUCAGCUCCAAAUCAAAAGCAUUUACAGAUACAUACAUAUAUACAUGUGCGUGUGUGUGUGUUUAUCUACAUACCUAGGUUCAUGGCGUUGAGAGCUCGGGGGGCGACCGAGGGUGAUGACGGCGACGCCAAUUGGGUGGAUGCUGCUCUUGACGAACGCGUCGGCGGCGGCCAUGAUCCCGAAGGGGCGGAGGAGGCGAGGGGAUUUGGAGGGUUUGUAAAGAGGGAGGUUCGAAUUUGGAUUGAGGAAGAAGAAAGCGGACGACGAUUUGCUCAGAAUUUGGGUCGCUCCUCCCAAUAAGCUUCCCAUUACUUCCGUUCGAGAGUGACUCUGUCAGUGUAGAGAGAGAUAUAAUUUUUGUGCUUCUAGACCGGACUACCCUUGAUAUUUCGAUUAAAUUACCGGGAAAAAAGAACUGCCGCGGUGGCUCCAGAGGGAAACUUGAAAUUUGAAAGAAAUUUGAAAGAAAUAUGAAAUAUGGACUUGCCUUCAUUUAUCGAACUGAUUGUGAUGAUGACGAUGCAUCACCACCUUGAUUGUGCCUCUGGAUCAAAAACACAUCUUCAGGAUCAAAACCGUGCAUAUUUUCCUUCAGAGGUUUGUCCCAUACUAGAUUAACCCCUGUUCCCUUAAUUGUCACAUAAUGAAUUUUUUUGAAUGCCUCUGGCAUUUCAAAAGUUACAUCAACUUUAUCCCCGCUUUGCAAAUUGAGCUUAUCGUUCGAUAUUUGUCCUUGCCAAAGAAAACAUUCUUUAAAUACAAUAUCGCGCAUUUUUAUAACCCAAUCUUCCUUGCUUAUGCAGGUGUGCAACUCGAUACGCUUGGUAUUAUUUAUAUCAAUACUGGCACGAUGAUGACCAUUCCAUCUGAUACAAGUUCUUGGCUGAUAAGGAUUGAAGCAGUAAAGGCAUAACAGAGUCAGCCCUUCAAACUUACGACCAUCACUCAGGGGGAUAUCAAAACUGACUUUAUUACCAUCGUUGACAAACUCGAACCAAUCAGGAACAUAAUUCCCAUUGAGAAAAAUGCCACCAUAUCCGCAAGAAGUCCAUCCCUAUAUACACAGUGCAAGUGUCAUAUAUAUAUACAUGUACAUGUGCGUUGUGUGUGUGCAUGUGCCCAAUAGGAAGACAAUUAAAAAGAGAGAUACCUUUAGGAUGUUCCUCCUUAAAUCAAUCCUGAGUUUGGUGCAGUUACUCAUAUCAAUCCAUGUCAUGGAGUUUAAUGACUUAUCCAAGUCUGGAACCUCAGUGAGUGCGUGUGAAUCACUUACAUCCAGUUCUCUCAUAUUCGACAUUUUCGAAAAAUUGGGCAUUGUUACCAAACAAUAGCAACUAGAUGCACCCAGAAAUUUCAAAUUUGUUGGUAAAUCAUAGAUUGUAUGAAGGUAACGGCAGUUACUUAACUGCAAACUUUCAAGAUUUGAAAGAUCACUGAGGAUGGGUAGGGUAUGAAAAUAAUUACCCGAAAGAUUCAAACCUUGUAAAGAAAUUAGACUCCCAAAACCUUUUGGGAAUGCAUCAUCGCUUAAUCUGCACCAUGAGAUCUAAAUUUCUUAAAGAAUCUAAGCCGUGUAACGAAUCGGGAAAUUGCAAAGGAAACUUCGAUUGCACACGCUCUAGAGAUAAAUAAGUGAGAUUUUUCAAUCUUACUGUGGAACGCGGUACUUGUCUUAUGGCUGUGGUAGAUGCUCUAAGUUCUCUCAAUGAUGUCAUCUUCCCUAAAUCCUCGGGCAGUUCACUGAAUUGACAACAUAGAUAAAGAUCAAGAAUCUGAACGGAUUUGGACUCGUAGAAAUCCCCAGGAAGAGAAUUAAGAUUCUUGCAGGCUAUGAAGUUCACAAAAGAGAGUUUUUUAAGAUGACCAAUGGAGGGGUGAAUCUCGGACAAUCUCUCACACCUUUCCAAUAUCAAAUCUUCAAGAUUUGGGAGAUUUGAUAAGUCUGGUGAUUUUUUUAAGUCCUGGCAAUAACUGAGAUUAAGGAUUUUCAAGUUUCCAAGCGACUGUUGCAAAAUCAAAGGAAUAUUAAAAUUAAUAUCCAAAAGGAAUAUCUCAUAUAAAAAAGAGAAGUAAAUAAAAAAAACAAAUAGAAACAUAACAUCAUGAUGUGUAAUCGAUUGUACCUUGGAGCCCUCCCAAACUUGUACCAGUUUGCUAUUCGUUAUCUCUAAAAUAACUAGUCUUGGUUGAUCAAAGAAGUCAUCUGGUAUAGACUUUAAGGGGCAUCCUUCCCAAAGCAACCAUAUUAACUCUUUGGGGAGAUGUUUGUAUUCUCCAUUGAGCUGCACGUUGUAGAGCCUGAGCAGUCUCAGUUUCUUCAUGAUGGCAAAUGCUUCUGUACUGAAACUAGGCAUGUUAGAGCUUGGAGGCAAAGAAGGGAAAUAUGGUGCUAGCCAUUCAGGGAAAGGAGGGAAAUAUAGUGCUAGUCCUUCAACUUCUUCAGUUCCCUGUUAACAAAAGGUUAUAUUAAUGUGUAAGAAACGGAUUAUUUGCAUACGUUUACAUGUAUGAGUACAUGCAAGUACUAUCGUUGGCUAAUUGAGAUGAAUGUUACUUAUUGUAUAAUUCACACCCGUGAGUUAUAUGUGCUUUUCGUGUACAAUGCAUUAAUUCAGAAUUUUAUUGGGAAUGUACUUACAGAUUUAUCUCUCAAUACAUUAGUGACAUCUUGAUGGUUCCACAACCUACUCCAUUCUCUAGGGGGACGACGGUAAUUACCAGAAAUGAUUACUUUGGCCAUUUCUCGAAGCAAAUCAUGCAUAUUCAACUUGUUGUCUUCAACAGUUAUAAGGCAUCGUUCACGGAGGUCAUUGAUUCCUAUUGUUGCAAAAAAGUUACAUCCAUCUAAUAUUUUUGCGACAUAAUCCUUUUUCCAUCCAAUAAAGAAACAAGAUAUGUCAAGGAAUAUAUCCCUCUGGGUAGGAUCUAGCCUUUCAAAGCUUACUCUUAGCGGUUUCAUUAUUCCUUCAUUAGGAAUUUUUUUCAAUUUCUCCAACUGGCUUUUCCACUCUGUUGGGGAUCUUUCAACCAUAGAAGAACCUAAAACUUCAAGGGCUAGUGGCAAACCACCACAGUAAGAAACAACCUCUUUUGAGAGUUCAAGAUAUCCUUCAUUAGGCCUACUAUUUCCAAAGGCAUGCCAACUAAAGAGCUUCAGAGCUUCUUCUUCAUUCAUUUCCUUAAGUGGAUAUGUCUUGUCCACUUUCAUGUUCACUUGCUUUAGUAAACGUUCAUCUCGUGUCGUUAUGAUAAUUCUACUUCCUGGGCCAAACCAAUCACGAUUUCCAGCUAUUGCAUUUAGUUGUUCCACUUUGUCUACAUUGUCAAUAAUGACAAGUACGCUUCUACGUUGGAGAUGAUUUUUUAUCAGACUGAUACCUUCAUCAACACUGGUUAUCUUAGACUUGUUCCGUUUCAAGAUGUCAGAAACAAGUUUGCCUUGCAAAUCAGCCAGAUCAUAUUCACUAACGUUGGCAAGGAAGCUUUUGAAUUGGAACUUAUGAUGAAUUUGGUUAUAAAUGGCUUUGGCAGCUGUUGUUUUACCCAAUCCGCCCAUCCCCCAAAUUCCAACCAUGCGAACUUCUGAUCCACCACUUGAAAGAUAACUGAUAAUAUCUUGAACGCGAGAAUUGAUUCCAACCGGGUGCUUGGCCACAUGUAAUUUGUUUGUGCUUAGAAGCCAUUCCGGAAUAAUCUUAUCAACAAUUUCUCUAAUCAGCUGUGCUUCGCACCUGAAAAUUGAAUUGGUAAGCUUAGUAGGCUUAGUAGGAGCCAUUAGAACAUAAACAAUUUUCCUUCUUUCCUUCGUGUGUGUGUGUAUACACACACACACACACACAAUAACUAGCUACUAGCUAAUAUGUGAUUUUGUGACCAACUUGAAUAGAAGAAACAAUUUCAUGCAUUGAUUUAUUAAAGUUUGGUGUAUCAAUUAAACUCCAAUUAUGGUUUAGAUUUUAAAGGAAAUUGGAGAAAUGGUCCCUGAACUAUGAUCAAAUUGUGGCUUUGGUUCUUAAAACUUUAAAUUAUUAAAGUUAACUCUCUCCCACCUCCCUCCCACCUCACCUCCUCCAAACCCCAGCCACACCAUUGUAGCACUUUCCCAACAGCCAAAACAAAAGAAAGUUUCUAAUCCAAAUUUGGAACACAUCUCCCCUUGCAAACAAAUUCACAAUGACAUCCAUCCACGCUAUCUCGAAAGGUAAAAUUCAAGAAAUUUGUGGGAUGCGGGAUCGGGGUUAAAGUGAAGGCUGUGGUCCAUGGGCUAUAGGUUGGGGCCGGCUGGGGAGUGGGGAUUAGGGAUUGGGGGUUGGAAGUGGGACGUUGACGAGGUGUGAAUCAACGAUUGAAGGUGAAGGGGUGGGCUGCGAGCCUGCGAAUGUUGGUGGGACGAGGUAGGCCUGCAAUUAUAUAUAUAUAUAUAUAUAUAUAUAGGUGAAACUAACAUGUAAAGUUGUAAACACUUUCAACUAAAACUUAAAGAUAUUGGUUACGAAGGACUAACGCUCCAUAUUAUCAAGUUCAAGGACAAAAUAUAAUGAAUUUUUAGUUUAGGAACCAAACUACAAUUUUCCUGUAGAUUUUAAAUGAGAGAUUAAGGUGUAUUAAUUAAGCAUGUUAAUUAGAGUAAUACAACUUAAAUAUUGAAAUGUAGGAGAAUGAUUACCUAUUAUCAGUGAUUUGAAGAUGGUGGCCAGACAAAUUUGCAGCUUUUGUAAGAGCCUCUCCCCACUGCUUUACCCCUUGUUUAGCUUCACGUUUCUUGUCAUCCUUUUCUUCACCGAUGCCUUCUUUGUGCUUCUGAAAUUCUUCGGCCAACUUUGCAGCUGUUGUAAGAGCCUUUCUCCACUGCUUUACCCUUUCUCGUUUAUCUUCACGUUCCUUGUCAUCUUUUUCUUCACGGAUGUCUUGUUUGUGCUUCUUAAACGCUUGGGCUAAAACUCCGUUCUGCUUCCUGACAUGUGAAGGAUCAACAUGAUAGAAUAUUGGCAAAACAUGUCGCCCCAGUUUGUCUCUGCACUCCAUGAUCUUCACCAGCUCGUUAAGACACCAACUCGAAUCCGCAUACCUCUCUGAGAAGACAAUGAUAGAGAUCUUCGAUUCUUCGAUUGCCUGGAACAGUUCUUUUUGUAUUUCUUCCCCUCUUUCUAGAUCAUCCUCAUCGAUAUAAGCCUGGUAUCCCUUGUCUGUUAAUGCCGCAUGGAGGUGGCCCGUGAAACCAUUGCGUGUGUCUACACCGCUGAAGCUCAAGAACACGUCGUAAUUCCAAAGUUUUGACUUGGAGGAGAAUGAAGAGGAGGCUUCGUGGGUUGUCAUGGUGGUAUCCACCGUUAUGGCACUGUAGUUGUUCAGAUCACGACUAAAAAAUGGCAGUAGUUGUGUUCAUACUGUCGAACGGAUGAUCCUGAAAUACCUAAACCCAAGUCAAGCUCCUUCAGUCAACAAGAACAAAUAUUAUAUAUAAUAAUGUUGGCCGGAAGGUGCAGAGAAAGGGAGAGGAAAAGAGAUAAGAAAGGAACGAAAGGAAUGAAAGGACAAAGACUAUCCAAAAGAUUCUUGGCUGUGAUUACAGCUAUUCAUAGGAGAAACAACGGACAUAUUUUUAUAGGAGAAACAACCUGCCCAUCUUCAUAUAUAAUGCAUUUCAAUAGGAGAAACAACUUUAGUUUGUACUAGAAUUUUUUACCCGCGCGUUGCUGUGGGAUUUGAAAUUGUAUGAAAGAUUAUCUUUGAAAUAUAUAAUAGAUUGUGUGAUCGAAGAUUAAUACUAUUUACAUUGCAAAUGUUGAAAAAAGUUUUACAUACAAAAGAUUUUACGAUACAAUCCACAUACAAAAGAUGGUAAAUUUUUUUCUAUCUACAACAUGCAUUAUGUUAUGGAAUGAUAUAUAUAACUAAGUGCCAGAAUACAUAACUUCAUAACUUAUAUUUUUUUUGACAAAUUAAUCACAUUCAACUGUGGGAUAGCAAGGUUGCCUAUAAAAUUGUGAAGUCAUGGAAGCAUAAAGGACAAAUAACAAAUGAGUUUUGAGAAAUUAUUCCACAAAUGUCAUUCUGCAAAAUGUAUUAAAGACGAUUGGUAUAAGAUUAGUAAUCAUGAGUAGUGUAACAACAUCAACAAAGUAACUAUAAACCAUAGUUGAACAUAAUCCAAAUAUCGUUUGCAAAAACAAAAGAAAAAGAAAACAGACUUACAAUAAUUCAGCCUUCAAUCCUGAAGUCCUACUCAAAGAGCCAAACUUGAAUGCAAGCUUUCUGAAAUCUUCCAAACAAUACAGAUAAAAAGGUAACACCCUAGUCAGAAAUGAACCGAGCUGCUAGCUUUCAAAGAAACCCAGAUGACAAAAUAAAAAAAUAGAAUGGAAAAAUGACUUGCACAUUUAAGGCUUGCUCGAAUCUUGAUCUAAAAUUGGUGGCGGGUUGAUUGUUGGUCACCAACUCUAAAUAAAGAAUUCAUCAGAACCUAGAAAUUUAAACAAAGAAUUUUCCAAAAUCAACAUUUACUAAAAACCAGUUACUUGGUUAUCAUGCAUGAUGGCUUGCCAAAGACUGAAUUAAGGAAUGCACAACUUUACUUUUAUGAUUAUUUUCAAUGACAGCUAAAAGGUCAGAUCCAAAUGACAGUUAAAUUCCUUUUCUACAAAGUUCGAAAUUAUAUGGCAGUUUGGCAUCUGUUGAAUAACAUGGUUGAAAGAUUUAAAAUUGAUACAUUCAAUUUUUAUGUGUAAAACUAUAACAUAUACCUAAAGCUAUUUGGUCUAUAUAUCCAUAUCAAUCAUGUUGUAAUUAAAUGUUUAUCGAUGUAAAUAGAUGAUUUCAGUCAUGUGAUAACAUGUUUCUUGAUGGUAUACGCUGAAGUUUGGUCUAAGUUGGAUAAAAAUCGACCAAAAUCUUAGUAAGAGACUCUUUUAACUUUUAACCAAAAAAUGAGCACCACAAUACUACACUUAUAAGUUUUUAUCAUGCACAAAAUAUACAGCACUGAUAGCCACUUUUAGAGCAAGAACAAUACUUUACCAGACGAAAACAACAAAACACUCAAAACCCAGAAACAAAAACACACUUAGGACUCAAACUCCUCAAAAACAUGAGAAAGAGAGUGCGUGAGGAGAGAGAAUAAAAAAAAAUAUUAUUUUUCACAAACUCAAAAUUGUUUAUAAAAUUACAAAUCAAAACAAAUGAAAAUCCAAAAUUGCCCUAAAUUAAAUCUGUUUAGUUAAAUGUUUAUUGCCCUUCAAAUGUUAUUACACCUGACAAUUGCUUUGAAGUUGAUAUUUUGGUCAAUCCAGGGGAAAAGGAGUUAUUGCUUUUGGAGCAGUUGUCAUGGAGAAUCCCAUCUCCAUGUUAAAUAAAAAAAGGUCGUACCCAGUGCACAAGGCUCCCGCUUUACGCAGGGUCUGGGAGAGGUGAAUGUCGGCUAGCCUUACCCCAUUUUAUGGAGAGGCUGCUCCCAACUCUCGAACCCGAGACCUACCGCUUAUGGGCGAAGACACUUGCCAUCGCACCAAGUGGCCACAAUAAUUUAGGAGGCCCUUCUCUCCAGAUUUUCUCAAUAACUUUCCUUUUCGUAGCUGGUAAGAUUGCAACUCCAAGAAUUGCUCUGAAGAGAUAUAUACAAACAAAAUCAAACUAAAACUAAGCUAUUGGAAGAAAUUUACAAAACAAAAACACAAUUUCAACUCAGAGUUAAAGUCAACAGAAACCAAAUGGUACAAGUUGACAAAAUAUAUGGUCAUGAAUCGAGAACUUCAUCAAACUAACAGCAAUAAAAUCUCCUAUAAUCUGUCUAAAACCAAAAAAGAGAGAGGUAAUUUCAAGACCUUGUAACGCUGAGGCCUCGUACAGUUGUAGUAAUAAUAUAUGGUUGAUGCACCUGUUGCUCAAUCAAAUCCUUUGUCUGGCUAAAAAAAUAAAAAUCUAUAAAUACAUUCACGUCCAAUUUAUGAGAAAUCAUGGGAAAGCAAAUGCACUGAUAACGGAAUCAUGAAUAUGAAGAACUUGCCAAAAAGAAAAAGAAAACUUCUUGUAGUGUGCCAAGAACAUCCUCCUACUCCUAGCAAAUUUUUUAUGGCAUUAUCCACUUCUCAAUUCAUAAUUCAACCAGUAACUCAAAGUCUAUAGUGUAUGAAAAAGUGAUAUCUUAGUUGAUCUCGAUGAUAAUUAAGUAGAUUAAAUGACGACCCAUAAAGCAUACAAAUUCAGAAAAGAAAAGGUUGAAAACUGCCAUAAGAAAACGCAGAAUAUAUAAAUGGGAAAUCAAAAGAAGAGAAGCGAAAAAGGAAGAAAAAACCAAACAAAAUUAUUAGGUUUGGGAUAUACCUUUAUCCGAAAGGCCACAACCAUCAAAGUCAAACAUAAACAAUCCAAAAAUUUGUGGAAAAUAACAAUAAAUGCUUAACUAAAAAUGAAAGAAAACGUAGAAUAAGUUUACCUGUUCUCCCCCUAAUUAAACUGGAAUACAAUUCACCACUAAUAUUCUUGUCAUCCUCUUCAGCCUGAAAAAUUUAGUAGAAAUAUUCAAUGAAGACGCUUAAUGGAGACAGUAAUAUUAGCAAUGGAGGAAUUGAAUUGAUAACUAAAACUGCAAGACCAAAUGACUACAAUAGGUUCAAAACAGAAACUCGUCUGUUAGAUGUCUCAUCUUUAGGCAGUGCCUUGUUCUUUGUUGCAUGUCUUGUGAAGUUCAUGUAAAUCAACAAAAUUGAUACUUUGGACACACCAACAAUGGAGAGGUAAAAAGUGAAAAACAGAAGGAAUGUCUUCAGAUUUGUAAUGGAUUUUGCAAGUCAGAAAUUCUGUUCGAGAAUUUGCAACCCAGAAAGUCCACCAGCAAUUAUUAACAAUCACAGAUAAGCACCGAAUGAAGGCCAAUCUAAUACAACAACAACAACAACAACAACAAAGCCUUUUCCCACUAAGUGCGGUCGGCUUGAAGGCCAAUCUAAUACGCCAAAAUAUUCAGGGCACUAAAGAACUUAUUGCCCAGUAUCAACGAUAGAUAAGCACAUGUGAAACUAAAGAAAUUUUUCAUUACUAUCAACUCCAAAAAAGAUAACCUAUGCAAUCCAAAAAAUGUUGAUACAGAGUUGGAGUAUCGAUGCUUGAAAUUGGUAUUUGAACCACCAACUACCUCCGUGAAUAUGUUUGUUUGCUUAAUGGUUUGGGUUGAAGUUGCGAAAGGAAAUAUAAUUUCUUAAAAGGAGAGAAUGCAGAGACAAUACAGAAUGGUUCACGUGGCCACCUCAAAACAGAUUGACAAUUAAGCUUCAUUAUGAAUGGAAAGAUUAAUAGAUGAUAAUUAAGAAGGCCUGAUACCCAAGCCGAAAUCAGAGAUAUCCUUUGUAAACAAAGAGAUUGAGCAUUUCCACUAAAAAAUAACCUUUUUUGUGAGGGGUGGGAUUGGGUGGAAGGCUAGAUAAAGACAUCAAAUUUUAUACUUAUUGCAUGCAAGGUAUGCAACAGCCUCCCGCCGAUUAAAAAUCCCAGAAAUAAAAGAAAUCGAAUCAAGAAAGAAGAUAAUUGCACAAUAAUUACACCUUCACUAAGAAAAUAAAUUAUAAAAUCGAAGACCGUGAGAAUAAUGUCUUAUACAUUAAGCCUGCCAAUUACUAAAAACAAAACAUUUUGCCAUGAGGAGAAGUAAGAACAUACCCAAACUUGUUUGCAAAUAGAUGAGAAAAAUUUAUACCUGAAACAGAUGGAAAAUUUAUUAGGAAAGAUAAAUCAGCCCACAUGUGUGUAAUCUAUAUACAAAAAACCACUCUUUUCAUUAACCAAAUCGUUUCACAAAUCCAAAAACACAGAAUUAUAUCUUGAACAAUGCCAAUUAAUGAUUUCCCAUUUACUUAAGCCCAACAUCAAAGCCAAUGAACUGAUGAAAGAGCGAAAAUGAGAAACAUAAAACCUCAAUUAAGCAAUUAAAUGGAGUAUUACUUGAUAGAGCUGGAAAAUUACCCAGUAAGAUUAAAAAAAAGAGAGAUGAGAUGGAGUGAGAAUCACAUACCGGCAUCACCUUUAAAUAUGUAGUGCUCCUCAGAGAGAGGAUCAAGAGUGACUGAUGAGAGGGCAGAGAACGAAUGAUUGAGAAAUUCAAGCUCUGAGCUCAAAGUUGGGGCCUCCACUUUCCAACUGGGGAAGAAAUAACAGAGAAAACACAGAGAGCCAAUCCACCAAAACUAUUAAUCAAAUGGGUUCCGUCUAAUUCAAAAUUUGGACCACCCAAAUUCCGAUGAAGCAAUAACCAUUCAAAAUUCCAACAGAUUGAAGCCCUCACAGACUACAAAUUAUCAAUACCCAGCAAUAAAAAAUUUGAAAACAGUAAUAAUGAAGGAAAAAGAAAUUAAAGCCGCAAGCCAUUCUCUAAAUCUCAGGCACCAAUCCAAAUCACCAGUAAUUUGCACAUAAUGAUAAGAAUCUAGCAGUAUUUCCAUUGUUUAAAACCCAAAUUCAAGAAAUCAUGAAAAAUGGAAACUUUAUAUAGAAAUUGAAGCUUUACCUGCAGAUCAGCAGCAGCAAACGGAAUCCAACGGCAUGUACCUCAAAAGUGAGAGAGAGCUGAGAGAUGAGUAAGAGAAUCGGUAAACAAAACCCCCAAAAUCACAGAAGGAAAUUUAAACAGAAAACAAAUUUGCAAAUCCAAAAUCACAAAAACGAAAUUGAAACACGAAAGCUGUAAAACUGACCAGGAACGCUAGCUUUUCUGGGUAAAAACUUUAUUCGAAUCGAAUAGAAGAACCGAGGAAAGUUCUACUGGUUCAGUGGUUAUUCCAGCAAGAAAGCACCUUGUUUGUAAUUCGUGAGAGGUUGGAACUUGGAGAGCGAGAGAAGCCGAUUUGGGAGCCAAAGAAAGCGAGGUUGGAGAACGACGGAAGCUGAGAAUUGCGAGAGAGAAAAACGAAAAGGAAAGGAAAAGCGGAGAAAAAGUCACGAUUAUCGAAGCGUGCGAAAAUGAACGGGGAAUGGGGAUCUGGCUGAGGGAGACAGAAUUCGAGAAAGCGGAAUGAAGAGAAUCGAGAAGAGGAGGAAUCAUUUUAAGCGGAUGAUCGACGCGUGGGAAGUAAACUAUUAUUUACAAAUCUAAAGCAUUACCCGAACUUAUAAUACAAUAGCUACUUUGACAGAAGAAAAGAUGGAGAGUGAGAUGAUUGCAUUCCUUUUCAAAACAACUUUUAAGAUUCCAUAAUAAACUAAUAUAUAUGAAGAUGUGCCCCGUGGUAAAAGAGAGGAAGGAAAGAUUAUCAAAAGUUUAUUGUUCGUGAAUCGUGAUUACAGCUAUUCAACUUUUGUAAAUUUUCUUAACAUGAGUGAGAUUUGCAUUCUUUUUCAACCGAACUUCUUUUGAUUUCAUAAUAGAUUAUUAUACGAAGGAUAAAUGCUUAACAGAUUCUCUCAAAAUCGAUGCUUUUCAUGAACUUUUUAGCUAUCUUAUGUUUUUAGACUUAAUUACACUAACACUUUCUGUGGUUUAAGAUAGUCUUACGUUUGAAAUAUUACACUAACAUCCUUUUAAUGUAAUGUCUCAAACGUAAAGGAAUUUUGUGAAAACUCGACUAACUUUAGGAGUGUUAGUGUAAUUAAUCUAUUUUGUGCAAAUAUUGUAAAAUAUUUUACCAAAUACAUUAAGAGCUCGUUUUGAUGUGUUUUUAAAAUGACUAAAAACGUUUUUAAAUAAAAUAUUUUUUUGUUCCAAAAGCACUUAAAUUGUUUUAUGCAAGAAGCACCAGUUAUGUGCUUAUUCCAGAAAGCACUUUAAAUGUUUUUCUAGAAUUUACUUACAUUUUUAUUAAGGAUUGGUUUAAAAAACAUUUUCACAAAAAACGUUUUCAGUUAUUUUAAAAACACAUCCAAACAAGCACUAAGUAGCGGAUAGUUUAUAGACACUUUCACUUUAAAAAGUAGGGAACUUUAACGAAAAGCACCCGGUACUGUUCACUUUAACGAAAAACCAUAUUUUUACACUAAAAAAUCAAUCUUGGUACUAUUCACUUUACCCUUUAUUUUGUUCUUAUCAUUAAAACUCAAAAUUUUCAAGCCAUUUUCAUUAGUUUUCUUUAAAAAGUAUUCUUGCAUAUUUCUAACAGACAUGUACGGUGGAAAAAGAUCACUUCAUAAUUAAAUAUUAUGUUGUUGAUUACGCCUCUCUCUAUUUGAUUAAGUUUCUUUUCACUCUUCUCUAAAAAAUAAUGGUUUCUUUUCACAUUAUUAAACCGUUGUAAAGUAAACUUUUUUUUUGUAAAAGUGUUUUUAAUUAAAAAAAGUAAUGUCAAAGUGUUUGGUAAAUUUUUAUAUAAAUUACUUUGAAUAUAUUAAAUAACUAUAAAAUAUAUACUAUUUAAUGUGAUAUAAUAAUUGUCAAAGACAAUAAUGUAUGAGCAAAAAUUGUAAUUUGUAAAACAUGUAGAGGUAUACUAUUUGAAAAGUUCAUUAAAUGAGCGUUAAUUAUUAUACUUUGAAAAAGAAAAAAAAAUAUACUUUUUUAGAAGCAUAGUACACCCUACUUCUCAUUUUCUGUACUUUUUUCUACUUUUAUUGACAGUAGUUUAAUAAGUUGCUUUCUUUGAGAGUACUCAAACCAAUCCUUAAUAAGUGACCAUUUUGAACUUUCUUGGCGCCAUCGGUGUGGAGGGAGAGAAAAGAAACUAGCGCAAAACUACAGACACUCGAUUCGUUGUAAUAUAUAAUAAAAAAUAAUAGUCACGUAUAAAAUAUGGUACAAUUAUAGUUCUGGCAUAUGUCUCUACCAAAGAUAAUCGCCGUGUCUUUCAAAUUUGUUGUUAAAUUGGGGACAACAUGAAGAUUUUCACACUAAUCUAAGUACAACGUUUCAAACCUUGAAAGACCACUAAAGCUUUGAAAAGUCUGGUGAUUUUGUUAGGUCAUGUGAAUGACUGAAAUUAUCGAUUUUCAACUUCCCAAGCAACUAUUACACAAAAUAUAAUUUAAAACUCAAGAGGAGGAAUCAAAAUCGAUAGUGUCUUCAACUUAACCACUAAUAAGUGUAGAGUACAAAAGACCAUGCAAUUAGUAGUUGUGCCCUUCAACAAAAAGAGAAUCACAAUGUUAGUUGGUCACAUCACAUGCCCAAGGAAAACACGGUACAAAAGCACUAAAAGCGUCCAAGCGAAAGUGCUUUCUUCUCAUGUAGUUUCAUUUAACUUAUUUUACCACAACAGUAAAUAUAUUUUACCACUGCGCCAAUUACGAAAAUGAACGGGGAAUGGGGAGCUGGCUGAGGGAGACAGAAUUCGAGAAAGCGGAGUGAAGAGAAUCGAGAAGAGGAGGAAUCGUUUUAAGCGAUGAUCGACGCGUGGGAAGUAAACUAUUAUUUACAAAUCCAAAGCAUUACCCGAACUCAUAAAGAUGCUCUAAAAACUUUCAAAGAUUCCACAAUUUCUGUUUGAUUUCAUAAUAAACUAUUAUACGAAGGAUAAAUGCUAAAAAUUAGUCUCAGGAAAGCACUUUGUUUGUAAUUCGUGAGGUUGGACAGCGAGAGAAGCCGAUUUGGGAGCCAAAGAAAGCGAGGUUGGAGACAGAAUUUGAGAAGCAGCUUCCUGAUUUUUUUUUUUUUAUGAGAGAAGGCGGAAUGAAGAGAAUCGAGGAGAUGAAUCAUUUUAAGCGAUGAUCGACAUGUGAGAAUUGAGACGAUCUUAUAGCAACGCGAUAUUCAGUUUCAUCACACCAGUUAACUUGUAUUGGUCGAGUAAAGCACAUGUUACUUUCUGAAAAUUUGAAAUACUACAACGCAAAACCUAUCAAGAGGAUGCUACCAUGUGAUGCAAGAAACGAAAAGGUACAAAGUCCAGACUCACUCUGGUUGUCAUUUUCCCCAAGCGCAGAUGCAACUUUAGCGAAUUAAGUUUGUCUCAAAGAAAGUGUCUUUCCAAAAAAAAAAAAAAAAGUGAAAACGGAGCACCCUUCCCCAGACAUUAAGGGCGUGUUUACGUACACGUAAUCAGAAUAAGAAUGUGGAAUUGAAUUUCGAUUACGGAGUACUCUGAUGUUUACUAAACAUGGAGAAUAAAAAAAGCAAUGGGGCCCACACAAAUUUUGGAAUUCAAUUCCUUGUAUUGGUGGAAUUUGAUUCCCUAGAUAUAUGUUGUAAUUCAAUUCCUGCUUGUUUGGACAAUCGGAAUAACACUUUUGUUCCCUUUAUGUCCUCACUUACUUUUUUUAUUUCCAAGACUAUCCUUUAUAAACUCAUUAAAGUAUAUAAAAUAUUUGAUUUGGGACAAGGGUAUUUUAGUAAUCAUACUGGUUUAUAAUUCGAUUCUGCUGAAUUAGUAAAAAUCUUUAUGGAAUUAUAUUCUGAUUUCAGAACAUUUAAGUAAACAGUUUCAACAAGAAUCUGAUUCUGACUUCUCUUCAUUCCAACUCCUCCUUAAUUUAAUUCCUCAUUUUUUUCAUUACCGUUAUAUAAAUGUGCCACAAAGAGCUUCAUUAGCCCACUCACCACUGCAAUAGAAACAAUUUGAUAGAAAAUACUUGAUAGCAACAUACAAGCCUCUAUUUUAUUGGAAAAAUCAAAAUACAAAAUCAAUGUUAUCAAUUUUCUAUCUAAAUGAGAAUUACGGUUUAAGCGAGUUAUGUGGAUACCUAAGCAGGUCUAGCGCACUUUCUUAAUUUUCAAAUGCUUAAGAACUAAUUAGGACGCUGAUCAGCAGCCUAACGUUAGGCGAAGAUUUUUAGAACAUUAAUUACUUGUUCUCCUAGAUCUCCGAGUCCAAGAAAAUUAUGAUCACCCAUUGUUCAAUCUUAAUAUAGUCAGUACGUGGUUAUUUAACCAUUUUGUUAUAUUUAUCCUUUCUCGUUAAAUUAAGUAAGUGAUAAUAACUUUCCUGGAUCCUGUAAUCUAGAAGAACAAGACUAUAUAUCACAUGGAUAAACAUAAUCAGGCAUAAGAAAAAGUCGAAGAAUUCAUAACAUAGAGUAAUGCUAAAAAUACUAAAUUUGUAAACUAAAUGACAUAGAAGUUGAUCGUUAAAUUAUUAUUUAAAUAUUAAUAAACGUGUUCAUGCUCACACAUCAUUUAAUUUGUAAAUUUUAUUUAUAAAUCUUAAGCAUUACCUGAACGCAUAUAAUACAAUAGCUGCUUUGACAGAAGAAAAGAUGGAGAGUGAGAUGAUUGCAUUCUUUUUAAAAGCAACUUUUGAAGAUUCCAUAAUAAACUAUUAUGUAUGAAGAUGUGCCGUGGUAAAAGAGAAGUAAAAAGGAGGGAAGGAUUAUCCAAAAAAUUAUUGACCGUGAUUACAAUUAUUCAACUUUUAUACAUUUCUUCGAACGGAGAUCCAAGAAAAGAUGGAGAGAGAGAUUGGCAUUGUUUUUCGACACAACUUCUGUUGAGUCCAUAAUAAACUAUUAUAAGAAGAAGGAAUGCUAAAGAGAUUCUUUCAAAAUCAAAACUUUCUCAUGUUUUUGGGGUUAGUUAUACUAACAUUUUUUCUUUCGUAUAAGAUAUUACGCCAACACUCCUUUUAGUGUAAUGUCAAACGUAAGGGGAUUUUGUAAAAUUUGAUUAACUUCGACGUUAGUGUAACUAACCUAUUUUUAUGCAAAUAUUAUGUCAAAUACAUUAAAUGGCGGAUAAUUUAUAAACAAUGUCACUUUAACAGAGUUUUCUUACAUCUUUUUUAUAGAUAUGGACGGUGGAAAAAGAUCACUCCAUAAUUAAAUAUUGUGCUAUUGAGCGCGCUUUCGGGGCGCUUUCGGUGCGGGGUUUUGGCCUCCGCCGCUCCGCGUGCUGUUCUUUUACCUUUUUAUCUGCCAUUCGCGUGCUCCGCUGGUCCCAGACCCCUGAACAAUGUGAUGAUGCCAACUAACGUUAACCCCACUAAAGCAUCGGAAAUUGCGUCUGAGGAUAGAAAAGGCAUACAUGCAGAUCCUCCUCCCGGACUCUUUGCCUCUCUAUAUGUGAAAACCCAUCUGGGAACAAACCAAUUCCAUUCUCUGGCAUAGCAAGAACGGUCCUCUGAAAUGUAUCCAUACAAAGUUCGACACACAAAAUUCAAAAAGCCAUUGCAAUGUAAUUGACAACAUUGACAAUCUCUGUCCGACAAGGCAAUAAUACCGAAGCCCACUGUAAUGAUGGUAACCUGAUAGGCCAAUACCGAAGCCCACUGUUAUGAAAUCCAUGAAGCUUAUAUGGGCUUCUUGUACUCUCAGAUUUUGCAUAUUAGAGAAUACUCAGCAGUGAAUACCUGAAAAACGUGCAGCACGAAUAUCAUAUCGGUAGCCUCUCGAAUCUUAAGAAAACUACAAAUGGUAGCUUAGAAAAGAAAUGAAUCCUCUCCAACCAAUACAAAUCAUAUUACCCAAGUUCAAGAAAAAUCAAGACUAAACAAAUGACCAGAUGUUGUAGGGUGCCUGAGAAUGUCAAACAUGAAAUUACAAAAGAAAAAAAUAAUCGUAUGUAUUGAACAUUAAUAAAUACAUGCUGAAAGCACAAUCUUAGCCGCAAUUUAUGACAUUCAUACAAGAUGGAAUCGCCAAAGCAGUUAAAGAAAUUGCAGAGCUCAUAUAAGUGAUUUUCACUAUGAACUUUUAAGCUUAUCAACAAAUACAUCAUUUCGAUUCUAAGGCUUAAUCAUCAAUGAUUUUGCCGUUGGAUAGUGGCCAAAUUAGCGGCCGACUGAACAACAAGCCAACUCUCCUUUCGGCUAUUAAACAAAGAAAAGUUUGGUGGACAUCAUCAUGAGUAAAGACACAAUGAUGAUGUUUGUUGAAAAGAAAAAGGAAGGUCAUAAUGAUGUUUGUAACUUUGGAUUUUUUAUAGUCAAAUGGAAUUGGGUUUAUUUGGCUCCUUCCUUUGCAACUUGACAAAAGAGCUUUUUUUUGGUAUUUUCUAAGGCAGCAGCAGCUGCUAUAUGUUUGAGGAGAAGCCGAGAGAUACCAAGAAGAGCGUUCGGCUCUCCCAUUUGAAAUUUUGUUAGUAAUCACUCAAUCAAAGAUGUUGGUGCUACUUGUGUAGCUUUUGGGAGAGAAGGAUUUUGAUAUGUGUUUCUUCUUCUCCAUUUGUUUCUUAGUUUGAGUGAGAGCUAUUGGUUGUAUGUGGGAUUUAGGUUUGAGAGUUAAAACUCUAUUUGUAAUUUCCUUUUGAUAUUAGUGGAAUUUCCUCGCCGUCUCGGAACUGGACGUAGGCUUACGCCGAACCAGUAUAAAUCCUUGUGUUUUUUGGAUUAUUUGUCUUGUCAUAUUUUGCCGUAUUAGCUUUGGUUUCAUAUUUGAAGCUUUCACACAACAUUUGCAAGGGUCAAUCGUAUUGCUGGUUGUAAAUCUAUUCACUAUGAAAAUUACCAAAAUUACAUCUAAUAUGGUAGUGAAGGAAGUCAUCUUAUAUUAUCUGGAUCCAAAAUUGUACCUAAACAUGCAUGACAGGUAAAAAGAAGAUGAGCAAUAAAACAUUAUAAAGAUUCCCAAGAAAAGCAAUAAAACUACGUAAAUAUUAGUUAAUAAUGUCAAGACCAUAGUCUGUGACAAAUCCAAGAGUUGAGAUGAGACUAUCUUUCCGGCAGGAAUUUUUGGAAUUUUUCUCUAUUGUAAGGAAAACAUAGAUUGAUGUUUGUGUUUACACGAAAAUUAUGCCAACGGCUUAGGAGAAAUCAAAGCAUAACAAUGGGACUAAAAUGACUUACCUACUAUGAGGAUCUUCAAGUUCCUUCUUCACCUCUUCGGGCAGAUUGGCUAAUCUAAUAAACGAAAAGAAAACUCCCAUGAGCAGUGCUAUAACAAACUAUCUUCCUAAAUUCAUUAUGAAUUGCAGUUAAAACUUAAAAUGAACAUGAAAAUCCUACGUAGAAGGGAUAUACCUAGGUGACAAGCCUAGAAGAUUCCCGCGCAAGGAAGAAUAUCCCGGAACCUGCAAUUGGAAACUCAAAGAAACAAUUACAAAGAUGCUAGAAAGAAAAUACGUAUCAGUUUACAACAAAACGCUAGCGCUCAUGAGAAUCGAUUAGGUAUGAAGCAUCAAAACAAUAGCAUGAGACAUCAUAACUUAUGAGCUAUGAAUGGAAUAAUGGAGCAAAAUAUCGUUGCCCAAACAGCACAAUCUACAAUCUACAUGACGGAGAAAGUACCCCGACAUUACAUAUGCAAGUUCAUGUGGUUUAUCUUUUUAACCGAUUCGUUAACAAAUUCUUUCUGCACAUAUAGUUUUAACUUACCAAAACUGGUAAUGGAAGAGAGAUAAUCAGUAAUUAAAAACGGUAAUCGCAUAACGAAAUCAUACUUGAGUGAUUGAUAGGAUUCCCAACCCAUUUGGUCCAAAUCCUUCUUCAAUCUUCACUGACAAAUCUUUGUCCCUGUCCUGUAUCAAUCCAAAAUCAAAAAACGACAAUUAGAAAAAUCGAAUUCUCGACAUGAUCGACGAGUUAAAACAUAGCAAUUAAACAAAACUAUGAAUAAAACAAUUAGAUUCUGUUUGGUUGCUGAGAAAAUGAAGAGAAUAACAACCAAAAAGUCAACUGAAAUAAAAUUUUGCUCUAACUUCAACGAAUUCUCUUGAGUUUCUGAGCACCCAAACAGAAAAAAAAAAAUUAUAGGCAAUCAAACCAAACUCUCAUGCUCAAUUUUCUCGGCAACCGCAAAAAGAACUUAGAGGGGGGGGGGAGAGAGAGAGAGAGUUACUUGGAGCUCGGAGUAGGAUAUGGUGACUGGUGUGACGGUGGGGACGGCGGGGUCGGAGGACGGAGGCAUAGUUCGACAAUAAAUUUGGCGGGAAAGACGGCGGUUGGAGCGUGACGAUGGGGAAGAAUCCGUGGGAACGAAGAGCAAUUUUGGUGCGGAAGGAGGGUUUUUAUAUCGGAGGGAGGGAGGGAGGGAGGGAGGUUGAGAGCGAAAGGCGUGAUUGUCAAUUUCAAAUUUUUUUUUUUAGGAAUAAAGAAAGAAGAGAGGUUGAGUAUCAAUUCCCUUUCCCUCCAAACCAAAUAAUACAUUCACGUUCAUGAUGUGUGGCAAAAAAUUGAAGGUGGAGACGAAUAUAUUAAAGGGAUGUGCUAUCCACACACCUUUUUUACUUCUCACACACCAUUUGUUAAUUUCUGUCCGUUGAUCUUCUUCAUUUCAUCUGAUCUAACGAUCGAAAAUUAAAAGGGUGUGUGAGAAGUAAAAAGGGGUGUGUGGAUAUCACACCCCUAUAUUAAAUAGGUAUAAGUAUUAGUUAAAUUUAAAAUUAAUUGUGUACUAUUAAAAAUUUGUUUGAAAAUAUUUUUAUAAUAACUGAAAGCGUUUUUUAUUAAAAUGUUCUUUAAAUCAAUCCUUAGUAAAACCAAGUGGAUUCUAAAAAGUCAUUUGGAUUACUUUCUACAAAAAUCACAUAUCUUGAGCACUUGAAGCGCUUUUGGAACCCAAAAUUAAUUUAACAAAAGUGUGUCUAGUCUUUUUUAUUUUUGAACAAACGAUAUUAUCUACUUUAAGGGAGGGGAUGAGCUUAACCUCACAAUGGACUAUCAUAUUAAUAAUGUUCAAAUUCACCUUUAUUCAUUUUUAAAAGACUUUAAAACCAGCACUAAUUUGUAUUAAAUUCUAAAACUUUGAAUUGGGAUGUAAUAUGCAUUGGGUCUUUAAUAAUAUUUAAGUUGUUUCCGGCAAAAAAGAAAGGAUUCAAUUGGGAAAAAUAACAAAAUAUGAAAUAAGGAUAUUCUAAUUAAGGUUUUUAUUAAUUAUUUUAGGCGGAUGGUUCAUGUGAAGAUUAUGAAACGCUUUAAUUCUCUAACGUGCGAUUCCAUUUCGAUCCAAAGCUAAAUUUAUAAAUUUCUAAUUUUUACUUUCUAAUUUUUACAAAUUUCUUUUCAUAAGAGUAUAAAUUUAUAAAAUUUGGUUAAAGGAUCAAGAAGUUUAAUUAGAAGCAAUGGUUUUUGUUGUUUAAAAUUAGCAAGAGGUCCUAAGUUCGAAACGCUUUGGGCAUGUUUAUUUUUUUCAAUUUUAACAAAUUUUUGUUUGGUUGUUAAUUUAUUUUUAGUUACUAGCUAGUAGCUAUGUAGGUUGUUAUUUAAAUAUUCGUUUCAAUUCAAGUCCAAUCUUCAACAAUGAGUAAUACGUAAACCAAAUUUGUAGCGCAAAUUUGUAAAUUAUAUGACGUGUUAUCAAAAUAUUUAAUUUAAUGCUCAUUCAUUACUAAUACAUAUCAAUUAAGGACUCGAAAACAUCAUUAUUGUUUUUAGUCCCAUAUUGACAAGGUUAGUAAAUAAGAAAAAACACCUCAUGAUUUAUACAAAAACACUUUCAAAGUUCAAAUGGAAAACAAAACUCAUCGUCUAUCUACUUAUAAGCCCAGAGUUGUUUGGUUUUCUUCUCUCAAUACAAAAUAAAUUAGUCCUUUUGUGUUUCUAAAUUAUUGAGUUUGAAGUGCUUUUCUAAGUAUAAUUUUAUUAAUGUCUUACGUGUGAAAAUAAAUAAUUUUCUUAUAUGAAGUUAGGGCACUUUUUUUUGUGUCGUCCCGAGCCUCAAAAAUCUCUGGACCGGCCCUGGAUGUUAUGAGAAUAUGUGUGGUUGUCAAGCCCGACACGUGAAUAACAUGCUCUCUACUACUUUAUUACACUGUGAAGAUUUUAUCCAAAAUUAAUUGACGAUGAGCGAAUAAACUGAAAGAUUAUGCGCAACUUUGAUUAUGCAACGAGUGAAGAAGCAAUUUACACCAACCUCCAGUCAAGAAUUUGGGCUCACAAUCACUAGCCAAUAUGCUUUUUUCUCAUGCCUUAAGUUCAUAGUUCAAUAUUCUGGUGUCCGAUGACCCUGACACGACAAGUUCCACUUUUUGUUCAUUUUCUUGACGAAACCAUCACAUUUACCCUUACGGCACGGCACAGUUCCGGGCAUGGAGUAUGGAUUGGGUUCCGUUGCAGUCCCGACACUAUUUAGCACUGUAGAGAAGGAAAUACAAAGACAACUUUGGAUUUCUUACAACGUAUUGAGUCUCUCGUCAUGGCUCUUGCUGUGUUGUUCUUAUUUCACGUCCUGUUUCUCGAGCUUGGUGUUUCCGGUUGCAAAUUUUGGUUCGGCAGUGUAGUGCUCAGGAGAGGGGACUGUUUCACGUUGUUCCAGGCAGACAGAGGCGGUUGACAACGAUUGUGAUAAUGUGUUUUUCUACUGGGAGAACAUACAGCAGUCAUCAGUUAUCUUUUCACAACUGUCUUCAGUAUUUCGAGGCACCUCAAGAAAUUAUCAAGGACAAACGAAUGUAGAAAAGAAGAAAUAUCGAAGUUAGUUGACAAAGGGGACGAAAAAUUGUGAGAUACAGAGAAAAAGAAGAUAAGAAGAAACUCGAUGCAAAUUACUUGAGUCUAAAGUAGGAGGGGAAAUCGUACUAUUCAUAUGAACAGUGUUUUAGACCACAUUUCAGUUUAUUUACAAGAUUGCCACUCAGAUGCUUUUAGCUUUUAACGAAGAUGCCAUCAGUUCGAAUGAUGGGAAUGCCCGUAUGGGGUUAACAUCACACGGUUGGGGGUAAAAGUUGUGUUUGGAUCAAAACUUAACUUUGGGCCCAAGCAAAAGAAUGCCCAAAAGAAGGCCUGAAGGAAGAGUCGGCCGAAGCCCAGCCGAGACCCAGAAAAGCAGGAAAGGGCCUCCUCUGACUUGGUGCAGCUCAUGAAGACCACUUGCCCACCUACCCAAAGGUCAAGUGGUAUAGACUGACCAGCUACACAGCCCGUAAAGUACUUUAUGGUGGCAUUACAUGUAAAAAAACUGAUGAGUCAUCACCCUCAAACCGCAUUCGGGCAAGGCUGUUGCUACAGGAGGACAUGCUGGGUUGUCUAUAAAAAAAGAAAGAGAAAUCAGGAUUAAGGACACUCAAUCAAACAAACAAAUGCAAGCACAAACUCUGCUCAAAAGCUAGAUUUGCCUUCAAAACGAAGUUGUAGUCAGCCCAAGCCUUCAUCCCUCGCGGGAUAACCUUUCCUUCAAACCUUUGUAAUAGCUCUGCUACCUUGUUCAACCUUGUUGUAGUAUCGAUUCACCUUUUGUAAUCUUUCUCCCUCUCUCAAAACUUUCAGACCUUUAACAAAACUACAAAGAUAGGAGCCUGCAAGACGAGCAGCCUUGCCUGAUAAGGUUUAACCUUGCCCGACCUUCUAUGCUUUGUAUUUUUUGUCUUUUCAUUCAUUAAGCCUAGUAAUAUGUUGUAUGAUCCCAGUUAUAUGCAAGUUAUUUCUAGCAAGAUGACCAUUAAAAAGCUUUCUCAGUACAUAGACCCGAUUUGAAUAGAUCUUCAGUAUUCAAAUCAGAUCUAAGUCAUAAGCCCUCGGGCAUGUAUAUUUGAUCAGUUAAAAGUCCUUGGCCUCCAGGCAUAAAAAAGAACCUUAUGUGGACUUAACCCAUCCACAACAAUCCUUGAUAAACGAGAAGUCCAAAGUUACUUGGGGCGCAAGUAAUCGACCUACCAUUUAGUUUUAUUUCUAUUAUAUGAUGAUUAUCAUAGAACGUUUAUGCAUGGAAUGGAUUCUGAUAGGAAGCCUCAAGGCCUACACCUAAGGCCCCACAAAGGCACCUAUUUGGGUUCAUUCCGUUCUGCGGUCUAGAGCGUUCUGAGUAGAAAGAACAAAUUCUGAUAGGAAGCCUCAAGGCCUACACCUAAGGCCCCACAAAGGCACCUAUUUGGGUUCAUUCCGUUCUGCGGUCUAGAGCGUUCUGAGUAGAAAGAACAAAUUUCUGAUAGGAAGCCUCAAGGCCUACACCUAAGGCCCCACAAAGGCACCUAUUUGGGUUUGUUCUAUCUCUCGGACGCAGGUAAUCAGAAGUAUAAUAGUUAUAAAACUCCUGCAAUCAAUGGAAUAAGUAUUAUGUAUUCGAGUACUGGUUUAGUAACCGAUGGGAAGCCUCAAGGCCUACACCUAAGGCCCCACAAAGGCACCUAUCAUAACUAACCCGGUUCCUCGGGCACAUAUAUAUAUACAUACAACUAAAACUCGACAUCCAUUUCAUAUCUGCCAUGCUGAAGAUGGCAGUGGCACGCCUGAGUACCUAAAAGUUAAUUUUGAUUGUGAGCCUCAAGGCCUACACCUAAGGCCCCACAAAGGCACAUUUCAAAGUUAACUUUGUCCUUUUCUUUCAGCCUUGCCCGACGAGCCUUGCCGACGAGUCUUGCCCGAUAAAGAUUCGCCUGACGAGACUUGCCCGACAAAGCCCAACCGUGAAGCAGAAGCCCGACAGCAGCCCUCAACCGACGCAAAACCUCCAGGGGAGCUGUGCAUUUCGCCGACCAGGAUGGAAGAAUGGACAGCCUACUAAACCGAUGGGAGCCUACUAAACCGAUGGGAGCCUCUAUGAUCAGGAGAGUUCAAAGGCAGCACAAAGCCUACAUGAAUUCUCUGAAGACCCCCGCAACAUCUGAAGCCUCCCAGAAUAAAAAACUGGAGAAGACAUCAUCUGGGGGAAGUAAUCAGCUCCGCUGGAGAAGUAAGAAAGAGGUGGAAAAUGCCAGCAGCAAAAAAGAAGGUGUGGGGAAUCAUGUACCGCAGAACCAGCACCCUGGGAAGUAUAGGAUCUUGAGGAGAGCUCAAGAAGAUCUGAUCAUGGUGCCAACCCCUGGAUGGAAGCCAAAGCCUACUUGCGUUGGAGCUGUUUCAUCUGAAAGGAAACCACCUUCUCUGCCAUUGGUAGAUCCUUUUGGUGAAGUUCCAAAACAAACACUAUAUGCGGGCAUGAAUCAACAGCAACAGGAGGGGGCACCAGAACCACUACUUCCAGCCGAUGCCAUGGCCUGGUUGGAUGAGUUUAUGGACCAGAUUGGGAGCAAGAAAGAAGAUUUGCUCGAGCCUAGUAAUUUCCAUAUCAACAUGACAUACGUAUUAUCUGCCACGUUUGGUGCCCGACCUGAUCAGCCAGCUACUAUGGAAGGUGAUUACUUGACAACUGAGCCAAUGAUGGCACAUGUCAAUAUAGAGGAAGUCAAAGAAGGAGAAUCGGGCAAGGCUGAAACUUCUGAAGCAUCCAAAAGUGGUCCUUUAAGGAUUUAUACCGAUGAAAUGGUGUUCAGCCGCCCGAACAUCUCGCUAGCCAACCAUCUGAAGCCCAUAUACGUUACAGCUCACCUGGAAUGUGUGCCCUUCAAAAGAAUUUUAAUAGAUGGUGGAGCAGCUGUUAAUGUGUUACCAGCCAAGCAAAUGAAGAAAAUGGGAAGAGGAACGGAGGAUCUUAUUCCGACAGACCUCACGGUCUCUAGCUUCUCAGGCGCUAUCACCAAGACCCAUGGGAUAUUGCCUUUAGAAGUGGAUUUGGGGUCUAAGCAAAUCAUGCUGGCAUUCUUUGUGGUGGACUGCACCUCCACUUAUGGAGCCUUACUCGGAAGAGAUUGGAUCCACCAAAGUCUGGCCAUACCCUCCACUCUUCAUCAACAGGUAGCUGUUUACCAUGAGGCGGGCACAGAAGGACCAGGUUUUUGGGAGAUGGUGGAGGCCGAAUCAGGGCCAUUUCUCCCCACAGCCAACGUUGCGGAAACAAGUUUCUACAACCCCAACGUAGGAAUCUUGAAAUGUUCAGGAGCUGAUGAGAACGGCCGCCCUACCAAUGUGACGACCCAAAAGCUUUUGGAACAAGGAAUGCUCCUCACAAGAGAUGAGUGAGAUAGACCUUGUAUCAUCCCAAAUCCCCUACACCAUCAAUGACUGGACAGAAGAAAAAAGAUCAGGUAAUGGCAGUCAGAUCCCUGAUUAAAAGACUGUUGGUGUAUGAGAAUGGAAGAAGGCAAGAAAGAGAGCUCUUGGACAAGGAAGAGCAGGAAUAGCAGGUGGGAGAUACGAUCUAGACGGGCCAGAAGACCUGCCCGAGAGCCCGGAGUUGGUCGAGUUUUUGUGUGCAGAACCGGAUAAGCCACCACCAGAAGUCCAGGAUCCUCUGGAAGUUAUUGCUAGGAACAAAGGAGGAUCCGAGACCAAUACAAAUUAGUGGUUUAUUGGGGGUUGAUGAUCGGGCAAAGGUUGUCGAUCUGUUGCGAGAGUUCAAAGACUGUUUUGCUUGGCAUUAUACUGAGAUGCCAGGGUUAGAUUCAGCCUUGGUGGAACAUAGAAUGCCCAUCAAGGAGGGAUAUAAACCAGUUAAGCAAGCACCACGAAGGAUGUCAAAGGAGAUAGAAGAAAAUGUCAAAGAAGAGAUCGAAAGGCUAGUAAAAGCUGGCUUUAUCAGACCGGCCAAAUAUGUAGAGUGGUUAGCCAACAUUGUACCCGUUUUAAAAGCUAUAACAAAAGCAGUACGAUGUUGUGUUGAUUACAAAAAUCUUAAUAGUGCUACACCAAAAGAUGAGUAUCCUAUGCCCAUGGCCGAUCUAUCCAUAGAUGCAGUAGCAAAACAUAAAGUCUUAUCUUUUAUGGAUGGGAAUGCCGGGUAUAAUCAGAUAAAGAUGGCUUCAGAAGAUAUACAUAAAACAACAUUCAAGUGUCCCGGUCAUGUGGGGGUAUAUGAAUAUCUGGUCAUGCCAUUCGGGCUCAAGAAUGCUGGUGCCACCUACCAGAGGGCAAUGAAUGUCAUCUUUCACGAUCUGAUUGGCCAGAGUAUGAAAGUAUACAUUGAUGACAUCGUAGUGAAGUCUAAGACAGAAGAGCAGCAUUUGGAAGACCUCAGACAAGCAUUAACAAGGAUGAGGAUCCACAAAUUGAAGAUGAAUCCAAAGAAGUGCGUGUUUGGAGUGAGAGCAGGCAACUUCUUGGGAUUCCUGGUGCAUCAAAGAGGUGUAGAAGUAGACAAGAACAAGUCUCGGGCAAUAAUGGAGUCACCGUCACCCACCAACAAGGUACAACUCCAGAGGCUAUUGGGCAAAAUCAAUUUCUUGAGGAGAUUCAUUGCCAAUUUAGCGAGCAAGAUCCAGCCGUUGACUCCUUUAUUAAGACUGAAAGAUAAAGAAAACUUUGAGUGGGGACCACCACAUCAACAAGCCUUUGACAGCAUCAAGGUCUAUUUAACUUCUCCACCAGUGUUGGUGCCACCUCAAAGGGGAAAACCCUUAAAGCUGUAUAUUUCUGCCUUAGAGAAGUCAAUCGGGAGUUUGCUAGCCCAAAAUAAUGAAGGCGGGAAGGAGCAGGCAUCGUACUACCUCAGUAGGAUUCUGACCGAGGUAGAAACUAGAUAUUCCCCAGUGGAAAGAUUAUGCUUGGCUCUAUAUUUCACUGCCAGCAAGCUAAGGCAUUACAUGUUACCUUGUCACGUACACAUCAUCGCCAAGACAGAUGUGAUAAAGUACAUGUUGUCAAAGCCAAUGCUAACAGGGAGGAUUGGGAAGUGGAUUCUAGCAUUGUCAGAAUUCAGUUUCCAGUAUGUACCCCAGAGAGCGGUCAAAGGCCAAGCAAUUGCUGACUUCCUGGCCGAACAUCAAGAAUCUCAAGACGAAGUAAUCAAUAUCCCAGGAAGCCUGGAGGUCACUAGCAUUUGGAUCCCGCUAAGAGAAGAUAUCUCGGGCAAAGAAGAUUGGGUCCAGCAAGAGAUAAGAAGAGUGACUGGUCUCUGGAUCACUCCUUGGAGGUUAUAUUUUGAUGGAUCUCACACUCAGAAGGCUUAAGAAGCAGGGAUUGUGAUUAUAAACCCUCAUGGGGUCUAUCAUUAUUAUUCAUUCCUCCUAGACUACCAAGGAAAUACUAAUAAUCGGGCAGAGUAUGAAGCUUUGAUAAUUGGUCUGGAAAUCUUGAUGGAUCUGGGGGCAGUAGAGGUGGAGAUCUUUGGAGAUUCAGAGUUAGUAAUAAACCAGCUAAAUGGGGAGUUCAAGUGCAGACAUAUUACCAUGGCAGGAUAUUACUUGACGGCUACGCAAUUACUGAGUUUCUGGGAUUCUGAGAUAUCAGUCAAUCAUGUUCCCAGGGAAUCCAACUUAGCAGCCAACGAGAUGGCACAACUAGCCUCAGGAGUGCCAAUACAGGAGAGAAGAUAUGGGGUAGAUGUCGAGAUCCAAAGAAGGAACCUCCCUUCUAUCUUAGAAAGGGGAUUCAGCCUGGAUGUAAUAGCUCUAGAAACCGAAAUAGAAGAUUGGAGGUCCCCUAUCAUUCGUCAUUUGAAGGAUCCCUCUUCACCUACAAGCAAGAAGAAUAGACAGCAAGCAACCAAGUAUGUCUUGUGGGCGAAGAACUUGCUAAGGAAAACUCCAGAUGGAUUACUAUUGAAAUGCUUGGGCCAAGAAGAAUCCAUGAGGGUAAUGGCCGAAGUACAUGAAGGGGUAUGUGGAGCACAUCAGGCAGGAACUAAGAUGAGGUGGUUGCUUAGAAGAUAUGGUUAUUUCUGGCCCGACAUGGAAAAAGAUUGCAAGUCUUAUGCCAAAGGUUGUGAAGAAUGUCAACGGCACGGACCUCUCCAGCAUGUGCCCUCAGUACCUUUAAAUCCAGUAGUCAAGCCUUGGCCUUUCAGAGGAUGGGCAAUGGACUUCAUCGGGCAAAUCUAUCCAGCUUCUAGUAAAUGGCACACUUUCAUAAUUGUGGCAACGGAUUACUUCACCAAGUGGGUGGAAGCAUCAACAGUAAAAUCCAUAACUUCGGCCGAGGUCAAGAAUUUUAUCGAGACCAAGAUUCUGCACAGGUAUGGGGUGCCCGAAACUAUAGUAACGGAUCGUGGGCCAUCUUUUAUCUCAAAAGAAGUUGAGGAGUUUGCAAGCAAGUACAAAAUAAAGAUGAUCCAAUCCAGUCCAUACUACCCUCAAUCAAAUGGCCAAGCAGAGGCCAGCAACAAGAUCUUGGUCAACAUCAUCAAAAGAAUGGUGGUAGAUAGUCCAGAAAAGUGGCAUGAAAGGCUGGGGAACACUUUGUGGGCAUACAGAACUUCCAAGAGGGCAGGAACAGGGACAACUCCUUAUGCUUUAACUUUCGGGCAAGAUGCGGUACUCCCUAUGGAGAUCAAUGUAAGUUCGGUCAGAAUUCAGAACCAAUUUGGGUUACAUAGUGAAGAAUACAUCGAAGCCAUGUGUCAAGGAAUUGAAGACUUGGAUGUAGCCCGAAUUGAAGCCUUGAACCAGAUUCAAGAAGGAAAGAAAGUUGUUGCCCGAGCUUAUAACAAGAAGGUGAAGAUAAAGUCUUUCAAAGAAGGAGAUUUAGUGUGGAAAACAGUCAUCCCGCUAGGAGCUCAGCUCAGGGGCUUUGGAAAGUGGAGCCCGACAUGGGAAGGUCCUUUCAUUAUUAGUCGAGUUUUGAAUAAAGGAGGAUACUACCUAGCAUACCUCGAAGGAAAUGGGCAGAAACAUCCCAUUAAUGUUAAAUUCUUAAAGAAAUACUGUCCUACAUUAUGGGAUGUUAGAGAUUGUUACAUUGAAGAGGGGGCAAAGUAAAGCAGGCGUCGGGAGUUUCAUAUGCAGUGUUUGUUCAUCAACCAUUCAAAGAAAACAAAAAGACAAAAGUUGCUGAAAUAAUUUUUAUUUCAUGUCGACAAAUUGGUGAAAUUAACAAAAGAUUCAAUUUCUACAUAUUACAUUUGAUUCUCUCUAAGUAUAGUGAUUUCUUCAGCUGGUUUUCCGAUGUCUUCAUGGAUGGAACCCGAUCAGGUGAUCGGGUUGUGCGGCCAACAUAUGCUUGGUAGAGGAUCAUCCGACAGAGCCACCACCAUAUGUGAUGGUGAAGCCUGACUUAUGACGGCAGCAAGCAGGAAAUCAAGCCUUCGUGAAGAACUCGCCUGACCAAGGGUGUUGGGGAUAGCAGGGUGUUCGACCAAUGGUGUUGGAGAUAGCAGUCAUUUGAUGAAACCCCCUUUUUUCUCACGAAAAGGGAGUUUUAGGAAACUCCACUCAAAAUCUGAAGAACCCAUUUCUCAGUUUUUUUUUUUCCGAGGAAGAUUAGAUGGUUUUGACAGGAGGGGUUCCAAGCCAGAAUUUAUAGGACCCAGAGGACAGUUCAAAGGUCGUGGGAAGAUCAAGAGACUCCGGGUGCCAUUAAUUUCAUCCAAAAAACACAAGUUCCAAGGGCAAAGAUGCAGCCGCAUGAAGAACUUUUCAAUUAAUAUUGGCGCCUGGAAUUCCAGGCUAAAUAUCAAUUGAAGGGGGCACUGUUUGGAUCAAAACUUAACUUUGGGCCCAAGCAAAGAAGGCCCAAAAGAAGGCCUGAAGGAAGAGUCGGCCGAAGCCCAGCCGAGACCUAGAAAAGCAGGAAAGGGUCUCCUCUGACUUGGUGCAGCUCAUGAAGACCACUUGCCCACCUACCCAAAGGUCAAGUGGUAUAGACUGACCAGCUACACAGCCCAUAAAGUACUUUAUGGUGGCAUUACAUGUAAAAAAGCUGAUGAGUCAUCACCCUCAAACCACAUUCGGGCAAGGCUGUUGCUACAGGAGGACAUGCUGGGUUGUCUAUAAAAGAAGAAAGAGAAAUCAGGAUUAAGGACACUCAAUCAAACAAACAAAUGCAAGCACAAACUCUGCUCAAAAGCCAUAUUUGCCUUCAAAACGAAGCUGUAGUCAGCCCAAGCCUUCAUCCAUCGCGGGAUAACCUUUCCUUCAAACCUUUGUAAUAGCUCUGCUACCUUGUUCAACCUUGUUGUAGUAUCGAUUCACCUUUUGUAAUCUCUCUCCCUCUCUCAAAACUUUCAGACCUUUAACAAAACUACAAAGAUAGGAGCCUGCAAGACGAGCAGCCUUGCCUGAUAAGGUUUAACCUUGCCUGACCUUCUAUGCUUUGUAUUUUUUGUCUUUUCAUUCAUUAAGCCUAGUAAUAUGUUGUAUGAUCCCAGUUAUAUGCAAGUUAUUUCUAGCAAGAUGACCAUUAAAAAGCUUUCUCAGUACAUAGACCCGAUUUGAAUAGAUCUUCAGUAUUCAAAUCAGAUCUAAGUCCUAAGCCCUCGGGCAUGCAUAUUUGAUCAGUUAAAAGUCCUUGGCCUCAAGGCAUAAAAAAGAACCUUAUGUGGACUUAACCCAUCCACGACAAUCCUUGAUAAACGAGAAGUCCAAAGUUACUUGGGGCGCAAGUAAUCGACCUACCACUUAGUUUUAUUUCUAUUAUAUGAUGAUUAUCAUAGAACGUUUAUGCAUGGAAUGGAUUCUGAUAGGAAGCCUCAAGGCCUACACCUAAGGCCCCACAAAAGCACCUAUUUGGGUUCAUUCCGUUCUGCGAUCUAGAGCGUUCUGAGUAGAAAGAACAAAUUCUGAUAGAAAGCCUCAAGGCCUACACCUAAGGCCCCACAAAGGCACAUAUUUGGGUUUGUUCUAUCUCUCGGACGCAGGUAAUCAGAAGUAUAAUAGUUAUAAAACUCCUGCAAUCAAUGGAAUAAGUAUUAUGUAUUCGAGUACUGGUUUAGUAACCGAUGGGAAGCCUCAAGGCCUACACCUAAGGCCCCACAAAGGCACCUAUCAUAACUAACCCGGUUCCUCGGGCACAUAUAUAUAUACAUACAACUAAAACUCGACAUCCAUUUCAUAUCUGCCAUGCUGAAGAUGGCAGUGGCACGCCUGAGCACCUAAAAGUUAAUUUUGAUUGUGAGCCUCAAGGCCUACACCUAAGGCCCCACAAAGGCACAUUUCAAAGUUAACUUUGUCCUUCUCUUUCAGCCUUGCCCGACGAGCCUUGCCCGACGAGUCUUGCCCGAUAAAGAUUCGCCUGACGAAACUUGCCCGACAGAGCCCAACCGUGAAGCAGAAGCCCGACAGCAGCCCUCAACCGACGCCAAACCUCCAGGGGAGCUGUGCAUCUCGCCGACCAGGAAACUUGCCCGACGGGAAUUCCUGAAGCGAACAAGUUAGGUGGGCAUUGUUGUCAGUUAGGGUUGCAUUCGGUGGGAUCGAUGGCUCGGUGUGGGAUUUGGUGGGAAUGCAUGUUGCUUGCAAAGAGGAGGAGAGAGGGAAUGAGGGAGGGGGAGGGAGAGAUAUGGGUUUGGUGAGGGGAAGGCAUGCGACUUGCAGAGAGGAGUGAGGGAGAGAGGAUGAGAGAGGGAAUGAGGGAAGGGGAGGGAGAGAGAGAGGGGUUUGGUGAGGGGAAGGCAUGCGACUUGCAGAGAGGAAGGAGGGAGAGAGUUGGAGAGAGAGGGAAGGAUGGAGGGGGAGGGAGAGAGAGAGGGGUUUGGUGAGGGGAAGGCAUGCGACUUGUAGAGGGACGGAGCGAAGCUUAAAAGCAACUGCAAAAAGUUCAAUGGACAGGGUCGCAGCAAUGGAGACACCUCGCUCUGAACCAUUUCCCCUCUCCUCAGGCGAAUGCUGAACAAAGUUUUGAAGGAACAAAAAGAAGAAGAGCUACACAUAAUAGAAUCCGAUUUGCAAGGAAAAGAAGAAAGCCAGCUUUUCAAUGAAAAAGCUAAAAUCAAUCCCUUCAACCUCCUCAUCGGCAGCGGCACCCACGACCACCAGGUUCACUUUUAAUUUAAUUUUAAUUUUAAUUUUUUGCUUUUUUAGUGGAUUAAAGAAUAUGAAACGAAUUAUAAUUUAAAAUGGGGAAAUUUUGUUGAUUUUUGCGUUCAGUGUUCUGACUUUUGAGUGAUCAUCGAGCUGUGAUGGGUUGGUGUUGGAUUUGAUUCAAUUGAGGUAAAAGCUCUGCAUGAUUGUGAUACGGAGAAAAUGCUAGAAUCUUACCUUCGAUCCAAAUAUCUGAUUUUUGUUACAAUUGCUAUUUUCAUUGCAGGAAAAUGUGGCGGAGACAAUAAUUCCCAAAUCCUCGAGUUUUAUAAAUGCAUUCCAAUUGAUAGCCAUGUCAAAUGAUCUCGAUUUGUCAGGUAUGUUCGAGGAACAGGCAAGUUUACAAGAAAUAGAUUUACUAAAAUAACUAAUCCUACUUUUUUAGCUUAUAACGAAUAAUGUUGAACUGUUAACUUAAUUUAGGAUGAGAAAUAGAAGACAACAAGAAUUGGACCCAAGCAUACCAUUACUGAAACCAUGAAGAAAAUAGAAGCGGCUGCAACAGAUGCGAGUAUUCUGUAGCAAGAACAAACAACUUCAGGGUACAUGAAACUUAUAUUCAAUCGUACUUCUUUAUCUGCUUAUCAAAGUUCCUUCCUGCCAACUAAUGAUGUAUUAUUUUUUCAUCAGAUGUAAAUGCAUGCAAAAAUUCCAAUGGAAACGUAAAUCACCAUAUCCAGGUAAAUCCGAAUUGUAGAUCAGACUUAUAUUACAAUUUGCUUUCUUUGUGAAAUUUUAUUGUAAUCUCUGGCUUUUGAAAUUCUAUAUGAAAUUGUGAAUGUCAUUCGGAAUCAAGUCUGGCCGAGUUCUUUACUAAAUAGUGCGAAAAUAUGCAUGAUGAAACUAAAUUACUUUUGUAUCAUCUAUAUUUACCUGUUAUCAUAACAGGAUUUAAAAUAUAGAAACAUACUGCUUAAUGUAUAAUUGAGUGAAAUGCUAGUUUACAUAGAUAUUGUGCUUAUUUGUUUUAGGUGGAUUACCAAAAGGAGCUCAUCAAGUAUUCUGCGAGCACGAUCGACCUUGAUCAUUUGGAUAUUUAAAGGAGCCAUUGAUAAAGGGAAGACGACGAGUUGUGAACCUGUGUGCCAAUUUUGCCAAUUUUGCAGACAAGCAGAAACUCUGGCACUUGCCUCUGUCCUAUCCUCCUCUCGCCGCCGUCUCCCUUCUCUCACCUCCGUCGUCUUACUCCUCCUUUCUCUGUCUCUGGAAUCCUAUCGUCAUCUUCCUCGCAUGCAAGGCUCUGGCCCUUUCAAUUGAAACCAAAACGUGUUUCAGGUGCCUAACACAACCUCUCACUACUCACUCACAUCAGUUGGUUUUUGUAAUUUGAACUUUUUUUUCUAAUAAAUUUGUAUGCUUUCUGGAUUUUUAUGGCAGUUUUGGACCUUAUCUUUUCUGAAUUUGUGUGCUUCUCUGGGUUUUUUAAUGGCAGUUCUGAGGAAGAGCAAGAAAAAGGAAGAACCAGUAUUAGAAGAUCUUCCCAAAGAGUACUGUGAUGAUGUGAGUGCCUUUAUUCUUUAACUUGGCCAAAUGGGUGCUCAAAUUUCACGUUUUUCUGUGAUUAUACGAGUAAAUUUAUGUUUUUUGUUUUUGGGUUUUGCCAAAUUCAAUGGUGGUAUUUAUGGGUUUGGUAUUGAUUUUCAGAUUAACAAUGACUUUGGGGAAAUUGAUUGAGUCUGCAUUCAAUGUAACUUUUCAUGCAGUUACAUACUGAUGAAAUAGAAUUCAAUUUUUUCAUUCCUUUUUUUUUAAAUGCAGUUACAUUUAUAUGAUGAUUUACAGCAUAUAUUUAUCUUUUAGAUUCUAAUUCUUCAUGCAGUCUAAGCCAUGAAGGAUUUGAUAAACCCACAAUUGAUAACAAUGUGCGGCGGCACCAACGGUUUUGGACAAGGAACAAGUAAGUACCAUUUUGUUUCAUUGUUUCAAAGUAUUAUGUAGAGAUUGCUUUAAUAUCUUGGCUUCUUUGCUGUUUGUGGGGUGUAUGAGAUAGGAUUUAGGAGAUCUGGUUUAGAUUUUGCAAAGAGAGUGUGUCCGAGAGAAAUGUGGGAGGAUUUAGGCGAGGGAUUUCAGGGAUUUGUUUAGGGUUUCUUUUCUGCGAUUUGCAGACAGAGAGAUGGGACAAGGGUGAGAGAGAGAUGGGAGGAUUUUCUGCGAGGGUAGAGGGAACGGGUAAGGGAGGUAUGGGUAUGGGUAGGGGAUGGAAAAACAUUUCGUUUUCCAUUUGCUUCCUCAAACCCGAGGGAUUGCUGCAAUUGCAGAGAGAGAUGGGGGUGUUCGUUAGGUCCCCUUUCAGUGUCACAUUUGUGCUUUGUCCACCCUUGAUUGUUGUGUGAUUCAUUCUCACGAACGUUCUAUGCACAAGGUUUCAUGUUAUUCCUUCCUUUUAAUUUUGAUAUUAUUGUGCUUAAUUUCUAUUUUAUUUUAUUGGGUGAUUAGAUUAACAGACUUUGGAUAUUUGGUAUAAUAAUUUCACAUCACGUGUUGCCCUUUUGCAUCACCUUAAUUGUUCAUCAGAUGCUAACUUUUAAUUAUGUUUUCUUUGGGUCAGUCUCCAUCUGGUACAUGUGUCCAUCCUUCUGGAGUGGAGCACUAUCUUUCUGACAGCAUAAAUGCUCUGAGAAGCUACUAUGGAGACAAGCAGUUGUUUACUCCGUUCUAGGUAUGUUUUUCUUUAGUAUUUUAGAGGGAUUCUUAACUAUUCCCCAUUGUAAUCUUUACCUUUGUAUCUAUCUCUCUCAAAAGACGAUGAGAGUAGCAACUGUUGCAAAGCAAAUUCUCAGAUGUAUAUAAGCAUAUACAUACAUUGGACAAAAACCGAAUCUUAAAUUGGGGCAGUGAGUUCUGCAACAUCUUGGUGCUGCAUAUAUUCUCACACUUUUAAAAGUUGUAUUUCUCAUAUACAUUGGGAAUUUUAAUUAGUUUUAUUUCAUUUUUGUAGGGCAAUUUAGUAGAUAUUUAGACAUAAAAGAAGAUGCGUGAAUCAAUACAAUUAACCUAAUAGUGAUUUGGUUCAGCGUAAAGACCAUUGCUAGGGCACUCAAGCCAUUUUCUUAAUUUAUGCGCAUAUAUAUUAUACGUAACCAGAACAUGUUUCCAAAGGAUGUUAGUUAGUGUUCAUGCUCUGCUGAUAUUUUAUUCUGUUCAUUUUGAUUUUGUUUUUCAGUUGUGGUUAUAGGAUUGUUUUGUCUCUCUUUUUUUCUUUUUUGUUUUCCCUCGUACAACUUUUCUAAAAUUGAACUGUAGUUCUCAAUUUGGUUCUUUGAACCGAGGCCAAUUGGGCUGUGCCUUUGGAAGGUCUCACUGCUAUUAAAGUUGAAUGGUGCUAACUGAAUAUAAUGCGUUCAUUCUUCGGUGUGUGUGAGUGUAUGUGUAUGCAGUCUAUGCGAGUGCAUGCAGUGCGGUUAGGUUCAUUCCCGCAUGGGUUUUCGUCUUUUUUUCGUUAAAUGGUUAGGUUCAUUCCCGUAUGGGAGAGGUGUGUUUUUGCCAUCAAAUUGGUAGAGACUGAUCUUAAUCAAAUAUCAUGCCAUAGUGUUAUUUUGUUUGCAUCUAUGGAACUAUAUAUUUACUUCGUUGUUGUUGACAGCUUCGCAUGUUCCUUCCAGAUAAUGCUGCCUUUUUGGAUUUCGUAUGAGUGUCCCGGGUCGGUUCUGGACCAACAAAAGAGGGAUGAUCGCUGUCAUUCGGACUGCAGGCGUCCACUUCAAAAUCCCGGUAAACACAUCCUUUUCUUGAUUUCAGGCCAUGCAAAAUUCAUGGUGAAAAAACUGAGCUCAUGUCGUUGGUUUGUGCCUCUGUCCUAUUUCUUAUUUAUUUAUUUAUUUUAUCAAUCCUUUUCCUUCUUGGUUCUAUUUGUUGCUGCUGGUUCCGAUAUUUCAUUGCCCUAUGUGUGCAUGAUAUCAGUGCUGCCACUUUUCAUAUUCUUAUCAAUGCUUACAUCUUCACUCUUUUCCUUCUGUUUCUUUUGCUUAACAUGGUUUCGGCUUUUUGAGAUUGUGUGUUUGAUUAACAUUUGAUCGUAUGGUGUUAGAUUUUAAAUUUGAUGUGAAUAAAUUCUGCCAGCGGGGAUUUUGGUCUCUGGAUUUUUCAUGGUGUAAUUUUUAUGGCAUGAUCCAUUGGUGUUGUGUGCAUUUUUAUCAACAAUAAUAAGCUUUUUCUCAGCAUUGCAAACAAGUUUUCUUAUAACUAAGAGACGAGUGCAUGGUGCAUGUGUCUUAAUUUAUUCAGGUUAAAUAUAUCUUAUUUAUGCAGUUAAGGUGGGUGCAUUCAAGUCCCGCAGCAACACGCGGGCAUAUUUUCUCGUUGAGACUAAAGGAGGUCUUAACGCCAAAUACUGUUCUGUAUAUUUACGAAUGGUUUAAAGUUUGGGUUUAAUUGGAUAAUCAGAGAGUAGUGCGUCAGACUAUGGAUAUUCAGAAACUGAAAGCAUAAUUCAUAUUCUUCUAACAAGUCCACGCAAAUAACCACAAUCACAAUGUUAUUUAUAACUGGCCAUGUAGAACGCAGUACAAAAGCACUAAAAGCGUCCAAGUGAAAGUACUUUCUUCUCAUGUAGUUUCAUUUAACUUAGUUUUGACAUGCCAAUCAGUCACACACUCAAGUCCUGAACGUUCGGGCUCAAUGGCUCCAAGAGAGCUUCCACUUCACUCUGAUUCACCUCCUCUAACCUUGACAGGUUCCACUUCGGAUUCUGCAUUGACAAGAAACCGAAGCCAAAGAUAAAGAUCCGUUCUGAUAUACAGAAAGUAAGAUGAUUAUAUAACUGUAGGUCUUGUAGAGGCGAUCUUAUAGCAACUCAGUCCACAAAGACGAUCUUAUAGCAAGGCGAUAUUAUCACAUCAGUCAACUUUUGUUGGUCAAGUAAAGCACAUGUUACUCACAGAAAAUGUGAAAUACUACAAAACAAAACCUAUCAAAAGGAUGCAACCAUGUGAUGAAAGAAACGAAAAGGUACGAAGUCCAGACUCACUGGAUAAUUCAUAAUUGGUUGUCAUUUUUCCCAAGCGCAGAUGCCAACUUUGGAGAAGUAAUUUUUUGUCAAAUAAAGUGAAAAAGGAGCACCCUCUCCAAGACCUUGAAGAGCUUUGUUAGCCCACUCCACUGCAAUAGAAACAAUUUGGUCGAAAAUACUUGACAGUGACAUACAAGCCUCUCAAUAGAAGAGUACGACAAACUUACCAGUAGCAUCUGAACUCAGCUGCUGCUUUUUAAGUUCAUCAAUUGUCUCAAGAACCGACUUAUUUACACCAAAUGCUGAAGUUAUUUGAGGCAAAAGCCUCUUGAGUUGCGUUCCAGAAUCUGGGUUGCUGCUGAAUUUGGCCACAGUUGUUUCAAUGUUCUGAAGGGGAUCCUGGGAACUGCAUCAACAAUGGAGUUGCUUUUAUCUCAACAAACGCAUUAGACAAUGUGAUGAUGCCAACUAAAGCAUCGGAAACGCAUAGCAAGAACAGUGCUCUGAAAUUUGAAAAGCCACUGCAAUGUAAUUGACAACAUUGACAAUCUCUGUCUGACAAGGCAAUAGUACCUCUGCAAUGAUCCGGUAGCGACCGGUGACCUGAUAGGCCAAUACCAAAGCCCACUGUUAUGUCACCCAUGAAGCUUAUAUAGGGCUUCUUGCACAGAGAUUUUGCAUAUUAGAGAAUACUCAGCAGUGGAUACCUGAAAAACCUGCAGCACAGAUAUCAUAUCGCUAGCCUCUGAAUCUUGAGAAUACUAUAAAUGGUAGCUUAUAAAAGAAAUGAAUCCUAUCCAACCAAUACAUAUCAUACUACCCAAGUCAAAGCAAAAUCAAGACUAACAAAUGAUCAGAUGUUGUAGGUUGCCCGAGAAUGCCAAACAUGAAAUUACAAAAGGAAAAAUCGUAUGUGUUGGACAUUAGUAAAUAAAUGAUGAAAGCACAAUCUUAGCAAUUAAAGAAAUGUUGAAAUUUUACAUGGGUUUUUGUAAUGUUGAAAUGUUUCCGGAUGCAAUAUGUCUUCAAAAUUCAAAACAAUUACUUACUGGAAAAUCAUAAGAAUCUGAAAGAAGUAUGAAAUGUUGACUUGCUGAUGAUGAAGCUGGAGGUAAUCUGUAGUCCAGGAGCUCAGAAUGUGAUGAUGAGGAUGAGUCUGAUGAUGACAAUGCAACACGACCUUGAUCGUGUCUCACCAUAGAACCGAUCUGGGUGUGACUUAAUCUUGACAGAAGAUGCUUUCACUUCAAAAUUUUUGCCUUUUCCCCUUUCUGUCAUCUGUAGUAAUUCUCAUUUGAUUACUGGGAUUACUAUUAUCAGAUGAUUCAUGGCUUGGUUCUGCCUCAUCAUAGAACCAAGCUGGAUGUGGGUCAGAAACAUAACCAGCACUAUUCAUAGCAAGCAUAUUUUCUUUCAUUGGCUUAUCCCACGCUAGAUUAACUCCUGUUCUCUUAACAGUAAAUAAAUAAUAAGGAUCCACACUUACAAAAGGUUCUUCAAAAAUUAUAUCAACUUUAUCCCCGCCUUGCAAAUUGAGCUUAUCGUUCGAUAGUUGUCCUAGCCAAAUAUAAUCAGGUUCAGGCAUGUCGUCUAUUUCUUCUCCGUCUAUUUCUUCUCCGCGUAUGGCUAUGCAGGCUCGCAACUCAGUACGCUUGGUGUGAUUUAUAACAGUAAUGUGAAGAGAAUAAUAAUUAUUUUUUGAGUGGUAAAAGCAGAAUAGAGUCAGGCCUUUAAAAUUACGAACACUCCGGGGAAUAUCAAAACUGACUUUAUUGCCAUUGUUGACAAACUCAAACCAACCAGGAACAUAAUUCCCAUGGAAGAAAAUGCCACCAAAUCCGCAAGAAGUCCAUCCCUAUAUAAACAAUGCAAGUGUCAUAUAUAUACAUGUACAUGUGCGUUUGUGCGUGCAUGCGCACGAUAGGAAGGCAAUUAAAAGAAAGAGGGAGAGAUACCUGUAGGAUGUUCUUCUUAAAAUUAUCUGUGAGAUUGGUGCACCUUUUCAUAUCAAUCAAUGUCAUGGAGGAUAAUGACUUAUCCAAGCCUGGAACCUCAGUGAGUUUGGACGAAUCACUUAAAUUCAGUUUUCUCAUCUUUGACAUUUCCGAAAAAUUGGGCAUUAUUUUCAAUGUAGGGCAACCAGGUGCCUUCAAGACUUCCAAAUUUGUUGGUAAAUUGGGGAUUGUAUGAAGAUUUCUGCAUUUACUGAGCUUCAGAGUUUCAAGCUUUGAAAGAUCAUUGAGGCUCGGUAGGCUACAAAAAGAAUUCCCUUUAAGAUUCAAAUCUUGUAAGGAAAUUAGACUCCCAAGAUCCUUAGGGAUUUUAUUAUCAUCUAAUUUGCACCAUGAGAGAUCUAACCGAGUGAGAUUGUUCAAUCUUACUAUGGAAGGUGGUACUCGUUUUAUGGCUGUGGAAUCUGCAUCAAGUAUUUUCAAUGAUAUCAUCUUCCCUAAAUCCUUAUGCAGUUUUUUGAAAUUUGAACAGAACGAAAGAAAAAGAGUCUCAACAGAUUUCGACUUAUAGAAAUCCCCUGGAAGAAAAAUAAGAUUGUCACAGAAUCUAAGGUUCACCAAAGAAAGUCUUUUAAGAUAACCAAUAGAGGGGUGAAUUCCGGACAAUUUAUUGCAGUAUUCCAAUAUCAACUCUUCAAGAUUUGGGACUUGUGAAAAGUCUGGUGAUUUAAUUAGGUCACUAGAAAAACUGAGAUCAAUGAUCUUCAACUUCUGGAGCGAGAGCGACUAAUGCACAAAACCAAAGAAAAAUUGAAAUUAAUAUCCAAAAAGAAAAUCUUAUAAAAAAGAAGGAAUCCAAAAACAAAUAGAAACAGAACAUUAUGACGUGUAAUUGAUUAUACCUUGGAACCCUGCCAAAACUGUACCAAUUUACUAUCGUGCAUCUGUAUAGCAACUAGUUUCUCUUGAUUUAAAAAGUCAUCUGGUAUGGACUGUAAAGGGAAUUUACUCCAACAGAACCAUAUUAACUCUUUGGGAAGAUGUUCGUAUUUUCCAUUGAGCUUAUUAGCGUAGUCGAGCCGAAGUAAUCUCAGUUUCUUCAUAUUGGCAAAUGCUUCUGUACUGAAACUAGUCUUGUCAGAGCUUGGUAACCCGGGAUAAGGGAUAUCUAGAGCAAGUCCUUCAACUUCUUCAGUUCCCUGUUAAAAAAAAAAAAAAAAAGUUUAAGUAAGAAAUAGAUUAUUUGCAUAUGUUUACAUGAUUUUGCAUAAUGAAUUAUACUUGCAUUCCCCCUUUGGGGUGACAAGCUCAUUCUGCCGCUUGCAAAUAACAUUUCUUAAUCGUACAAAUUUUCAUUGUGGAACCAUUCAAUUUCUUACUCUUAUAAUCAUUACAAAAAAUUUGAAUCAGAGAUCACUUAAUUUAGACAUCCAAAUGUAUCAAUAAAUGGAUAAUUCAUUAUUGAUAUGUUACUUAGGCAAAAUCACGUACUAUGAAUAAAUGCGAGUACUAUUGUUGGCUAAUUGAGCUUUCCUUGUGCAACUAACAUAUAUACACAUGAAUGUUGUCUAAUGUAUAAUAGACAUUUUGUUAAAGAAAAAAUGUAUAAUAGACAUACGUGGGUUAUAUAUGCUUUUCCUGUACAAUGCAUUAAUCCAAAAUUUUAUUGGGAAUAUACUUACAAAUUUAUUUGUUAAUACAUUGGUGACCUCUCGAGAAUUCCACAACCUGCUCCAUUUUCCAGGGUGACCGGGGGACUUUUCAGAAAUGAUUACUCUGGCCAUUUCUCGAAGCAAAUCAUGCAUAUACAAUAUGUUGCGUUCAACAGUUACAAGGCAUCGUUCACAGAGGACACUGAUUUCUAUUGUUGCAAAAAAUUCACAUCCAUCUAAUACUUUUGCGACAUAGUCCUUUUCCCAUCCAAUAAAGAAACAAGAUAUGUCAAGGAAAGUAGCCUUUUGUGUACGAUCCAGCUUUUCAAAGCUUACUCUUAGCGGUUUCAUUAUUCCUUCAUGAGGAAUUUUUUUUAAUUUCUCCAACUGACUUUUCCACUCUGUUGGGACUCUUUCAAUCAUAGAAGAACCUAAAACUUCAAGGGCUAGUGGCAAACCACCACAGUGAGAAACAACCUCUUUUGAGAGUUCAAGAUAUCCUUCAUUAGGACAACUAUUUCCAAAGGCAUGCCAACUAAAGAGUUUCAAAGCUUCUUCUUCAUUCAUUUCCUUAAGCGGAUAUGUCUCGUCCACUUUCAUGUUCACUUGCUUUAGUAAACGAUCAUCUCGUGUCGUUAUGAUAAUUCUACUUCCUAGGCCAAACCAAUCACGAUUUCCAGCUAUUGCAUUUAGUUGUUCCACUUUGUCUACAUUGUCAAUAAUGACAAGUACUCUUCUACUUUGGAGAUGAUGUUUUAUCAGACUGAUACCUUCAUCAACACUGGUUAUCUCACGCUUGUUCUGUUUCAAGAUGUUAGAAACAAGUUGUUCUUGCGAAACAACCAGAUCUUUUUCACUAACGUUGUUAAGGAAACUUUUGAAUUGGAACUCAUGAUGAAUUUUGUUAUAAAUGGCUUUGGCAGCUGUUGUUUUACCCAAUCCACCCAUCCCCCAAAUUCCAACCAUGCGAACAACAUUUGAUCCACCAUUUGAAAGAAAAGUGAUGAUAUCUUGAAUGCGAGUAUAUAUUCCAACUGGGUGCUUGGCCACAUGUAAACUUUCUGCGCUCGGAAGCCAUUCCGGGAUAAUCUUGUUAACAAUUUCUCUAAUAAGCUUUGCUUCGCACCUGAAAAAUUGAAUUGGUAAGCUUAGUAAGUAGGCUCAGUAUGAGCUAUUAGUAUAUUUCCUUGUUUCCUUCGCGCGCGUGUGUGCACACAAACUAUCUACUAUAGCUAGUAUGUGAUUUUGGGACCAACGUCAAUAAAAGAAACAAAUUCAUUCAUGGAUAUAUUAAAGUUUGGUGUAUCAAUUAAACUCCAAUUAUGGUUUAGGUUUUACAGGAAAUUGGAGAAAUGGUCCCUGAACUAUGAUUGAACUGUAGCUUUGGUUCUUAAACUAAAAAAUUCAAUAAAUCUUGUCCUUGAACUUAACAAAAUAUGGAGCAUUCAUCCCUCCAUGUUAACACCGUAAGAUUUUCUGUUAAUUUGAUGACGUCAUCUUUGUGGGCUCUAUAUUUUUGUUUACUAGAUGCCACGUGGCUUGAAAAUUCAAAAUAAAAGAAAAUAAAUACAAACAUAGAGAAAGAAAAAGAAAAAAAAAAUAUUUCAAUUAUAAAAGUUAACUCUCUCCAAUCCUCCCUUCCGCCUCCCCUCCUCCAAACCCCAGCCACACCAUUGUAGCACUUUCCCAACAGCAAAAACAAAGAAAGUUUAUAAUCCAAAUUUGGAACACAUCUCCCUUUGCAAACAAAUUCACAAUGACAUCCAUCCACGUUGUCUCGACAGGUAAGAUUCAAGAAAUUUGUGAGAUGUGGGUUUGGGUGACGGCUGUGGUCCAUGGGCUACAGGUUGGGGCCGGCUGGGGAGUGGGGAUUAGGGAUUUGGGGUUGGAAGUGGGAGGUUGACGGGUGUGAAUCAAAGAUUGAAGGUGAAGGGGUGGGCUGCGAGCCUGCGAGUGUUGGUGGGAUGAGGUACGCCUGCAAUUAUAUAUAUAUAUAUAUAGUAGACACUUUUAACUAAAAUUUAAAGGAAUUGGUUACGAAGGACUAAUGCUCCAUAUUUUAUCAAGUUCAAGGACAAAAUAUAAUGAAUUUUUAAUUUAGGAACCAAAGCUACAAUUUUCCUCAAGAUUUUAUAUGAGAGAUUAAGGUGUAUUAAUUAAGCAUGUUAAUUAGAGUAAUACAACUUAAAUAUUGAAAAGCACAAUGAUUACCUGCAAUUAUAUAUAUAUAUAUAUAUAUAUAUAUAUAGUAGACACUUUUAACUAAAAUUUAAAGGAAUUGGUUACGAAGGACUAACGCUCCAUAUUUUAUCAAGUUCAAGGACAAAAUAUAAUGAAUUUUUAAUUUAGGAACCAAAGCUACAAUUUUCCUCUAGAUUUUAUAUGAGAGAUUAAGGUGUAUUAAUUAAGCAUGUUAAUUAGAGUAAUACAACUUAAAUAUUGAAAAGCACAAUGAUUACCUCUUAUCAGUGAUUUGAAGAUGGUAGCCAGACAAAUUUGCAGCUUUUGUAAGAACCUCUCCCCACUGCUUUAUCCCUUCUUGUUUAGCUUCACGUUUCUUGUCAUCCUUUUCUUCACCGAUGCCCUCUUCGUGCUUCUGAAAUUCUUCAGCCAACUCUGCAGCUUCUCUAAGAGCCUCUGUCCACUGCUUUACCCUUUCUCGUUUUUCUUCACGUUUCUUGUCAUCUUUUUCUUUACUGAUGUUCUCUUCGUGUUUCUUAAAUGCUUGGGCCAAAACUCCAUUCUGCUUCCUGACAUGUGAAGGAUCAACGUGAUAGAAUAUUGGCAAAACAUGUCGCCCCAAUUUGUCUCUGCACUCCAUGAUCUUCACCAGCUCGUUAAGACACCAACUCGAAUCCGCAUACCUCUCUGAGAAGACAAUGAUAUAGAUCUUCGAUUUUUCGAUUGCCUGUUCCAGUUCUUUUUUUAUUUCUUCCCCUCUUUCUAGAUCGUCCUCAUCGAUAUACGCUUGAUAUCCCCUAUCUGUUAAUGCCGCGUGGAGGUGGUCCGUGAAGCCACUGUGUGUGUCUACACCGCUGAAGCUCAAGAACACGUCGUAAUUCCAAAGUUUUGACUUGGGGGAGGAUGAAGAGGAGGCUUCAUGGUUUGUCAUGGCGGUAUCCACUGUUAUGGCACUGCAGUGGUUCAGAUUAUGACUGAAAAAUGGCAGUAGUUGUGUUUGUGCUAUUGAACAGAUGAUCCUGAAACACCUAAACCCAAGUCAAGCUCCUUAAGUCAACAAGAACAAAGUUUAUAAUAUAAUAAUGUUGGCGUAUGGAAACGACAUAAUGUUGGCCAGAAGGUGCAGAGACAAACUUGAAUGCAAGCUUUCUGAAAUCUUCCAACCAAUACAGAUAAAAAGGUAACACCCUAGUCAGAAAUGAACUGAGGUGUUAGCUUUCUAAGACACCCAGAUGACAAAAUCAACAAAAUAGAAUGGAAAACUGACUUACACUUUUAAGGCAUGCUAGAAUCUUGAUCUAAAAUUGGUGGUGGGUCGAUUGUUGGUCACCAACUCUAAAUGAAGAAUUCAUCAGAACCUAGAAAAUUAAACAAAGAACUUUCCAAAAUCAACAUUUACUAAAAACCAUUUACUUGGUUAUCAUGCAAGAUGGCUUGCCAAAGAUUGAAUUAAGGAAUGCAAAACUUUACUUUUAUGAUGAUUUCCAAUGACAGCUAAAAGGUCAGAACCAAAUGAAAAUAAAAGUUAGGACUUCACAAAACCAAUUAAAAUCUAAUUCCAAAGUUACAAACACCCACCAAAUGAUUCCAGAUAAAGUUUUAAACUCAAGGUCAGACCCAAAUGAAAUUAAAAGUUAGGACUUCACAAAACCAAUUGAAAAUCUGAUUCCAAAGUUUCAAACACACACCAAAUGAUUCCGAAUAAAGUUUAAACUAAAAAACCCAACAGAAACAAAAGCAUUGGUGUGAAUUAACAGUAUCUAAUUGAAGAAACUAAAACAAAAGUAAAGUAAAGUAUAUACCUCAAAAUAUCAAGCAAUUAAGUUCUUCCUCCGAUGACCCAAAACUCUGAAAAUUCCACACAAAAAAAAAGGUAAAUCCAUUAGCAAUUCAUAGCUUUCAAAAUCAGCAAAAACUUGGGCAACAAUAAAGAUGCGUUGAGAACCAUCACUCUUUCUCCUUAUGUAUUUGAAAAGAUAUUUUAUAAGCAAUUUAUGUAGUCAUUCUGAUCAUGUUGCAUAUAAAUUCCUUUUCUACAGAGUUCAAAAAAAAUAGGGCAGUUUAUGGCAUCUGUUGAAUAACAUGGUUGAAAGAUUUAAAAUUGAUAAAUUCAAUUUUUAUGUGUAAAACUAUAACAUAUAGCUAAAGCUAUUGGGUCUAUAUAUCCAUAUCAAUCAUGUCGUAAUUGAAGGUUUAUCGAUGUAAAUAGAUGAUUUCAGUCAUGUGAAGUAUAUGCUGAAGUUUGGUCUAAGUUAGAUAAAAAUUGACCAAAAUCUUAAUAAGAGACUCUUUUAGCUUUUAACCAAAAAAUGAGCACCACAAUACUACACUUAUAAGUUUUAUCAUGCACAAAAUACAUAGCACUGAUUGCUACUUUUAGAGCAAGAACAAUACUUUCCAAGAAAACAACAAAACACUCAAAACCCAGAAACAGAAACACACUUAGGACUCCAACUCCUCAAAAACAUGAGAAAGAGAGAGAGUGUGUGCGAGGAGAGAGAAUAAAAAACCAUAUUAAUUUUCACACAAACUCAAAAUUGCUUAUAAAAUUACAAAUCAAAACAAAUGAAAGCAAAUCCAAAUUGCCCUAAAUUAAAUCUGAUUAGUUAAACGUUUGUUGCCCUACAAAUGUCGUUACACCCGACACAACUUGCUUUGAAGUUGAUAUUUUGGUCAAUCCAGGGAAAAAGGAGUUAUUGGUUUUGGAGCGGUUGUCAUGGAGAAUACCAUCUCCCUGUUGAAUGAUCUAAAAAAGGACUUACAGCUUCUGCUGGCCAUAAUAAGGCCCUUCUCUCCAGAUUUUCUCAAUAACUUUCCUUUUCGUAGCUGGUAAGAUUGCAACUCCAAGAAUUGCUCUGAAGAGAUAUACAAAAAAAUCAAACUAAAACUAAGCUAUUGGAAGAAAUUUAGAAAACACAAACAUCACUACAACUCAGAUUUAAAGUCAACAGAAACCAAAUGGUAGAAGUUGAAAAAAUACAUGGUCAUGAAUCGAGAACUUCAUCAAGCUACAACAACAACAACAACAACAAAGCCUUUUCCCACUAAGUGGGGUCGGCUAUAUGAAUCCUAGAACGCCAUUGCGCUCGGUUUUGUGUCAUGUCCUCCGUUAGAUCCAAGUACUCUAAGUCUUUUCUUAGAGUCUCUUCCAAAGUUUUCCUAGGUCUUCCUCUACCCCUUCGGCCCUGAACCUCUGUCCCGUAGUCACAUCUUCGAACCGGAGCGUCAGUCGGCCUUCAUCAAGCUAACAGCAAUAAAAUCUCAUAUAAUCUGUCAAAAACCAAAAAAGAGAGAGAGGUAAUUUCAAGACCUUGUAAUGCCGAGGCCUCGUACAAUUGUAGUAAUAAUAUAUGGUUGAUGCACCUGUUGCUCAAUCAAAUCCUUUGUCUGGCUAAAAAAAAUAAAAAUCUAUAAAUACAUUCAUGUCCAAUUUAUGAGAAAUCAUGGGAAAGCAAAUGCACUGAUAACGGAAUCAUGAAUAUGAAAAACUUGCCAAAAAGAAAAAGAAAACUUCUUAUAGUGUGCCAAGAACAUCCUCCUACUCCUAGCAAACUUUUUAUGGCAUUAUCCACUUCUCAAUUCAUAAUUCAACCACUAACUCAAAGUCUAUAGUGUAUGAAAAAGUGAUAUCUUAGUUGAUCACGAUGAUAAUUAAGCAGAUUAAAUGACAACCCAUAAAGCAUACAAAUUCAGAAAAGAAAAGGUUCAAAACUGCCAUAAGAAAACAUAGAAUAUAUAAACGGGAAAUCAAAAGAAGAGAGGCGAAAAAGGAAGAAAAAACCAAACAAAAUUAUUAGGUUUGGGAUAUACCUUUAUCUGAAACGCCACAAUCAUCAAAGUCAAACAUAAACAAUCCAAAAAGUUGUGGAAAAUAACAAUAAAUGCUCAACGAAAAACGAAAGAAACGUAGAAUAAGUUUACCUGUCCUCCCCCUAAUAAUACAAUUCACCACUUAUAUUCUCGUCAUCCUCUUCAGCCUGAAAAAUUUAGUAGAAAUAUUCAAUGAAGGCGCUUAAUGGAGACAGUAAUAUUAGCAAUGGAGGAAUUGAAUUGAUAACUAAAACUGCAAGACCAAUUGACUACGAUAGGUUCAAAACAGAAACUCAUCUGUUAGAUGUCUCAUCUUUAGGCAGUGCCUUGUUCUUUUCUUUUUUUUGUUCUUUUUUUUUUUUUGUUUUUGGUUGCACGUCUUGUGACGUUCAUGUAAAUGAACAAAAUUGAUACUUUUGACACAACCAACAAUGGAGAGGUAAAAAGUUAAAAACAGAAGGAAUGUCUUUUGUUAUGUAAUAGAUUUUGCAAGUCAGAAAUUCUGUUCGAGAAUUUGCAACCCAGAAAGUCCGCCAGCAAUUAUUAACAAUCACAGAUAAGCACCGAAUGAAGGCCAAUCUAAUAAGCCAAAAUAUGUAGGGCACUAAAGAAAUUAUUGCCCAGUAACAAAUGAUAGAUAAGCACAUGUGAAACUAAAGAAAUUUUUCCUUACUAUCAACUCCAAAAAAAUAACCUAUACAAUUCAAAAAAUGUUGAUACAUGCCUGAAAUUGGUAUUUGAACCACCAACUACCUCCGUGAAUAUGUUUGUUUGCUUAAUGGUUUGCGUUGAAGUUGUGAAAGGAAAUGCAAUUUCUUAAAAGAAGGAGAAUGCAGAGACAAAUACAGAAUGGUUCACGUGGCCACCCUCAAAACAAUAAUGUCGUAUACAUUAAGCCUGCCAAUUACUAAAAACAAAACAUUUUGCCAUGAGGAGAAGUAAGAACAUACCGAAACUUGUUUGCAAAUAGAUGAGAAAAAUUAUACCUCAAACAGAUGGGAAAUUUAUUAGGAAAGAUAGAUCAGCCCACAUGUGUGUAAUCUAUAUACAAAAAACCACUCUCUUCAUUAGCCAAAUCGUUUCAUAAAUCCAACAACACAUAAUUAUAUCUUGAACAAUGCCAAUUAAUGAUUUCCCAUUUACUUAAGCCGGACAACAAAGCCAAUGAACUGAUGAAAGAGCGAAAAAGAGAAACAAAAAACCUCAAUUAAGCAAUUAAAUGGAGUAUUACUUGAUAGAGCUGGAAAUUACCCAAUUCCUCAGAGAGAGGAUCAAGAGUGACUGAUGAGAGUGCAGAGAAACGAAUUAUUGAGAAAUUCAAGUUCUGAGCUCAAAGUUGGGGCCUCCACUUUCCAACUGGGGAAGAAAUAACAGAGAAAACACAGAGAGAGCCAAUCCACCAAAAAUAUUAAUCAAAUGGGUUUCUUCUAAUUCAAAAUUUGGACCACCCAAUUUCCGAUGAAGCAAUAACCAUUCAAAAUUCCAACAGAUUGAAGCCCUCACAGACUACAAAUUAUCAAUACCCAGCAAUAAAAAAUUUGAAAACAGUAAUAAUGAAGGAAAAAGAAAUUAAAGCUGCGAGCCAUUCUCUAAAUCUCAGGCACCAAUCCAAAUCACCAGUAAUUUGCACAUAAUGAUAAGAAUCUAGCGGUAUUUCCAUUGUUUAAAAACCCAAAUUCAAGAAAUCAUGAAAAAUGGAAACUUUAUUUGGAAAUUGAAGCUUUACCUGCAGAUCAGCAGCAGCAAACGGAAUCCAACGGCAUGUACCUCAAAAGUGAGAGAGAGAGAGAGAGUUGAGAGAUGAGUGAGAGAAUCGAUAAACAAAACCCCCCAAAAUCACAAAAGGAAAAUUGAACAGAAAACAAAUUUGCAAAUCCAAAAUCACAAAAACGAAAUUGAAACACCCACACUGAGAAAGCUGCAAUACUCACCAGGAAGCUAGCUUUUCUGGGUAAAAAAAUUGUUCGAAUCGAAUUGAAGAACCGAGGAAAAUUCUACUGGUUCAGUGGUUUUUCCAGCAAGAAAGCACCUUGUUUGUAAUUCGUGAGAGGUUGGACGGCGAGAGAGAAAAACGUAAAGGAAAGGAAAAGCGGAGAAGAAGUCACGAUUAUCGACGCGUGGGUUGCAUUCCACUGUGCCAAGUUCGAAAAUGAACGGGGAAUGGGGAGCUUGGCUGAGGGAGACAGAAUUCGAGAAGCAACGUUCUGAUUUUUUUUUUUAUAUGAGAGAGGGAAAGAGGAAUGAAGAGAAUCGACAAGAGGAGGAACCAUUUUAAGCGAUGAUGGACGCGUGGGAAUUGAGGGCAAAUUUGCCAUUUUGCUGUGAACCCAAAAGUCAAGACUUGGCUUGGUUUAUAUAAUUAAUCAAUAAUAUUUCAUAACAAGAGCUAGGUCCAUAUAUUAUACAAGGUUCUAAUAUAAUAGAUGUUGUGGCUAGGCGAGGCUUAUUGUCUAUGCGAAUUUAAGUAAAUUUACUCUAUAUUAAAUAAAUAAAUAUAUUUUUACACUUAAAAUGACACAUAAUUGUAUUGUGAUAUAUAAAUUAUAAAAUAAAAUGAUAUAUAUAUUAUAAAGUAUUGGAGACCCAAAUGUGAAAUGACAACUAUAAACAAUUAUUCAAGGUGGACGGUAAAUGAUUCAGCCAUUUACAAGAUUCAAAACGUAGGAUCACGAUCUACUGGAUGAUUGUAUUAACUAUUAGGCGGUGCUCUAAUAUAAUACAUCCAAAUGGGGGUGGACCACAUAAUACACCCAAUAGGUCGUUUUAAGCUACUCCACUGCUAAAACUAUUGCAAAAUGCGCAUUAGGAUUUAUACUUCUAUUAGCUACGCCUUUCCUUACUAGGCAAAUGAACCAUAUAGUACACCAAGAUGGAUGUUAUACACGUUGGAGUUUGAGCAGAAUUCUUUUUGUUAUCAUGUCUCACAUUGCUAGAAUUGAAAAGUUCAUAAUAUAAUAACAUUCACGUAUGAACUUGAGAAACAACAUACUACUGGUUGGCCUGGAAGGUGCAGUGAAGGAGAGGAAAGAAAGUAACAAACACGAAAGGAUAAGGACUAUCCAAUAGAUUAUAAACAAUGACUUCUUGGGGGUGAUUACAGCUAUUCAACCAUCAAUAAUGCAUUAUUUUAGUUUGGAAUUUGGAAGCAUUUGAGAAGUAACAUGACAACAACCACAUAAUAAACAAAGAUGAUUAGAAAAAAGACCCGAAUGUGAAAGAAUAAUUAAAAACAAUUAUUCAAGAUUAGUGAUAAAUGAUUCAACCAUUUACAAGAUAUGAACUUAGAACAACAAUCUAUUAGAUCGUUGUAUUAAUUAUUAAGUGGUGCUCUAAUAUAAUAGAUCCAAAUCGGAACGGACCACAUAAUACACCCAAAUGGAUCAUUUUUAGGCUCCACUGCUAAAAACUAAUGCACCAUGGGCAUUAGGAGUAGACUUUUAUAGCUAUCUUUCCUUACUAGUCAAAUGAACCAUACAAUACACCCAAAUGGAUGCCAUCAUGCCAUAUAUAAACAAUGUUUUGAAAGGACAAGGUAGCUAACGCUGUCUUUUUAUAUAUGUAAGCAACAACCCUAAAUGAAUCUUAUUGGAGCUAAUUAACUAAUGUAUUUAUUAGACAGUUGGAUUCCUUAGCAAGGGGUUAACUAUUUUUGUUUAGAUUAGUAGUCAGGUGGUAAUUAAUUAGUCAAAUGAACCAUAUAAUACACCCAAAUGGAUGUGCAUAUAUAAACAAUGUUUUCGAAGGAUGAAAUGACUUUCUUGCCGGUAUGGGGGAAGAGGAUUGCGCGAAAAUUUUCGCACUAAUCUAAAUAUUGUGUUUCAAGCUUUGAAAAACCAUUGAAGCUUUGAAAAGUUUGGUGAUUUUGUUAGGUUAUGUGUAUGAGUGACAUUAAUAAUUUUCAACUUCCCAAGCAAUUGUUACACAAAAUUAAAUUUAAAAUCCAAGAGGCCGUGGUUACAGCUAUUCAACUUUUGUAGAUUUUCCGGUUUUAUGAGAUUGGCAUUCUUUUUCAACACAACUUCUAUUGAGUUCAUAUAAACUAUUAUAUGAAGGAGAAAUGGUAAAAAGACUCCCUCAAAAUCCCAAAUGUGAUAGGAGAAAAGACACAAAUAUGAAACAAUUAAAAACAAUUAUUCAAGGUGGGUAGUAAAUGAUUCAGUCAUUUACAAGAUUCAAACAUGGGACCACGAUCUACUGGAUGACUGUAUUAACUAUUAGGCGGUGCUUUGAUAUAAUACAUCCAAAUGGGGGUGGACCACAUAAUACACCCCAAUGGUUCGCUAAAAACUAUUGCAAAAUGCGCGUUGGGCUUAUACUUCUAUUAGCUGCGCCUUUCCUUACUAGGCAAAUGAACCAUAUCCAAAAUGGAUGUUAUACACGUUAGAGUUUGACCAUAAUUUUUUUCGGUUAUCUCAUUGUCUCACAUUGCUAGAAUUGAAAAGUUUUAAUAACGUUUGUGUAUGAACUUGAGAGACGACAUACUAUCGGCCGGCGGGGAAGGUGCAGUGAAAGAGAGGAAAGGAAGAAAGAAGUCAACACGGAAUGACAAAGACUAACCAAUAGGUUAUAAGCAAUUACUUCUUGGGGUGAUUACAGCUAUUCAACUAUCAACAACGCAUUAUUUUAGUUUGGAAUUUGGAAGCAUUUGAGAAGUAACAUGGCAACAACCACAUACUAAACUAAAGUGAUUAGAAAAAAGACCCAAAAUGUGAAAGAAUAAUUAAAAACAAUUAUUUAAGAUAAGCGAUAAAUGAUUCAACUAUUUACAAGAUAUGAACUUAGAACAACAAUCUAUUUGAUCGUUGUAUUAACUAUUAAGUGGUGUUCUAAUAUAAUAGAUCCAAAUGGGGACCGACCAUAUAAUACACCCAAAUGGACCAUUUUUAGGCUCCACUGCUAAAAACUAAUGCAAAGUGGACAUUAGGAUUAAACUUGUAUUAGCUAUCUUUCCUUACUAGUCAAAUGAACCAUACAAUACACCCAAAUGGAUGGCAUCAUGCCAUAUAUAAACAAUGUUUUGAAGGGACAAGGUAGCUAACGCUGUCUUUUUAUAUAUGUAAGCAACAACCCUAAAUGAAUUUUACUGGAGCUAAUUAACUAAUGUAUUUAUUAGACAGUUGGAUUCCUUAGCAAGUGGUUAACUAGUUUUGUUUAGUUUAGUAGUCAGGUCGUAAUUAAUUAGUCAAAUGAACCUGCAUAUAACACACGCAAAUGGAUGCCAUAUAUGCAUACUAUUUUUGUUUAGUUUAGUAGUCAGGUCGUAAUUAAUUAGUCAAAUGAACCUGCAUAUAACACACCCAAAUGGAUGCCAUAUAUGCAUAUAUAAACAAUGUUUUCAAAGGAUGAAAUGACUUUCUUGCCGGUAUGGGGGGAAGAGGAAAGAAACUAGCACGAAACUGCAGACCCUAUCGAUCCAUUAUAAUAAAUUUCAAUGGUCCAAGUUGUAAGUUAAUUGUGUAACGUAAAAACUUAUUUACAGUUAUCAACUUAACCACGUACAUGUGGAAGACAUUAUCUCAGAAAACUAGAAAGUUCAAUUGCAACUCUACACAACUGAAAGCAAGGCUCGCUCAAUAGGGCUUGAGUUUUUUUGUAAACUUGCGUAUUUUUGUAAACGCAUCACAUAGUAGUUAAAACAUCCGGCCGUAAAUAAAGGGUUUGAGUGUCACAUCCUAGCUCGGGGCAGACCACUUCCCGGGCUCACUCCACUACCGUAGCAUGAUAUUGUCCGCUUUGGGCCCCGACCACGCCAUUACGGUUUUGUUUCUAGGAACUCACGAGCAACUUCCCAGUGGAUCACCCAUUAUGGGAGUGCUCUGGCCACCUUCUCGCUUAACUUCGGAGUUCCGAAGGAACCCGAAGCCAGUGAGCUCCCAAAAGGCCUCAUGCUAGAUAGGGAUGAGAAUAUACAUUUAAGGAUCACUCCCCUGGGCGAUGUGGGAUGUUACAAUCCACCCCCCUUAGGGGCCUGACGUCCUCGUCGGCACACUUCCGGCCAGGGAUUGGCUCUGAUACCAUUGUCACAUCCCGGCCCGGGGCAGAACACUUCCCGGGCCCGCUCCACCACCGUAGCACGAUAUUGUCCACUUUGGGCUUACCAUUCCCUCACGGUUUUGUUUUUGGGAACUCACGAGCAACUUCCCAGUGGGUCACCUAUCCUGGGAGUGCUCUGGCCCCCUUCUCGCUUAACUUCGGAGUUCCUACGGAACCCGAAGCCAGUGAACUCCCAAAAGGCCUCGUGAUAGGUAGGGAUGAGAAUAUACAUUUAAGUAUCACUCCUCUGAGCGAUGUGGGAUGUCACAAUCCAAUUGUAACAGUGUCAUGAUCAGACUUGUAAGACUGUCUUUAAUAAGAAGUUGUUGCGUUUUGUCAAAACUAGGUAUGGGCAACGGUUAUGGCGGGCGGGUAACCGCGGUUAAUUAUCCAUAACCGUUUAUUCUCAUACAUGCAUAACUGUUUACCCGUUGGGUAAUUGUCUAAACGGUUAUACCCAUACCCAUAACCGUUUAUAAACGGUUAACCAUAACCAUAACCGUGUACCCAUUUAACCGUAACCGUUUAGUACCCAUUUACCCAUUUAUCAUUUUUAAACCCGUUUAUCCUUUCUUUUUUACCAUUUACUCAUUUUUCACGCAUCUACGUGUUUUUUUAACAACUUGAAAAUUAAAAAAGAAAAAUUUGUCAUAAUUUUCUUUUUCUAACAAUUAAACACCGUUGUAGUAUUCAUCAUACAUUUCCGUAUUUUAAUUUUUAAGUCCUUAUACCAUUUCAAUAAUUGAAAUAAUAGUUUACAGACAAUAUUUUUAAUUGUUAGCAAUGAAGGUAAUAUAAAAUUUGCUAAGUAUUCUUUGGUUACGAAAACUGUUAAAAGACAGUAUUCUUGGGUUAUUUAACUCAGAAUGUAUAAUAUAUAUAAUGGACCAUGAAAUUUAAAGUGGUUAAGGAAAACUAUAUUAUAUUAGCUAUAGAAAUCAUGCACUAUAGUCAAUAGCAUUGAUCUAAGUUUUGUCCGAUAGUGAACAUGGUUUGUGUUAAUUUUACAUAUAUAAAAUAAAUGGGUAAAUGGUUACCCGUUUAUAACCACGGUUAAUACCCAUACCGCCCAUUUAAAUUUCACGAGUAAACGCCCAUAACUGUAACCGUGAAAUUUAAAUAGGCGGAUAACCGCAGUUACCCAUAACCAAUGAGUAUUUACCCAUCCCUAGUCAAAACCGGUCCAUCUAAUUACAAAUUGUAACCAUAUUAGUUGAGUGCAUAUGCUACAUCACAUUUAGUGAAUAUUCAGUACGGGUGACACAUGGUCAGACUUGUAGGUUGUUCAUUAAGAAGUUAGUUACCACGUUCUCAAGAGUGGAGCUAGAGGGGAGCACUUCCCUACCAAAGUGUUUUCCUUCUCCCCUUUGCAAGGGAUUUGUGUCACUAUUAGAUAGGAGAUUCAAACACAAGACCUUCAAUUGAGAGGUAAACGCUUUUACAAAGCUUCUACGAGCACCUUCUUGUUUACCAAACUUAUUGAGACUAAAGGAGGUCUUAACGCCAUUUUGGCUAAUACUAUUCUGUAUAUUUACGAAUGGUUUUAAGUUUGGGUUUAAUUGGAUAAUCAGAUAGUAGUGCAUCAAACUAUGGAUAUUCAGAAACCGAAAGCAUAAUUCAUAUUCCUCCAACAAGUCCACGCAAAUAACCACAAUCAGAAUGUUAGUUCAUAACUGGCCAUAUAGAACGCAGUACAAAAGCACUAAAAGCGUCCAAGUGAAAGUGCUUUCUCCUCAUGUAGUUUCAUUUAACUUAGUUUCACAUGCCACUCCGUCACACACUCAACUCCUCAACGUUCGGGCUCAAAGCAUUCUUUAUCCCUUCUGCACGAGAGACAAUAAGUUUAAAGUUCUUGUGAUGAAAUCAUGUAAAACAUUCAGAAAUCUUGAUUUAACCCUUUAUCAAGAUCAUAGGUUGUGUCAUCUCAACUUAUAUCUUAGGUCUUAUGAGUGCUCGUAAUACACUAAUAUGACACUUGUUUUCUGGCCAGGACAGAAACAAAAUCAUGCAGGAAAUUGUCAUGACAACUUCAGUGUAAAAUAAAGGUCGUACCCAGUGCACAAGGCUCCCGCUUUACGCAGGGUCUGGGAGAGGUGAAUGUCGGCUAACCUUACCCCCAUUUAUGGAGAGGCUGCUCCCAAACAACUUCAGUGUAAAAUGCGACCGGAAAAACACUAAACAAGAUUGCUAUGCUCUCUUAGUGUAAACCUUAACAACAAAGACUAUACCGUAUCUGUCACAGUGAUAUGCGACCAUAAGCCCAACUCCAAGAGCUUUGAAGGCUACAAAUCAAAAGUUACAUGCAGUGACGACAUAAUCAUGAAAAAAUACAAUCAUAAAUUAAAGGAAAACAUACCGACUUCUAGUUCUGGCAAUUCACUAUUGGGCCAUAUAUUUGAACCACAGUAUGAUGGAUACCUACAAUACAGAUCACAAAUAAAAUCUGAGCAGACACAAAGUAUUAUGUUCUGUUUACACAAAAUCUGUAAGUUCUCAAAUAGGAUAAAUAAAGAUAAACAUAUCCCAGCAUAAAGACGAUUUGUCCUGGCUAAUUCUAAGAAACCUUGUAUCAAAUGUAUGAUAGUUAUUCAUAACUAACACAAACAAUAGUUUUGCCGAACAUUUCUGGUCUGAGCCGUAUACUGUGUGACCUCAGACAAAACAGAUCCCACAUGGACCCAGAUUAUGAUUGAUGUCCCUAUAGACUUUUACCUUUGAAUUAGAGAUUCAUCUGUUGUAGGGCUUCCAAUAUUGGAUUUGCAUAAAACGAGCCUUUUAACGUAUCUGCAAAACCAGAACAGAAACGGAAAAUGAAUGAUCCUACGUUCUUAGAGUUUCCAAAGAAACAAAAUUUAAAACAAAGAACAUAAAGUGAUACCAGGCUUUCCAGAUUCCAGCUUCUCUUUUCCAUGACUCCAUCCAAAAUUGUACCUAAACAUGGAUGGCAGGUAAAAAGAAGAUAAGCAAUAAGACUUUGUAAAGAUUCCCAAGAAAAGCAAUAAAACUACGUAAAUAUUAGUUAAUAAUGCCAAGACCAUAGUCUGUGACAAAUCCAAGAGUUGAGAUGAGACUAUCUUUCAGGCAGGAAUUUUUGGAAUUUUUCUCUAUUGGGACUAAAAUGAAAGCAUAACAAUGGGACUAAAAUGACUUAGCUACUAUGAGGAUCUUCAAGUUCCUUCUUCACCUCUUCGGGCAGAUUGGCUAAUCUAAUAAACGAAAAGAAAACUCCCAUGAGCAGUGCUAUAACAAACUAUCUUCCUAAAUUCAUUAUGAAUUGCAGUUAAAACUUAAAAUGAACAUGAAAAUCCUACGUAGAAGGGAUAUACCUAGGUGACAAGCCUAGAAGAUUCUCACGCAAGGAAGAAUAUCCCGGAACCUACUGCCAUUAAGGUUGUUAUUAAUAUCAAUUCAUGUAUAUUUCCGCAUGUGUCAUAUUAUUAAGUUAGACAGUGAAAAAUAUAUAUCGGAUGUUAUGAGAAUAUGUGUGGCUGUCAAGCUUGACACGUGAAUAACAUGCUCUCUACUACUUUAUUACACUGUGAAGAUUUUAUCCAAAAUUAAUUGACGAUGAGCGAAUAAACUGAAAGAUUAUGCGCUACUUUGAUUAUGCAACGAGUGAAGAGGCAAUUUACGCCAACCUCCAGUCAAGAAUUUGGACUCACAAUCACUAGCCAAUAUGCUUUUUUCUCACAUUUCCCCUGACACGGCAAGUUCAUUGUUCAAUAUUCUGGUUCUGGUGUCCUAUGACCCUGACACGGCAAGUUCCACUUUUUGUUCAUUUUCUUGACGAAACCAUCACACUUACCCUUACGGCACGGCACGGUUCCGGGCAUAGAGCAUGGAUUGGGUUUCGUUGCAGUCCCGACACUACUUAGCACUGUAGAGAAGGAAAUACAAAGACAAGUUUGGAUUUCUUACAACGUAUUGAGUCUCUCGUCAUGGCUCUUGCUGUGUUGUUCUUAUUUCACAUCCUGUUUCUCGAGUUUGGUGUUUCCGGUUGCAAAUUUGGUUCGGCAGUGUAGUGCUCAAGAGAGGGGACUGUCUCACAUUGUUCCAAGCAGACACAGGCGGUUGACAACGAUUGCGAUAAUGUGUUUUUCUACUGGGAGAACAUACAGCAGUCAGCAGUCAUCUUUUCACAACCGUCUUCAGUAUUUGGAGGCACCUCAAGAAAUUAUCAAGGACAAACGAAUGUAGAAAAGAAGAAAUAUCGAAGUUAGUUGACAAAAGGGGCCGAAAAAUUGUGAGAUACAGAGAAGAAGAUUAGACGAAACUCGAUGCAAAUUUUAAGCUAGAUUAGUUAUUUUUCAUUAACGAGCGAUACAGAGAAGAAGAAACAGCUGCAUUUGGAGAAAGCUGCUUUAGUUGCCUAGUUUGUAACAUUAGCUUUCUGUAAUUCCGGGGAAGAAACAGGAGUAAAAAAAAAACACAAUCAGGCAGUACCAAAAAAGAAAAAUGUACAAUUAGGAACAAUCGCCACUUCUCAAACUUUGUAGUAGAUCCAGGUAUCUGAUGGACUCGGGGCUAAUGUACCUGCAUUAACAAGAAACAAAAAUCAGAUUUGUGGAAGGGAGUCACAUAGUGGUUAAAAUACUUGGCCGUGCAUGAAUGGUUUGAGAUACCAUCAUAGAGGCAUCCUCCAGGUGUGAGUUUCUCUCGUAUCUGAUCACUUAUUAUAAGAAUAUCAGUAGUGAAAGUGAAAUACCCGUGUCGGGAAAGGAAGUCAAUGAUGACAAAAGAGCAAUUUGGCUUGAAAUAUUGUGUCCUCCGUAUGAUGCUUGCAACAUGCAUCACCGAAUCCACUUGAAGCUCUCCACCUCUCCAUCUGUUAAAUGUUUCAUAAGCAGCAUUGUUAAAGUUCUCUCUAUUUGGGGGGAUAUUGCAGAUGGUUUUGAAUGAAGAAAGGCAAAAAUUCAUGCAGAAGGCAUAAUUUACAACUAGUUUUGUAAAAGCUAAGCUCUAAAGGUCUCACCUUGAUUCUUUGGCACAAAUAGCUAAAGUUUUGAGAUGGGACAAAAUGGGUCCCAAGACCCACAUACAGCGCAUCCGAUGGUGUUGAAAUCCUUUUCCCAGUAAGUCAAAGAUAAGCGCCAAGAAAGACAUGACAGUGUUAAACUUAAAACAAAUACAGAACUAAGAAUUGAUGCAUGAAUCAAACAGAGAAAUGGUACAGGCCAUUCUCUUUAUAUUCUUAUAAUCUAAACAUUUCUCCUUAUCAACACUGGAAAAACAGCUUGCUUCAGUCAUAGGAAAUAAAUUGCGCCUGGAGUAUAGAAAAGACAUACCUACAGAUCCUCCUCCUGGACUCUUUGCCGCUAUACGUGAAAACCCAACAUCUGGGAACAAACAAAUUACAUUCUCUGCCAUAGCAAGAACAGUCCUCUGAAAUGUAUCCAUACAAAGUUAAGACACAAAAAAUUCAAAAAGGCAAUGUAAUUCACAACAUUGACAAUCUCUGUCUGACAAGGCAAUAAUACCUCUGUAAUGAUCUGGUAGUGACCGUGACCUGAUAGGCCAACACCAAAGCCCAUUGUUAUGCCAUCCAUGAAGAUAGGGCUUCUUGUACUCAGAGAUUUUGCAUAUUAGAGAAUACUCAGCAGUGAAUACCUGAAAAACAUGCAGCACAAGUAUCAUACCGGUAGCCUCUCAAUCUUAAGAAAUGGUAGCUUAGAAAAGAUAUGAAUCCUAUCCAACCAAUACAAAUCAUAUUACCCAAGUUCAAGCAAAAUCACGACUAAACAAAUGAUCAGAUGUUGUAGGUUGCCCGAGAAUGUCAAACAUGAAAUUACAAAAGAAAAAAAAACAAUCGUAUGUAUUGAACAUUAAUAAAUACUUGCUGAAAGCACAAUCUUAGCUGCAAUUUAUGACAUUUAUACGAGAUUGAAUAGCCAAAGCAAUUAAAGAAGUAGCAGAACUCAUAUAAGUGAUUUUCACUUUGAACUUUUAGGCUUAUCAGCAAAUACAUCAUUACGAUUCUAACGCAUGAAUUUUGUUAAAAGGGGCUUGCUUGCUUGUAUUAAGGCUUAAUCAUCAAUGAUUUUGCAAGGGUCAAUCGUCUUGCUAGUUGUAAAUCCAUGCACUAUGAAAAUUACCAAAAUUACAUCUUAUAUGGUAGAGAAGGAAGUCAUCUUAUAUUAUCUGGAUUUUAGAAGACGGUGUAAGGUUAUAAGUCUGUUAUUCUAUAUAGUUUAAAGGACACAAUUAGACAACAAUCAUAUUCGGUGGUUGGUUUUUGGCCGUGAUCUGCUUCACAUCACCGCCCGCAGGUAAUCUAAAUCUGGGUUAUUACUUAUCAAUGAAUCAAAGUGCCAACUUAUCGGACACCAACUAUCUCUCUAUGGCAAAAAAAUAACACAAAAAGGAACAAUGAAGUGAAACAAUAAACAACAUGACAUGAAACAGCACAAACAUCAAAGACCAACAAUCUAUCACAUAAGCACCUAAACAAGAAACAACUUUAGUUCAAAGCAAAGCGUAAUGUAGAAACCUUCAGCACAAGAGGCGUGUUUUUGUCCUUUUGAAUUUCGGCAACAACAACUUUAAUAUCCUUACCUGCAUUUACCAUGAUUGGUCACUCUCAAAACCUUACCUAAGAGACCCAAAAACCAAAAUAACUGCUAAAAGAGCUGAACAUACAUAUCUAGAAAAACUUAUUCAACUACAUGCUAAAAUGGAAGUGUAAAAUUGCCAGGAAAGAUAAGAAACUAUUCAAAUACGAGUUCUGGGCGUUACCGCCACAAAAGGCACGAGCCGAGCGGCUAUCAACAAGAACACACUUCACAUUUGGGUCAGAUUCCCAUUCAUCCAGAUAGCUCUUGUAUUUCACAUCCAAAUCUGCAUUUUCCAACAAUUCCCACUUAAACAGAAACACAAAAUUCUUCCAAAAAGAGCUAACUUCUUUGAAAUUUGAAUCCAACGUUUCGUCUUAUAACAAAUGCAAUAACAUAGAUUUGUAAUCAAUACGAUGCCAUAAAGUUCAAGCUCAAAAAUUCAAAUCAUCUCCAAAUCAAAAGCAAUUACAGAUAUAUACAUAUAUACAUAUGCGUGUGUGUGUUUAUCUACAUACCUAGGUUUAUGGCGUUGAGAGCUCGGGGGGCGACCGAGGGUGAUGACGGCGACGCCAAAGGUGCGGAGAAGGCGAGGGGAUUUGGAGGGUUUUGUAAAGAGGGGAUUUGCUCAGAAUUUGGGUCGCUCGUCCCUCUUAUGAGAGUGAUUCAAAAAUCGAAAAAGUUGAAAUUUAUUGAUUGUGAUCUGACUCAAACAUGUGAUGAUGACGAUGCAUCACAACCUUGGUUGUGCCUCUGGAUCAAAAUCCUGUUCCAUCAAAUUCGUGCUCAUUUUCCUUCAUAGGUUUGUCCCAUACUAGAUUAACCCCUGUUCCCUUAAUUGUCACAUUACCAUAUUUACUGUAUGGCUCUGGCAUUUCAAAAGUUAUAUCAACUUUAUCCCCGCUUUGCAAAUUGAGCUUAUCAUUCGAUAUUUGUCCCUGCCAAAGAUAACAUUUUCCAGAUACAUUGCACAUUUUUAUAACCCAAUCUUCUUUGCCUAUGUAGGUCUGCAACUCAGUACGCUUGGUAUUAUUUAUAUCAAUAUUGGCACGAGGAUGACAUUCUCCACAACUGGCAUAAGGGCUUCUUGACUCAUUAGUAUUUGAGCAGUAAAAGCAUAAUAGAGUCAGUCCUUCCAAAUUACGACCAUCACUCGGGAGGAUAUCAAAACUGACUUUAUUACCAUCGUUGACAAACUCGAACCAAUCAGGAACAUAAUUCCCAUUGAGAAAAAUGCCAUCACUUGGGAGGAUAUCAAAACUGACUUUAUUACCAUCGUUGACAAACUCAAACCAAUCAGGAACAUCAGGAACAUAAUUCCCAUUGAGAAAAAUGCCAUCACUCGGGAGGAUAUCAAAACUGACUUUAUUACCAUCGUUGACAAACUUGAACCAAUCAGGAACAUAUUUCCCUUUGAAAAAAAUAUCCGCAAGAAGUCCAUCCCUACAUAUACAGUGCAAGUGUCAUAUUUAUAUAUAUACACACACACAAUGUACAUGUGCGUUGUGUGUGUGCAUGUGCGCAAUAGGAAGACAAUUAAAGAGAGAUACCUUUAGGACGUUACUCAUAAAACCAGCGGUGAGUUUGGGGCAGUACCUCAUAUUAAAAUGUCGUGGAGUUUAAUGACUUAUCCAAGUCUGGAACCUCAGUGAGUGCGCGUGAAUCACAUACAUGUAGCUCUCUCAUAUUCGACAUUUUCGAAAAAUUGGGCAUUGUUACCAAACGGGAGCAAUCAGACGCAUACAGAAAUUUCAAAUUUGUUGGUAAACCAUAGAUUGUAUGAAGGUUACGGCAGUAAUUUAACUGCAAACGUUCAAGCUUUGAAAAACCAAUGAGGCUGGGUAAGGUAUGAAAAUCAUUACAUGUGAGACACAAAUCUUGCAAAGAAAUUAGACUCCCAAAAUCUUUUGGGAAUGCAUCAUCGCUUAAGCGCUGGAAUGAGAGAUCUAAAUUUCUUAAAGAGUCUAAGCCGUGUAACGAAUUGGGAAAUUGUGUGACAUGCCCCCUUAAAAUGAAAUCAGUGGUAAACCAUGAUUUCCGUAGAAAUAAAUGAGUGAGAUUCUUCAAUCUUACUGUGGAACGCGGUACUUGUCUUAUGGCUGUUUCAGACGCUUUAAGUACUCUCAAUGAUAUCAUCUUCCCUAAAUCCUCGGGCAGUUCAUUGAAUCGCCUACAAAAAUCAAGAACAAGAGUCUGAACGGAUUUGGACUUGUAGAAAUCCCCAGGAAGAGAAAUAAGAUUAUGGCAGCAUGUGAGGUUCACCAAAGAAAGUUUUUUAAGCUGACCAAUGGAGGGGUGAAUCUCGAACAAACUCUCACACCUUCCCAAUAUCAACUCUUCAAGACUUGGGAGAUUUGAUAAGUCUGGUGAUUUUUUUAAGUCACAGCAAUUACUGAGAUUAAGGAUUUUCAAGUUUUCAAGCGACUGUUGCACAAAAUCCAAAAGGUCAUACCCAGUGCACAAGGCUCCCGCUUUACGCAGGGUCUGGGAGAGGUGAAUGUCGGCUAGCCUUACCCCCAUUUAUGGAGAGGCUGCUCCCAAGUCUCGAACCCGAGACCUACCGCUUAUGGGCGAAGGCAUUUGUCAUCGCACCAAGUGCGACCUCUUUGGGGAAAUCCAAGAAAAAUUAAAAUUAAUAUCCAAAAGGAAUAUCUCAUAAAAUAAAUAAAUAAAUAAAUAAAUAAAGAGAGAAGGAAAUCCAAAAACAAAUAGAAACUUAACAUCAUCAUGUGUAAUCGAUUGUACCUUGGAGCCCUCCCAAACUUGUACCAGUUUGCUAUGCUUUAUCUCUAAAAUAACUAGUGUUCUUGGUUGAUCAAAGAAGUCAUCUGGUAUGGACUCUAAAAGGUAUCCUUCCCAACGCAACCAUACUAACUCUUUGGGGAGAUGUUUGUAUUCUCCAUUGAGCUGCACGUUCUGGAGCAUGAGCAGUCUCAGUUUCUUCAUAUUAGCAAAUGCUUCUGUACUGAUACAACUAGACUUUAAAGGGAAUUCUCCACGGAGCUGCACGCGGUGGAUCAGUCCCAGUUCCCUCGAAUUGGUAGGGAAACUUACAACAAGUCCUUCAACUUCUUUAGUUCCCUGUUAACAACACAUUAUACUGGGUAAGAAAAGGAUUAUGUGCAUCUAUUUUACGUGAUUUUGCUAAUUGAGCUUCUUAAUGCAAAUACAUAUAUUUACACAUGAAUUUUUUAAUGUAUAAUAGGCAUACGUGGGUUACAUAUAUGCUUUUCUUGUACGAUGCAUUAAUACAAAUUUUUUUUGGGAAUCUACUUACAGAUUUAUUUGUUAGUACAUCAUAGACAUCUCCAGGGAUCCACAACCUGCUCCAUUCUCCAGGGGGACGAGUGGAUUUUUCAGAAAUGAUUAAUUUGGCCAUUUCUCGAAGCAAAUCAUGCAUAUUCAACUUCUUGUCUUCAACAGUUAUAAGGCAUCGUUCACGGAGGUUACUGAUUCCUAUUGUUGCAAAAAACUUACAUUCAUCUAAUAUUUUUGCGACAUCGUCCUUAUCCCAUCCAAUAAAGAAACAAGAUAUGUCAAGGAAUAUAUCCUUCUGCGUAGGAUCUAGCCUUUCAAAGCUUACUUUUAGCGGUUUCAUUAUUCCUUCAUCAUGAAAUUUUUUCAAUUUCUUCAAUUGACUUUUCCACUCUGCUGGGGUUCUUUCAGUCAUAGAAGAACCUAAAACUUCAAGGGCUAGUGGCAAACCACCACAGUAAGAAACCACCUCUUUUGAGAGUUCAAGAUAUCCUUCAUUAGGCCAACUAUUUCCAAAGGCAUGCCAACUAAAGAGCAUCAGGGCUUCUUCUUCAUUCAUUUCUUGAAGCGGAUAUGUCUUGUCCACUUUCAUGUUCACUUGCUUUAGUAAACGUUCAUCUCGUGUCGUUAUGAUAAUUCUACUUCCUGGGCCAAACCAAUCACGAUUUCCAGCCAUUGCAUUUAGUUGUUCCACUUUGUCUACAUUGUCAACAAUGACAAAUACGCUUCUACGUCGGAGAUGAUUUUUUAUCAGACUGAUACCUCCAUCAACACUGGUUAUCUUAUUAGACUCGGUCUGUUUCAAGAUGUCAGAAACAAGUUUUCUUUGCAAAUCAACCAGAUCAUAUUCGCUAACGUUGGCAAGGAAACUUUUGAACUGGAACUUAUGAUGAAUUUGGUUAUAAAUGGCUUUGGCAGCUGUUGUUUUACCCAAUCCACCCAUCCCCCAAAUUCCAACCAUGCGUACAUCUGAUCCACCAUUUGAAAGAUAAGUGAUGAUAUCUUGAAUGCGGGUAUAUAUUCCAACUGGGUGCUUGGCCACAUGUAAUUUUUCUGCGCUCGGAAGCCAUUCCGGGAUAAUCUUGUCAACAAUUUCUCUAAUAAGCUUUGCUUCGCGCCUGAAAAUUGAAUUCGUAAGCGUUAGUGGGACUCAAUGAACAGUAGGAGCUAUCAGUACAUAGACAAUUGUCUUUACUUCAUAAAAGAAAGAAAUUCAUUCACUAAAAUGUUUCAAAACUUGAAAAGCAGGUGAAUGAUUACCCAUUGUUAGUGAUUUGAAGAUGUUGGCCAAACAAAUUUGCAGCUUCUGUAAGAGCCUUUCUCCAUUGCUUUACCCUUUCUUGUUUAGCUUCACGUUCCUUGUCAUCUUUUUCUUCAUGGAUGCCCUCUUCGUGCUUCUGAAAUGCUUGAGCUAAAUCUCCGUUCUGCUUCCUAAUGUGAAGGAUCAACAUGAUAGAAUAUUGGCAAAACACGUCGCCCCAGUUUGUAUCUGCACUCCAUGAUCUUCACCAGCUCGUCAAGACACCAACUCGAGUCCGCAUAACUCUUUGAGAAGACAAUGAUAGAGAUCCUCGCCUCUUUGAUUGCCCGGACCAGUUCCUCUUUUAUUUCUUCCCCUCUUUCUAGAUCGUCCUCAUCGAUAUAAGCCUGGUAUCCCCUGUCAGUUAAUGCCGCAUGGAGGUGGCCCGUGAAACCAUUGCGUGUGUCUACACCGCUGAAUCUCAAGAACAUGUCGUAAUUCCAAAGUUUUGACUUGGAGGACGAUGAAGAGGAGGCUUCGUGGGUCGUCAUGGCGGUAUCCACCGUUAUGGCACUGCAGUGGUUCAGAUCACGACUGAAAAAUGGCAGUAGUUGUGCUCAUGCUGUCGAACGAAUGAUCCUGAAAUACCUAAAACCCAAGUCAAGCUCCUUCAGUCAACAAGAAUAAAGUUUUAAUAUAAUAAUGUUGGUGUAUGGACUUGAGAAACGACAUAAUGUUGGCCGGAAAGUGCAGAGAAAGAGAGAGGAAAAGAGGAACAAAAGGAGAAAGACUAUCCAAAUGAUUCUUGGCUGUGAUUACAGCUAUUCAUAGGAGAAACAACGUACAUAUUUUCAUAGGAGAAACAACUUGCCCAUCUUCAUAUAUAAUACAUUUCAACAGACAUAUUUUAAUAGGAGAAACUAGGGGUGGGCAAACGGGUCCAGGAACCGCAGGUCGGGGCGGGUAAUGGCGGUUCAGGGCGGGUACAGGCCGGGUCUUAUUUUUUUAAAGAAGAAACGGGGUGGGGGCGGGGAGGUGGUAUUUAUGGGGCGGGUCGAGUUCAAAUUUGUACAAGCAUGGGGCCCCGGGCCGACCCGUUCCUAAAAUGGACUGAUUGGAACCUGGACAAUAUGUUGUGGGCUUACUACACAAGGCAAUGGCCCAUGUGGGCUUACUGCUCGAAUACUCUAGAAACUAUGAUCCGACUCCUAUCUCUCCUGGAUCGAUCCCCAAAUCCCACUACUCUCUCUCCUCGUCGGCAUCACCGAACACAGAACCACCGAUUCACCACCAUCGUCACCCAUCACCGCCGUGGCGACCAUCACCAUCGCAGACGCUAUUAACCGUUAGUUUCACCCUAGGUCUCCCCUAUGUCUAUCACUCAAGUCCUCGAUCGUUUCUCUCCCGCGUGCGUCAUUCCCUCCACGGUUCUUCCACUACACUCUGUCACUCUCCGUCACUCUCCGUCAGUCACCUCCUCCACCACCCCGACAUCAACCCCGUCGCGAGUCUGGGCCCUGGCGACCACCACGACGAGCCAGCAACCUCGAUUGUCUUCCUCGAGUCCUCGAUGGCAUCCCAGAUUUAGAGAACUUUAGGGUUCUCUUUCUCCCUCCCACCCCUCGAAUCGACUGCGUCGACAUCAAAUCAGCCACCACACGAGUCACGAGGCUUCAAAUUCGGCUGGUGACUGCCCAAUCUGGUGCGACUCAACCGAUUCCGAGCGCUCUUGACUCUGUCGACGAAGAAGAAGAAGAGAAGAAAAAAAAAAAUAACCCGUGGACCCGGGCCGGGUUAGGUCAGGUUUCUGUGUUAAAAUUAGUUGUACCCGCCCCUGCCCGACCUGUUUCUUUUAAACCUGGGUCCGGCCGGUCCCUUCAAAAUUGGGCCCGGCCCUGGGCCCGGCCCGGCCCAUGCCCAGCCCUAGGAGAAACAACUUUAGUUUUUACUAGAAAUUUUUACCCACACGUUGCUACAGGAUUUGAAAUUGUAUAAAAGAUUAUCUUUGAAAUAUAUAAUAGAUUGUGUGAUUGAAGAUUAAUACUAUUUACACUGAAAACGUUGGGAAAAGUUUUACAUACAAAAGAUUUUACAAUACAAUCCACAUACAAAAGAUGGUAAAUUUUUUUCUAUCUACAUGCAUUAUGUUAUGGAAUGAUAUAUAUAUAACUAAGUUCCAGAAUACGUAAAUUUCAUAAUUUCGAAUUUUUUUGACAAAUUAAUCAGAUUCAACUGUGGGAUAGAAAGGUCGCCUAUAAAGUUGUGAAGUCGUGGAAGCAUAAAGGACAAAUAACAAAUGAGUUUUGAGAAAUUAUUCCACAAAAGUCAUUUUGCAAAAUGCAAAUGUAUUAAAGACGAUUGGUACAAGAUUAGUAAUCAUAAGUAGUGUAACAACAUCAACAAAAUAACUAUAAACCAUAGUUGAACAUAAUUCAAAUUUCGUUUGCAAAAACAAAAGAAAAAGAAAGAAAACAUACUUACAAUAAUUCAGCCUUUAAUCCUAAAGUCCUACUCAAAGAUCCAAACUUGAAUGCAAGCUUUCUGAAAUCUUCCAAACAAUACAGAUAAAAAGGUAACACCCUAGUCAGAAAUGAACCAAGGUGCGAGCUUUCUUAGAAACUCAGAUGAAAAAAUCAACAAAAUAGAAUGAAAAAAUGACUUACACUUUUAAGGCAUGCUCGAAUCGUGAUCUAAAAUUGGUGGUGGGUCGAUUGUUGGUCACCAACUCUAAAUGAAGAAUUCAUCAGAACCUAGAAAUUUAACAAAGAAUUUUCCAAAAUCAACAUUUACUAAAAACCAGUUACUUGGUUAUCAUGCAUGAUGGCUUGCCAAAGACUAAAUUAAGGAAUGCACAACUUUACCUUUAUGAUAUUUUCAAUGACAGCUAAAAGGUCAGAUUCAAAUGAAAAUAAAAGUUAGGACUUCACAAAACCAAUUAAAAAUCUAAUUCCAAAGUUACAAACACCAACCAAAUGAUUCCAGAUAAAGUUUUAAACUCAAAGUCAGACCCAAAUGAAAUUAAAAGUUAGGACUUCACAAAACCAAUUGAAAAUCUGAUUCCAAAGUUCCAAACACCCACCAAAUGAUUCUGGAUAAAGUUUAAACUCAAAAACCCAACAGAAACAAAAACCCAAAGUUCCAAACACCCACCAAUUGGUGUGACUUAAUUGUAUCUAAUUGAAGAAACUAAAACAAAAAUAAAGCAAAGUAUAUACCUCAAAAUAUCAACCAACUAAGUUCUUCCUCCGACAACCCAAAACUCUGAAAAUUCCACACAAAAAGGGUAAAUCCGUAAGCAAUUCAUAGCUUUCAAAAUUAACAAAAACUUGGGCAACAAUAAAGACACGUUGAGAACCAUCACUCUUUCUCCUUGUGUAUUUGAAAAUAUAUUUUAUAAGCAGUUUAUGUAGUCAUUCUGAUCAUGUUGCAGUUAAAUUCCUUUUCCACAGAGUUCAAAAUUAUAUGGCAGUUUAUGGCAUCUGUUGAACAACAUGGUUGAAAGAUUUAAAAUUGAUACAUUCAAUUUUUAUGUGUAAAACUAUAACAUAUACCUAAAGCUAUUUGGUCUAUAUAUCCAUAUCAAUCAUGUUGUAAUUAAAUGUUUAUCGAUGUAAAUAGAUGAUUUCAGUCAUGUGAUAACAUGUUUCUUGUUAGUAUACGCUGAAGUUUGGUCUAAGUUGGAUAAAAAUCGACCAAAAUCUUAGUAAGAGACUCUUUUAACUUUUAACCAAAAAAUGAGCACCACAAUACUACACUCAUAAGUUUUAUCAUGCACAAAAUAUACAACACUGAUAGCCACUUUUAGAGCAAGAACAAUACUUUACCAGACGAAAACAACAAAACACUCAAAACCCAGAAACAGAAACACACUUAGGACUCAAACUCCUCAAAAACAUAAGAAAGAGAGUGCAUGAGGAGAGAGAAUAAAAAAAAAUAUUAUUUUUCACAAACUCAAAAUUGCUUAUAAAAUUACAAAUCAAAACAAAUGAAUGCAAAUCCAAAAUUGCCCUAAAUUAAAUCUGUUUAGUUAAAUGUUUGUUGCCCUUCAAAUGUCAUUACACCUGACAAUUGCUUUGAAGUUGAUAUUUUGGUCAAUCCAGGGGAAAAGGAGUUAUUUCUUUUGGAGCAGUUGUCAUGGAGAAUCCCAUCUCCAUGUUGAAUGAUCUAAAAAAUUACUUACAUCUUCUGGUGGCCACAAUAAUUUAGGAGGCCCUUCUCUCCAGAUUUUCUCAAUAACUUUGCUUUUCGUAGCUGGUAAGAUUGCAACUCCAAGAAUUGCUCUGAAGAGAUAUAUACAAACAAAAUCAACCUAAAACUAAGCUAUUGGAACAAAUUUGGAAAACACAAACACCACUACAACUCAGAGUUAAAGUCAAUAGAAACCAAAUGGGAGAAGUUGAAAAAAUAUAUGGUCAUGAAUCGAGAACUUCAUCAAACUAACAGCAAUAAAAUCUCAUAUAAUCUGUCUAAAACCAAAAGAGAGAGAGAGGUAAUUUCAAGACCUUGUAACGCUAAGGCCUCGUACAGUUGUAGUAAUAAUAUAUGGUUGAUGCACCUGUUGCUCAAUCAAAUCCUUUGUCUGGCUAAAAAAAUAAAAAUCUAUAAAUACAUUCACGUCCAAUUUAUGAGAAAUCAUGGGAAAGCAAAUGCACUGAUAACGGAAUCAUGAAUAUGAAGAACUUGCCAAAAAGAAAAAGAAAACUUCUUAUAGUGUGCCAAGAACAUCCUCCUACUCCUAGCAAAUUUUUUAUGGCAUUAUCCACUUCUCAAUUCAUAAUUCAACCAGUAACUCAAAGUCUAUAGUGUAUGAAAAAGUGAUAUCUUAGUUGAUCACGAUGAUAAUUAAGCAGAUUAAAUGACGACCCAUAAAGCAUACAAAUUCAGAAAAGAAAAGGUUCAAAACUGCCAUAAGAAAACACAGAAUAUAUAAACGGGAAAUCAAAAGAAGAGAAGCGAAAAGGAAGAAAAAACCAAACAAAAUUAUUAGGUUUGUGAUAUACCUUUAUCCGAAACGCCACAAUCAUCAAAGUCAAACAUAAACAAUCCAAAAAUUUGUGGAAAAUAACAAUAAAUGCUUAACUAAAAACGAAAGAAAACGUAGAAUAAGUUUACAUGUUCUCCCCCUAAUUAAACUGGAAUACAAUUCACCACUAAUAUUCUCGUCAUCCUCUUCAGCCUGAAAAAUUUAGUAGAAAUAUUCAAUGAAGACGCUUAAUGGAGACAGUAAUAUUAGCAAUGGAGGAAUUGAAUUGAUAACUAAAACUGCAAGACCAAAUGACUACAAUAGGUUCACAACAGAAACUCGUCUGUUAGAUGUCUCAUCUUUAGGCAGUGCCUUGUUCUUUUUUUUUCUUUUUUGUCCUUUUGAAUUUCGGCAACAACAACUUUAAUAUCCUUACCUGCAUUUACCAUGAUUGGUCACUCUCAAAACCUUACCUAAGAGACCCAAAAACCAAAAUAACUGCCAAAAGAGCUGAACAUACAUAUCUAGAAAAACUUAUUCAACUACAUGCUAAAAUGGAAGUGUAAAAUUGCCAGGAAAGAUAAGAAACUAUUCAAAUACGAGUUCUGGGCGUUACUGCCACAAAAGGCACGAGCCGAGCGGCUAUCAACAAGAACACACUUCACAUUUGGGUCAGAUUCCCAUUCAUCCAGAUAGCUCUUGUAUUUCACAUCCAAAUCUGCAUUUUCCAACAAUUCCCACUUAAACAGAAACACAAAAUUCUUCCAAAAAGAGCUAACUUCUUCGAAAUUUGAAUCUAACGUUUCGUCUUAUAACAAAUGCAAUAACAUAGACUUGUAAUCAAUACGAUGCCAUAAAGUUCAAGCUCAAAAAUUCAAAUCAUCUCCAAAUCAAAAGCAAUUACAGAUAUACACAUGUAUACAUAUGCGUUUGUGUGUUUAUCUACAUACCUAGGUUUAUGGCGUUGAGAGCUCGGGGGGCGACCGAGGGUGAUGACGGCGACGCCAAAGGUGCGGAGAAGGCGAGGGGAUUUGCUCAGAAUUUGGGUCGCUCGUCCCUCUUAUGAGAGUGACUCAAAAAUCGAAAAAGUUGAAAUUUAUUGAUUGUGAUCUGACUCAAACAUGUGAUGAUGACGAUGCAUCACCACCUUGGUUGUGCCUCUGGAUCAAAAACCCACCAUCACCAUCAAAAUCGUGCUCAUUUUCCUUCAUAGGUUUGUCCCAUACUAGAUUAACCCCUGUUCCCUUAAUUGUCACAUUAUCUAAUGUAACGUAUGGCUCUGGCAUUUCAAAAGUUAUAUCAACUGUAUCCCCGCUUUGCAAAUUGAGCUUAUCGUUCGAUAUUUGUCCCUGCCAAAGAAAACAUUCUUUAUAUACAACAUCGCGCAUGAGGUUUUUUCUUUUUUUGGCGUAACAAUCGCGCAUUUUUAUAACCCAAUCUUCCUUGCUUAUGCAGGUCCGCAACUCAGUACGCUUGGUAUUAUUUAUAUCAAUCCUGGCAAGAGGAUGACUAUCUUUACAUCUGAUAUAAGGGCCGAACUGAGAAGGACUUGAGCAAUAAAAGCAUAACAGAGUCAGCCCUUCAAAAUUACAACCAUCACUCGGGGGGAUAUCAAAAGUGAUUUUAUUACCAUCGUUGACAAACUCGAACCAAUCAGGAACAUAAUUCCCAUUGAGAAAAAUGCCACCAUAUCCGCAAGAAGUCCAUCCCUAUAUACACAGUGCAAGUGUCAUAUAUAUAUACAUGUACAUGUGCGUUGUGUGUGUGCAUGUGCCCAAUAGGAAGACAAUUAAAGAGAGAGAUACCUUUAGGACUUUCCUCAUAAAAUCAGCGGUGAGUUCGGCGCAAUACGUCAUAUCAAUCCAUGUCAUGGAGUUUAAUGACUUAUCCAAGUCUGGAACCUCAGUGAGUGCAUGUGAAUCACGUACAUUUAGCUCUCUUAUAUUCGACAUUUUCGAAAAAUUUGGCAUUGUUAUCAAACGAUAGCAACGAGACGCAUCCAGAAAUUUCAAAUUUGUUGGUAAACCAUAGAUUGUAUGAAGGUUAUGGCAGUAACCUAACCACAAAUUUUCAAGCUUUGAAAGACCACUGAGGCUGGGUAGGGUAUGAAAAUCAUUAGAUGAGAGAUCUAAAUUUCUUAAAAAGUCUAAGCUGAGUAACGAAUCGGGAAAUUGCAAAUGAGUGAGAUUCGUCAAUCCUAGAGAUAAAUGAGUGAGAUUCUUCAAUCUUACUGUGGAACGCGGUACUUGUCUUAUGGCUGUCUCAUAUGCUUUAAGUACUCUCAAUGAUAUCAUAUUCCCUAAAUCCUCGGACAGUUCACUGAAUUGCCCACAAAAAAUCAAGAACAAGAGUCUGAACGGAUUUGGACCUGUAGAAAUCCCCAGGAAGAGAAAUAAGAUUCUUGCAGCCUGUGAGGUUCACCAAAGAAAGUUUUUUAAGAUGACCAAUGGAGGGGUGAAUCUCGGACAAACUCUCACACCAUUCCAAUAUCAACUCUUCAAGACUUGGGAGAUUUGAUAAGUCUGGUGAUUUUUCUAAGUCAGAGCAACCACUGAAAUCAAGGAUUUUCAAGUUUUUAAGCGACUGUUGCACAAAAUCCAAGAAAAAUUAAAAUUAAUAUCCAAAAGGAAUAUCUCAUAAAAUAAAUAAAUAAAGAGAGAAGGAAAUCCAAAAACAAAUAGAAACUUAACAUCAUCAUGUGUAAUCGAUUGUACCUUCGAGCCCUCCCAAACUUGUACCAGUUUGCUAUACUUUAUCUCUAAAAUAACUAGUCUUGGUUGAUCAAAGAAGUCAUCUGGUAUGGACUUUAAAGGGCAUUCAUUCCAACACAACCAUAUUAACUCUUUGGGGAGAUGUUUGUAUUCUCCAUUGAGUUGCACGUUGUAGAGCUGGAGCAGUCUCAGUUUCUUCAUAUUGGCAAAUGCUUCUGUACUGAUACUUGGAGACAGAAGAUCAGGGAAACCUACAACAAGUCCUUCAACUUCUUUAGUUCCCUGUUAACAACACAUUAUACUGGGUAAGAAAAGGAUUAUGUGCAUCUAUUUUACGUGAUUUUGCUAAUUGAGCUUCUUAAUGCGAAUACAUAUAUUUACACAUAAAGGUCGUACCCAGUGCACAAGGCUCCCGCUUUACGCAGGGUCUGGGAGAGGUGAAUGUCGGCUAGCCUUACCCCCAUUUAUGGAGAGGCUGCUCCCAAGUCUCGAACCCGAGACCUACCGCUCAUGGGCGAAGGCACUUGCCAUCGCACCAAGUGCGACCUCUGAAUACAUAUAUUUACACAUAAAUGUUUUUAAUGUAUGACAGCUAUACGUGGGUUACAUAUUUGCUUUUCUUGUACGAUGCAUUAAUACAAAAUUUUAUAGGGAAUGUACUUACAGAUUUAUCUCUCAAUACAUCAGUGACCUCCUGCUGGUUCCACAACCUACUCCAUUCUCCAGGGUGACGAGGGGAUUUUUCAGAAAUGAUUAAUUUGGCCAUUUCUCGAAGCAAAUCAUGUAUAUUCAACUUGUUGUCUUCAACAGUUAUAAGGCAUCAUUCACGAAGGACACUCAUUCCUAUUGUCGCAAAAAAGUCACAUCCAUCUAAUAUUUUUGUGACAUAGUCAUUAUCCCAUCCAAUGAAGAAACAAGAUAUGUCAAGGAAUAUAGCCUUCUGUUUAUCAUCUAGCCCUUCAAAGCUUAUUCUUAGUCGUUGUAUUAUUUCUCCUUCAGGAGUUGUUUUCAAUUUUACCAAUUGAUUUUCCCACUCUGCUAUGGUUCUUCCAAUUAAAAAAGUGCCUAAAACUUCAAGUGCUAGUGGCAAACCUCCACAGUAAGAAACGAUCUUCCUUGAGAGUUCAAGAUAUCCUUCAUUAGGCCAACAAUUUCUAAAGGCAUGCCAACUAAAGAGCUCCAGAGCUUCUUCUUCAUUCAUUUUAUGAAGCGGAUAUAUCUUGUCCACUCCAACUUGGCGUAGUAAAUGUUCAUCUCGUGUCGUUAUGAUAAUUCUACUUCCUAAGCCAAACCAAUCACAAUUUCCAGCUAUUGCAUUUAGUUGUUUCAUUUUGUCUACAUUGUCAAUAAUGACAAGUACGCUUCUACGUUGGAGAUGAUAUUUUAUCAGGCCGAUACCUUCAUCAACACUGGUUAUCUCAGGCUUGGUCUGUUUCAAGAUGUCAGAAACAAGUUUUUUUUGCGAAACAACCAGAUCUUUUUCACUAACGUUGUCAAGGAAACUUUUGAAUUGGAACUCAUGAUGAAUUUUGUUAUAAAUGGCUUUGGCAGCUGUUGUUUUACCCAAUCCACCCAUCCCCCCAAAUUCCAACCAUGCGAACAUCAUCUGAUCCACCACUUGAAAGAUAACUGAUAAUAUCUUGAACGCGAGAAUUGAUUCCAACCAGGUGAUUGGCCACAUGUAAUUUGUUUGCUCUCCGAAGCCAUUCCGGAAUAAUCUUGUCAACAAUUUCUCUAAUACGCUGUGCUUCGCAACUGAAAAUUGAAUUGGCAAGCUUAGUAAGCUCAGUAGGAGCUAUUAGUACACAAACAAUUUUCUUUCCUUCGUGUGUGUGUGUGUGUGUGUGUGUGUGUGUGUGUGUAUACACACUAACUAGCUACUAGCUAGUAUGUGAGUUUGUGAUCAACUUCAAUAAAAGAAACAAAUUCAUUCACUGAUAUAUUAAAGUUUGGUGUAUCAAUUAAACUCAUUAUGGUUUAGAUUUUAGAAGAAAUUGGAGAAAUGGUCCAUGAACUAUGAUCGAAUUGUAGCUUUGGUUCUUAAACUAAAAAUUCAUUAAAUCUCGUCCCUGAACUUAACAAAAUAUGGAACAUUGGUCCCUCCAUGUUAACACCGUAAGAUUUUCUGUUAAUUUGAUAACGUCGUCUUUGUGGGCUCCAUAUUUUUGUUUAUUAGAUGCCACGUUGCUUGAAAAUUCAAAUAAAAGAAAAUAAAUACAAGCAUUGAGAAACAAAGAGAAAAAAAAAUACUUUAAAUUAUAAAAGUUAACUCUCUCCCAUCCUCCCUUCCGCCUCACCUUCUCCAAACCCCAGCCACACCAUUGUAGCACUUUCCCAACAGCCAAAACAAAAGAAAAGUUCCUCAUCCAAAUUUGGAACACACCUCACCUUGCAAACGACUUCACAAUGACAUUCAUCUACGCUGUCUCGAAAGGUAAGAUUCAAGAAAUUUGUGGGAUGCGGGUUCGGGGUUCGGGUGAAGGCUGUGGUCCGUGGGCUAAAGGUUGGGGUCGGCUGGGGAGUGGGGAUUAGGGAUUGGGGGUUGGAAGUGGGAGGUUGACGGGGUGGGAAUCAACGAUUGAAGGUGAAGGGGUGGGCUGCGAGCCUGCGAGUGUUGGUGGGAUGAGGUAGGCCUGCAAUUAUAUAUAUAUAUGUAUGUAUGUAUGUAUGUAUGUAUGUAUGUAUAUAUAUAUGUAUGUAUGUAUAUAUGUAUAUAUAUGUAUGUAUAUAUAAUAUAGGUGAAACUAACAUGUAAAGUUGUAAACACUUUUAACUAAAACUGAAAGGAAUUGGUUACGAAGGACUAACGCUCCAUAUUUUAUCAAGUUCAAGGACAAAAUAUAAUGAAAUUUUAGUUUAGGAACCAAAGCUACAAUUUUCCUCUAGAUUUGAUAUGAGAUUUAAGGCGUAUUAAUUAAGCAUGUUAAUUAGAGUAAUGCAACUUAGAUAUUGAAAAGCACGUGAAUGAUUACCUAUUAUCAGUGAUUUGAAGAUGGUAGCCAGACAAAUUUGCAGCUUCUCUAAGAGCAUUUCUCCACUGCUUUACCCUUUCUUGUUUUUCUUCACGUUUCUUGUCAUCUUUUUCUUUACGAAUGUUCUUUUUGUGUUUCUUAAAUGCUUGGGCUAAAACUCCAUUCUGGUUCCUGACAUGUGAAGGAUCAACGUGAUAGAAUAUUGGCAAAACAUGGCGCUCCAGUUUGUCUCUGCACUCGAUGAUCUUCAUCAGCUCAUUAAGACACCAACUCGAACUCGCAUACCUCUUUGAGAAGACAAUGAUAGAGAUCUUCGAUUCUUCGAUUGCCUGGAACAGUUCUUUUUGUAUUUCUUCCCCUCUUUUUAGAUCGUCCUCAUCAAUAUAAGCCUGGUAUCCCCUGUCCGUUAAUGCCCUGUGGAGGUGGCCCGUGAAACCAUUGCGUGUGUCUACACCGCUGAAGCUCAAGAACACGUCGUAAUUCCAAAGUUUUGACUUGGAGGACGAUGAAGAGGAGGCUUCGUGGGUCGUCAUGGCGGUAUCCACCAUUAUGGCGCUGCAGUGGUUCAGAUCACGACUGAAAAAUGGCAGUAGUUGUGCUCGUGCUGUCGAACGGAUGAUCCUGAAAUACCUAAACCCAAGUCAAGCUCCUUCAGUCAACAAGAACAAAGUUUUAAUAUAAUAAUGUUGGUGUAUGGACUUGAGAAACGACAUAAUGUUGGCCGGAAAGUGCAGAGAAAGAGAGAGGAAAAGACGAAUGAAAGGAGAAAAGACUAUCCAAAUGAUUCUUGGCUGUGAUUACAGCUAUUCAUAGGAGAAACAAUGGACAUAUUUUCAUAGGAGAAACAACCUGCCCACUUCAUUUAUAAUAUAUUUCAACAGAGAUAUUUUAAUAGGAGAAACAACUUUCGUUUGUACUAGAAAUUUUUACCCGCGUGUUGCUACGUGAUUUGAAAUUGUAAGAAAGAUUAUCUUUGAAAUAUAUAAUAGAUUGUGUGAUUGAAGAUUAAUACUAUUUACAUUGAAAACGUUGGAAAAAGUUUUACAUACAAAAGAUUUUACGAUACAAUCCACAUCAAAAGAUGGUAAAUUUUUUUCUAUCUACAUGCAUUAAGUUAUGGAAUGAUAUAUAGAUAUAUAUAUAUAACUGAGUUCCAGAAUACGUAAACUUCAUAACUUGGAAAUUUUUUGACAAAUUAAUCAGAUUCAACUGUGGGAUAGCAAGGUCGCCUAUAAAGUUGUGAAGUCGUGGAAGCAUAAAGGACAAAUAACAAAUGAGUUUUGAGAAAUUAUUCCACAAAUGUCAUUUUGCAAAAUGUAUUAAAGACGAUUGGGUACAAGAUUAGUAAUCAUGAGUAGUGUAACAACAUCAACAAAAUAACUAUAAUCCAUAGUUGUUGAACAUAAUUCAAAUUUCGUUUGCAAAAACAAAAGAAAAAGAAAACAGACUUACAAUAAUUCAGCCUUCAAUCCUGAAGUCCUACUCAAAGAGCCAAACUUGAAUGCAAGCUUUCUGAAAUCUUCCAAACAAUACAGAUAAAAAGGUAACAUCCUAGUCAGAAACGAACCGAGGUGCAAGCUUUCUUAGAAACCCAGAUGACAAAAUCAACAAAAGAGAAUGGAAAAAUGACUUACACUUUUAAGGCAUGCUCAAAUCUUGAUCUAAAAUUUGUGGUGGGUCGAUUGUUGGCCACCAACUCUAAAUGAAGAAUUCAUCAGAAACUAGAAAUUUAAACAAAGAAUUUUCCAAAAUCAACAUUUACUAAAAACCAGUUACUUGGUUAUCAUGCAUGAUGGCUUGCCAAAGACUGAAUUAAGGAAUGCACAACUUUACUUUUUAUGAUUAUUUUCAAUGAUAGCUAAAAGGUCAGAUCCAAAUGAAAAUAAAACUUAGGACUUCACAAAACCAAUUAAAAAUCUAAUUCCAAAGUUACAAACACCCACCAAAUGAUUCCAGAUAAAGUUUUAAACUCAACGUCAGACCCAAAUGAAAUUAAAAGUUAGGACUUCACAAAACCAAUUGAAAAUCUGAUUCCAAAGUUCCAAACACCCACCAAAUGAUUCCGGAUAAAGUUUAAACUCAAAAACCCAACAGAAACAAAAGCAUUGGUGUGAAUUAACUGUAUCUAAUUGAAGAAACUAAAACAAAAGUAAAGCAAAGUACAUACCUCAAAAUGUCAAGCAACUAAGUUCUUCCUCCGACGACCCAAAAUUCUGAAAAUUCCACACAAAAAAAGAGUAAGCCCAUUAGCAAUUCAUAGCUUUCAAAAUUAGCAAAAACUUGGGCAACAAUAAAGACGCGUUGAGAACCAUCACUCUUUCUCCUUAUAUAUUUGAAAAGAUAUUUUAUAAGCAGUUUAUGUAGUCAUUCAGAUCAUGUUGCAUAUAAAUUCCUUUUCUACAGAGUUCAUAAAAGUAUGGCAGUUUAUGGUAUCUGUUGAAUGACAUGGUUGAAAGAUUUCAAAUUGAUAUAUUCAAUUUAUGUGUAAAACUAUAACAUAUAGCUAAAGCUAUUGGGUCUAUAUAUCCAUAUCAAUCAUGUCGUAAUUGAAUGUUUAUCAAUGUAAAUAGAUGAUUUCAGUCAUGUGAUAACAUGUUUCUUGAUAGUAUACGCUGAAGAUUGGUCUAAGUGGGAUAUGAAUCGACCAAAAUCUUAAGAAGAGACUCUUUUAACUUUUAACCAAAAAUGAACACCACAGUACUACACUAAGUUUUAUCAUGCAUAAAAUACACAACACUGAUUGCCACUUUUAGAAAACAACAAAACACUCAAAACCCAGAAACAGAAACACACUUUAGGACUCAAACUCCCCAAAAACAUAUGAGAGAGAUAGAGAGAUAGAGAGAGAGAGAGAGAGAGAGAGAGAGAGAGAGAAUAAAAACAAUAUUAUUUUUCACACAAACUCAAAAUUGCUUAUAAAAUUACAAAUCAAAACAAAUGAAAGCAAAUCCAAAAUUGCCCUAAAUUAAAUCUGAUUAGUUAAAUGUUUGUUGCCCUACAAAUGUCAUUACACCCGACAAAACUUGCUUUGAAGUUGAUAUUUUGGUCAAUCCGGGGGAAAAUGAGCUAUUGCUUUUGGAGCAGUUGUCAUGGAGAUUACCAUCUCCCUGUUGAAUGAUCUAAAAAAGGACUUACAGCUUCUGGUGGCCAUAAUAAUUUAGGAGGUCCUUCGCUCCAGAUUUUCUCAAUAACUUUCCUUUUCGUGGCUGGUAGGAUUGCAACUCCAAGAAUUGCUCUGAAGAGAUAUAUGCAAACAAAAUCAAACUAAAACUAAGCUGUUGGAAGAAAUUUAGAAAACACAAACACCACAACUCAGAGUUAAAGUCAACAGAAACCAAAUGGUAGAAGUUGAAAAAAAUAUAUGGUGAUGAAUCGAGAACUUCAUUAAACUAACAGCAAUAAAAUCUCAUAUAAUCUGUCAAAAACCAAAAAAGAGAGAGGUAAUUUCAAAACCUUGUAACGCUGAGGCGUCGUACAGUUGUAGUAAUAAUAUAUGGUUGAUGCACCUGUUGCUCAAUCAAAUCCUCUGUCUGGCUAAAAAAAUAAAAAUCUAUAAAUACAUUCACGUCCAAUUUAUGAGAAAUCAUGGGAAAGUAAAUGCACUGAUAACGGAAUUAUGAAUAUGAACUUGCCAAAAAGAAAAAGAAAACUUCUUAUAGUGUGCCAAGAACAUCCUCCUACUCCUAGCAAUUUUUAAUGGCAUUGUCCACUUCUCAAUUCAUAAUUCAACCAAUAACUCAAAGUCUAUAGUGUUUGAAAAAGUGAUAUCUUAGUUGAUCACGAUGAUAAUUAAGCAGAUUAAAUGAUGACCCAUAAAGCAUACAAAUUCAGAAAAGAAAAGGUUCAAAACUGUCAUGAGAAAAUACAGAAUAUAUAAACAGGAAAUCAAAAAAAGAGAAGUGAAAAAGGAAGAAACAACCAAACAAAAUUAUUAGGUUUGGGAUAUACCUUUAUCUGAAACGCCACAAUCAUCAAAGUCAAACUUAAACAACAACAACAACAACAACAACAACAAAGCCUUUUCCCACUAAGUGGGAAAGUCAAACUUAAACAAUCCAAAAAUUUGUGGAAAAUACCAAUAAAUGCUCAACUAAAAACGAAAGAAACGUAGAAUAAGUUUACCUGUUCUGCCCCUAAUUAAACUGGAAUACAAUUCACCACUAAUAUUCCUUGGUGUAUGCUUUUCGCAGACGAUAUAGUGUUGAUAGAUGAAACUCAGGAAGGGGUAAAUGCAAAGCUUAACCUUUGGAGAGAAGUGUUGGAAUCUAAAGGUCUUCGCCUAAGCCGAUCAAAGACAGAAUAUAUGGAGUGCAAGUUCAGUGCAAAUGGAGGCCAAAACGAGUUAGGGGUGAGGAUCGGAGAUCAAGAAAUACUAAAGAGCGACCGUUUUCGUUACCUAGGAUCUAUCUUGCAAAAGAACGGAGAAUUAGAUGGAGAUCUCAACCAUAGAAUACAAGCUGGAUGGAUGAAGUGGAAGAGUGCAUCCGGCGUGUUAUGUGACCGCCGUAUGCCACUGAAGCUCAAGGGAAAAUUUUAUAAGGACGGCAAUAAGGCCGGCGAUGCUGUAUGGCACAGAAUGUUGGGCGGUGAAACAUCAAACACGUACACAAAAUGGGUGUAGCGGAGAUGAGGAUGCUUCGUUGGAUGUGUGGGCACACGAGAAAGGAUAAGAUUAGGAAUGAGGAUAUCCGGGGUAAAGUAGGAGUAGCCGAAAUUGAAGGAAAGAUGAGAGAAAAUCGGUUACGGUGGUUUGGACAUGUGCAAAGAAAGGCCUACUGACGCUCCGAUUAGAAGAUGCGACUAUGGGACAGAGGUUCAGGGCCGAAGGGGUAGAGGAAGACCUAGGAAAACUUUGGAAGAGACUCUAAGAAAAGACUUAGAGUACUUGGAUCUAACGAAGGACAUGACACAGGAUCGAGCACAAUGGCGUUCUAAGAUUCAUAUAGCCGAUCCCACUCAGUGACUUGGAUUUUCCAAGUCUCCAACCGAGAAGUUUUCCUCACUCGGAAAAUUAAGGGAACACUACCCCAACCUACAUGCUCCACUCAGAAAGCUUCAACAUACAAGCUUCAACAAAAGAAAAUUCAAAGAACUUAGCGAAGAAGGCUUUGGUGUAUUAACACAAUACGUUGAAAUGAAGGAAAGCUUAUUUAUUGAUAUCCCCGAUAAGCUACAAAUAUGUACAUAUACAUGAGUCAAAAUAAACACACAAGAGGGAGCCUUCACAAAGGUUGCUUAGGAGAAGUCUCAGCAGUCGGUAGAGCCCCAGAAAGAGAAGGCACCGGAGGGGGAUCAUUUGGAGCCUCAGUACUGGACAGAACCCUAGAAGGAGGAGGCAUCAGAGGUUGAUCAUUUGGAGCUUCAUUACGCGGUACAGCCCCAGAAGACGAAGGCAAUAAAUGCCUUUGGAACAAACCCACAAAUCUCUGAUGAUCAAGUAAAACCUGACCAUCAGUUUCCUUCAUCUGGUCAAGCUUCCUCUUCAUGUUUGUAGCAUAGUCAUGUGCGAGCCGGUGCAACUGUUUAUUCUCAUGCUUGAGCCCUCUAAUCUCCUGUUUGAGACUCAUCACUUCAGCCGCCAAUGAUUCAACUUGGCGGGUUCGAGCAAAUAGGCGUUGGGCCAUAUUAGACACAGAACCUGCACACUGAACACUGAGAGCCAGCGAAUCCUUAACAGCUAACUCAUCAGACCGUUUGGAAAGUAGUCUGUUAUCUUUGGGAGUGAGAAGGUUCCUGGCCACCACCGCAGCGGUCAUAUCAUUCUUCAUCACGGAAUCCCCAACGGUAAGAGGACCAGUAGGGGAGACGAAGGAUGGGCGCCAUAUGUUGUCUGGAGAAGGCGGGGCUGCCUCUUCAACAAGGUUCAAGUCAAAACGACGGUCGGAGGGGCCAGACAUUUUCAAAGGUGUUGAAGAGAGAAGAGGUCGGACAAAUCAAGAUCUUAGAAGUGCAAGAAUGAAGCUUCUACUGGUGGAGAUUCAAGUGUGCUUUGGAACUUAAUGCCAGCCCCUAUAAAAAUCUGCACUCGACGGAGCUUCAGAAAAUCGAAGAGGCGCCUGCUCAGAAAUCGAAGAGGCGUUUGCUUUCUCAAAAGCUGGGCUGCUUAGAGAUCACGAGGGUUGAUCUCAGAAAUCGAAGAGGCGUUUGCUUUCUCAAAAGUUGGGCUGCUCAAAGACCACGAAGGCCGAUCUCAGAAAAUCGAAGAGGCGCUCGCUUUCUCAAAAGCUGGGCUCCCCAGAGACCACGAGGGCCGAUCUCAGAAAUCGAAGAGGCACCUACUUUUCCAGCCUUGUCAGCACCUGUCACACGCACACUCAGCUUUGCGGAAAUUAUGGGCAUUCUGUCGAAGACUUCUGGGGAAGUAGAAAACACAUGAAUCUUACUGUUCAAUCACCCACUUCCCACACGCAACAAUAGCUCAUGGGUACCACAGAUAACUUUGCCAAAGUUCUCUGCCAAAGUUGAGCACGUGAAGCUUGCAGCUCCCACUACAUCGCUCUGACCAAGAAGGGUAAAAGAAUAGCAAAGAAACAGCACUAACAAAGUUUAGACCCAUAAAUUUUGAAGGUCUAGCUACCAUAUUAUUACCCACAAGGGUAAAGGAACAGUACCACUGCUGGAUAAUUGGAAAGUCCCUGUGUGUCAACCUCUGUGCUUCGUGGCAAGGUAGACUAGCAAACAUGCCCAACCUUUACUCACAUUCGAGAAAACACUCCCAAUAAGAUUGCUUGCUCCAAAAUCGAAGAGGCACCGUCCUCCGAAUCUCGAGAGCCAGACUCCCAACAUGACUACUUUCUUAAAAAUCGAAGAGAGGGUAAAGGAACAGUACCAUUGCUGGAUAAUUGGAAAGUCCCUGUGUGUCAACCUCUGUGCUUCGUGGCAAGGUAGACUAGCAAACAUGCCCAACCUUUACUCACAUUCGAGAAAACACUCCCAACAAGAUUGCUUGCUCCAAAAUCGAAGAGGCACCCGCCCUCCGAAUCUCGAGAGCCAGACUCCCAACAUGAUUACUUUCUCAAAAAUCGAAGAGACACUGCUCCCCGAAUCUUCGAGAGCCAGACCCCCAGCAUGAUUGCUUUCUCAAAAAUCGAUGAGGCAUCGUUCUCCGAAUCAAUCGAAGAGGCGCUCGCUUUCUCAAAAGCUGGGCUGCUCAGAGACCACGAGGGCCGAUCUCAGAAAUCGAAGAGGCACCUACUUUUCUAGCCUUGUCAGCACCUGUCACACGCACACUCAGCUUUGCAGAAAUUAUGGGCAUUCUGUCGAAGACUUCUGGUGAAGUAGAAAGCACAUGAAUCUUACUGUUCAAUCACCCACUUCCCACACGCAACAAUAGCUCAUGGGUACCACAGAUAACUUUGCCAAAGUUCUCUGCCAAAGUUGAGCACGUGAAGCUUGCAGCUCCCACUACAUCGCUCUGACCAAGAAAGGUAAAAGAAUAGCAAAGAAACAGCACUAACAAAGUUUAGACACAUAAAUUUUUGAAGGUCUAGCUACCAUAUUAUUACCCACAAGGGUAAAGGAACAGUACCACUGCUGGAUAAUUGGAAAGUCCCUGUGUGUCAACCUCUGUGCUUCGUGGCAAGGUAGACUAGCAAACAUGCCCAACCUUUACUCACAUUCGAGAAAACACUCCCAACAAGAUUGCUUGCUCCAAAAUCGAAGAGGCACCGUCCUCCGAAUCUCGAGAGCCAGACUCCCAACAUGACUACUUUCUCAAAAUCGAAGAGAGGGUAAAGGAACAGUACCAUUGCUGGAUAAUUGGAAAGUCCCUGUGUGUCAACCUUUGUGCUUCGUGGCAAGGUAGACUAGCAAACAUGCCCAACCUUUACUCACAUUCGAGACAACACUCCCAACAAGAUUGCUUGCUCCAAAAUCGAAGAGGCACCCGCCCUCCGAAUCUCGAGAGCCAGACUCCCAACAUGAUUACUUUCCUCAAAAAUCGAAGAGACACUGCUCUCCGAAUCUCGAGAGCCAGACCCCCAGCAUGAUUGCUUUCUCAAAAAUCGAAGAGGCAUCGUUCUCCGAAUCUCGAGAGCCAGAUACCACAGACCACUUUUUCAAAGUGCUCUGACAGAGUUAAAACAUGUGAAACUGGCAGCUCCCACUACCGUGCUAUGACCAAGCAGGGUAAAGGAAUAGCAUUACUACUUGUUGUUAGGGAGACUCCUAUAUAUGUCGACCUCCAUCCCCAACGGACAGGCAGACCUGCAAAAAUGCUCAACCCUUCAUCAUAUCUGAGAGGGCACUCCCAACGAAGCCUUUCGAAAUAUUCAGCUUUCUUUCCCCCCGAUAAUACCUCUGCAAACAAGCUAUACUACUAGAGCAAGAAUAUCUCAUAUCAUCAGGGUUAAAAGCAAGAGUAUCCCAUAUCAUGCUUUUUCCCUGUCUUUUCCUUUGGCCUUGUUUUUUACCUGCAAGACAAGGAGAAAGAGAGAGCAAUCAGUCAGCACUUGGAAUCAAGCUUCCAGCCAGGAACUGACUGCCUGGAACCCCUUACCUGAUUACUUACCUGGCAUUGCUCUCGAGUACUCAUCUUCAACAUCUUAUGUUUCCAGGGAAGAUUCCGCAUCUGCUUGAGGAACAGAUAGGGCAAGUGCGAAGGAUACAAGGAAGCAUGUGGAGACAAGCGUAACAGCACACGUGCCGAUACAUCCAUUACUCUGUCAAAAGCAAAAGUAUCCCAUAUCAGCAGGGUGGAACGUACUCUAGAUUUGAUGGACUUGUUUUGACCCUCAAAUUCUUCAGUCGGCCUUAUACUCUGGAGGAAACCAGAAAACCCUCCAGCUCAGUUCAAGAAUAAGCCUGUGGAAAGUUACUUCUUCAAAAGCAAAAGUAUCUCUCAUAUCAUCUCUUCUCAUUUUUUCUUCUCUUUAUCCUUCAUGCUGCUGCAAGAUGGGGAGAAGGUGAACAAUCAGUCGGAGCUCUGAUUGCUUACCUUGUCUGUCACCUCUUUCAGCAGACCCCCUAGCUCGGCGACUUGGGGGACUCCUACUACAUGGUUUGUAUCGCGCUUGACCAAGCCUGAAACUACAAGUAAGCUUCAAGUGAAAUUGAUACAUUACCUUGUGCAUCUCCACCAGUUAAAGAUACCACCCCUGGAUGGAGGAAGAGUACUUCCAGAGAAGAUGCCACAUCUACCUAUGAGACAGAUAAGGCAAGUCAAGACGACACCACACUCCGAUACUUAGAAGUUUCGUGAUUACGAGAUCAUUCUCCCACAAUAUUUCCUAAUGUCAUUUGUACUAAAUCAUUCACUUGUACUCACUAAAGGAGAGCUUGAACCUAUGUACUUGUGUAAACCCUUCACAAUUAAUGAGAACUCUUCUAUUCCGUGGACGUAGCCAAUCUGGGUGAACCACGUACAUCUUGUGUUUGCUUUCCUAUCUCUAUCCAUUUAUAUACUUAUCCACACUAAUGACCGGAGCAAUCUAGCGAAGAUCACAAAAAAGCGACCGUUUUCGCUACCUAGGAUCUAUCUUGCAAGAGAACGGAGAAUUAGAUGGAGAUCUCAACCAUAGAAUACGAGCUGGAUGGAUGAAGUGUAAGAAUGCAUCCGGCGUGUUGUGUGACCGUCGUAGGCCACUGAAGCUCAAGGGAAAAUUUUAUAGGACGGCAAUAAGGCCAGCGAUGUUGUAUGGCACAGAAGAAUGUUGGGUGGUGAAGCAUCAACACGUACACAAAAUGGGUGUAGCGGAGAUGAGGAUGCUUCGUGGGAUGUGUGGGCACACGAGAAAGGAUAAGAUUGGGAAUGAGGAUAUCCGAGGUAAAGUAGGAGUAGCCGAAAUUGUAGGAAAGAUGAGAGAAAAUCGGCUCCGGUGAUUUGGACAUGUGCAAAGAAGGCUGAAUGACGCUCCGGUUCGAAGAUGUGACUACGGGACAGAGGUUCAGGGUUGAAGGGGUAGAGGAAGACCUAGGAAAACUUUGGAAGAGACUAUAAGAAAAGACUUAGAGUACUUGGAUCUAACGGAGGACAUGACACAAAACCGAGCGCAAUGGCGUUCUAGGAUUCAUAUAGCCGACCCCACUUAGUGGGAAAAGGCUUUGUUGUUGUUGUUGUUGUAUUCAAUGAAGAUGCUUAAAGGAGACAGUAAUAUUAGCAAUGAAGGAAUUUAAUUGAUAACUAAAACUGCAAAACAAAAUGACUACAAUAGGUUCAAAACAGAAACUCGUCCGAUAGAUAUCUCAUCUUUAGGCAAUGCCUUGUUCCCUUUUUUUUUUUUUUUUUUUUUUUUUUUUUUUGUUGCAUGUCUUGUGAACUUCAUGUAAAUCAACAAAAUUGAUACCUUAACCAACAAUGGAGAGGUAAAAAGUUAAAAACAGAAGGAAUGUCUUCAGUUUUGUAAUGGAUUUUGCAAGUCAAAUUCUGUUCGAGAAUUUGCAACCCAGAAAGUCCCAGCAAUUAUUAACAAUCACAGAUAAGCACCGAAUGAAGGCCAAUCUAAUAAGCCAAAAUAUGUAGGGCACUAAAGAAAUUAUUGCCCAGUAACAAUGAUAGAUAAGCACAUGUGAAACUAAAGAAAAUUUUCAUUACUAUCAACUCCAAAAAAAAUUACCUAUGCAAUCCAAAAAAUGUUGAUACAGAGUUGGAGUAUCGAUGCCUGAAAUUGGUAUUUGAACCACCAACUACCUCCGUGAAUAUGCUUGUCACUUAAUGGUUUGGGUUGAAGUUGUGAAAGGAAAUGUAAUUUCUUAAAAGGAAGGAGAGAAUGCAGAGAAGAAUACAGAAUGGUUCACGUGGCCACCGCAAAACAGGUUAAUAAUCAAGCUUCACUAUGAAUGGAAAGAUUAAUAGAUGAUAAUUAAGAAGGCCUGAUACCCAAGCCGAAAUCAGAGAUAUCCUUUGUAAACAAAGAGAUUGAACAUUUCCUCUCAAAAAAUAACUUUUUUUUUUGUUUUGGGGGGGAGGUUGGGAAGGCUCAGAAAAAGACAUCCAAUAUAAUACUUAUUGCAUGCAAGGUAUGAAACAGCCUCCCCCCGAGUAAAAUCACAGAAAUAAAAGAAAUCGAAUCAAGAAAAAAGAUAAUUACACAAGAAUUACACCUUCACUAAGAAAAUAAAUUAUAAAAACGAAGACUCUGAGAAUAAUUGCCUGUGAUUUGCUGCCAAAAACAAAAAUAAUGUCGUAUACAUUAAGCCUGCCGAUUACUAAAAACAAAACAUUUUUCCAUGAGAAGAAGUAAGAACAUACCGAAACUUGUUUGCUAAUAGAUGAGAAAAAUUUAUAACUGAAACAUAUAGGAAAUUUAUUAGGAAAAGAUAAACAAAACACCUAAAUUAAGCAAUUAAAUGGAGUAUUACUUGAUAGAGCUGGAAAAUUACCCAGUUCCUCAGAGAGAGGAUCAAGAGUGAAUGAUGAGAGUGCAGAGAAACGAAUGAUUGAGAAAUUCAAGCUCUGAGCUCACAGUUGGGGCUUCCACUUUCCAACUGGGGAAGAAAUAACAGAGAAAACACAAGGCCAAUCCACCAAAAAUAUUAAUCAAAUGGGUUUCUUCUAAUUCAAAAUUUUGACCACCCAAAUUCCGAUGAAGCAAUAAUUGUUCAAAAUUCCAACAGAUUGAAGGAAAAAGUAAUAAAUUUUUUUAAAACAGUAAUAAUGAAGGAAAAAGAAAUUAAAGCUGCGAGCCAUUCUCUAAAUCUCAGGCACCAAUCCAAAUCACCAGUAAUUUGCACAUAAUGAUAAGAAUCUAGCAAUACUUCCAUUGUUUAAAACCCAAAUUCCAGAAAUCAUGAAAAAUGGAAACUUUAUAUGGAAAUUGAAGCUUUACCUGCAGAUCAGCAGCAGCAAACGAAAUUCAAGAAGUCACGAUUAUCGACGCGUGGGUAGCAUUCCACUGUGCCAAGGACGAAAAUGAACGGGGAAUGUAGAGCUGGCUGACGAAGACAGGAUUCGCGAAGCGCUCUGAUUUUUUUUUUCACGAGAAUGCGGAAUGAAGAGAAGCGAGUAGAGGAGGAAUCAUUUUAAGCGAUGAUCGACGCGUGGAAAUUGAGGGCAAAUCUGCCAUUUUGCUGUGAACGAAAGUGAAAAAAGGCACAAUCAAAGAGUAAUUUGAGGGCAUUCUAGCCACUUUAAUAAACAGUAGCUUUGUGUUUGAGAUUUAAUAUAGGUAUAUAUAGAGCCCUACAGAGCAACUCCACCCAUGGAGCCCUCCUCUCUGACAAUCUACUAUUGAAUUCACCUUUUUGAACAGUAACUGCCUUUAAUAAAUAGUAACUACCAUUAAUGAACAAUAAUUGUCAUUUGCAUCUCCACCCUUGGAGCCCUCCCCCCUGGCAAUAGGCAAUAAAAUAUUAAUUUUUUUUGUUUGUUUAAAUAAUACAAAAUAAAAUUAUUUGUAAUUUUGGAUAAGAUUUUUUAAAUCGUUCUCGUUGCGCCACGUGUCAUUUUAUAAAAAAAACAAUUAUUUAGCGAUGGAUUUCGAUAAGAUUUUUAUCCAAUGUCAUCGUGUCACAUGUCGUUAUCUUUUGAUAAUCUUUGACGAUAUCUUUCGAUCAGAUUUUAACUCGUUCAAAAUUGCGUCACGUGUCAUUAUUCGAAAAGAUAAUUAUUGGAGAUCGAUUUCGAUAAGAUUUUUAUCCAAUACGAUCUUGUCACGUUUCAUUAUCUUUCAUAAUAUUUGAGGAUAGAUUUCGAUCAGAUUUUUAACGAAUGACGGCAUGCCACGUGGCCUUAUCUACAAUCCAAUCCUUUCUGAAUCAUCCAUAUAAUCCACCAUCCAUCCUCACAAAUCUCACACCAAAUUUCUCAACAUUUCUAUCUCAUUAUUCAUAGUUUCUGCUUCUUCUUCACCAUCCAUCAUUACAAUGUCUUCUUCUUCAUCAAGGAUGAUGUGGGAAAUCGAUCAGCAAGAGGAAGAAUUGUUUAACCAAUCUGAAGGAAUGUUCAACCUUCAGAUAGCCGAAAAUGAGAUGGAUGAGGAUGAGGAGCGUAGAAGGAGAGACGACGAAACAAGAAUGGCCAGAGCCUCACAUUCCCGUUGAGUCAUCCAGACUGUUGCUCAGAUAUGCAUGCCCAACCGUUCAAGAAACCUUGGUAGAAGCAGGCAACGAUGGGGUGAAGAGCUAUUGGACGAUUACUUUGUCCAUAACAGUGCAUUUCCUGAUACGUACUUCAGACGUCGUUUUAGAAUGGAACGACAUUUGUUCAACAGAAUCAUGACUGAUGUUUACAACCAUGAUUCUUACUUUGUGCAAAAGAAUGAUGCUUGUGGUGUUAUGGGUUUCCUGCCUGAGCAAAAAAUCACUGUUGCGUUGCGGAUGCUUGCGUAUGGAGCAUCUGUAGACCAAGUGGAUGAGAUAACGAGGAUGGGGAAAUCAACCAUUCUUGAGGCCCUUAUGAGGUUUUGCGGAGCAGUCGAAUCUUUGUACACCGCAUAGUACCUCCGAAAACCUACUUGUAGGGACUUGCAAAGGCUUCUGAAGAAGGGCGAGAUGCGAGGUUUUCCUGGGAUGAUAGGAAGCAUCAAUUGUAUGCACUGGACGUGGAAAAAUUGUCCAAGUGCAUGGCAAGGCGCAUAUGGGGACAUAAAAGGAUCAAAAACUAUCAUUUUGGAGGCAGUGGCAUCUUUUGAUACAUGGAUAUGGCACGCCUUUUUCGGGGUUCCGGGGGCUCAAAAUGAUCUCAACGUCCUUGCCCAAUCCCCAGCGUUCAACGACAUCCUGCAAGGAAAGGCACCAAAAGUCACGUACAUCGUCAACGGACGUAGGUACGACGGGCCAUACUAUCUAGCUGACGGCAUUUACCCACGGUGGGAAACAUUUGUCAAAACAGUGCCACGUCCGCGAAGUGCAAAGGAAAAACACUUUGCAAGCUGUCAAAAGGGGUGCAGGAAGGAUGUGGAGCGUUGUUUUGGUAUCCUUCAAGCUCGUUGGGCGAUCGUCAGGGGUGCUGCCAGAAUGUUCGAUGUAGAGUCACUUUGAUCCAUCAUGAUGACAUGCGUCAUUCUUCACAAUAUGAUUGUGGAAGAUGAGUUCGAUUAUGAUGCGGUUGAUGAAUAUGAGCCAGAGCCAGACACGAUGAACAAUUCAAGAACACGGAUAUAUUGUGCGCAUGAUGCCACCAAAGAACCCGUGCAACAUGAGCCAUUAGAAAGGGAUGAACGUUACAAUGAAAUGGUCAUUCAACGAUAUACUGCACUUCAAAUGUCAUCUAUGCACAAUGAUCGGCAAAUUGACUUGAUAGAGCACCAGUGGACAUUAAAACAAGCUGAAGAUACUUAAGUUUAUUUAGUAUGUUUGUUUGUAUUUGGUAUGUUUAUGUAAUUUUAUUUGGUGUGUUUUUUGUAGUGAGUUUUUUAUUAUUUCGUAUGUUUAUGUAAUUUUAUUUGGUGUGUUUAUGUAAUUCCAAUUGGUAAGAAAAUAUGAAAUUGUGGUGUAAGGUAGAUGGAGAAGAAGUGGUAUUUAUAGAAAAGUAAAAACAAUUUUUUACAAAUUUUUUUUUUUAGAUUUUUUACAAUUUUUUCGGAUUUUUUCCAUUUUUUUUAAUUUUUUUUUCAAAUAAUUAAUCUCUGCCGUUGGAUUUAAAAAAAAUUGAAUUCCAACACUCCAGAUUGUGCCACGUGUCACAACGGUAAUUUUUCUUAAUUUUAAAACUAUUUUUUCUUUAUUUAUAAAGCAUAUUAAUAUCGACCGUUGAUCUGAAAUCGAACGGUUGAUAUUAAAUAAGAUUUGUUUUAUUUUUUUUACCGUUGAGAUCCAACAGUCCAAAUGAAAGAGCCGUUGAGAUCGAACGGACCGUGGGAAACCACGUGGCUUCCCAAUGGUAACUGAGACAACUGCAAAAGUGGGCUGCUUUUCUGAAAAGCUGUCAGGCGACGCGCCCCCACGCGCGAGUGGGGUGCACGCGCCUGACAAAAAAAAAAAAAAUGGGUGAAGAGCUCGGGCUCACGGCUGUCACAAAUUGACAGGCCUUCUGCUCGGGCCUUCUCCACGAGCUCGGGCUCUUCAAGACUGGAGCUGAUUGACUAGCCCUCGGGCCUUUCUUUUCCCCUGUCCCCCGGCCUACAUGCAUGGGUGGAGUUGCUCUAAGAGAAGGGAUUUCCAUUCUUGUUUUUUUAAAUGUGGACACCUUUUUUACUGUUAGAUUUGACUUUAACGAAAUUUUGUGGUUGAGAUUAAAUCACAAACCACAGAAUCUCAACCAUAGAAUUUCAUUAAAGCUAUAUUUAACGAUCAAUAGGGUGUUCCCAUUUUUUUUGAAAAAUAGGAAUCCCUUCCCUUAAGGCUUUCAGUAUAUUAUAUACACUAAAACUCAAUUGAUGAACACUGUUCAUUAACAGUGAUUUUACGUUUUAGCCCCUGUUUUGCUGUUUGUUUGCCCUUUUAUUUUUCGAUCUUAACAGUAAAAUGACAGUUUUGCCCGUUCUUUCCACGCGUCAGUCAUCGUUGAGCUCUUCACUUCAAGAGUCUUCUUUUAGGUUUAGCCUUUUCUUUGCACUGGUGAUUCUCUGAUUUCGUCUCUUCGUCUCGCCCUCUGUUUUUUCUCAAAUCCUCCAUUCCUCUCAAAUAUUCCGUUCUUUAUUUCACAAAAUAUUCAGGAGAAAGUUCCUGAUUUUCGUGUUUUAAGGGAUAUAAUGAUUUGGUGUUGUUUAUCUCAAACAGCGGGCUUGCAGGUAAAAUGUUAAGCUUUAUGUCCAAAGCAAUCUUUCUCUGCAUGCUGACUGUGUGUUGAUUUGAAGGGGUGGUUUAGUGAAUGGGUGCUUCUUAUUUUUGGCCUUUCUCUAUUAUCAUAUAUGUUUCUCUAUUCUCAGGUAUCAGAUCAUUCGAAACAAAAACAUUUUAACGUUAUUUUUGCAGGUUAAUGUUGGGUUUGAGUCCAACACGAUAUACACUUGAACAGAGUAGAGUAGAAGACAGUAUGCAAACAUGAUUUAGGACACAGUUUACCUAAUUGUAAACACUCUGUGAAAUAUUAUUAGUUAUGAACAUCCAAUUUGAAUCCCCCACAUGCUAAAUUAGGUACCAUUAAAUUAGUUUUAUGUCUUUUUUUUAUUUGAAAGCUGCUUCUUAUUUCUGUCUCUAUUAAGAUUCUGGGGUGUGCUUUGGAUUUGCUACAUAUGGUCAUAUUUUUUGUCAUUGGCUUUUUGUUCUGCUUAGUUUUUUUUAAUCGAGUGUUUUAUCUGGUAUUUCAUUUUGUUUUGUUUAUUUGUUUCCUUUUUAUGUUUAAAUGUUUUUUGUUCUUUCUAAAUUUGGGCUUCUGGGAAAUUCUUGCUCACUGUUUGGAUUCCGAGAAAAUUUAGGGGAUGUCCAGUAAUAUUCACAUCCUGAAAACUCAGUGAAAAUAGAUACCAAUUUAUGUGCAGCUGAAAAUUUUGUUAUCUGAUUCUGUUCUAAAUAACAUGAUUUAUUUGUUUUUUAAACUUUUAAUUAUUUCGUAUUUAUUUUGUGAUUGCAGAUGUUUAAAUGAUGGAGAGUUUCGCAAAGCUGUUACUCGGAGGAGACAUGUCUAGAUGAGGGAAAGGUGUCUCCACUGCCCUUGCUAUCUCAAAUGCCAUCACCAAUCUCUCUGGUUAGUCACAUUCCUCUUGGAAUAUGCAUAUUCUUAUGUGAUGUUGGCUGAUACCUUGGUGAGUCAACUUAAUAAAAAAUGUGAGAUGGACAAAUUGAAAAGUCUAUUUUCUUCUCAUAUGCAUCCUUUAACAUAUGUCAGUUUUAAUUAUUGAUGAGCAAUUGAAAAUUUAGUUUUUCUUCUCAUGGUACACUUACAUUGGUAGUUCAACAUAUGUUUGUUUAACAUAUCUUAUUAAAUGCAUUUGAGAAUCGAUUGAAGAAACUCAGUUCUUUUAGCAAUUAAGAACAAGGUAAACAUAGUUGUAAAUAUGUGUAAAUAAGAUAGGAAUUUUGAUGAAUUUAUGUUUUUUCCUCCGUUUUUCAGUGUUUUCAGGCAUUGAAGCUAAAUAUGGAGAGGGUUUUGAGACUUUUAGACCUAUUGGACCUCUCAAGGUUUGCGUGGUAAGGAGUUUAUGGAGUUAUACGCAUAGUAGGCAUUAUAUUUUAUGUUCUGUUGAAUUUAAUUUAAUGGUUAUAUUUUAUGCUCCUAUGAGUUAUUACUGUUAUGUUUACUCUGAGUAGGAUUUGUUGAACGACAAACUGCAAGGAGGUUUUCUUAAACGAAUAUGAUAUGCUAUGAAACCGAAUGAAGCUUACUGUCUUCUAUUCUCUUUUGUUAAUUUCGUGGUAAGUUUCUAUAACACUGAUUAGUUAUGUCUUCGAGGUUCUAAUGGCUAGAUAUGCUAAUGUAAUGAACUAUGGAAUAUUGUAAUAGUUUAUGGUCAAUGUGAUCCCAUAUCUGUUUGAUUGAAAUAUUGUUCUAUAACAGGUUUAAACUUUGUUUUUCCAAUACCUUAUCACAAAAUAAUUCCACCUUGGACAAAUUACAAGGUAUGCUGCAACAUGUGCUUUGAUUAAUUGCAUUCAAAUUGAUACUGCUUAAGAAUGCAUUUGAACAUGUUGAAUUUCACGCCCGCAGCAUCGCGCGGGCAAUAUUGCUAGUAUAAUAUAUAAUUGGGUGAUAAAGAGAGUAGGUGAAAGAACACAAUUUGCUCUUAAAAAUGUUGUUUUUAAGAACGAGUGAUUUUUCUUUUCUGACUCUUUCUGUCUAACCCAAAAGCAUACUGGUAAUAGGGUCCAGUAAGAAAAUUAUUUUUAGAAAUUAAACAUGAAAAAAUACAAAAUUUACAAUUUCGAAUUAUACAAAAAAGACAAAAAAAGCGCAAAAUAAAAAGAGCAGGACAGAAAAACAGAAACAAAAGAAAGGAGACACUAAGAAUACAAAUAGCGUGAUUUGAGCCCUCAAUUUUGGCAGGCAACAUGAUUGUUAACGCAUGAUUGUGAACCCAUCCAUUGAAGAAAGAAGCAUCAUAAUACACAAGAGUCAAGACUGGGCUUGGUUUAUAUAAUGAAUAAUGUUAGGGAGAUCAAAUUUUUUAAACUAAAUUUGUAAAUUAAAUGAUGUAGUUAUAGAUGAUUGGGUUAUUACUAAGUGUCGAUUAAUAUGUUUAUUUCUUAUUGGUGACAUAUCAUUUGGUUUAAAAAUUUGGUCUCCCUAGCAUUAUCCUUAUAUAAUUAAUCAAUAAUAUUCCAUAACAAGAGCUAGGUCCAUAUAUUACGAGGUUAUAAAAUAUGCUAGGUGCUAGUCGAGAGGCGGGCGGGGCCUAAGCAGAUUUAAGUAAAUUUAUUAUAUAUUGUAUAAAUAAAUGCCUUUUUAUACUUAAAAUGACACACAAUUGUAUCGAAAUAUAUAAAUUGCAAAAUAAAAUGACAUAUAGAUUAUAAAUUACUAGAACAUAAUGAACAAUCAUAUAAUGAGGGUUUAUCCAAAUAUUUAUUGGAAAACAAAAAACAAAAUGAGUGUUAUCGAUUUUCUGUCUAAAUGAAAGUUGCGGGCUAGGCAGGUUUAAGUGGGUUAGGCGGACGCCUAAGCAAGUCUAGAGCACUUUCUUAAUUUUUAAAUGAUUAGGGACUAAUUAGGGUGGUGGACAACUGCCUAGCGCUAGACAUGGGUUUUUAGAACAGUAAUUACUUGUUCUCAUAGAUCUCUGGGUUCAAGAAAAUUAUGAUCACCUAUUGUUCGAUCUUAAUACCGUCGGUAAGCGGUUAUUUAACCAUUUUUUAUAUUGAGUAAUUUUCCUGGAUCCUGAAAUCUAGAAGAACAAAACUCUUAUGUCACAUGGAUAAACAUAAUCAGGCAUAAGAAAAAGGUUGAAGAAUUCAUAAGUCAUAUAGGGGGCGUUUGUUUGCCCUCACUAAGUAUCACUGGACUAACUAUUAGUCCAGUCCCGUGUUUCUUCUGUAGAGGGAUUAUGUUUCAUGAGACUAAAGGGGAGUCACACGGACAAACUCCUUCACUAGGAGUUCUUAGCGAGAUCCCCCAAUGCCCAUGGGAUUGCUAAGACCUCGUAUACUCCAUCUUUGUAUGCUAUGUCUCAUCCUCUCUAUGCUCUCUAUUAUCUUGAGCACCAUCACACCACAACUCACCAACUCCAGUGAGAUCACACCACCAACCCACCACCACUUUCUCCCUCUCUCUUCACAUGAACCCAAAAUUUCGAACUGAGGAAGAUCCCGUUCUUACAGUAAUUCGUCCAGCUCUAGCUGUCUGCUUCGCUUCGCUGCACUUCAAACUCGACCUUGGACUCGUCUGAUUCGCUUUGAACUCGACCUCGUAUUUGUCGACUUUACGCAAUUGACGAGAUCUUGUGAACUUGAUGAUGGGUGAGCCACCCAGUGCACUUGAAGGAAUAUGGGAGGCCAAGAACGCCAAAGCCUACGACGGCAAUGAAGACGUUGGCUGGAUUGGGAUGACAGCGACGUGUUCCACAUCAAGGGCAGCGGCUUGGGAUUCUUGUUUUCAUUUGGUUUUGAUUUAAAUUAGGUUUUGAUUUCGAAUUGGGUUUGAUGUGAUCUGGUAUUGGCAUUUGAUUUGCUCUGUAAUUGUUUGAAUGUGUGGAAUAAAUUUUGGGGAAAGAGGAAGAAAAUUUAGAAAAAGAAAAAUAGACUAAAUAAUAAAAUAUUAAUAUAUAUUAGAUUAAAUAAUAUCAUAUUAGAAUUUAUUAUUAUCCUACUUCUUGGUCCGACACUGCACCAAACGCUUUACUAAGCUAAUCCAACUUAGUCUAGUCUAAGUCAAUCCAGCUUAGUUCCUGAAGUUAGUCUAGUCCAAGACAAUCCGGUGCAACAAACACAUUCAUAGAGUAAUUAUAGGGAUACUAAAUUUGUAAAUAAAAUUUUGUAAACUAAAUGACAUGGAAGUUGAUCGUUGAAUUAUUACUUAAACGUUAAUAAAUGUACUCAUUAUCACUAAAGACACGUUAUUUAAUUUGUAAAUUUUAUUUAUAAAUCUAAAGCAUUACCCAAACUCAUAAUACAAAUAGCUACUUUGAGAGAAGAAAAGAUGGAGAGUGAUAUGAUUGCAUUCUUUUUUAAAGCAACUUCUGAAGAUUCCAUAAUAAACUAUUAUUAUAUAUGAAGAUGUGCCGUGGUAAAAGAGAGGAAAAAAUGAAUGGAAAGUUUAUCCAAAAGAUUCUUGACCGUGAUUACAACUAUUUAACUUUUGUAAAUUUUCAUGGACCGAGAUCCAAGAAAAGAUGGAGAGUGAGAUUGGCAUUCUUUUUUGUAAAGGGAUUUUUUUUCCGAUCCCUUCCAUCUAAUUCACCUGAGUCAACCAUUUGAGUUCUUGAAAUUUAUUUAAACAACUAAAAUUAUUAUAACUUUUAAUGAAGCCCCUAUUUGUAGUCGUUAAAUCAAAUUUUAAAGAUUCGAAUUAGUGAAUUAGGUGGAUUAGGUGGAAGGGAUCCGAAGAAUAUCAAUUUCCUUCUUUUUCAACACAACUUUUGUUGAGUCCAUAAUAAACUAUUAUAUGAAGAAAGAAUACUAAAAAGACUCUCUCAAAAUCGAAACUUUUUGCGAACUUUUUAGCAUCUCAUGUUUUUGAGAUUAAUAACUAACAUUAUCUGAGAUUUAUUAAGUUUUCACAAAAUUCCCUUACGUAUGAGAUAUUACGCUAACAACACUUUAGUGUAAUGUCUCAAACGUAAUGGGACCUUGUAAAAUUUGAUUAACUUCGACAGUAUUAGUAUAUUUUUAUGUAAAUAUUAUAAAAUAUUAUGUUAAAUACAUUAAAUAACAGAUAGUCUUUAAGAGAGAUUUCUUACAUCUUUCUAAUGGAUACGGACGGUGGAAAAAGAUCAUUCCAUAAUUAAAUAUUGUGCUGUUGAUUACGCGUCUCUCCAUUUGACUAAGUUCCUUUUCACAUUCUUCCCUAAAUAAAAUGGUUCACUUUUCACAUUAUUACAAUAUUUAUAUUUAUAUUUUUACAAAAGGGAUUCGUCUAAAUUAAAUUUUUCGAAAAAUUUCGUAUAGUGAGUGAAAGUGAAACACUCCCUUUGUUAUGAUUAUGACAAUAUUUAUAUUUUUACAAAAGGGAUUUAUCUAAAUUAAAAUUUUCAAAAUUCCGAACAAGAUUUGAACUUUCGUGUAUAUGAAUAUAUGGAGUAAAUUGAUCAUGGCUGAAAAUAUGGCAGUGGUUGUGUUUGUGUUGCCUAACGGAUGAUAUUGAAAUACCUAAACACAAGUCAAGCUCCUUCAGUUAACAAAAACAGAAGUUUAUAAUAUGAUAAUGUUGGCGCACGGACUUGAGAAACAACAUAGGCCGGGAAUGUGCACAAAAAGUAAGAGAGAGGUAAAGAGGAAAGAAACGAACAUGAAAGAACAAAGACUAUCGAAUACAUUAUAAAACAAUGACUUCUUGGUAGUCAUUACAUCUCAACCAUCAAUAAUGCAUUAAUUUUGGUUGAAAUGUAGAAGUAUUUGAGAAGUAGCAUGACAACAACCACAUAAUAAACAAAAGUGGACGCAAAUGUGAAAGGAUAAUUAAAAACAAUUAUUCAAGAUGGGCGGUAGUUGAUUCAGCCAUUUAGAAGAUUCAAACCUAGAAUCAUUAUUGUAUUAACUAUUAACAGGUGCUAUAAUAUAGUUCUUAGGGAUUUCAAGGAGGCAUAUGGGGGACUACAUAAUGUGCAAUAGGAUUAAACUUUUUUUGUUACUAGGCAAAUGAACCAUAUUGAAAAAAGUUGAGGUUUAACCAUAAAAUUAAUUGACGAUAUAAAAAGUAGCUCAACCUCUUAUAAGCGUUUGCAAGAUUUCUCUUUUGACCUAUACAAGACUCUUUUACUUUCACAUCCUCGAACAUAUAAUACACCCAAAUGGAUGCCAAUAUAUAAACAUUGUUUUGAAAGGACAAGGGAGCUAACAGUGUCUUUUUAUAUGACUUGGACUUGGAGUACGGGCUGCAAAUUGCAUGCAAUUGCAACGAGAGCCAAAGAUAAUUGCCUUGUCCUUCAAAUUUGUUGGUAAAUUGGGGAUUGCACGAAGAUUUUCGCACUAAUCUGAAUACAGUGUUUCAAGCUUUUAAAGACCACUGAAGCUUUGAAAACUCUGUUGAUUUUACUUCCCAAGUAAGUGACAUAAAACUAAAUUGGGCAGUUGCAUGACAACAACCACUUAAUAAUCAAAAGUGAUUCGAAAAAGACCGAAAGUGAGAUGACCGCAUUCUUUUUCAGACAACUUUGGUAGAUUCCAGAAUAAACUAUUAUACAUGAAGAUGGGCGGUGGUAAUUGUCCUUUUGAUUAAAGUUUUUUGAGUCGAAAAUCAUUUUUCUAUAAUUAAUUCUUAACUAGAAAUUUGUACCAGUACACCGUUGUGGGACUGAAAAUCUUAUGAAAUAUUUUAUAACUUUAAUUUUCAUAAAUAAUGUGCGAGUGAAAAACAAAAAAUUACGAAUGGUAAUGCAAUUUAUAUGUAACCUUAUCAUGAACGGAACAAAUUUAGAUACUAAAAGAAAAAUUAAAAAUCUAUUUUUUCAAAGUGCGAAGAGAUAAUUGUUUAUUAAAAAAGUUGGACCAAUGAUAACUGCAUAAAUUACAAAUGCAAUAUUAAGAGUAUACCAGUCAAACUAAGCUUGCUACAGGCUAAACAAUGUUGAAAAACAUCAUUAGCUUUUUCAAGUGUUAUAUGCAAUGAAUGUAAUUAGCACGAAACUAGCACGAAACUGCAGAGGCUUUCGAUCCAUUAUAAUAUAAAAUAAAUAAUAAUAUUUACGUAUAAAAUAUGAUAUGAUUAUAUGAAAGUAACGACCCAAAUCUUAUUGGAGCUAAUUAACUAAUGUAUGCUCAUCAGGCAGCUGGAUUCCUUGGCAAGUGUUUAACCCCUACUUUCUUCACGCUCACAGAAUCACCAUUUGCAAAGUCAAUCGGCCUCACACCAAUAAAAACUUAAUCCCCGGCUAGUAAACUGAUCAGCUUAUCGUCCGAUAUAUGUCACUGCAAAGAUAAUCACCUUGUCUUUCAAAUUUGUUGGUAAAUUGGGGAUUGCGAGAAGAUUUUCGCACUAAUCCAAAUAUAUUGUUUCGAGCUUUGAAUGACCACUGAAGCUUUGAAAAGUCUGAUGGUUUUGUUAGGUCAUGUGUAUGACUAACGUUAAUGAUUUUCAACUUCCCAAGCAACUGUUACACAACUAAAUUUAAAAUCCAAGAGGAGGAUAUGAUCAGAGAAGAAAGAAAUGCAAUCCACUAAUAAUCAACAUCGAUAUUGUCUUCAACUUAAUCAUGAAUAAGUUUUAAGGCACAAAAGACCUCAUGCUUUUGUAGUUGAGCCAUUUAAUGUAAGGAGAAUCACAAUGUUAGUUAACCACAUCACAGUACAAAAGCACUAAAAGCGUCCAAGUGAAAGUGAAAGUGCUUUCUUCUCAUGUAGUUUCAUUUAACUUAAUUUUCCACAAUGGUAAUUAUGUUUCAAUGGUUCUGUUUUCACAUGCCAGUCGGUCAGUCACAUACUCAACUCCUUAAUGUUCGGGCUCAAUGGCUCGAAGAGAGCUUCCACUUCACUCUGAUUCACCUCCUCUAACUUUGACGGAUUCCACUUCGGAUUCUGCAUUGACAAGAAACAGAAGCCAGAGAUAAAGAUUCGUUGAUAUACGGAAAGUAAGAUGAUUAUACAACCGUAGGUCUAGUAGAGGCUGUAAUGGUUUAUGUUGCAGCAACUGCGUCAGCAAGUGAUUUUAUAGCAAGGAAUCUUGAGCAUAAUUAACGAACCUGAUCCUUGUCCACCAAAACUGCCGUACACCUUCAGCAAAAUCAUUCCGUAAAGACGAUCUUAUAGCAACGUGAUAUUCAGUUUCAUCACACCAGUUAACUGGUAUUGGUCAAGUAAAGCACAUGUUACUUUCUGAAAAUUUGAAAUACUACAACGCAAAACCUAUCAAAAGGAUGCAACCAUGUGAUGCAAGAAACGAAAAGGUACAAAGUCCAGACUCACUCUGGAUAAUUGAUUGUCAUUUUUCCCAAGCACGGAUGCAACUUUAGCGAAAUAAUUUUGUGUCAAAAAAGUGAAAACAGAGCACCCUUUCCAAGACCUUAAAGAGCUUCGUUAGCCCACUCACCACUGCAAUACAAACAAUUUAUACAAAAUACUUGACAGCGACAUACAAGCUGCUCAAUAGACAAAUGGCAUUAAAAAACUUACCAGUAGCAUCUGAACUCUGAUGCUGCUUUUUAAGUUCAUCAAUUGUCUCAAGAACCAACUUAUCUGCACCAAAUGCUGAAGUUAUUUGAGGUAAAAGAGUCUUGAGUUGCGCUUCAGAAUCUGGGUAGCUGGUGAAUUUCACCACAAUUGUUUCAAUGUCCUGAUGGGGAUCCUGGGAACUGAUUCAACAAUGGAGUUGCUUUUAUCUCAAGAAACGCAUUGGACAAUGUGAUGAUGGCAACUAAAGUUAAACCCACUGAAGCAUUGGAAAUUGCGUCUGAGGAUAGAAAAGGCAUACCUGCAGAUACUCCUCCCAGACUCUUUGCCUCUAUAUGUGAAAACCCAUCUGGGAACAAACCAAUUCCAUUCUCUGGCAUAGCAAGAACAGUCCUCAGAAAUGUAUCCAUACAAAGUUUGACACACAAAAUUAAAAAAGCCAUUGCAAUGUAAUUGACAACAUUGACAAUCUCUGUCUGACCGGGCAAUAAUGCCUCUGUAAUGAUCCGGUAGCGACUGUGACCUGAUAGGCCAAUACCAAAGCCCACUGUUAUGCCAUCCAUGAAGCUUAUAUGGGCUUCUUGUACUCGGAGAUAUUGCAUAUUAGAGAAUACUCAGCAGUGAAUACCUGAAAAACGUGCAGCACAAAUAUCAUAUCGGUAGCCUCUCAAAUCUUAAGAAAACUACAAAUGGUAGCUUAGAAAAGAAAUGAAUCCUCUCCAACCAAUACAAAUCAUAUUACCCAAGUUCAAGCAAAAUCAAGACUAAACAAAUGACCAGAUGUUGUAGGUUGCCAGAGAAUGUCAAACAUGAAAUUACAAAAGAAAAAAAUAAUCGUAUGUAUUGAACAUUAAUAAAUACAUGCUGAAAGCACAAUCUUAGCCGCAAUUUAUGACAUUUAUACAAGAUUAAAUCGCCAAAGAAAUUAAAGAAAUUGCAGAGCUCAUAUAAGUGAUGUUCACUAUGAACUUUUAGGCUUAUCAACAAAUACACCAUAACGAUUCUAAUGCAUGAAUUUUGUUAAAGGGGGCUUGCUUGCUUGUAUUAAGGCUUAAUCAUCAAUGAUUUUGCAAGGGUCAAUCGUAUUGCUAGUUGUAAAUCUAUUCACUAUGAAAAUUACCAAAAUUACAUCUAAUAUGGUAGUGAAGGAAGUCAUCUUACAUUAUCUGGAAUUUAGAAAACUGUGUAAGGUUAUAAUAUAUGGUUACAAGGACACAAUUAGACCUCAAUCAUAUUCGGUGGUUGGUUUUUGGCCGUGAUCUGCUUCACAUCACCGCCUGCAGGUAAACUAAAUCUGGGUUACUACAUAUCAAUGAAUCAACGUGCCAACUUAACGGACACCAUCUAUCUCUAUAUGGCAAAAAAAACAACACAAAAAGGAACAUGAAGUGAAACAAUAAACAACAUGACAUGAAACAGCACGAACAUCAAAGACCAACAAUCUAUCACGUAAGCACCUAAACAAGAAACAACUUUAGUUCAAAGCAAAGCGUAAUGUAGAAACCUUCGGCACAACAGGUGUGUUUUUGUCCUUUCGAGUUUCGGCAACAACCACUUUAAUAUCCUUUCCUGCAUUUACCAUGAUUGGUCACUCUUAAAACCUUAACUCCGCCGUGUAAGUUUAUCUUACAUUGCCGGUCCCAAGCCCGGAUAAAGGAGGAGGGGGAGGGCGUCAGGUAGUCGACAGCCGGCACUCCAUGAUUACGUCGAAUCCUUACGAAAAUGAAUCCAGAACGAAAUCGCGCUAAAGCUAGGGCGUCACCCGUAAGUGGCGCGCUGUGUGGCCCGAGCACAGUGAUAAGUGAGCAAGGGUCGCUAUAUCUCCAUCGGCACCCGGAUGCAGUGUUAAAUGAGCAAGGGGGCUAUAGAAACUUCUUUUCGAACGACUCCACUCAAAGUUGUUUGGGAGCAUAUGCUCCUAUCAACUUUACACGGGACACACAAAAGAAGUACUUUGAUCCUAUUAGACGGGGAAGGGUGAAGAAGCUAGGACAGAAGGGUAGAGUUCAAGAGAGCAAAAUGCGUUUAGGAACGUGGAAUAUAGGAACCUUGACGGGAAAAUCUAUGGAAGUAGUAGCAGUUAUGGUGAGGAGAAGGAUAAAUAUUAUGUGCCUACAAGAAACUAAGUGGGUUGGGCGUAAGGCAAAGGAUCUAGAAAACUCAGGGUUUAAACUAUGGUAUUCGGGCACAAAUAGAACGAGAAACGGUGUUGGCAUCAUCGUGGACAAGACCUUGACACAAGAUGUUGUAGAUGUUAAGAGGGUAGGAGAUAGAAUCAUGUCAAUCAAGAUUGUAAUAGGACAAGAACUUAUCAAUGUGAUUAGUGCGUACGCACCUCAAGUAGGGUUGGAUACGAGUUCGAAGGAGAAAUUUUGGGAAGACCUUGGAGACUUGGUGCAAGGAAUUGCUCAGACGGAGAAGUUAUUUAUAGGAGGAGAUUUAAAUGGACACGUGGGCAGGGAGACAGACAACUAUGGAGGUUUUUAUGGUGGCCAUGGUUUUGGGGAGAGAAAUGAGGAUGGGGAAGCUAUCUUGAAUUUUGCAAUGGCAUAUGAUCUCUUCUUAGCCAACACCUUCUUUAAGAAGAGAGAAGAACAUGUGAUCACCUACAAGAGUGGGUCGUCAAAAACACAAAUAGAUUUUCUCCUAAUGAGGAAAGGGGAUCGUAUAACUUGUAAGGAUUGCAAAGUUAUACCAGGAGAGAGCGUGGCUAAUCAACAUCGCUUGUUGGUGAUGGAUGUAAAUAUCAAAAGAGUGAGAAAAAAGAACAAGACUUGGAAGUGCCCAAGGACUAGAUGGUGGAAUCUAAAAGAAGAAAAACAAGCCAUUUUCAAAGAGAAAGUAAUCACCCAGUGUGUGUGGGAUAGAGAGGGGGAAGCUAACCAAAUGUGGGAUUCCAUGGCUAGUUGUAUCCGAAAAGUAGCAAAAGAGGUAUUAGGAGAGUCCAAGGGCUUUGCCCCACACCAAAAGGAAUCUUGGUGGUGGAAUGAGGAGGUACAAACAAAGGUGAAGGCUAAGAAGGAAUGUUGUAAAGCCUUAUACAAGGAUAGGACCGAUGAAAAUGGUGAAAGGUAUAGAAAAGCGAAGCAAGAGGCGAAGAAAGCUGUGAGAGAAGCUAAGUUAGCGGCUUAUGACGAUAUGUAUAAGCGACUAGAUACCAAAGAAGGAGAGUUGGAUAUCUAUAAACUAGCUAGAGCAAGGGAAAAGAAAGACAAGGGACCUAAACCAAGUGAGGUGCAUCAAGGAUGAGGAUGGAAAGGUUCUUGCUACAGAGAACGCGGUUAAAGACAGAUGGAAAGGUUAUUUUCAUAAUCUUUUCAAUGAAGGACAUGAAAGGAGUGCUUCUUUAGGGGAGUUGAGUAACUCAGAAGAGUGUAGAAACUACUCUUUUUUAUCGUAGAAUUCGGAAGGAAGAAGUGGUUGUAGCUUUGAAGAAGAUGAAGCAUAGAAAAGCAGUAGACCUAGACGAUAUACCAAUUGAAGUGUGGAAAGUUUUGGGAGAGACAGGUAUAACAUGGCUCACUGACCUUUUCAAUAGGAUUUUGAAAACGAAGAAGAUGCCAAAUGAGUGGCGAACGAGCACUUUGGUGCCUAUCUACAAGAAUAAGGGUGAUGUACAAAAUUGCAUGAACUAUAGGGGUAUUAAGCUAAUGAGUCAUACAAUGAAGCUCUGGGAGAGAGUCAUUGAGCAUAGAUUGAGGCAAGAGACACGGGUUUCGGACAACCAAUUCGGGUUCAUGCCAGGGCGCUCAACCAUGGAGGCAAUCUAUCUCUUACGAAGAUUGAUGGAAAGAUAUAGAGAUGGGAAAAAGGAUUUACACAUGGUCUUUAUAGAUUUGGAAAAAGCGUAUGAUAGGGUCCCAAGAGACAUUCUUUGGAGGAUUUUAGAGAAGAAAGGAGUACGAGUAGCAUAUAUCCAAGCUAUACAGGAUAUGUAUGAAGGAGCAAAGACUGCCGUAAGAACUCAUGAAGGACAAACCGAAAGCUUUCCCAUAACUGUAGGAUUACAUCAAGGCUCAUCCUUAAGUCCUUACCUUUUUGCGUUGGUAAUGGAUGAGUUAACAGGACAUAUUCAAGAUGAUAUUCCUUGGUGUAUGCUUUUCGCAGACGAUAUAGUGUUGAUAGAUGAAACUCAGGAAGGGGUAAAUGCAAAGCUUAACCUUUGGAGAGAAGUGUUGGAAUCUAAAGGUCUUCGCCUAAGCCGAUCAAAGACAGAAUAUAUGGAGUGCAAGUUCAGUGCAAAUGGAGGCCAAAACGAGUUAGGGGUGAGGAUCGGAGAUCAAGAAAUACCAAAGAGCGACCGUUUUCGUUACCUAGGAUCUAUCUUGCAAAAGAACGGAGAAUUAGAUGGAGAUCUCAACCAUAGAAUACAAGCUGGAUGGAUGAAGUGGAAGAGAGUGCAUCCGGCGUAUUGUGUGACCGCCGUAUGCCACUGAAGCUCAAGGGAAAAUUUUAUAGGAACGGCAAUAAGGCCGGCGAUGCUGUAUGGCACAGAAUGUUGGGCGGUGAAGCAUCAACACGUACACAAAAUGGGUGUAGCGGAGAUGAGGAUGCUUCGUUGGAUGUGUGGGCACACGAAGAAAGGAUAAGAUUAUGGAAUGAGGAUAUCCGGGGUAAAGUAGGAGUAGCCGAAAUUGAAGGAAAGAUGAGAGAAAAUCGGUUACGGUGGUUUGGACAUGUGCAAAGAAGGCCUACUGACGCUCCGAUUAGAAGAUGCGACUAUGGGACAGAGGUUCAGGGCCGAAGGGGUAGAGGAAGACCUAGGAAAACUUUGGAAGAGACCCUAAGAAAAGACUUAGAGUACUUGGAUCUAACGGAGGACAUGACACAGGACAGAACACAAUGGCGUUCUAAGAUUCAUAUAGCCGAUCCCACUCAGUGACUUGGAUUUUCCAAGUCUCCAACCGAGAAGUUUUCCUCACUCGGGAAAUUAAGGGAACACUACCUCAACCUACAUGCUCCACUCACAAAGCUUCAACAAAAGAAAAAUUCAAAGAACUUAGCGAAGAAGGCUUUUGGUGUAUUUAACACAAUACGUUGAAAUGAAGGAAAGCUUAUUUAUUGAUAUCCCCGAUAAGUUACAAAUAUGUACAUAUACUUGAGUCAAAAUAAACAAACAAGAGGGAGCCUUCACAAAGGUUGCUUAGGAGAAGUCUCAGCAGUCGGUAGAGCCCCAGAAAGAGAAGGCACCGGAGGGGGAUCAUUCGGAGCCUCAGUACUGGACAGAACCCUAGAAGGAGGAGGCAUCAGAGGUUGAUCAUUUGGAGCUUCAUUACGCGGUACAGCCCCAGAAGACGAAGGCAAUAAAUGCCUUUGGAACAAACCCACAAAUCUCUGAUGAUCAAGUAAAACCUGACCAUCAGAUUCCUUCAUCUGGUCAAGCUUCCUCUUCAUGUUUGUAGCAUAGUCAUGUGCGAGCCGGUGCAACUGUUUAUUCUCAUGCUUGAGCCCUCUAAUCUCCUGUUUGAGACUCAUCACUUCAGCCGCCAAUGAUUCAACUUGGCGGGUUCGAGCAAAUAGGCGUUGGGCCAUAUUAGACACAGAACCUGCACACUGAACACUGAAGAGCCAGAGAAUCCUUAACAGCCAACUCAUCAGACCGUUUGGAAAGUAGUCUGUUAUCUUUGGGAGUGAGAAGGUUCCUAGGCCACUACCGCAGCGGUCAUAUCAUUCUUCAUCACGGAAUCCCCAACGGUAAGAGGACCAGUAGGGGAGACGAAGGAUGGGCGCCAUAUGUUGUCUGAAGAAGGCGGGGCUGCCUCUUCAACAAGGUUCAAGUCAAAACGACGGUCGGAGGGGCCAGACAUUUUCAAAGGUGUUGAAGAGAGAAGAGGUCGGACAAAUCAAGAUCUUAGAAGUGCAAGAAUGGAGCUUCUACUGGUGGAUAUUCAAGUGUGCUUUGGAACUUAAUGUCAGCCCCUAUAAAAAAUCUGCACUCGACGAAGCUUCAGAAAUCGAAGAGGCGCCUGCUCAGAAAUCGAAGAGGCGUUUGCUUUCUCAAAAGCUGGGCUGCUCAGAGACCACGAGGGUUUGAUCUCAGAAAUCGAAGAGGCGUUUGCUUUCUCAAAAGCUGGGCUGCUCAAAGACCACGAAGGCCGAUCUCAGAAAUCGAAGAGGCUUGCUUUCUCAAAAGCUGGGCUGCUCAGAGACCACGAGGGCCGAUCUUAGAAAUCGAAGAGGCACCUACUUUUCCAGCCUUGUCAGCACCUGUCACACGCACACUCAGCUUUGCGGAAAUUAUGGGCAUUCUGUCGAAGAUUUCUGGUGAAGUAGAAAGCACAUGAAUCGUACUGUUCAAUCACCCACUUCCCACACGCAACAGUAGCUCAUGGGUACCACAGAUAACUUUGCCAAAGUUCUCUGACAAAGUUGAGACACGUGAAGCUUGCAGCUCCCACUACAUCGCUCUGACCAAGAAGGGUAAAAGAAUAGCAAAGAAACAACACUAACAAAGUUUAGACACAUAAAUUUUGAAGGUCUAGCUACCAUAUUAUUACCCACAAGGGUAAAGGAACAGUACCACUGCUGGAUAAUUGGAAAGUCCCGGUGUGUCAACCUCUGUGCUUCGUGGCAAGGUAGACUAGCAAACAUGCCCAACCUUUACUCACAUUCGAGAAAACACUCCCAACAAGAUUGCUUGCUCCAAAAUCGAAGAGGCACCCGCUCCUCCGAAUCUCGAGAGCCAGACUCCCAACAUGAUUACUUUCUCAAAAAUCGAAGAGACAUCCGCUCUCCGAAUCUCGAGAGCCAGACCUCCAGCAGGAUUGCUUUCUCAAAAAUCGAAAAGGCAUCGUUCUCCGAAUCUCAAGAGCUGGAUCCCUGACAGGAUUGCUUGUUCGAAAACCAAAGAGGCACCACUUUCCCAACUUCAAGAGCUGGAUCUCCUUGGAUAAAGCUUGUCUGUAAUCUUCACACACGCAACAUCAGCUUUUCCAGAUACCACAGACCCACUUUUUCAAAGUGCUCUGACAGAGUUAAAACUUGUGAAGCUGGCAGCUCCCACUACCGUGCUAUGACCAAGCAGGGUAAAGGAAUAGCAUUAUUACUUGAUGUUAGGGAGACUCCUAUAUAUGUCGACCUCCAUCCCCAACGGACAGGCAGACCUGCAAAAAUGCUCAACCCUUCCUCUUAUCUGAGAGGGCACUCCCAACGAAGCCUUUCGAAAUAUUCAGCUUUCUUUCCCCCCGAUAAUACCUCUGUAAACAAGCUAUACUAGAGCAAGAAUAUCUCAUAUCAUCAGGGUUAAAAGCAAGAGUAUCCCAUAUCAUGCUUUUUUCCCGUCUUUUCCUUUGGCCUUGUUCUUACCUGCAAGACAAGGAGAAAGAGAGCAAUCAGUCAGCACUUGGAAUCAAGCUUCCAGCCAGGAACUGACUGCCUGGAACCCCUUACCUGAUUACUUACCUGGCAUUGCUCUCGAGUACUCAUCUUCAACAUCUUAUGCUUCCAGGGAAGAUACCGCAAUCGCCUGAAGAACAGAUAGGGCAAGUGAGAAGGAUACAAGGAAGCAUGUGGAGACAAGCGUAACAGCACACGUGCCGAUACAUCCACUACUCUGUCAAAAGCAAAAGUAUCUCAUAUCAGCAGGGUCGAACGUACUCUAGAUUUGAUGGACUUGUUUUGACCCUCAAAUUCUUCAGUCGGCCUUAUACUCUGGAGGAAACCAGAAAACCCUCCAGCCCAGUUCAAGAAUAAGCCUGUGGAAAGUUACUUCUUCAAAAGCAAAAAGUAUCCCAUAUCAUCUCUUCUCAUUUUUCUUCUCUUUAUCCUUCAUGCUGCAUGCAAGAUAGGGAGAAUGUGAACAAUCAGCCGGAGCUCUGAUUGCUUACCUUGUCUGUCAUCUCUUUCAGCAGAUCCCCUAGCUCGGCGACUUAGGGGACUCCUACUACAUGGUUUGUAUCGCGCUUGACCAAGCCUGAAACUACAAGUAAGCUUCAAGUGACAAUUGAUACAUUACCUUGUGCAUCUCCACCAGUUACAGAUACCACCCCUGGAUGGAGGAAGAGUACUUCCAGAGAAGAUGCCACAUCUACCUAUGAGACAGAUAAGGAAAGUCAAGACGAUACCACACUCCGGUACUUAGAAGUUUCGUGGUUACGAGAUCAUUCUCCCACAAUAUUUCCUAAUGUCAUUUGUACUAAAUCAUUCACUUGUACUCACUAAAGGAGAGCUUGAACCUAUGUACUUGUGUAAACCCUUCACAAUUAAUGAGAACUCCUCUAUUCCGUGGACGUAGCCAAUCUGGGUGAACCACGUACAUCUUGUGUUUGCUUUCCUAUCUCUAUCCAUUUAUAUACUUAUCCACACUAAUGACCGGAGCAAUCUAGCGAAGAUCACAAAAAGUGACCGUUUUCGCUACCUAGGAUCUAUCCUUGCAAGAGAACGGAGAAUUAGAUGGAGAUCUCAACCAUAGAAUACAAGCUGGAUGGAUGAAGUGUAAGAGUGCAUCCGGCGUGUUGUGUGACCGUCGUAGGCCACUGAAGCUCAAGGGAAAAUUUUAUUUUAUAGGACGGCAAUAAGGCCAGCGAUGUUGUAUGGCACAGAAUGUUGGGCGGUGAAGCAUCAACACGUACACAAAAUGGGUGUAGCGGAGAUAAGGAUGCUUCGUGGGAUGUAUGGGCACACGAGAAAGGAUAAGAUUGGGAAUGAGGAUAUCCGAGGUAAAGUAGGAGUAGCCAAAAUUGAAGGAAAUAUGAGAGAAAAUCGGUUCCAGUGGUUUGGACAUGUGCAAAGAAGGCCUACUGACGCUCCGGUUCGAAAAUGUGACUACGGGACAGAGGUUCAGGGCCGAAGGGGUAGAGGAAGACCUAGGAAAACUUUGGAAGAGACCCUAAGAAAAGACUUGAGUACUUGGAUCUAACGGAGGACAUGACACAAAACCGAGCGCAAUGGCGUUCUAGGAUUCAUAUAGCCGACCCCACUUAGUGGGAAAAGGCUUUGUUGUUGUUGUUGUUGUUGUGGUCACUCUUAAAACCUUACCUAAGAGACCCAAAAACAAAAAUAACCGCCGAAAGAGCUAAACAUACAUAUAUAGAAAAACUUAAUUAACUGCAUGCUAAAAUGGAAGUGUAAAAUUGCCAAGAAAGAUAAGAAACUAUUUAAAUACGAAUUCUGGGCAUUACCGCCACAAAAGGCAUGAGCCGAACAGCUAUCAACAAGAACACACUUCCCAUUCAUCCAGAUAGCCCUUGUAUUUCACAUCCAUAUCUGCAUUUUCCAACAAUUCCCACUUAAACAGAAACACAAAAUUCAUCGAAAAAAUGCUAACUUCUUCGAAAUUUGAAUCCAACGUUUCGUCUUAUAACAAAUGCAAUAACAUAGAUUUGUAAUCAAUUCGAUGCCAUAAAGUUCAAGCUCAAAAUUUCAAAUCAGCUCCAAAUCAAAAGCAUUUACAGAUACAUACAUAUAUACAUAUGCGUGUGUGUGUUUAUCUACAUACCCAGGUUCAUGGCGUUGAGAGCUCGGCAGGCGACGGAGGGUGAUGACGGCGACGCCAAUUGGGUGGACGCUGCCCUUCGAAUUGGGUCGCUCCUCGCAAUAAGCUUCCCAUUACUUCCGUUUGAGAGUGACUGUCAGUGUAGAGAGAGGGAUUUUUUUUUUGUGCUUCUGGACCGGACUACACUUGAUGUUUCGGUUAUAUUACCGGGAAAAAGAACUGCCGCGGUGGCUACGCAGGGAAACUUGAAAUUUGAAAGAAGUAUGAAGUAUGGACUUGCCUUCAUUUAUUGAACUGAGAAAUCGAAAUCUGAAAGAGGCGUUUGACGAAGUGAUUGUGAUCUGACUCAAACAUGUGAUGAUGACGAUGCAUCACCACCUUGGUUGUGCCUCUGGAUCAAAAACAUACCAUCACCAUCAAAAUCGUGCAUAUUUUCCUUCAUAGGUUUGUCCCAUACUAGAUUAACCCCUAUUCCCUUAAUUAUUGCAUAAUAAGAAUUAUAGCAUGUCUCUGGCAUUCCAACGGCUAUAUCAACUUUAUCCCCGCUUUGCAAAUUGAACUUAUCGUUGGACAUUUGUCCCUGCCAAAGAAAACAUUUUUCAGGUAAACCAUCGUGCAUUUUUAUAACCCAAUCUUCCUUGCCUAUGCAGGUUUGCAACUCAGUACGCUUGGUAUUAUUUAUAUCAAUACUGCCACGAGGAUGACAAUAUUUAAAGCUCAUAGAAGGGCUUGAGGGACAAGUUAAGUGAUAAAAGCAUAACAGAGUCAACCCUUCAAAAUUACGACCAUCACUUGGGGGGUAUCAAAACUGACUUUAUCACCAUCGUUGACAAACUCGAACCAAUCAGGAACAUAAUUCGCAUCGAGAAAAAUGCCAGCAUAUCCGUAAGAAGUCCAUCCCUAUAUAUACAGUGCAAGUGUCAUAUACAUACAUACAUACAUACAUACAUACAUAUAUGUAAAUGUGCAUUGUGUGUGCAUGUGCGCAAUAGGAAGACAAUUAAAGAGAGAGAUACCUUUAGGACCUUCCUCCUAAAAUCAGCUGUGAGAUUGGUGCACUUUUGCAUUACAAUCCAUUUCAUGGAGUUUAAUGACUUAUCCAAGUCCGGAAUCUCUGUGAGUGCGUGUGAACCAGUUACAUUCAGUUCUCUCAUAUUUGACAUUUUCGAAAAAUUGGGCAUUUUUACCAAACAACAGCAACCAUAAGCAUCCAGAAAUUUCAAAUUUGUUGGUAAAUCAUAGAUUGUAUGAAGCUGGGAACAAUAACUUAACCACAUACCUUCAAGCUUUGAAAGACCAUUGAGGCUGGGUAGGGUGUGUAAGAUACUGCAGUGACUUAACUCCAGAGUUUUAAGAUUUGAAAGACCAUUGAGGCUGGGUAGGGUGUGUAAGUUACUGCUGUGACUUAAUUCCAGAGUUUCAAGAUUUGAAAGACCAUUGAGGCAGGGAAGGGUGUGUAAGUUACCACAGUGAUUUAACCACAUAGUUUUAAGAUUUGAAAGACCAUUGAGGCUGGGUAGGGUGUGUAAGUUACUGCAGUGACUUAACCACAGAGUUUUAAGAUUUGAAAGAUCAUUGAGGCUGGGUAGGAUGUGUAAGUUACUGCAGUGACUUAACCCUAGAGUUUUAAGAUUUGAAAGACCAUUGAGGCUGGGUAGGAUGUGUAAGUUACUGCAGUGACUUAACUCCAGGGUUUUAAGAUUUGAAAGACCAUUGAGGCUAGGUAGGGUGUGUAAGUUACUGCAGUGACUUAACCAUAGAGUUUUAAGAUUUGAAAGACAAUUAAGGCUGGGUAGGGUGUGUAAGUUACUGCAUUGACUUAACCCCAGAGUUUUAAGAUUUGAAAGACCAUUGAGGCUGGGUAGGGUGUGUAAGUUACUGCAGUGACUUAACUCCAUACCUUCAAGCUUUGAAAGACCAUUGAGGCUGGGUAGGGUGUGUAAGUUACUGCAGUGACUUAACUCCAGAGUUUCAAGAUUUGAAAGACCAUUAAGGCUGGGUAGGGUGUGUAAGUUACUGCAGUGACUUAACUCCAGGGUUUUAAGCUUUGAAAGACCAUUGAGGCUGGGUAAGGUGUGUAAGUUACUGCAGUGACUUAACCACAGAGUUUUAAGAUUUGAAAGACCAUUGAGGCUGGGUAGGGUGUGUAAGUUACUGCAUUGACUUAACCCCAGAAUUUUAAGAUUUGAAAGACCAUUGAGGCUGGGUAGGAUGUGUAAGUUACUGCAGUGACUUAACUCCAAAGUUUUAAGCUUUGAAAGACCAUUGAGGCUGGGUAGGGUGUGUAAGUUACUGCAGUGACUUAACUCCAGAGUUUUAAGCUUUGAAAGACCAUUGAGGCUGGGUAGGGAGUGUAAGUUACUGCAGCGACUUAACCCCAGAGUUUUAAGCUUUGAAAGACCAUUGAGGCUGGGUAGGGUGUGUAAGUUACUGCAAUGACUUAACCCCAGAGUUUUAAGAUUUGAAAGACCAUUGAGGCUGGGUAAGGUGUAUAAGUUACUGCAGUGAUUUAACUCCAGAGUUUUAAGUUGUGAAAGACCACUCAGGCCGGGUAGGGUAUGAAGGUUACAGCAGUUACUUAACUGCAAAUUUUCAAGUUUUGAAAGACCACAUAGGCUGGGUAGGGUAUGAAAAUAAUGUUUUGAGAGAUCUAAAUUUCCGUCUAACGAAUUGGGAAACUGCAAAGUAAACUUCGAUUCCACAGACGCUAGAGAUAAAUGAGUGAGAUUCUUCAAUCUUACUAUGGAACAGGGUACUUGUCUUAUGGCUGUGGAAGAUGCUAUAAGUACUCUCAAUGAUGUCAUCUUCCCUAAAUCCUCGGGCAGUUCACUGAAUUGCUGACAUCCAUUAAGAACAAGAGUCUGAACGGAUUUGGACUUGUAGAAAUCCCCAGGAAGAGAAAUAAGAUUCUGGCAGCCUGUGAGGUUCACCAAAGAAAGUUUUUUAAGAUGACAAAUGGAGGGGUGAAUCUCGGACAAACUGUUACACCAUUCCAAUAUCAACUCUUCAAGAUUUAGGAGAUUUGAAAAGUCUGGUGAUUUUUUUAAGUCAAGGCAAUAACUGAGAUUAAGGAUUUUCAAGUUUCCAAGCGACUGUUGCACAAAAUCAAAGGAAAAUUAAAAUUAAUAUCCAAAAACAAAUGGAAACAUAACAUCAUCAUGUGUAAUCGAUUGUACCUUGGAGCCCUCCCAAACUUGUACAAGUCUGCUAUACGCUAUCUCUAAAAUAACCAGUGCUCUUGGUUGAUCAAAGAAGUGAUCUGGUAUGGACUUUAAAGGGCAUCCAAACCAACGCAACCAUAUUAACUCUUUGGAAAGAUGUUUGUAUUCUCCAUUGAGCUGCACGUUGUAGAGCUGCAGCAGUCUCAGUUUCUUCAUAUUGGCAAAUGCUUCUGUACUGAAGCUUCGAAGCCUUUGCAGCCAAUGAUCUCCAGAAAAAUUAAGAGCAAGUCCUUUAACUUCUUCAGUUCCCUGUUAACAAAAGGUUAUAUUCAUGUGUAAGAAACGGAAUAUUUGCAUAUGUUUACAUGUAUGAAUACAUGCAAGUACUAUUGUUGGCUAAUUGAGAUGAUGUUACUUAAUGUAUAAUACACAUCCGUGAGUUAUAUGUGCUUUUCAUGUACGAUGCAUCAAUUCAGAAUUUUAUUGGGACUAUACUUACAAAUUUAUCUCUCAAUACAUCAAUGACCUCUUGCUGGUUCCACAACCUACUCCAUUCUCCAGGGUGACGAGGGGAUUUUUCAGAAAUGAUUAAUUUGGCCAUUUCUUGAAGCAAAUCAUGCAUAUUCAACUUCUUGUGUUCAAUAGUGAUAAGGCAUCGUUCACAGAGGACAUUGAUUCCUAUUGUUGCAAAAAACUUACAUCCAUCUAAUAUUUUUGCGACAUAGUCCUUAUCCCAUCCAAUAAAGAAACAAGAUAUGUCAAGGAAUAUAUCCUUUUGUGUAGGAUCUAGCCUUUCAAAGCUUACUCUUAGUGGUUUCAUUAUUCCUUCAUCAGGAAAUUUUUUCAAUUUCUCCAACUGACUUUUCUACUCUGUUGGUGUUCUUUCAAUCAUAAAAGAAGAACCUAAAACUGCAAGGGCUAGUGGCAAACCACCACAGUAAGAAACAACCUCUUUUGAGAGUUCAAGAUAUCCUUCAUUAGGCCAACUCUUUCCAAAGGCAUGCCAACUAAAGAGCUUCAGAGCUUCUUCUUCAUUCAUUUCCUUAAGUGAAUAUGUCUUGUCCACUUUCAUGUUCACUUGCUUUAGAAAACGUUCAUCUCGUGUCGUUAUGAUAAUUCUACUUCCUGGGCCAAACCAAUCACGAUUUCCAGCUAUUGCAUCUAGUUGUUCCACUUUGUCUACAUUGUCAAUAAUGACAAGCACGCUUCUACGUUGGAGAUGAUUUUUUAUCAGACUGAUACCUCUAUCAACACUGGUUAUCUUAGACUCGGUAUGUUUCAAGAUGUCAGAAACAAGUCUUCCUUGCAAAUCAACCAGAUCACAUUCACUAACGUUGGCAAGGAAACUUUUGAAUUGGAACUUAUGAUGAAGUUGGUUAUAAAUGGCUUUGGCAGCUGUUGUUUUACCCAAUCCACCAAUCCCCCAAAUUCCAACCAUGCGAACAACAUAUGAUCCACCAUUUGAAAGAUAAGUGAUGAUAUCUUGAAUGCGAGUAUAUAUUCCAACUGGGUGCUUGGCCAAAUGUAAAUUUUCUGCGCUCGGAAGCCAUUUUGGGAUAAUCUUGUCAACAAUUUCUCUAAUAAGCUUUGCUUCGCGCCUGAAAAAUUGAAUUGGUAAGCUUAGUAAGUAGGCUCAGUAGGAGCUAUUAGUACUAAUAUAAACAAUUUUCUUUCCUUCUUUCCUUCGUGUGUGUGUGUGUGUGUGUACAUAUAUGUACACAAACUAGCUACUAGCUAGUACGUGAUUUUGUGACCAACUUCAAUAAAAGAAACAAGUUCAUUCAUUGAUAUAUUAAAGUUUGGUGCAUCAAUUAAACUCCAAUUAUGGUUUAGAUUUUAGAGGAAAUUAGAGAAAUGGUCCUUGAACUAUGAUCAAAUUGUGGCCUUGGUUCUUAAAACUAAAAAUUCAAUAAAUCUCCUCCCUGAACUUAACAAAAUAUGAAGCAUUGGUCCCUAAAUGUUAACACCGUAUGAUUUUCUGUUAAUUUGAUUAUGUCGUCUUUGUGGGCUCCAUAUUAUUGUUUACUAGAUGGCACGUGGCUUGAAAAGUCAAAAUAAAAGAAAAUAAAUACAAACAUAGAGAAAGAAAGAGAGAGAAAAAAAAACUUUAAAUUAUAAAAGUUAACUCUCUCUCCCAUCCUCCCUUCCGCCUCACCUCCUCCAAACCCCAACCACACCAUUGUAGCACUUUCCCAACAGCCAAAACAAAAGAAAGUUUCUAAUCCAAUUUUGGAACACGUCUCCGUUUGCAAACGAAUUCACAAUGACAUCCAUUCACGCUGUCUCGACAGGUAAGAUUCAAGAAAUUUGUGGGAUGCGGGUUCGGGGUUCGGGUGAAGGCUGUGGUCCGUGGGCUACAGUUUGGAGUCGGCUGGAGAGUGGGAUUAGGGAUUGGGGGUUGGAAGUGGGAGGUUGACGGGGUGUGAAUCAAAGAUUGAAGGUGAAGGGGUGGCUGCGAGUGUUGGUGGGAUGAGGUAGGUGAAACUAACAUGUAAAGUUGUAAACCCUUUUAACUAAAAUUUAAAGGAAUUGGUUACGAAGGACUAACGCUCCAUAUUUUAUCAAGUUCAAGGGCAAAAUGUAAUGAAUUUUUAGUUUAGGAACCACAGCUACAAUUUUCCUCUAGAUUUUAUAUGAGAGAUUAAGGCGUAUUAAUUAAGCAUGAUAAUUAGAGUAAUACAACUUAAAUACUGAAAGCACAUGAAUGAUUACCUAUUAUCAGUGAUUUGAAGAUGGUAGCCAGACAAAUUUGCAGCUUUUGUAAGAACCUCUCCCCACUGCUUUACCUCUUCUUGUUUAGCUUCACGUUUCUUGUCAUCCUUUUCUUCACCGACGCCUUCUUCGUGCUUUUGAAAUUCUUCGGCUGACUUUGCAGCUUCUGUAAGAGCCUUUAUCCACUGCUCUACCCUUUCUCGUUUUUCUUCACGUUUCUUGUCAUCUUUUUCUUCACUGAUGUCAUUUUUGUGCUUCUGAAAUGCUUGGGCUAAAACUCCGUUCUGCUUCCUGACAUGUGAAGGAUCAAUGUGAUAGAAUAUUGGCAAAACAUGUCGCCCCAGUUUGUCUCUGCACUCCAUGAUCUUCACCAGCUCGUUAAGACACCAACUCGAAUCCGCAUACCUCUCUGAGAAGACAAUGAUAGAGGUCUUCGAUUCUUCGAUUGCCUGGAGCAGUUCUUUUGGUAUUUCUUCCCCUCUUUUGAGAUCGUCCUCAUCAAUAUAAGCCUGGUAUCCCCUGUCUGUUAAUGCCGCGUGGAGGUGGCCCGUGAAGCCAUUGCGUGUGUCUACACCGCUAAAGCUCAAGAACACGUCGUAAUUCCAAAGUUUUGACUUGGAGGAGGAUGAAGAGGAGGCUUCGUGGGUUGUCAUGGCGGUAUCCACCGUUAUGGCACUGCAGUGGUUCAGAUCACGACUGAAGAAUGGUAGUAGUUGUGUUCGUGCAUUCAAACGGAUGAUCCUGAAAUACCUAAACGCAAGUCAAGCUCCUUCAGUCAACAAGAACAAAGUUUAUAAUAUAAUAAUUUUGGCGUAUGGACUUGAGAAACGACAUAGUGUUGGCCGGAAGGUGCAGAAAAAGAGAGAGGAAAAAAGAAAAGAAAGGAACGAAAGGACAAAGACCAUCCAAAAGAUUCUUGGCUGUGAUUACAGCUAUUCAUAGGAGAAACAACGGACAUAUUUUCAUAGGAGAAACAACCUUCCCAUCUUCAUAUAUAAUGCAUUUCAACGGACAUAUUUUAAUAGGAGAAACAACUUUAGUUUGUACUAGAAAUUUUUACCCGCACGUUGAUGCGGCAUUUGAAAUUGUAUGAAAGAUUAUCUUUGAAAUAUAUAAUAGAUUGUGUGAUUGAAGAUUAAUACUAUUUACAUUGAAAACGUUGGAAAAAGUUUUACAUAUAAAAGAUUUUAUGAUACAAUCCACGUAUAAAAGAUGGUAAAUUUUGUUCUAUCUACAUGCAUUAUGUUAUGGAAUGAUAUAUAUAUAUAUAUAACUAAGUUCCAGAAUAUGUAAACUUCAUAACUUGGAAAUUUUUUGACAAAUUAAUCAGAUUCAACUGUGGGUUAGCAAGGUCGCCUAUAAAGUUUGAAGUCGUAGAAGCAUAAAGGACAAAUAACAAAUGAGUUUUGAGAAAUUAUUCCACAAAUGUCAUUCUGCAAAAUGUAUUAAAGACGAUUGGUAUAAGAUUAGCAAUCAUGAGUAGUGUAACAACAUCAACAAAAUAACCAUAAACCAUAACAUAAUUCAAAUUUUGUUUGCAAAAACAAAAGAAAAAGAAAAGAGACUUACAAUAAUUCAACCUUCAAUCUUGAAGUCCAGCUCAAAGAGCCAAACCUAAAUGCAAGCUUUCUGAAAUUUCCCAAACAAUACAGAUAAAACGGUAACACCCUAGUCAGAAAUGAACCAAGGUGCGAGCUUUCUAAGAAACCCAGAUGACAAAAUCAACAAAAUAGAAUGGAAAAAUGACUUACACUUUGAAGGCAUGCUCGAACCUUGAUCUAAAAUUGGUGGUGGGUCGAUUGUUGGUCACCAACUCUAAAUGAAGAAUUCAUCAGAACCUAGAAAUUUAAAACAAAGAAUUUUCCAAAAUCAACAUUUACUAAAAACCAGUUGCUUGGUUAUCAUGCAUGAUGGCUUGACAAAGACUGAAUUAAGGAAUGCAAACUUUACUUUCAUGAUUAUUUUUAAUGACAGCUAAAAGGUCAGAUCCAAAUGAAAAUAAAAGUUAGGACUUCACAAAACCAAUUAAAAAUCUAAUUCUAAAGUUAUAAGCACCCACAAAAUGAUUCCAGAUAAAGUUUUACACUCAAGGUCAAACCCAAAUGAAAUUAAAAGUUAGGACUUCACAAAACCAAUUGAAAAUCUGAUUCCAAAGUUCCAAACACCCACCAAAUGAUUCCAGAUAAAGUUUAAACUCAAAAACCCAAUAGAAACAAAAGCACUGGUAUAAAUUAACUGUAUCUAAUUGAAGAAACUAAAACAAAAGUAAAGCAAAGUAUAUACCUCAAAAUGUCAAGCAACUAAGUUCUUCCUCCGACGACCCAAAACUCUGAAAAUUCCACACAAAAAAAAAGGCAAAUCCAUUAGCAAUUCAUAGCUUUCAAAAUUAGCAAAAACUUGGGCAACAAUAAAGAUGUGUCUAGAACCAUCAAUCUUUCUCCUUAUGCAUUUGAAAAGAUAUGUUAUAAGCAGUUUAUGUAGUCAUUCUGAACAUGUUGCAUAUAAAUUCCUUUUCUACAGGGUUCAAAAAAAUAUGGCAGUUUAUGGAAUCUGUUGAAUGACAUAGUUGAAAGAUUUAAAAUUGAUACAUUCAAUUUUUAUGUGUAAAACUAUAACAUAUAGCUAAAGCUAUUGGGUCCAUAUCAGUCAUGUCGUAAUUGAAUGUUUAUCGAUGUAAAUAGAUGAUUUCAGUCAUGGGAUAACAUGUUUCUUGAUAGUAUACGCUGAAGUUUGGUCUAAGUUGGAUAUAAAUCGACCAAAAUCUUAAUAAGAGACUUUUUUAACUUUUAACCAAAAAAUGAGCACCACAAUACUACACUUAUAAGUUUUAUCAUGCACAAAAUACACAGCACUGAUUGCCACUUUUAGAGCAAGAACAAUACUUUACCAAAAGAAAACAACAAAACACCCAAAACCCAGAAACAUAAACACACUUAGGACUCAAACUCCUCAAAAACAUGAGAAAGAGAGAGAGUGUGUGAGGAGAAAGAAUAAAAAAAAAAAUUAUUUUUCACACAAACUCAAAAUUGCUUAUAAAAUUACAAAUGAAUGCAAAUCCAAAAUUGCCCUAAAUUAAAUCUGAUUAGUUAAAUGUUUGUUGCCCCAGAAAUUUCGUUACACCUCACAAAACUUGCUUUGAAGUUGAUAUUUUGGUCAAUCCAGGGGAAAAGGAGUUAUUGGUUUUGGAGCAGUUGUCAUGGAGAAUACCAUCUCCCUGUAGAAUGAUCUAAAAAAGGACUUACAGCUUAUGGUGGCCAUAAUAAUUUAGGAGGCCCUUCUCUCCAAAUUUUCUCAAUAACUUUCCUUUUCGUAGCUGGUAAGAUUGCAACUCCGAGAAUUGCUUUGAAGAGAUAUACACAAACAAAAUACCAAAACUAAGCUAUUGGAAGAAAUUUAGAAAACACAAGCACCAUUACAACUCAGAGUUAAAAGUCAACAGAAACCAAAUGGUACAAGUUGAAAAAAUAUAUGGUCAUGAAUCGAGAACUUCAUCAAACUAACAGCAAUAAAAUCUCAUAUAAUCCGUCAAAAACCAAAAAAGAGAUUCAAGACCUUGUAACGUCGAGGCCUCGUACAGUUGUAGUAAUAAUUUAUGGUUGAUGCACCUGUUGCUCAAUCAAAUCCUUCGUCUGGCUAAAAAAAUAAAAAUCUAUAAAUACAUUCACGUCCAAUUUAUGAGAAAUCAUGGGAAAGAAAAUGUGAAUAUGAAGAACUUAACAAAAAGAAAAAGAAAACUUCUUAUAGUGUGCUAAGAACAUCCUCCUACUCCUAGCAAAUUUUUUAUGGCAUUAUCCACUUCUCAAUUCAUAAUUCAACCAGUAACUCAAAGUCUAUAGUGUAUGAAAAAGUGAUAUCUUAGUUGAUCACGAUGAUAAUCAAAAAGGAAGAAACAACCAAACAAAAUUAUUAGGUCUGGGAUAUACCUUUAUCUGAAACACCACAAUCAUCAAAGUGAAACACAAACAAUCCAAAAAUUUGUGGAAAAUACCAAUAAAUGCUCAACUAAAAACGAAAGAAAAAGUAGAAUAAGUUUACCUGUUCCUCCCCUAAUUAAACUGCAAUACAAUUCACCACUGAUAUUCUCGUCAUCCUCUUCAGCCUGAAAAAUUUAGUAGAAAAUAAUGGUAAGAAUCUAGCAGUAUUUCCAUUGUUCAAAACCCAAAUUCCAGAAAUCAUGAAAAAUGGAAACUUUAUAUGGAAAUUGAACCCCCAAAAUCACAAAAAGGAAAAUUGAACAGAAAAUAAAUUUGCAAAUCCAAAAUCACAAAAACGAAAUUGAAACACCCACACUGAGAAAGCUGUAAAACUCACAAGGAAACGCUAGCUUUUCUGGGUAAAAAAAAUUGUUCGAAUCGAAUUGAAGAACCGAGGAAAAUUCUACAGGUUCAGUGGUUUUUCCAGCAAGAAAGCACCUUGUUUGUAAGUCGUGAGAGGUUGGAGAGCGAGAGAAGCCGAUUUGGGAACCAAAGAAAGCGAGGUUGGAGACCGAAAGAGGCUGCGAAUUGCGAGAGAGAAAAACGAAAAGGAAAGGAAAAGCGGAGAAGAAGUCACGAUUAUCGACGCGUGGGUAGGAUUCCACUGUGAGAGGAUUGCAUUCUUUUAAGAGUGUUUCCUUAUUACAAUUUUAUGCUACUAGAUCCAUCCUAUUGUUCCAUUUCUAAACUUUAUAUUAUAAUAUCACCCAUCGUAAAAAAUUAAAAUCCUAUUAAUCCACCCCAAUUAUUUCUAAAAUAACCUCAAAUAUCUAAAUCCAUUUUUAUUUCACCCCAAUUGCAUGAUCAGGCCUCGAUUUGAAGCUAGUUGACGUUGGCCCAAAUGCCAAAUUGUUUGAAUUUCCAAUAAACAUAUUAUAAUUAUAAAAGGAUGGUGAAGAUAUGAAUCAAAUUUGAAAGAGAGAACAUUACUUGGUGAAGGAGGUGAUAGGUGAUGUUGGUAUGGGUUAUGCAGUCACCAUUGGACAUGAGAGGCUUUCUCCUCAAAAUUCCUUCUACAUCUACAGCAUGCAAAUCGAAUGAUGAUAGGUUUAUCGAAGCCCUAAUACCAACUUUAUGACAAAUCUGAACGGACCAAUAAACAACCAUGGAACGAUCUUGAGACGCGACCACUGCGCGUGAGACUCAACCAGGAAUAACUAGACCAUCAGCCGCCGUCGUCAAUAUUGUAGAGGUAGAUGGUGGGUCCGAGAACUCGAUUUUCUUGGAGCAGUUUGAGAUUGACGAAGGGACCUGACGAGGGGUUGGGGUUGUUGGUGACCGAGAGUAUAUGGGUUUGACGAUGGUGGUGGUGGUGGUGGUGGUUUGCAAUCUCUCUCUUUCCUUUUCUUGGGGUUGGACAUUCGGGUGACAGCCGCCUUGGGAUCGGAUGUCAAUGGGGACGUGCUUGAGAGCCAUGAUGACGACGCGAGCGUGGGUGGGGAGAAUUUUCCAGGUCCUUUGAUGUAAUUUUACAAAAGGGUAAAAAUGGAAGUAAAAAAAUUAUAAACUAGUGGGGUGGGAAGAUAAGACAACGGGGUUGUUGUGGUCUAUUUUUAUCUGAUAAAGCAAUAGGGCCGGCGGCAGGGGGAGAGAGAAAAGAGAGAUGUGUGUUUGUAGAAUUGUAGGGGAAUGUGUGUUGUUAUCUCUCAUACAUUGUGCCUUUAUUUAUAGUAGUAAAAGGAGAGAAGAUAUUCCUUCUUCUCCAAGUAAUAUAAGUUGUAAUAGGAAAGAAUAACUAGAAUCAAAUCUAAUAUAGGAUUUACACAAUUUACAAGUUGUUAUCCCUCCUACAUUGUGCCUUCUUCUUCAUAAGAGUUUGAAAGAAGUAUGAAAUAUUGACUUGUUGAUGAUGAAGUUGAUAGUGAAAUGUAGUAACGGUUAAUUUAACAGAAUUUUUAACGGAUGUAUGAAAUUAAAAAAUAAUAUAAGUAAAUGUAUGAAAUUAAAAUGUUUUAAAGAAAUUGUAUGAAGUUGCAAUUGACCCCAAAUACGAGAGAUAAAACAUAAUUUACACAAAAAACAAAGAUCAGAUUUGUAAAAAUGCACCACAUAGUAGUUAAAACAUCCGGACGUAAAUGAAUGGUUUGAGAUACCAUCAUAGUAGCAUCUUUCAGUGUAAGUUUUUCUCAUAUCGGAUCACUUACCAGUAGAAAAGUGUAAUACCGUGUCGGGAAAGGAAGUCAAUGAUGAAAAGAGAGCAAUUUAGCUUUAAAAAUAAGGAAAACUAAUGAAAAGAGUUUGAAAACUUUGCGUUUAAUGAUAAGGACAAAAUAAAAGGAUAAAGUGAAUAGUACUAUGAUUGAUUUUUUAGUGUAAAAAUAUGGUUUUUCGUUAAAGUUUCCUUAAAAAUAUUGCGUCCUCCGUAUGAUGUUUGCAACAUGUGUCGCCAGAGUAUCAACUUGAAGCUCUCCACAUCUCCGUCGUCAAAUGUUUUGUAAGCAGCAUUGUUUAAGUUCUCUCUGUCAGGGAAACUGCAGAUGGGUUUGAUGAAGAAGAAUGGAAAAUAUAAUUUUUAGAAAAUGAGAAAGAAAAUUAUAAAACUUCAUUAAUGAAAUUUCUUUAUCAACAAAAAAAGAUGAAAAUAUAUCUUUGUCUUCUAUCACAACAAAAAAGUUAAGGACAGUAACGUAAUUUUACAAGAUAAAAUUUUACUUUUUUUUUAAAUCUCACAUAUAUGUAAGUUUAUCAUCUUUAAUUUAAAAAAUAUAAAAAAACCUCUCUUCCACGUUCUCUCUCACUCUCUUCCUCUCCUUCAAAUUUAACAACCAAAGUAAAAAAAUUCAUACGCUUUGUGUGUGGACAUAUACUAGUUGAAAUUUAAAAAAGGAGACUUAAAAAGAGAGAUUUAAUAUUUUCUAGGUUGUCUUGGGAGUUGGCAAUGACAGUAAGAGAGGAGAAUCUCGGGUUCCACUGGAAAGGAGGAAAUUUUUCAAAGCGAGAAGGUAGGGGUUUUUUCACUUGCUCUCUUGGUCUUUGGGCUUUUGGAUUGGAUUGGGACAAUUCCAAUUACCCCAUCCCAACUUACGACUUUUUAUCGGUCUAUAUUGGCUAAAGUGAACGUACUAAAAUAGAAAUUUGAGAACUUGAAUUAAGGUCUUGAAUUAGCGAAUGAAUGUCCAGUAAGAAUGUCAUGUAGUCGGACUUGUAAGGCUACCCUUAAUAAGUAGUCACGUUUGUCAAAACUGGUCUAUCUGAUUAUAAUUGUAACCAUAUUAUGUGUGACACAUGAUCAAACUUGAAGGGUUGUCCAAUAAGAAGUUGUCAUGUUGUCAAGCGUAGGGCCAAAGGUGAGCACUUUCCUACCAAAGUGUUUUCUUUUUCCCCUUUUCAAGGGAUUUGUGUCACCAUUAGAUAGGAGAUUCAAACACAAGACCUUGAAUUUAGAGGCAAACGCUUUAAAAAAGCUUCUCUGAUUCAUCUCCUCUGACUUUGACGGGUUCCACUUCGGAUUCUGCAUUGACAGGAAACCGAAGCCAAAGAUAAAGAUCCGUUCUGAUAUACAGAAAGUAAGAUGAUUAUCAACUGUAGGUCUAGUAGAGGCUGUAAUUGUUCUGUCACUUUAUAGUAAGGAAUCUUGAGCAUAAUUAACGAACCUGAUCCUUGUCCACCAAAACUGCCGUACACCUUCAGCAAAAUCAUUCCGCAAAUACAAUCUUAUAGCAAUGCGAUAUUCAGUUUCAUCACACCAGUUAGUAUUGGUCAAGUAAAGCACAUGUUACUUUCUGAAAAUUUGAAAUACUACAACGCAAAACCUAUCAAAAAGAUGCAACCAUGUGAUGCAAGAAACGAAAAGGUAGAAAGUCCAGACUCACUGUGGAUAAUUGAUUGUCAUUUUUCCCAAGCGCAGAUGCAAUUUUAGCGAAUUAAUUUUGUCCCAAAGAAAGUGAGAACGGAGCUCCCUUUCCAAGACAUUAAAGAGCUUCAUUAGCCCACUCACCACUGCAAUAGAAACAAUUUGAUACAAAAUACUUGACAGCAACCAUACAAGCCGCUCAAUAGACAAAUGACAUUGACAAACAUACCAGUAGCAUCUGAACCUGCUGCUGCUUUUUAAGUUCAUCAAUUGUCUCAAGAACCGACUUAUUUGCACCAAACGCUGAAGUUAUUUGAUGUAAAAGACUUGAGUUGCGCUUCAGAAUCUGGGUUGCUGGUGAAUUUCGCCGCAGUUGUUUCAAUGUCCCCAUGGGGAUCCUAAGAACCGUAUCAACAAUGGAGUAUCUUUUAUCUCAAGAACGCAUUGGACAAUGGAGCAUCAGAAAUUGCGUCUGAGGAUAGAAAAGGCAUACCUGCAGAUCCUCCUCCCGUACUCCUUGCCGCUACAUGUGAAAACCCAUCUGGCAUAGCAAGAACAGUCCUCUGAAAUGUAUCCAUACAAAGUUAGACGCACAAAAUUUGAAAAGCCAUUGCAAUGUAAUUGACAACAUUGACAAUCUCUGUCUGACAGGGCAAAAUACCUUUGUAAUGAUCCGGUAGUGACCGUGACCUGAUAGGUCAACACCAAAGACCAUUGUUAUGCGAUCAAUGAAGCUUAUAAAGGGCUUCUUGUACUCAGAGAUUUUGCAUAUUAGAGAAUACUCAGCAGUGGAUACCUGAACGCAGCACAAAUAUCAUAUCGUUAGCCUCUCAAUAUUAAGAAAACUACAAAUGGUAGCUUAGAAAAGAAAUGAAUCCUCUCCAACCAAAUACAAAUCAUAUUACCCCAAGUUCAAGCAAAAUCAAGACUAAACAAAUGAUUAGAUGUUGUAGGUUGCCCGAGAAUGUCAACCAUGAAAUUACAAAAGAAAAAAAUAACUGUAUGUAUUGAACAUUAAUAAAUACAUGCUGAAAGCACAAUCUCAGCCGCAAUUUAUGACAUUUAUACGAGAUUGAAUCGCUAAAGCAAUUGAAGAAAUUGCAGAGCUCAUAUAAGUGAUUUUCACUUUGAAUUUUUAGGCUUAUCAACAAAUACAUCAUUACGAUUCUAAUGCAUGAAUUUUGUUAAAAGGGGCUUGCUUGCUUGUAUUAAGGCUUAAUCAUCAAUGAAUUUGCAAGAAGCAAUCGAUUUGCUAGUUGUAAAUCUAUUCACUAAUUACCAAAAUUACAUCUAAACGGUAGUGAAGGAAGUCAUCUUAUAUUAUCUGGAUUUUAGAAAACUGUGUAAGGUUAUAAGUCUGUUAUUAUAUAUAGUUAAAAGGGACACAAUUAGACCUCAAUCAUAUUUGGUGGUUGGUUUUUGGCCAUGAUCUGCUUCACAUCACCCCCUGCAAACAAAAAUGAACACUAAGAGAAACAAUAAACAAAUGACAUGAAACAACACGAACAUCAAAGACCAACAAUCUAUCACGUAAGUACCUAAACAAGAAACAACUUUAGUUCAAAGCAAAGCGUAAUGUAGAAACCUUCGGCACAAGAGGUGUGUUUUUGUCCUUUUGAAUUUCGGCAACAACCAUUUUAAUGUCCUUUCCUGCAAUUACCAUGAUUGGUCACUCUCAAAACCUUACCUAAGAGACCCAAAAACAAAAAUAACCGCCGAAAAAUUUAUUUAACUACAUGCUAAAAUGGAAGUGUAAUAUUGCCAAGAAAGAUAAGAAACUAUUCAAAUACAGAUUCUGGGCUUACCGCACAAAAGGCACGAGCCUAGCGGCUACCAAAAAGAACACACUUCACAUUUGGGUGAGAUUCCCAUUCAUCCAGAUAGCUCUUGUAUUUCACAUCCAUAUCUGCAUUUUCCAACAAUUCCCACUUAAACAGAAAUACAAAAUUCUUUGAAAAAAAGCUAACUUCUUCGAAAUGCGAAUCCAACGUUUCGUCUUAUAACAAAUGCAAUAACAUAGAUUUGUAAUCAAUACGAUGCCAUAAAGUUCAAGCUCCAAAAUUCAAAUCAGCUCCAAAUCAAAAGCAUUUACAGAUAUAUACAUAUAUACAUGUGUGUGUGUGUGUGUGUGUGUGUUUAUCUACAUACCUAGGUUCAUGGCGUUGAGAGCUUGGGGGCCGACCGAGGGUGAUGACGGCGACGCCAUUUGGGUGGACGCUGCCCUUGACGAACGCGUCGGCGGAGGCCAUGAUCCCGAAGGGGCGGAGGAGGCGAGGGGAUUUGGAUGGUUGGAAAAGAGAAAGCUUCGAAUUUGGAUUGAGGAAGAAGAAAGCGGACGACGAUUUGCUCAGAAUUUAGGUCGCUCCUCCCAAUAAGCUUCCCAUUACUUCCGGUCGGGAGUGACUGCAUCAGUGUAGAGAGAUAAAGAUAUUUUUGGUGCUUCUGGGCCGGACUACCCUUGAUGUUUCGGUUAAAUAACCGGGAAAAACAACUGCCGCAGGGAAAUUUGAAAGAGGCGUUUGACGAACUGAUUGUGAUCUGACUCAAACAUGUGAUGAUGACGAUGCAUCACCACCUUGAUUGUGUCUCUGGAUGAAAAACCUACCAUCAAGAUCAAAAUCGUGCAUAUUUUCCUUCAUAGGUUUGUCCCAUACUAGAUUAACCCCUAUUCCCUUAGCUUUCGCAUAAUUAAAUGCAUUAGUUUUCGCAUAAUUAAAUGCACCGCCUUUCAUUGGUAUUUCAAAAGUUAUAUCAACUUUAUCCCCGCUUUGCAAAUUGAGCUUAUCGUUUGAUAUUUGACCUUGCCAAAGAUAACAGCUUUCAAAUACAAUAUCGCGCAUUUUUGUAACCCAAUCUUCCUUGCCUAUGCAAGUCUGUAACUCAGUACGCUUGGUAUUAUUUAUAUCAAUACUAGCACGAGGAUGACCAUCUUUACCUCUCAUAUAAGGUCUUGGCCGAUCAAGAUAAGAGCGGUAAAAGCAUAACAGAGUUAGCCCUUCAAAACUACGACCAUCACCCGGGGGAAUAUCAAAGCUAACUUCAUUACCAUCAUUGACAAACUCGAACCAAUCAGGAACAUAAUUCCCAUUGAGAAAAAUGCCACCAUAUCCGCAAGAAGUCCAUCCCUAUAUAUAUAUUGCAAGUGUCAUAACUAUAUACAUACAUGUACAUGUGUGUUGUGUGUGUGCAUGUGCGCAAUAGGAAGACAAUUAAAGAGAGAGAGAUACCUUUAGGACGUUCCUCCUUAAAUCAGCCGUGAGUUUGGUGCACUUACUCAUAUCAAUCCAUGUCAUGGAGUUUAAUGACUUAUCCAAGUCUGGAACCUCAGUGAGUUCGUGUGAAUCACAUACAUUCAGUUCCCUCAUAUUUGACAUUUUCGAAAAAUUGGGCAUUGUUACCAAACGAUAGCAACUAGAUGCAUCCAGAAAUUUCAAAUUUGUUGGUAAAUCAUAGAUUGUAUGAAGCUGGGAGCAAUAACUUAACCACAAACUUUCAAGUUUUGAAAGACCACUGAGGCUGGGUAGGGUAUGAAAAUAAUUGACUGAGAGAUCUAAAUUUCUUAAAGAGUCUAAGCCGUGUAACGAAUCGGGAAAUUGCAAAGGAAACUUCGAUCCCACAAAAUUAUUGAGAGAUAAAUGAGUGAGAUUCUUCAAUCUUACUGUGGAACGCGGUACUUGUCUUAUGGCUGUAGUAGAUGCUUUAAGUACUCUCAAUGAUAUCAUCUUCCCUAAACCCUCGGGCAAUUCACUGAAUUGCCAACAAAAAUCAAGAACAAGAGUCUGAACGGAUUUGGACCUGUAGAAAUCCCCAGGAAGAGAAAUAAGAUUCUUGCAGCGUGUGAGGUUCACCAAAGAAAGUUUUUUAAGAUGACCAAUGGAGGGGUGAAUAUCGGACAAACUCCUACACCUUUCCAAUAUCAACUCUUCAAGAUUUGGGAGAUUUGAAAAGUCUGGUGAUUUUUUUAAGUCAGAGCAACUUCCAAGAUUAAGGACCUUCAAGUUUUCAAGUGACUGUUGCACAAAAUCAAAGAAAAAUUAAAAUUAAUAUCCAAAAGGACUAUCUCAGAAAAAAAGAAGGAAAUCCAAAAAACAAAUACAAACAUAACAUCAUCAUGUGUAAUCGAUUGUACCUUGGAGCCCUCCCAAACUUGUACCAGGUCGCUAGAUGUUAUCUCUAAAAUAACUAGUCUUGGUUGAUCAAAGAAGUCAUCUGGUAUGGACUUUAAAGGGCAUCUUUCCCAACACAACCAUAUUAACUCCUUGGGGAGAUGUUUGUAUUCUCCAUUGAGCUGCACGUUGUAGAGCUUGAGCAGUCUCAGUUUCUUCAUAUUGGCAAAUGCUUCUGUACUGAACCCAGGCAUGUUAGACCUUGGAGGCCAAGGAGGAGGGAUACCUAGAGCAAGUCCUUCAACUUCUUCAGUUCCCUGUUAACAAAAGGUUAUAUUCAUGUGUAAGAAACGGAUUAUUUGCAUACGUUUACAUGUAUGAAUACAAGCAAGUACUAUUGUUGGCUAAUUGAGAUGAAUGUUAAUGUAUAAUACACAUCCGUGAGUUAUAUGUGCUUUUCAUGUACAAUGCAUUAAUUCAGAAUUUUAUUGGGAAUGUACUUACAGAUUUAUCUCUCAAUACUUUAAUGACCUCUUGCCGGUUCCACAACCUACUCCACUCUCCAGGCUGACGAGGGGAUUUUUCAGAAAUGAUUAAUUUGGCCAUUUCUCGAAGCAAAUCAUGCAUAUUCAACACGUUGUCUUCAACAGUUAUAAGGCAUCGUUCACGGAGGUCACUGAUUCCUAUUGUUGCAAAAAAGUUACAUCCAUCUAAUAUUUUUGCGACAUAGUCCUUAUCCCAUCCAAUAAAGAAACAAGAAAUGUCAAGGAAUAUAUCCUUUUGUGUAGGAUCUAGCCUUUCAAAGCUUACUCUUAGCGGUUUCAUUAUUCCUUUAUCAGGAAAUUUUUUCAAUUUCUCCAACUGACUUUUCCACUCUAUUGGGGUUCUUUCAAUCAUAGAAGAACCUAAAACUUCAAGGGCUAUUGGCAAACCACCACAGUAAGAAACAACCUCUUUUGAGAGUUCAAGAUAUCCUUCAUUAGGCCAACUCUUUCCAAAGGCAUGCCAACUAAAGAGCUUCAGAGCUUCUUCUUCAUUCAUUUCCUUAAGCGGAUAUGUCUUGUCCACUUUCAUGUUCACUUGCUUUAGUAAACAUUCAUCUCGUGUCGUUAUGAUAAUUCUACUUCCUGGACCAAACCAAUCACGAUUUCCAGCUAUGGCAUUUAGUUGUUCCACUUUGUCUACAUUGUCAAUAAUGACAAGUACGCUUCUACGUUGGAGAUGAUUUUUUAGCAAACUGAUACCUCCAUCAACACUGGUUAUCUUAGACUCAGUCUGUUUCAAGAUGUCAGAAACAAGCUUUCCUUGCAAAUCAACCAAAUCAUAUUCACUAACGUUGGCAAGGAAACUUUUGAAUUGGAACUUAUGAUGAAUUUGGUUAUAAAUGGCUUUGGCAGCUGUUGUUUUACCUAAUCCACCCAUCCCCCAAAUUCCAACCAUGACAACGUCAUUUGAUCCACCACCUGAAAGAUGAUUGAUAAUAUCUUGAACGCGAGAAUUGAUUCCAACCGGGUGCUUGGCCACAUUUAAUUCGUUUGCACCCGGAAGCCAUUCCGUAAUGAUCUUGCCAACAAUUUCUCUAAUAAGCUUUGCUUCGCGCCUAGAUGUUGAAUUUGUAAGCAUUAGCGGGACUCAAUGAACAGUAGGAGCUAUUAGUACAUAGACAAUUUUCUUUCCUUCAUACAUAUUCUAACUAGCUACUAGCUAGCAUGUGAUUUUUUUACCAACUUGAUAAAAGAAAGAAAUUCAUUCAUUAAUUAAACUCCAAUUACGGUUUAGGUUUUAUAUGAGAGGUUAAGGUGUAUUAAUUAAGCAUGUUAAUUAUAUGAGAGAUUAAGUCAUUCACUAAAAUGUGUCAAAUCUUUAAAAGCAGGUGAAUGAUUACCCAUUGUCAAUGAUUUGAAGAUGUUGGCCAGACAAAUUUGCAGCUUCUGUAAGAGCCUUUCUCCAUUGCUUUACCCUUUCUUGUUUAGCUUCACGUUCCUUGUCAUCUUUUUCUUCACGAAUGCCCUCUUCGUGCUUCUGAAAUGCUUGAGCUAAAUCUCCGUUCUGCUUCCUAACAUGUGAAGGAUCAACAUGAUAGAAUAUUGGCAAAACACGUCGCCCCAGUUUGUAUCUGCACUUCAUGAUCUUCACCAGCUCGUCAAGACACCAACUCGAGUUCGCAUAACUCUUUGAGAAGACAAUGAUAGAGAUCCUCGCCUCUUCAAUUGCCCGGAACAGUUCCUCUUUUAUUUCUUCCCCUCUUUCUAGAUCGUCCUCAUCGAUAUAAGCCUGGUAUCCCCUCUCUGUUAAUGCCGCAUGGAGGUGGCCCGUGAAGCCAUUGCGUGUGUCCACACCGCUGAAGCUCAAGAACACGUCGUAAUUCCAAAGUUUUGACUUGGAGGAGGAUGACGAGGAGGCUUCGUGGGUUGUCAUGGGGGUAUCCACCGUUAUGGCACUGCAGUGGUUCAGAUCACGACUGAAUUAAGGAAUGCACAACUUUACUUUUAUGAUUAUUUUCAAUGACAGCUAAAGGUCAGAUCCAAAUGAAAAUAAAAGUUAGGACUUCACAAAACCAAUAAAAAAAUAUAAUUCCCAAGUUACAAAUACCCACCAAAUGAUUCCAGAUAAAGUUUUAAACUCAAGGUCCGGCCCAAAUGAAAUUAAAAGUUAGGACUUCACAAAACCAAUUGAAACAGAAACCAAAUGGUAGAAGUUGAAAAAAAUAUAUGGUCAUGAAUCGAGAACUUCAUCAAACUAAUAGCAAUAAAAUCUCAUAUAAUAUGUCAAAAACCAAAAAAGAGAAAGAGGUAAUUUCAAGACCUUGUAACGCCGAGGCCUCGUACAGUUGUAGUAAUAAUAUAUGGUUGAUGCACCUGUUGCUCAAUCAAAUCCUUUGUCUGGCUAAAAAAAUAAAAUCUAUAAAUACAUUCACGUCCAAUUUAUGAGAAAUCAUGGGAAAGCAAAUGCACUGAGAACGGAAUCAUGAAUAUGUAGAACUUGCCAAAAAGAAAAAGAAAACUUUUUAUAGUGUGCCAAGAACAUCCUCCUACUCCUAGCAAUUUUUUAUGGCAUUAUCCACUUUUCAAUUCAUAAUUCAACCAGCAACUCAAAGUCUAUAGUGUAUGAAAAGGUGAUAUCUUAGUUGAUCACGAUGAUAAUUAAGUAGAUUAAAUGACGACCCAUAAAGCAUACAAAUUCAGAAAAGAAAAGGUACGAAACUGCCAUAAGAAAACGCAGAAUAUAUAAACCGGAAAUCAAAAGAAGAGAAGCGAAAAAGGAAGAAAAAAAAAACCAAACAAAAUUAUUAGGUUUGGGAUAUACCUUUAUCUGAAACGCCACAAUCAUCAAAGUCAAACAUAAACAAUCCAAAAAUUUGUGGAAAAUACCAGUAAAUGCUCAACUAAAAACGAAAGAAAAUGUAGAAUAAGUUUACCUGUUCUCCCCCUAAUUAAACUGGAAUAACAUUCACCACUAAUAUUCUCGUCGUCAUCCUCUUCAGCCUGAAAAAUUUAGUAGAAAUACUCAAUGAAGACGCUUAAUGUAGACAGUAAUAUUAGCAAUGGAGGAAUUGAAUUGAUAACCAAAACUGCAAGACCAAAUGACUAUUUAGGUUCAAAACAGAAACUCGUCUGCUAGAUGUCUCAUCUUUAGGCAGUGCCUUGUUCUUGUUUUUUUUUCUUUUUUUUUUGUUGUUGCAUGUCUUGUGAAGUUCAUGUAAAUCAACAAAAUUGAUACUUUUGACACAACCAACAAUGGAGAGGUAAAAAGUUAAAAACAUUAGGAAUGUCUUCAUUUUUGUAAUGGAUUUUGCAAGUCAGAAAUUCUGUUCGAGAAUUUGCAACCCAGAAAGUCCGCCAGAAAUUAUUAACAAUCACAGAUAAGCACCGAAUGAAGGCCAAUCUAAUAAGCCAAAAUAUGUAGGGCACUAAAGAAAUUACCCAGUAACAAUAAUAGAUAAGCACAUAUGAAACUAAAGAAAUUUUUCAUUACUAUCAACUCCCAAAAAAAAAAAAAAAAAAAACUGUGCAAUCCAAAAAAUGUUGAUACAUAGUUGGAGUAUCAAUGCCUGAAAUUGGUAUUUGAACCACGAAUAUGUUUGUUAGCUUAAAGGUUUGGGUUGAAGUUGUGAAAGGAAAUGUAAUUUCUUAAAAGAAGGAGAGAAUGCAAAGAUGAAUACAGAAUGGUUCAUGUGGCCACCUUGUUAAGGCACAGAAAAAGACAUCAAAUUUUAUACUUGUUGCAUCCAAGGUAUGCAACAGCCUCCCACAGAAAUUACAGAAAUCAAAUCAAGAAAAAAGAUAAUUACACAAUAAUUACACCUUCACUAAGAAAAUAAAUUAUAAAAACGAAGACCGUGAGAAUAAUUACCUUACCUUUGUACGGUGAUUGGCUGCCAAAAAAAAAAAUAAUGUCAUAUACAUUAAGCCUGCCAAUUACUAAAAACAAAACAUUUUGCCAUGAGGAGAAGUAAGAACAUACCGAAACUUGUUUGCAAAUAGAUGAGAAAAACUUAUUCCUGAAACAGAUGGAAAAUUUAUUAGGAAAGAUAAAUCAGCCCACAUGUGUGUAAUCUAUAUACAAAAAACCACUCUCUUCAAUAGCCAAAUCGUUUCACAAAUCCAAAAACACAUAAUUAUAUCUUGAACAAUGCCAAUUAAUGAUUUCCCAUUUACUUAAGCCAACAACAAAGCCAAUGAACUGAUGAAAGAGCAAAACAGAGAAACAAAAAACCUCAAUUAAGUAAUUAAAUGGAGUAUUACUUGAUAGAGCUGGAAAAUUACCCAGUUCCUCAGAGAGAGGAUCAAGAGUGACUGAUGAGAGUGCAGAGAAAAGAAUGAUUGAGAAAUUCAAGUUCUGAGCUCGAAGUUGGGGCUUCCACUUUCCAACUGGGGAAGAAAUAACAGAGAAAACACAGAGAGCCAAUCCACCAAAUAUUAAUCAAAUGGGUUUCUUCUAAUUCAAAAUUUGGACCACCCAAAUUCCAAUGAAGCAAUAACCAUUCAAAAUCCAACAGAUUGAAGCCCUCACAGACUACUAAUUAUCAAUACCCAGCAAUAAAAAAUUUGAAAACAGUAAUAAUGAAGGAAAAAGAAAUUAAAGCUGCAAGCCAUUCUCUAAAUCUCAGGCACCAAUCCAAAUCACCAGUAAUUUGCACAUAAUGAUAAGAAUCUAGCAGUAUUUCCAUUGUUUAAAAACCCAAAUUCAAGAAAUCAUGAAAAAUGGAAACUUUAUUUGGAAAUUGAAGCUUUACCUGCAGAUCAGCAGCAGCAAACGGAAUCCAACGGCAUGUACCUCAAAAGUGAGAGAGAGAGAGUUGAGAGAUGAGUGAGAGAAUCGAUAAACAAAACCCCCCAAAAUCACAAAAGGAAAAUUGAACAGAAAACAAAUUUGCAAAUCCAAAAUCACAAGAACGAAAUUGAAACACCCACACUGAGAAAGCUGCAAUACUCACCAGGAAGCUAGCUUUUCUGGGUAAAAAAAUUGUUCGAAUCGAAUUGAAGAACCGAGGAAAAUUCUACUGGUUCAGUGGUUUUUCCAGCAAGAAAGCACCUUGUUUGUAAUUCGUGAGAGGUUGGACAGCGAGAGAGAAAAACGUAAAGGAAAGGAAAAGCGGAGAAGAAGUCACGAUUAUCGACGCGUGGGUUGCAUUCCACUGUGCCAAGUUCGAAAAUGAACGGGGAAUGGGGAGCUUGGCCGAGGGAGACAGAAUUCGAGAAGCAGCGUUCUGAUUAAUUUUUUUUUUUUUUUUUUUAUGAGAGAGGGAAAGCGGAAUGAAGAGAAUCGAGAAGAGGAUGAACCAUUUCAAUUUUUAAGCGAUGAUCGACGCGUGGGACUUGAGGGCAAAUUUGCCAUUUUGCUGUGAACCCAUGAAGCAUCAGAAUACACAAAAGUCAAGACUUGGCUUGGUUUAUAUAAUUAAUCAAUAAUAUUCCUAACAAGAGCUAGGUCCAUAUAUUAUACGAACAAUACUUAGCUGCUGAAUUCCUACUUUCAACCAAUCAAAUUUUGACACGUGUCCAAAUAAUGAAAUUAUAAAUACAAAUUGAACACGUGUCCAAAUAUGAUUGGGUGAAAAUAGGAAUGGCUGUUGAAUUUUCAGCCGCCAAGUAUUGUUCUUAUACAAGGUUCUAAAUCUAAUAGAUGUUGUGGCUAGACGAGGCUUAUUGACUAGACGGAUUUAAGUAAAUUUAUUCUAUAUUAUAAAUAAAUGUUUUUUUAUACUUAAAAUGACACAUAAUUGUAUUGAGAUAUAUAAAUUGUAAAAUAAAAUAACAUAUAUAUUAUAAAGUAUUGGAACAUGAGAGAAAAGACCUAAAUGUGAAACGACAACUAUAAACAAUUAUUCAAGAUGAACGAUAAAUGAUUCAACCAUUUACAAGAUUCAAAACAUGAGAUCACGAUCUACUGAAUGAUUGCAUUAACUAUUAAGCGGUGCCCUAAUAUAAUACAUCCAAAUGGGGGUGGACCACAUAAUACACCCAAUGGAUCGUUUUUAAGCUACUCCACUGCUAAAACUAUUGCAAAAUGCGUUAGGAUUAUACUUCUAUUAGCUGCGCCUUUCCUUACUAGGCAAAUGGGGGUGGACCACAUAAUAAUGUUAAAACUGCUAUGUCUAUUGGGUUUCUCUGUUUAUUUCAUGUACUAGUUUAUGUUCCUUUUAUUGUAUAAAUAACUUGUACUUGGGAUGUUGCAGAACAAGUUUGAUUUGAAUGAAAUUACUACUAUUGAGUUAGCUGUCAAGCUUCUCUUUAUUCCAAGCUUGCAUUUUGUUCUACCUUUUCCAAUUCUCUACAUCCCUAAGAGGACUGUAUCAGAUGUUAUACACAUUGGAGUUUGAGCAGAAUUCUUUUUGUUAUCUUGUCUCACAUUGCUAGAAUUGAAAAGUUCAUAAUAUAAUAACAUUCGCGUAUGAACUUGAGAAACAACAUACUACUGGUUGGCCUGGAAGGUGCAGUGAAAGAGAGGAAAGGAAGAAAGAAACAAACACGAAAGGACAAGGACUAUCCAAUAGAUUAUAAACAAUGACUUAUUGGGGAUGAUUACGGCUAUUAAAUCAUCAAUAAUGCAUUAUUUUAGUUUGGAAUUUGGAAGCAUUUGAGAAGUAAAAUGACAACAACUACAUAAUAAACAAAGGUGAUUAGAAAAAAGACCCAAAUGUGAAAGAAUAAUUAAAAACAAUUACUCAAGAUUAGUGAUAAAUGAUUCAACCAUUUACAAGAUAUGAACUUAGAACAACAAUCUAUUAGAUUGUUGUAUUAAUGAUUAAGUGAUGCUCUAAGAUAAUAGAUCCAAAUGGGGACGGACCAUAUAAUACACCCAAAUGGAUGCAAUCAUGCCAUAUAUAAACAAUGUUUUGAAAGGACAAGGUAGCUAAAGCUGCCUUUUUAUAUAUGUAAGCAACAACCCUAAAUCUUACUGGAACUAAUUAACUAAUGUAUUUAUUAGACAGUUGGAUUCCUUAGCAAGUGGUUAACUAGUUUUGUUUAGUUUAGUAGUCAGGUCGUAAUUAAUUAGUCAAAUGAAAAUGCAUAUAACACACCCAAAUGGAUGCCAUAUAUGCAUACUAUUUUUGUUUAGUUUAGUAGUCAGGUCGUAAUUAAUUAGUCAAAUGAACCUGCAUAUAACACGCCCAAAUGGAUGCCAUAUAUGCAUAUAUAAACAAUGUUCUCAAAGGAUGAAAUGACUUUCUUGCCGGUAUGGGGGAAGAGGAAAGAAACUAGCACGAAACUGCAGACCCUAUCGAUCCAUUAUAAUAAAUUUCAAUGGUCCAAUUUGUAAGUUAAUUGUGCAACAUAAAAACUUAUUUACAGUUAUCAACUUAACCACGUACCUGUGAAAGACAUUAUCUCAGAAAACUAGGAUUAAGAACCAAAGUUCUCCUGGAACUCUACACAACUUAAGGCUCGCUCAAUGGGGCUUGAGUUUUUUGUAAACUUGCGUAUUUUUGGAAACGCAUCAAAUAGUAGUUAAAACAUCCGGCCGUAAAUAAAGGGUUUGAGAUACCACCAUAGUGAUAUCCCUCAGAUGUGAGUUUCUCACGUAUCAAAUCACUUAUUGUAAGAAUAUUAGUAGUGAAAGUUAAAUACCCGUGUUGGGAAAGGAAGUCGAUGAUGACAAGAGAGAAAUUUGGCUUGAAAAAUGUAUGAUACUUGCAACAUGCGUCACCGGAGUAUCAACUUGAAGCUUUCCAUCUCUCCGUCGUUAAAUGUUUCGUAAGCAGCGUUGUUGAAGUUCUCUAUGUCAAGGGGAAACUGAAGAUGGUUUUAAAUGAAGAAGAAUGGAAAAUAUAAUUUAGAAAAUGAGAAAGAAAAUUAUAAUUGAAACUAAAAAAAUAAGAAAUAAAAAGAGAGAUUUACUAUUUUCUAUGAGGUCUUGGAGUUGGCCGUGACAGUAAGAGAGGAUAAGCGAAUGAAUUGGGCCAAUUACUUGCUCUCUUGGACUUUGGGCUUUUGGAUUGGAUUGGGCCAAUUACUUACUUGGGCCCCAUCCCAACUUAUGACUUUUUGUCGGUCGGUAUUGACUGAGGUGAACGUGCUAAACUAGAAAUUUGAGAUUUUGAAUUAGCAAAUGAAUGUUAAGUAAGAGCGUCAUGAUCAGACUUGUAAGACUGUCUUUGUUGCGUUUUGUCAAAACCGGUCCAUCUAAUUACAAAUUGUAACCAUAUUAGUUGAGUAUAUAUAUGCUACAUCACAUUAGUGAAUAUUCAGUACGGGUGACACAUGGUCAGACUUGUAGGUUGUUCAUUAAGAAGUUACCACGUUCUCAAGAGUGGAGCUAGAGGGGAGCACUUCCCUACCAAAGUGUUUUCCUUCUCCCCUUUACAAGGGAUUUGUGUCACUAUUAGAUAGGAGAUUCGAAUACAAGACCUUGAAUUGAGAGGUCACACUUUUACAAAGCUUCUACGAGCACCUUCUUGUUUACCAAACUCAUUGAGACUAAAGGAGGUCUUAACGCCAUUUUGGCUAAUACUAUUCUAUAUAUUUACGAAUGGUUUUAAGUUUGGGUUUAAUUGGAUAAUCAGAGAGUAGUGCAUCAAACUAUGGAUAUUCAGAAACCGAAAGCAUAAUUCAUAUUCCUCCAACAAGUCCACGCAAAUAACCACAAUCAGAAUGUUAGUUCAUAACUGGCCAUAUAGAACGCAGUACAAAAGCACUAAAAGCGUCCAAGUGAAAGUGCUUUCUCCUCAUGCAGUUUCAUUUAACUUAGUUUCACAUGCCAGUCCGUCACACACUCAACUCCUCAACGUUCGGGUUCAAAGCAUUCUUUAUCCUUUCUGUACGAGAGACAAUAAAUUUAAAGUUCUUGUGAUGAAAUCAUGUAAAACAUUCAGAAAUCUUGAUUUAAUCCUUUCUCAAGAUCAUAGGUUGUGUCAUCUCAACUUAUAUCUUAGGUCUUAUGAGUGCUCGUAAUACACUAAUACGGCACUUGUUUUCUGGCCAGGACAGAAACAAAAUCAUGUAGGAAAUUGUCAUGACAAUAAAGGUCGUACCCAGUGCACAAGGCUCCCGCUUUAAGCAUGACAAUAAAGGAAAUUGUCAUGUAGGAAAUUGUCAUGACAAUGUAAGUGUAAAAUGAGACCGGAAAAACACUAAACAGGAUGACUAUGCUCUCUUAGCGUAAACCUUAACAACAAAGACUAUACCGUAUCUGUCACCAAGGGCGGAGCCACCAUAGGCCUAGGGGGGCGGAUGCCCCCACUGAGAUUUUUCUGAUGCUGGCAUGAUGACCUUCAGAUGCUUGAGAUUCGGCAAUGGUGGAGAGCAGAUCUUUCUAAAUUUCUUUGGAAAGAAGAGAUCCUAAACCAAGCACACAAACAAAAAUUUGAGAACAGCAAAUACAAAAAUUCGACAGUGAUCAAACCCAUCAAGCAUGCAUAUAUAGAUACAUGUUAUAUUUAUAUACCAUAGCAUCAUGAACUUUUAGUGUAAUUUUUCUGAAGCAGUCAAAACUUUCAAGAUAAUCUCGUGCUGCUCAAAUUGAUAUGGUUCUACAGCAGCAAAGCCCACACUGCGAUUUUUCUGGUUCUACUCUCCGAUCUGGUUCUGUAGAAGCAGAGCUGGGUCUUAUUUUAUUUUUUUUCAAAACCAAGCCAAAACGACAUCGUUUUGGUCCUGGUAAAAAAAAAUUUAAAAAAUGUAAACGAAACGGUGUCGUUUCGUAUAUGUUUGAAAAAAUAUGUUCGAGGAUGCCCCCAUUCACCCAAAUGUCUGGCUUCGUCCCUGUCUGUCACAGUGAUAUGCGACCAUAAGCCCAACUCCAAGGAUCAGCUUUCCAAGAACUUUGAAGGCUACAAAUCAAAAGUUACAUGCAGUGAUGACAUAAUCAUGAAAAAAUACAAUCAUAAAUUAAAGGAAAACAUACCGACUUCUAGUUCUGGCAAUUCACUAUUGGCCCAUAUAUUUGAACCACAAUAUGAUGGAUACCCAAUACAGAUCACAAAUAAAAUCUGAGCAGACACAAAGUAUUAUGUUUUGUUUACGCAAAAUCUGUAAGUUCUCAAGUAGGAUAAAUAAAGAUAAACAUAUCCCAGCAUAAAGACGACUUGUCCUGGCUAAUUCUAAGAAAGCUUGUAUCAAAUGUAUGAUAGUUAUUCAUAACUAACACAAACAACAGUUUGGCCAAACAUUACUGGUCUGAGCCAUAUACUGUGUGACCUCAGACAAAACAGAUCCCACAUGUACUCAGAUUAUGAUUGAUGUCCCAAUAGACUUUUAGGCGGUGCUCUGAUAUAAUACAUCCAAAUUGGGGUGGACCAUAUAAUACACCCCAAUGGAUCGUUUUAAGCUCCUACACUGCUAAAGCUAUUGCAAAAUGCGCAUUAGGAUUAUAUUUCUAUUAGAAGCGCCUUUCCUUACUAGGCAAAUGAACCAUAUAAUACACCAAGAUGGAUGUUAUACACGUUAGCGUUUGGGCAGAAUUUUUUUGGUUAUCUCAUUGUCUCACAUUACUAGAAUUGAAAAGUUUAUAAUAUAAUAACGUUCGAAUAUGAACUUGAGAAACGACAUACUGCCGGUUGGCCGUAAAGGUGCAGUGAAAGAGCGAAAAGGAAGAAAGAAACAAACAUGCAUGAAAGGACAAAGACUAUCCAAUAGAUUAUAAACAAUGACUUCUUGGGAUGAUUACAGCUAUUCAACCAUCAAUAAUGCACUAUUUUAGUUUGGAAUUUGGAAGCAUUUGAGAAGUAACAUGACAUCAAUCACAUAAUAAACAAAAGUGAUUACAAAAAAACCCAAAUGUGAAGGAAUAAUUAAAAAAAAUUAUUCAAGAUAAGCGAUAAAUGAUUCAACUAUUUAUAAGAUAUGAACUUAGAACAACAAUCUAUUGGAUCGUUGUAUUAACUAUUAAGUGGUGCUCUAAUAUAAUAUAUCCAAAUGGAGACGAACCAUAUAAUACACCCAAAUGGACCAUUUUUAGGCUCCACUGCUAAAAACUAAUGCAAAACGGGCAUUAGGAUUAAACUAUAAGAACUAGGAUUGCAGGGAAGACAAAACACGCAGGAAAGCUAUAAGACUACACAAGGUUUUCACUGUGAUUGCAUACCCUCAACGUUGUAGGGAGCAACCUUUUUAUAAUCACUUUUCAGAUUACAUCAGGGUUUCAAAAACCCUAUUAACAAGCUUACAUUUUGAAAUUCAAAUACUAUAACUAAUUCUGACAAAACAAAUAUUUAAAAAUUCAAAUGAUUUUAACAGAAGCUCUACUUGAUAAGUGUUGUUGACUGAGUAAACCAACUGAAGAGUUUCUGUUUGAACAGGAAACUUGACUCCGUCUAACAUAAACUUGUAUUAGCUAGCUUUCCUAGUCAAAUGAACCAUAUGAUACACCCAAAUGGAUGCCAUCAUGCCAUAUAUAACCAAUGUUUUGAAAGGACAAGGUACCUUAACACUGUCUUUUUAUAUAAUGUAAGCAACAACCAUAAAUCUUACACAAAUCCUGGUAAGUCUACCACAAGUGUCAAUCCUUAUCUCCUUAUCAUUCCACAUCACCAAGUGUUUGCUCUCGUAUAGAACUUACAAAAAUCUCAUUUAGUUUCAUCUAACUUAUUUUUCACAACGGUGAAUAUAUUUCAAUGGCUUGGUUUUCACAUGCCAGUCAGUCACAUGCUCAACUCCUCAAAGUUCGGGCUCAAUGGCUCGAAGAGAGCUUCCACUUCACUCUGAUUCACCUCCCUCUUACUUUGACGGGUUCCACUUCGGAUUCUGCAUUGACAAAAAACAGAAGCAAAAGAUUGUUGAGAGUUGUCCCACGUUGGUGAGGGACAAGGCUUGCUAUGUACUUAUAUGAAUUUGGGCUACUUUCAAUAUUGUCAAUUGGUUUUAUGGUGGAACCUCAAUUUCAUCAUGGUAUCAGAGCCAAGUUGUUGACGUGUGAAGCCCAAUGGCCACACGCACUUCACGUCACCUAGCUGUUGUCCACGUGUAGGCUUGAAAAUCCGUCACACGUGCGGGGACGUGUUGAGAGUUAUCCUACAUUGGUGAGGGACAAAGUUUAGCUAUGUGCUUAUAUGAUAUUGGGCAACUUCCCAUAUUACCAAUUGAUUUUAUGAUGAACCUCAAUUUCAUCAAAGAUAACGACCUGUUCUCAUACAAGGAAAGUAAGAUGAUUAUAUAACUGUAGGUCUAGUACAGGCUGUAAUGGUUUAUGUUGCAGCAACUCCGUCAGCAAGUGAUUUUCAAGUAAGGAAUCUUGAGCAUAAUUAACGAACCUGAUCCUUGUCCACCAAAACUGCCCGCACACCUUCAGCAAAAUCAUUCCGCAAAGACGAUCUUCUAGCAACGCGAUAUUCAGUUUUCAUCACACCAGUUAGCUGGUAUGGAUCAAGUAAAGCACAUGUUACUCACUCAGAAAAUGUGAAAUACUACAACACAAAAUCUAUCAAAAGGAUGCAACCUUGAAGAGCUUCAUUUGCCCACUCCACCACUACAACAGAAACAAUUUGAUAGAAAAUACUUGACAGCCACGUACAAGCCUCUCAAUAGAAGAGUAAGACAGAUUUCAUUUCAUCAUCGAUAAACAAAUGGCAUUGACAAACUUACCAGUAGCAUCUGAACUCUGCUGCUGCUUUUUAAGUUCAUCAAUUGUCACAAGAACCGACUUAUUUGCACCAAAUGCUGAAGUUAUUUGAGGUAAAAGACUCCUGAGCUGCGCUUCGAAUCUGGGUUGCUGCUGAAUUUUGCCACAGUUGUAAUUGACAACAUUGACAAUUGUCUCUCUCGCAAUAGUACCUUCGUAAUGAUCCGCUACUGACCUUGGCCCGAUAGGCCAAUACCAAAGGCCAUUGUUAUGGCCACGAAGCUUAUACGUGGCUGUCAAGCCCGACACGUGAAUAGCAUACUCUACUACUGUGUUACAUUGUGAGAAUUUUAUCCAAAAUUAAUUGACAAUAAGUGAAUAAGUUGAAAGAUUAUGUAUGACUUUAAUUAUGCAAAGAGUGAAGAGGCAAUUUUCACCAAACCCCAGUAAAAAAUUUGGGCCUCACAAAUCACUAAACCCAAUAUGCUUUUCUCUUAUGCCUUUCGUUCAUGGUUUGAUAUUCUGGCGUCCGAGGACCCUGACAUGACAAGUUCCAACCUUUUUGUUCAAUUUCUUGACGAAACAAUCACAUUUACCCUUACGGCACGGCACGGUUCCGGGCAUAGAAUAUGGGUUGGGUUCCGCCACAGAUCCAACACUAAUUAGCACUGUAGAGAAGGAAGUAAAGACAACUAUUGAUUUCUUACAACGUAGCGAGUCUCUUGACAUGACUCCUGCUGUUUUGUUCUUAUUUCACGUCCUGUUUCUCGAGCUUGGUGUUUCCGGCAGGGCCGGUCUAAAGAUUUUUGAGGCCCGGAGCGACGUAAAAAAAUAUGCCCUCACUUAUAUAAGAAAAUUAUUUGUUUUCACAUGUAAGACAUCGAUAAAAUUAUACUUACAAAAACACUUAAAACUUAAUAAUUUAGAAACAAGGAAAAACUAAUUUAUUUUGUAUCGUGAGAAUGAUCCAAAAAAACUCUGGGUUUACAAGUAGAUAGAUAUGGGUUUACAAGUUGCGGAUUGCUUUGCUAACUAUGAUGUUGAUCUGGCUGGGGUUCAUUGGUGAGAUUCUUGAUUUCCUUGUGCUACUUUGACAUAUCACCAUAAGUUGUCUUUUUUGCCUUGUUAUAGUUUCGUGUGGGGUUUUUUUUCUUCUUCUAAUGCUGAUUGGGUUCUUUUCUUCCAACUCCUGCCCACUCAUUAUUGUCUGAACCACACCUAGUAUUACCCUCAUAUCCACUAAAACUUCAAGCUUUACCAAUUUGUCACAAGCGAAGAUGGUAGCUCCCAACACCAAUGAGGUUCCAAACAAUUACGAUCGAAAACGCGAAGUGAAAGCUUUUGAUGAGACAAGGGAAGGCGUUAAGGGUCUUGUUGAUGCCGGGGUAGCCGAGGUUCCUAGAAUUUUUCAUCAACCACCACAAUUGGACGAUCAGUACUCCAUCAACAAUACAAGCACUGACUCAGAAGCCACCCAGUUUAGCAUUCCGCUAAUAGACCUUGAAGACCAUGGUAAUCCAACUAAGCGCAAUGAGAUUGUUGCAAAGUUGGAGAGGCAUCAGAGACUUGGGGCUUCUUUCAAAUAGUGAAUCAUGGGAUACCUGUAGGUGUUCUGGAGGCGAUAAAGGAUGGGGUACGUGGGUUUUAUGAGCAGGACACUCGAGUCAAGAAAGAGUUUUUACACUCGUGAUCACUCUAAACCUUUGUUUUACAAUAGCAACUUUGAUCUUUAUAGUUCACUGGCAACGAAUUGGAGGGAUACUUUUAAGUGUUACAUGGCUCCAUAUCCUCCUAAGCCAGAAGACUUGCCAGAAGUAUGCAGGUAUUUGACAACCCAAUUCUCUGGUUUAAUUGGUGACAGUAACCUGGUGCAGAUUCCUUCCUUGAUGGAUUAGAUCAUUAAACUCCAUACUUUUGACAAGUUUAAUGUGCUUUCCUGGUUUUCAACUUGCAGAGACGUACUGAUCGAGUAUUCAAAGCGAGUAAUGGAGUUGGGGAAAUUGUUGUUUGAGUUGUUGUCGGAGGCCCUUGGGCUAAAGCCAAGCCACUUGAAUAGCAUAGAUUGUAGUAAGGGGCUACAGGUUUUAGGCCAUUACUAUCCUGCUUGUCCACAGCCAGAGUUAACUUUGGGCACAAGCAAGCACGCUGAUGAUUCCUUCCUUACGGUCCUUUCUGCAAGAUCAUAUUGGUGGUCUGCAAGUUGUUGAUCGUCAAAAUAAGUGGAUUGAUGUACCCCCUGUGCCUGGGGCUUUAGUGGUGAACAUUGGAGAUCUUUUACAAGUAAGCACACGUAUACAAUUGCCCUUUUUUUUUCUCCCUAAAAACUACUAUUAAAUUAAGAGAAUAGUAUCGUAAACUAAGCUAGUUUGUUAAUGACUAAUACUCGAGACAAGCUUUGGUCGCAUGUUAGCGUUCUCUUAGAAUAUGUCUUAGAAUUCUUCGAUUAUCAUAAUUAGGUCUUUUAUGUUCAAUUCUUUUUGGGAUUUUCAGCUCAUAUCAAAUGAUAGAUUCAAAAGCGUAGAACACAGGGUAUUGGCGAACCGUGAAGGUCCAAGGAUAUCCAUUGCCAGCUUCUUAGCACAGGUUUGCUACCAUUUACAAAUCUCUAUGGACCUAUUAAGGAGUUGGUAUCAGAAGACAACCCUCCAAAGUACAGGGAGACUACUGUGAGGGACUACGACACCCAUUUCUAUGACAAAGGCCUAGAUGGAACCUCUGCCUUAUCUCAUUUUAAGAUCCCAACUUAGACAUGGAGGAGCACAGAAGCAGAGACCGCAACGAACAAAUCCUGUCUACUAAAUAAUUUGGCAUGAAAAUAUAUAUUGGUUUGUUUAAUCUGAAAGCACUUUCGCACCACAAAAUUCUGGAUAUGCAUAUUAUUUUGUUUUCUGUUUGCAUAUGGUCUAAUAUACUUGUAGAAAGGGUUGGGUUUCUACCCUUGCGUCUCAGGUACGAAACUUCCCCUCCUAUAAAUUAUUGUAAUAGCUUCGAACUCUCUAUCUUCCGCAAAAAAAAAAAAAAAAAAGGGGGGUUUUCUAACACUUCUAUUCAUCAUGUUUACAGUUUUUGUGGCAUGCGCUUAACGAAUUCAACUGUGGUUGUGGUUGCGGUUGCGGUUGCAUAUCAAUACUAUUAUACCAUAAGUGUGGGCUUGUUUGAGAAUGUUUUUGUUUGUAAGAAGCGGUUUUACACAGUAGUUAAAAUAUAUAUAUGUAGAAAGAAAACAUACAAGUUGGUUGACAAAAGGGGAAGAAAAAUUGAGAGAUACAGAGAAUAAGAAAAGAAGAAAAUCGAUGCAAAUUUUAAUAUAUAUGUAGUAGAUCCAGGUAUCCAAAGGAUUCGGGGCUAAUGUACCUGCAUUGAUGAAAAAACAAAGAUGAGAUUUUUUGAAACGCAUCACAUAGUAGUUAAAAUACCUGGCGGUAAAUGAACGGUUUGAGAUAACGCCAUAGUGGCAUCCCUCAGGUGUGAGUUUCUCUCGUAUCGGAUCACUUAUUGUAAGAAUAUCAAUAGUGAAAGUUAAAUACCCGUGUCGGGAAAGGAAGUCGAUGAUGACAACUGACAAGAGAGAAAUUUGGCUUGAAAAAUGUAUGAUGUUUGCAACAUGCGUCAUGAAAACUUAAGUGUCAUGAAAACUUAAGUGUAAAAUGCGACCGGAAAAACACUAAACAGGAUAGCUAUGCUCUCUUAGUGUAAACCUUAACAACAAAGACCAUACCGUAUCUGUCACAGUGAUAUGCGACCAUAAGCCCAACUCCAAGGAACACCUUUCCAAGAGCUUUGAAGGCUACAGAUCAAAAGUUACAUGCAGUGAUGACAUAAUCAUGAAAAAAUACAAUCAUAAAUUAAAGGAAAACAUACUGACUUCUAGUUCUGGCAAUUCACUAUCGGGCCAUAUAUUUGAACCACAGUAUGAUGGAUACCUACAAUACAUAUCAUAUCACAAAUAAAAUCUGAGCAGACACAAAGUAUUAUGUUCUGUUUACGCAAAAUCUGUAAGUUCUCAAAUAGGAUAAAUAAAGAUAAACAUAUCCCAGCAUAAAGACGAUUUGUCCUGGUUAAUUCUAGGAAACCUUUAUCAAAUGUAUGAUAGUUAUUCAUAACUAACACAAACAACUGUUUGGCCAGACAUUACUGGUAUGAGCCAUAUACUGUGUGACCUCAGACAAAAUAGAUCCCACAUGUACUCAGAUUAUGAUUGAUGUCCCUAUUGACUUUUACCUUUGAAUUAGAGAUUCAUCUGUUGUAGGGCUAUCCAAUAUUGGAUUUGCAUAAAACGAGCCUUUUAACGUAUCUGCAAAACCAGAACACAAACGGAAAAUGAAUGAUCCUAAGUUCUUAGAGUUUCCAAAGAAACAAAAUUUAAAACAAAGAACAUAAAGUGAUACCAGGCUUUCCAGAUUCCAGCUUCUCUUUUUCCAUGACUCCAUCCAAAAUUGUACCUAAACAUGGAUGGCAGGUAAAAAGAAGAUAAGCAAUAAAACUUUGUAAAGAUUCCCAAGAAAAGCAAUAAAACUACGUAAAUUAUUAGUUAAUAAUGUCAAGACCAUAGUCUCUGAAAAUCCAAGAGUUGAGAUGCGGCAGGGAUUUUUGGAAUUUUUCUCUAUUGUAAGUAAAACAUAGAUUGAUGUUUGUGUUUACACGAAAAUUAUGCCAACGGCUUAAGAGAAAUCAAAGUAUAACAAUGGGACUAAAAUGACUUACCUACUAUGAGGAUCUUCAAGUUCCUUCUUCACCUCUUCGGGCAGAUUGGCUAAUCUAAUAAACAAAAAGAAAACUCCCAUGAGCAGUGCUAUAACAAACUAUCUUCCUAAAUUCAUUAUGAAUUGCAGUUAAAACUUAAAAUGAACAUGAAAAUCCUACGUAGAAGGGAUAUACCUAGGUGACAAGCCUAGAAGAUUCCCGCGCAAGGAAGAAUAUCCCGGAACCUGCAAUUGAAAACUCAAAGAAACAAUUACAAAGAUGCUAGAAAGAAAAUACGUAUCAGUUUACAACAAAACGCUAGCUCUCACAAGAAUCGAUUAGGUAUGAAGCAUCAAAACAACAGCAUGAGACAUCAUAAUUUAUGAGCUAUGAAUGGAAUAAUGGAGCAAAAUAUCGUUGCCCAAACAGCACAAUCUACAAUCUACAUGACGGAGAAAGUACCCCGACAUUACAUAUGCAAGUUCAUGUGGUUUAUGUGGUUUAUCUUUUUAACCGAUUCGUUAACAAAUUCUUUCUGCACAUAUAGUUUUAACUUACCAAAACUGGUAAUGGAAGAGAUAAUCAGUAAUUAACAACGGUAAUCGCAUAACGAAAUCAUACUUGAGUGAUUGAUAGGAUUCCCAACCCAUUUGGUCCAAAUCCUUCUUCAAUCUUCACUGACAAAUCUUUGUCCCUGUCCUGUAUCAAUCCAAAAUCAAAAAACGAUAAUUAGAAAAAUCGAAUUCUCGACAUGAUCGACGAGUUAAAACAUAGCAAUUAAACAAAACUAUGAAUAAAACAAUUAGAUUCUGUUUGGUUGCUGAGAAUGAAGAGAAUAACAACCACAAAGUCAACUGAAAUAAAAUUUUGCUCUAACUUCAACGAAUUCUCUUGAGUUUCUGAGCACCCAAACAGAAAAAAAAAAAUUAUAGGCAAUCAAACCAAACUCUCAUGCUCAAUUUUCUCGGCAACCACAAAAAGAACUUAGAGGAGGGGGAGAGAGAGAGUUACUUGGAGCUCGGAGUAGGAUAUGGUGACUGGUGUGACGGUGGGGACGACGGGGUCGGAGGACGGAGGCAUAGUUCGACAAUAAAUUUGGCGGGAAAGACGGCGGUUGGAGUGUGACGAUGGGGAAGAAUCCGUGGGAACGAAGAGGAAUUUUGGUGCGGAAGGAGGGUCUUUAUAUCGGAGGGAGGGAGGGAGGGAGAGAGGUUGAGAGCGAAAGGCGUGAUUGUCAAUUUCAAAUUUUUUUUUUUUAGGAAUAAAGAAAGAAAGAGAGGUUGAGUAUCAAUUCCCUUUCCCUCCAAACCAAAGAAUACAUUCACGAUCAUGAUGUGUGUGGCAAAAAUUAAAGGUGGAGACAAAUAAAUUAAAGAGAAUUUUCACGAAAAGUUCAUGGUACGAUUUAUUUUAAUGAAAAAUUAUAUUUUUAUACUAAAAAGUCAAUUUUGAUACUAUUUACUUUACAUUUUAUUUUUGUCAUUAUCGUUAAAACUAAAAACAAUUGAAGCAUUUUUUUACUAUUUUUCCUUAUAUUAAAUAGGUAUAAGUAUUAGUUAAAUUUAAAAUUAAUUGUGUACUAUUAAAAAUUUGUUUGAAAAUGUUUUUAAAAUGACUGAAAGCAUUUUUGAUUAAAAUGUUUUUUAAAUCAAUCCUUAGUAAAACCAAGUGGAUUCUAAAAAGUCAUUUGGAUUACUUUCUACAAAAACCACAUAUCUUGAGCACUUGAAGCACUUUUGGAAUCCAAAAUUAAUUUAACAAAGGUGUGUCUAGUCUUUUUAAUUUUUGAACAAACAAUAUUAUUUAUUUUAAGGGAGGAGAUGAGCUUAACCUCACAAUGGACUAUCAUAUUAAUAAUGUUGUUCAAAUCCACCUUUAUCCAAAAUCAAAUCUAAAACAUCUUACUCACAACUGAAGAGGAAUACCUUUACAUCGUAAUACUAAGCGACAUGUUUUUUUAUUUUUAAGAGACGUGUUUAUUCAUUUUUAAAAGACUUAAAAACCAGCACUAAUUUGUAUUAAAUUCUAAAACCUUUGAAUUGGGAUGUAAUAUGCAUUGGGUCUUUAAUAAUAUUUAAGUUGUUUUCGGCAAAAAAUAAGGGAUUCAAUUGGGAAAAAUAACAAAAUAUGAAAUAAGGAUAUUCUAAUUAAGGUUUUUAUUAAUUAUUUAAGGCGGAUGGUUCAUGUGAAGAUUAUGAAACGCUUUAAUUCUCUAAUGUGCGAUUCCAUUUCGAUCCAAAGUUAAACAGUGACAAAUACAAUUAAGGUUGUUAAUUUUUUUUGGUAAAAACAAUUAAGGUUGUUAUUAAUAUCAAUUCAUGUAUAUUUCCGCAUGUGCCACAUUAUUAAGUUAGGCAGUGAAAAAUAUAUAUCGGAUGUUAUGAGAACAUGUGUGGCUGUCAAGCCCUACACGUGAAUAACAUGCUCUCUACUGCUUUAUUACACCGUGAAGAUUUUAUCCAAAAUUAAUUGACGAUGAGCGAAUAAACUGAAAGAUUAUGCGCAACUUUGAUUAUGCAACGAGUGAAGAGGCAAUUUACACCAACCUCCAGUCAAGAAUUUGGGCUCACAAUCACUAGCCAAUAUGCUUUUUUCUCACAUUUACCCUGACACGGCAAGUUCAUAGUUCAAUAUUCUGGUUCUGGUGUCCUAUGACCCUGACACGGCAAGUUCCACUUUUUGUUCAUUUUCUUGACGAAACCAUCACAUUUACCCUUACGGCACGGCACGGUUCCGGGCAUGGAGUAUGGAUUGGGUUCCGUUGCAGUCCCGACACUACAUAGCACUGUAGAGAAGGAAAUACAAAGACAACUUUGGAUUUCUUACAACGUAUUGAGUCUCUCGUCAUGGCUCUUGCUGUGUUGUUCUUAUUUCACGUCCUGUUUCUCGAGUUUGGUGUUUCCGGUUGCAAAUUUUGGUUCGGCAGUGUAGUGCUCAGGAGAGGGGACUGUCUCACGUUGUUCCAAGCAGACAGAGGCGGUUGACAACGAUUGCGACAAUGUGUUUUUCUACUGGGAGAACAUACAGCAGUCAACAGUUAUCUUUUCACAACCGUCUUCAGUAUUUGGAGGCACCUCAAGAAAUUAUCAAGGACAAACGAAUGUAGAAAAGAAGAAAUAUCAAAGUUAGUUGACAAAAGGGGACGAAAAAUUGUGAGAUACAGAUAAGAAGAUAAGACGAUACUCGAUGCAAAUUUUAACGAGCGAUACAGAGAAGAAACAGCUGCAUUUGGAGACAGCUGCUUUAGUUGCCUUGUUUGUAACAUUAGCUUUCUGCAAUUCCGGGGAAGAAACAGGAGUAAAAAAAACAGAGUCAGGCAGUACCAAAAAAGAAAAAUAUACAAUUAGGAACAAUCGUCACUUCUCAAACUUUGUAGUAGAUCCAGGUUUCCGAAGGACUCGGGGCUAAUGUACCUGCAUUAACAAGAAACAAAGAUCAGAUUUGUGGAAGGGAGUCGCAUAGUAGUUAAAAUACUUGGCCGUGCAUGAAUGGUUUGAGAUACCAUCAUAGAGGCAUCCUCCAGGUGUGAGUUUCUCUCGUAUCUGAUCACUUAUUGUAAGAAUAUCAGUAGUGAAAGUGAAAUACCCGUGUCGGGAAAGGAAGUCAAUGAUGACAAAAGAGCAAUUUGGUUUGAAAUAUUGUGUCCUCGGUAUGAUGCUUGCAACAUGCAUCACCGAAUCCACUUGAAGCUCUCCACCUCUCCAUCUGUUAAAUGUUUCAUAAGCAGCAUUGUUAAAGUUCUCUUUAUUUGGGGGGAUAUUGCAGAUGGUUUUGAAUGAAGAAAGGCAAAAAUUCAUGCUGAAGGCAUAGUUUACAACUAGUAUUUGUAAAAGCUAAGCUCUAAAGUGAGCCUUGAUUCUUUGGCACAAAUAGCUAAAGUUUUGAGAUGGGACAAAAUGGGUCCACAUACAGCGCAUCCGAUGGUGUUGAAAUCCUUUUCCCAGUAAGUCAAAGAUAAGCACCAAGAAAGACAUGACAGUGUUAAACUUAAAACAAAUACAGAACUAAGAAUUGAUGCAUGAAUCAAACAGAGAAAUGGUACAGGCCAUUCUCUUUAUAUUCUUAUAAUCUAAACAUUUCUCCUUAUCAACACUGGAAAAACAGCUUGCUUCAGUCAUAGGAAAUAAAUUGCGCCUAGAGUAUAGAAAAGACAUACCUACAGAUCCUCCUCCUGGACUCUUUGCCGCUAUACGUGAAAACCCAACAUCUGGGAACAACCAAAUUACAUUCUCUGGCAUGGCAAGAACAGUCCUCUGAAAUGUAUCCAUACAAAGUUAAGACACAAAAAACUCAAAAAGGCAAUGUAAUUCACAACAUUGACAAUCUCUGUCUGACAAGGCAAUAAUACCUCUGUAAUGAUCCGGUAGCGACCGUGACCUGAUAGGCCAACACCAAAGCCCAUUGUUAUGCCAUCCAUGAAGAUAGGGCUUCUUGUACUCAGAGAUUUUGCAUAUUAGAGAAUACUCAGCAGUGAAUACCUGAAAAACAUGCAGCACAAGUAUCAUACCGGUAGCCUCUCAAUCUUAAGAAAUGGUAGCUUAGAAAAGAUAUGAAUCCUAUCCAACCACUACAAAUCAUAUUACCCAAGUUCAAGCAAAAUCACGACUAAACAAAUGAUCAGAUGUUGUAGGUUGCCCGAGAAUGUCAAACAUGAAAUUACAAGAAAAAAAACAAUCGUAUGUAUUGAACAUUAAUAAAUACUUGCUGAAAGCACAAUCUUAGCUGCCAUUUAUGACAUUUAUACGAGAUUGAAUAGCCAAAGCAAUUAAAGAAGUAGCAGAACUCAUAUAAGUGAUUUUCACUUUGAACUUUUAGGCUUAUCAGCAAAUACAUCAUUACGAUUCUAACGCAUGAAUUUUGUUAAAAGGGGCUUGCUUGCUUGUAUUAAGGCUUAAUCAUCAAUGAUUUUGCAAGGGUCAAUCGUCUUGAUAGUUGUAAUCUAUGCACUAUGAAAAUUACCAAAAUUACAUCUUAUAUGGUAGAGAAGGAAGUCAUCUUAUAUUAUCUGGAUUUUAGAAAACGGUGUAAGGUUAUAAGUCUGUUAUUCUAUAUAGUUUAAAGGACACAAUUAGACAACAAUCAUAUUUGGUGGUUGGUUUUUGGCCGUGAUCUGCUUCACAUCACCGCCCGCAGGUAAUCUAAAUCUGGGUUAUUACUUAUCAAUGAAUCAAAGUGCCAACUUAUCGGACACCAUCUAUCUCUAUAUGGCAAAAAAAAUAACACAAAAAGGAACAAUGAAGUGAAACAAUAAACAACAUGACAUGAAACAGCACGAACAUCAAAGACCAACAAUCUAUCACAUAAGCACCUAAACAAGAAACAACUUUAGUUCAAAGCAAAGCGUAAUGUAGAAACCUUCGGCACAAGAGGCGUGUUUUUGUCCUUUUGAAUUUCGGCAACAACAACUUUAAUAUCCUUACCUGCACUUACCAUGAUUGCUCACUCUCAAAACCUUACCUAAGAGACCCCAAAACCAAAAUAACUGCCAAAAGAGCUGAACAUACAUAUCUAGAAAAAACUUAUUCAACUACAUGCUAAAAUGGAAGUGUAAAAUUGCCAGGAAAGAUAAGAAACUAUUCAAAUACGAGUUCUGGGCGUUACCGCCACAAAAGGCACGAGCCGAGCGGCUAUCAACAAGAACACACUUCACAUUUGGGUGAGAUUCCCAUUCAUCCAGAUAGCUCUUGUAUUUCACAUCCAAAUCUGCAUUUUCCAACAAUUCCCACUUAAACAGAAACACAAAAUUCUUCCAAAAAAAGCUAACUUCUUCGAAAUUUGAAUCCAACGUUUCGUCUUAUAACAAAUGCAAUAACAUAGAUUUGUAAUCAAUACGAUGCCAUAAAGUUCAAGCUCAAAAAUUCAAAUCAUCUCCAAAUCAAAUGCAAUUACAGAUAUAUACAUAUAUACAUAUACGUUUGUGUGUUUAUCUACAUACCUAGGUUUAUGGCGUUGAGAGCUCGGGGGGUGACCGAGGGUGAUGACGGCGACGCCAAAGGUGCGGAGAAGGCGAGGGGAUUUGGAGGGUUUUGUAAAGAGGGGAUUUGCUCAGAAUUUGGGUCGCUCGUCCCUCUUAUGGGAGUGACUCAAAAAUCGAAAAAGUUGAAAUUUAUUGAUUGUGAUCUGACUCAAACAUGUGAUGAUGACGAUGCAUCACCACCUUGGUUGUGCCUCUGGAUCAAAAACCUACCAUCACCAUCAAAAUCGUGCACAUUUUCCUUCAUAGGCUUGUCCCAUACUAGAUUAACCCCUGUUCCCUUAAUUGUCACAUUAUCAGAUGUACUGUUUCAAAAGUUAUAUCAACUUUAUCCCCGCUUUGCAAAUUGAGCUUAUCGUUCGAUAUUUGUCCCUGCCAAAGAAAACAUUUUCCAGAUACAUUGUGCAUUUUUAUAACCCAAUCUUCCUUGCCUAUGCAGGUCUGCAACUCAGUACGCUUGGUAUUAUUUAUAUCAAUACUGGCACGAGGAUGACCAUCUUUGCAUGUGAAAUAAGGUUUGCUAUGAAUUGAAUAUUUAGGAAUAAAGCAGUAAAAGCACAACAGAGUCAACCCUUCCAAAUUACGACCAUCACUCGGGAGAAUAUCAAAACUGACUUUAUUACCAUCGUUGACAAACUCGAACCAAUCAGGAACAUAAUUCCCUUUGAAAAAAAUGCCACCAUAUCCGCAAGAAGUCCAUCCCUAUAUAUACAGUGCGAGUGUCAUAUAUAUAUAUACACACACAAACACAAUGUACAUGUGUGUGUGUGCAUGUGCGCAAUAGGAAGACAAUUAAAGAGAGAGAUACCUUUAGGACUUUCCUCAUAAAAUCAGCGGUGAGUUCGGCGCAAUCCGUCAUAUCAAUCCAUGUCAUGGAGUUUAAUGACUUAUCCAAGUCUGGAAUCUCAGUGAGUGCGCGUGAAUCACGUACAUUCAGUUCCCUCAUAUUGGACAUUUUCGAAAAAAUUGGGCAUUGUUAACAAACGAUGGCAACAAGACGCAUACAGAAAUUUCAAAUUUGUGUUGGUAAACCAUAGAUUGUAUGAAGGUUAAGGCAGUAAUCUAACCGCAAACUUUCAAGCUUUGAAAGAUCACUGAGGCUGGGUAGGGUAUGAAAAUCAUUAGAUGAGAGAUCUAAAUCUUGUAAAGAAAUUAGACUCCCAAAACCCUUUGAUAAUGGAUCAUCGCUUAACCUCUGGAAUAAGAGAUCUAAAUUUCUUAAAGAGUCAAAGCCCUGUAACAAAUCGCGAAUUUGCAAUGCAAAUUUGGCUCUUCUGGAAGGAAGACCCCCAAUUAGAGAUAAAUGAGUGAGAUUCUUCAAUCUUACUGUGGAACGCGGUACUUGUAUUAUGGCUGUCUCAGAUGCUUUAAGUACUCUCAAUGAUAUUAUAUUCCCUAAAUCCUCGGACAGUUCACUGAAUUGCCCACAAAAAUCAAGAACAAGAGUCUGAACGGAUUUGGACCUGUAGAAAUCCCCAGGAAGAGAAAUAAGAUUCUUGCAGCCUGUGAGGUUCACCAAAGAAAGUUUUUUAAGAUGACCAAUGGAGGGGUGAAUCUCGGACAAACUCUCACACCAUUCCAAUAUCAACUCUUCAAGACUUGGGAGAUUUGAUAAGUCUGGUGAUUUUUUUAAGUCAAGGCAAACACUGAGAUUAAGGAUUUUCAAGUUUUCAAGCAACUGUUGCACAAAAUCCAAGAAAAAUUAAAAUUAAUAUCCAAAAGGAAUAUCUCAUAAAAUAAAUAAAUAAAUAUAGAGAGAAGGAAAUAUAAAAACAAAUAGAAACAUAACAUCAUCAUGUGUAAUCGAUAGUACCUUGGAGCCCUCCCAAACUUGUACCAGUCUGCUGUGCGUUAUCUCUAAAAUAACUAGUGCUCUUGGUUGAUCAAAGAAGUCAUCUGGUAUGGACUUUAAAGGGCAUCCUUCCCAACACAACCAUAUUAACUCUUUGGGGAGAUGUUUGUAUUCUCCAUUGAGCUGCACGUUCUUGAGCAUGAGCAGUCUCAGUUUCUUCAUAUUAGCAAAUGCUUCUGUACUGAUACAACUAGACUUUAAAGGGAAUUCUCCAUGGAGCUGCACUUUAAUGCGCUGGAACAGUAUCAGUUGCCACGUAUCGGCAAAUGCUUCUGUACUGAUACUUGGAGACAGAAGAUCAGGGAAACCUACAACAAGUCCUUCAACUUCUUUGGUUCCCUGUUAACAACACAUUAUACUGGGUAAGAAAAGGAUUAUGUGCAUCUAUUUUACGUGAUUUUGCUAAUUGAGCUUCUUAAUGCAAAUACAUAUAUUUACACAUGAAUGUUUUUAAUGUAUAAUAGGCAUACGUGGGUUACAUAUAUGUUUUUCUUGUACGAUGCAUUAAUACAAUUUUUUUUUGGGAAUCUACUUACAGAUUUAUUUGUUAGUACAUCAUAGACAUCUCCAGGGAUCCACAACCUGCUCCAUUCUCCAGGGGGACGACGGGAAUUUCCAGAUAUGAUUACUUUGGCCAUUUCUCGAAGCAAAUCAUGCAUAUUCAACUUGUUGUCUUCAACAGUUAUAAGGCAUCGUUCACGGAGAUCACAAAUUCCUGCUGUUGCAUAAAAUUUACACCCAUCUAAUAUUUUUGCGACAUGGUCCUUAUCCCAUCCAAUAAAGAAACAAGAUAUGUCAAGGAAUAUAUCCUUCUGUGUAGGAUCUAGCCUUUCAAAGCUUACUCUUAGCGCUUUCAUUAUUCCCUCAUCAGGAAUUUUUUUCAAUUUCUCCAACUGACUUUUCCACUCUGUUGGGGUUCUUUCAAUCAUAGAAGAACCUAAAACUUCAAGGGCUAGUGGCAAACCACCACAGUAAGAAACAACCUCUUUUGAGAGUUCAAGAUAUCCUUCAUUAGGCCAACUAUUUCCAAAGGCAUGCCAACUAAAGAGCUUCAGAGCUUCUUCUUCAAUCAUUUCCUUAAGCGGAUAUGUCUUGUCCACUGUCAUGUUCACUUGCUUUAGUAAACGUUCAUCUCGUGUCGUUAUGAUAAUUCUACUUCCUGGGCCAAACCAAUCACGAUUUCCAGCUAUUGCAUUUAGUUGUUCCACUUUGUCUACAUUGUCAAUAAUGACAAGUACGCUUCUACGUUGGAGAUGAUUUUUUAUCAGACUCAUACCUCGAUCAACACUGGUUAUCUUAGACUCAGUCUGUUUCAAGAUGUCAGAAACAAGUUUUCCUUGCAAAUCAACCAGAUCAUAUUCACUAACGUUGGCAAGGAAACUUUUGAAUUGGAACUUAUGAUGAAUUUGGUUAUAAAUGGCUUUGGCAGCUGUUGUUUUACCCAAUCCACCCAUCCCCCAAAUUCCAACCAUGACAACGUCAUUUGAUCCACCACUUGAAAGAUGAUUGAUAAUAUCUUGAAUGCGAGAAUUGAUUCCAACCGGGUGCUUGGCCACAUUUAAUUCGUUUGCGCUUGGAAGCCAUUCCGGAAUGAUCUUGCCAACAAUUUCUCUAAUAAGCUUUGCUUCGGGCCUGAAAAUUGAAUUCGUAAGCAUUAGCAGGACUCAAUGAACAGUAGGAGCUAUCAGUACAUAGACAAUUUUCUUUCCUUCAUAUAUAUUCUAACUAGCUACUAGCUGGUAUGUGAUUUUUUGACCAACUUGAUAAAAGAAAGAAGUUCAUUCAUUAAUUAAACUCCAAUUACGGUUUAGGUUUUAUAUGAGUGGUUAAGGUGUAUUAAUUAAGCAUGUUAAUUAAUGUUUAAUUAGCUUCUGUAAAAUGUUAAUUAUAUGAGAGACUAAGUCAUUCACUAAAAUGUUUCAAAUCUUGAAAAACAGGUGAAUGAUUACGCAUUGUCAGUGAUUUGGAGAUGUUGGCCAGACAAAUUUGCUGCUUCUGUAAGAGCCUUUCUCCAUUGCUUUACCCUUUCUUGUUUAGUUUCACGUUCCUUGUCAUCUUUUUCUUCACGGAUGCCCUCUUCGUGCUUCUGAAAUGCUUGAGCUAAAUCUCCGUUCUGCUUCCUAACAUGUGUAGGAUCAACAUGAUAGAAUAUUGGCAAAACACGUCGCCCCAGUUUGUAUCUGCACUCCAUGAUCUUCACCAGCUCAUCAAGACACCAACGAGAGUCCGCAUAACUCUUUGAGAAGACAAUGAUAGAGAUCCUCGCCUCUUCGAUUGCCCGGAACAGUUCCUCUUUUAUUUCUUCCCCUCUUUCUAGAUUGUCCUCAUCAAUAUAAGCCUGGUAUCCCCUGUCUGUUAAUGCCGCGUGGAGGUGGCCCGUGAAACCAUUGCGUGUGUCUACACCACUGAAGCUCAAGAACACGUCGUAAUUCCAAAGUGUUGACUUGGAGGAGGAUGAAGAGGAGGCUUCGUGGGUUGUCAUGGCGGUAUCCACCGUUAUGGCACUGCGGUGGUUUAGAUAACGACUAAAAAAUGGCAGUAGUUGUGUUCAUGCUGUCGAACAGAUGAUCCUGAAAUACCUAAACCCAAGUCAAGCUCCUUCAGUCAACAAGAACAAAGUUUAUAAUAUAAUAAUGUUGGUGUAUGGACUUGAGAAACGACAUAAUGUUGGCCAGAAGGUGCAAAGAAAGAGAGGAAAAGAGGAAAGAAAGGAACGAAAGGACAAAGACUAUCCAAAAGAUUAUUGGCUGUGAUUACAGCUAUUCAUAGGAGAAACAACCUGCCCGUCUUCAUAUAUAAUACAUUUCAACAGACAUAUGUUAAUAGGAGAAACAACUUUAGUUUGUACUAGAAAUUUUUACCCGGGCGUUGCUACAGGAUUUGAAAUUGUAUGAAAGAUUAUCUUUGAAAUAUAUAAUAGAUUGUGUGAUUGAAGAUUAAUACUAUUUACAUUGAAAACGUUGGAAAAAGUUUUACAUACAAAAGAUUUUACGAUACAAUCCAUAUAGUCUCCUAUAAAGUUCUGAAGUCGUGGAAGCAUAAAGGACAAAUAACAAAUGAGUUUUGAGAAAUUAUUCCACAAAUGCCAUUCUGCAUAAUGUAUUAAAGAAGAUUGGUAUAAGAUUAGCAAUCAUGAGUAGUGUAACAACAUCAACAAAAUAACCAUAAACCAUAGUUGAACAUAAUUCAAAUUUUGUUUGCAAAAACAAAAGAAAAAGAAAACAGACUUACAAUAAUUCAGUCUUCAAUCCUGAAGUCCUACUCAAAGAGCCAAACUUGAAUGCAAGCUUUCUGAAAUUUUCCAAGCAACACAAAAAAAAAGGUAACAUCCUAGUCAGAAAUGAACCGAGGUGCGAGCUUUCUAAGAAACCCAGAUGACAAAAUCAACAAAAUAGAAAGGAAAAAUGACUUGCACUUUUUAAGGCAUGUCCAAUCUUGAUCUAAAAUUGGUGGUGGGUCGAUUGUUGGUCACCAAAUCUAAAUAAAGAAUUCAUCAGAACCUAGAAAUUUAAACAAAGAAUUUUCCAAAAUCAACAUUUACUAAAAACCAGUUACUUGGUUAUCAAGCAUGAUGGCUUGCCAAAGACUGAAUUAAGGAAUGCACAACUUUACUUUUAUGAUUAUUUUCAACGACAGCUAAAAGGUCAGAUCCAAAUGAAAAUAAAAGUUAGGACUUCACAAAACCAAUUAAAAAUCCAAUUCCAAAGUUACAAACACCCACCAAAUGAUUCCAGAUAAAGUUUUAUACUCAAGGUCAGACCCAAAUGAAAUUAAAAGUUAGGACUUCGCAAAACCAAUUGAAAAUCUGAUUCCAAAGUUCCAAACACCCACCAAAUGAUUCCGGAUGAAGUUUAAACUAAAAAACCCAAUAGAAACAAAAGCAUUGGUGUGAAUUAACUGUAUCUAAUUGAAGAAACUAAAACAAAAGUAAAGCAAAGUAUAUACCUCAAAAUGUCAAGCAACUAAGUUCUUCCUCCGACGACCCAAAACUCUGAAAAUUCCACACAAAAAAAAGGUAAAUCCAUUAGCAAUUCAUAGCCUUCAAAAUUAGCAAAAACUUGGGCAACAAUAAAGAUGCAUUGAUAAAUAUCACUCUUUCUCCUUAUGUAUUUGAAAAGAUAUUUUAUAAGCAGUUUAUGUAGUCAUUCUAAUCAUGUUGCAUAUAAAUUCCUUUUCUACGGAGUUCAAAAAUAUAUGGCAGUUUACGGCAUCUGUUGAAUAACAUGGUUGAAAGAUUUAAAAUUGAUACAUUCAAUUUUUAUGUGUAAAACUAUAACAUAUAGCUAAAGCUAUUGGGUCUAUACAUCCAUAUCAAUCAUGUCGUAAUUGUAUGCUUAUCAAUGUAAAUAGAUGAUUUCAGUCAUGUGAUAACAUGUUUCUUGAUAGUAUAUGCUGAAGUUUGGUCUCAGUUGGAUAAAAAUCAACCAAAAUCUUAGCAAUAGACUCUUUUAACUUUUUUUUUUUUUUGGCGAACAAAGGUGGGGGGGAUGCAACACGAGGACUUCCCAGGAGGUCACCCAUCCUAGUACUACUCUCGCCCAAACUCGCUUAACUUCGGAGUUCUGAUGGGAUCCGGUGCAUGUGAGUUGGUAUGAUCGCAUCCAAAAAAUGAGCACCACAAUACUACACUUAUAAGUUUUAUGCACAAAAUACACAGCACUGACUGGCAAAACAAUAAAACACUCAAAACCCAAAAACAGAAACACAAUUAGGACUCAAAACUCCUCAAAAACAUGAGAGAGAGAGAGAGAGAGAGAGAGUGUGUGUGUGUGAGAGAGAGGAGAGAGAAUAAAAAACAAUAUUAUUUUUCACACAAACUCAAAAUUGCUUAUAAAAUUACAAAUCAAAACAAAUGAAGGCAAAUCCAAAAUUGCCCUAAAUUAAAUCUGAUUAGUUAAAUGUUUGUUGCCCUACAAAUGUCAUUACACACGACAAAACUUGCUUUGAAGUUGAUAUUUUGGUCAAUCCAGGGGAAAAGGAGAGAUUGGUUUUGGAGCAGUUGUCAUGGAGAAUACCAUCUCCCUGUUGAAUGAUCUAAAAAAGGACUUACAGCUUCUGUGGCCAUAAUAAUUUAGGAGGCCCAUCUCUACAGAUUUUCUCAAUAACUUUCCUUUUCGUAGCUGGUAAGAUUGCAACUCCAAGAAUUGCUCUGAAGAGAUAUAUACAAAAAAAAAUCAAACUAAAACUAAGCUAUUGGAAGAAAUUUAGAAAACACAAACACCACUACAACUCAGAGCUAAAGUCAACAGAAAGCAAAUAGUAGAAGUUGAAAAAAUAUAAGGUCGUGAAUUGAGAACUUCAUCAAACUAACAGCAAUAAAAUGUCAUAUAAUCUGUCAAAAACCAAAAAAGAGAGAGAGGUAAUUUCAAGACCUUGUAACGCUGAGGCCUCGUACAGUUGUAGUAAAAAUAUAUGGUUGAUGCACCUGUUGCUCAAUCAAAUCCUUUCUGGCUGAAAAAAUAAAAAUCUAUAAAGACAUUCACGUCCAAUUUAUGAGAAAUCAUGGGAAAGCAAAUGCACUGAUAACAGAAUCAUGAAUAUGAAGAACUUGCCAAAAAGAAAAAGAAACUUUUUAUAGUGUGCCAAAGAACAUCCUCCUACUCCUAGCAAUUUUUUUUAUGGCAUUAUCCACUUCUCAAUUCAUAAUUCAACCAGUAACUCAAACUCUAUAGUGUAUAAAAAUGUGAUAUCUUAGUUGAUCGCGAUGAUAAUUAAGCAGAUUAAAUGACGACCCAUAAAGCAUACAAAAAUUAAGAAAAGAAAAGGUUCGAAACUGCCAUAAGAAAACGCAGAAUAUAUAAACGGGAAAUCAAAAGAAGAGAACCAAACAAAAUUAUUAGGUCUGGGAUCAUCAAAGUCAAACACAAACAAUCCAAAAAUUUGUGGAAAAUACCAAUAAAUGCUCAACUAAAAACGAAAGAAAACGUAGAAUAAGUUUACCUGUUCUUCCCCUAAUUAAACUGAAAUACAAUUCACCACUAAUAUUCUCGUCAUCCUCUUCAGCCUGAAAAAUUUAGUAGAACAUAAUGAUAAGAAUCUAGCAGUAUUUCCAUUGUUUAAACCCCAAAUUCCAGAAAUCAUGAAAAAUGGAAACUUUAUAUGGAAACUGAAGCUUUACCUGCAGAUCAGCAGCAGCAAACGGAAUCCAACGGCAUGUACCUCAAAAAUGAGAGAGAGAGCUGAGAGAUGAGUGAGAGAAUCGAUAAACAAACCCCCCCCCCCCAAAAUCACGAAAGGAAAUUUGAACGGAAAACAAAUUUGAAAAUCCAAAAUCACAAAAACGAAAUUGAAACACCCACACUGAGAAAGCUGUAUAACUCACCAGGAAACGCUAGCCUUUCUGGGUAAAAAAAUUAUUCGGAUCGAAUUGAAGAACGGAGGAAAGUUCUACUGGUUCAGUGGUUAUUCCAGUGUGUCAAGACUUGGCUUGGUUUAUAUAAUUAAUCAAUAAUAUUCCAUACCAAGAGCUAGGUCCAUAUAUUAUACAAUGUUCUAAGGGUUUAACGGAUAGGCGAGGCCUAGUGUCUAAGCAAAUUUAAGUAAAUUUAUUAUAUAUUAUAUAAACUUAAAAUGAUAAAUAAUUGUAUUAGGAUAUAUAAAUUACAAAAUAAAAUAAUAUAUAUUAUAAAGUAUUAAAACAUAGGAGAAAAGACCCAAAUAUGAAUGGGAGAAAAGACCCAAAUAUGAAAAGACAACUAUAAACAAUUAUUCAAGAUGGACGGUAAAUGAUUCAGUCAUUUACAAUAUUCAAAACGUAGGAUCACAAUCUACUGGAUGAUUGUCUUAACUAUUAGGCCAUGCUCUAAAUAUAAUACAUCCAAAUGGGGGUGGACCGCAUAAUACACCCCAAUGGACCGUUUUAAGCUACUCCACUGCUAAAACUAUUGCAAAAUGCGCAUUAGGAUUAUACUUCUAUUAGCUGCGCCCUUCCUCACUAGGCAAAUGAACCAUAUAAUAGUUUCCAAAAAAAAAAAAAAAAAAAAGAACCUUAUAGUACACCAAGAUGGAUGUUAUACACGUUGGAGUUUGAGCAGAAUUCUUUUUGUUAUUUCAUUGUCUCACAUUGCUAGAAUUGAAAAGUUUAUAAUAUAACAAUGUUCACGUAUGAACUUGAGAAACGACAUACUACCGGUUGGGCGGGAAAGUGUGAAGUGAAAGAGAGGAAAGGAAGAAAGAAACGAACACGAAAGGACAAGGACUAUCCAAUAGAUUAUAAACAAUGAUUUAUUGGGGUGAUUACAGUUAUUCAAUUAUCAAUAAUGCAUUAUUUUAGUUUGGAAUUUGGAAGCAUUUGAGAAGUAACAUGACAACAACCACGUAAUAAACAAAAGUGAUUGGAAAAAAGACCGAAAUGUGAAAUAAUAAUUAAAAACAACUAUUCAAGAUUAGUGAUAAAUGAUUCAACCAUUUACAAGAUAUGAAUUUAGAACAACAAUCUAUUAGAUCGUUGUAUUAAUUAUUAAGUGGUGCUCUAAUAUAAUAGAUCCAAAUGGGGACGGACCGUAUAAUACACCCAAAUGAACAACAAUCUAUUAGUUUUUAGGCUCCACUGCUAAAAACUAAAGCAAAAUAGGCAUUAGGAUUAAACUUGUAUUAUCUAUCUUUCCUUACUAGUCAAAUGAACCAUACAAUACACCCAAAUGGAUGCCAUCAUGCCAUAUAUAAACAAUGUUUUGAAAUGACAAGGUAGCUAACGCCGUCAUUUUAUAUUUGUAAGCAACAACCCUAAAUCUUAUUGGAGCUAAUUAACUAAUGUAUUUAUUAGACAGUUGCAUUCCUUAGCAAGUGGUUAACUAUUUUUGUUUAGUUUAGUAGUCAGGUCGUAAUUAAUUAGUCAAAUGAACCAUAUAAUACACCCAAAUGGAUACCAUAUAUGCAUAUAUAAACAAUGUUUUCAAAGGAUGAAAUGACUUUCUUGCCGGUAUGGGGGAAGAGGAAAGAAACUAGUGUUGUGUUUGACUCAUAUAUUUGUGUGUAAUUAUGAGUCAUGUGUUGACAACAAUUGAAGACCAUGUGAAUGCUACAAGGAAAUGGCAGCAACCUUGACUUUGUGUGCAUGCUUUCGGAGUAGUGGCCAAAUGUGGCCAAAUCUACCUUCGGCUAAUAGUGGAAGAUAGUGGAAGACAAUGAUGAUGUUUGCUUGAGAUUCUUUUCUUUGGCCUUUUUCUGUUUCCCAUUUGAAUGCCACGUGAGUGGCUAUGGGGUUUGAUUAAAAGGCAAAGCAGGGAGCAUGAUACAUCAUGAUUGUGUUUGUGAAAAAAGGGAAAGUUGAUUCCUUUUUGCUUUUGCUAUUUAUUUGCUAAGAACCGAAGAGAGCUAGAGUAAAGUGAGAAGCAUACAAGGGGAAGAGCAUUCGGCUCUCCCAUGGGAAAGGUUGAAUAUGAGUUGAGAGAAAAUCAAGAGAGCUAGAGUGAAAAGUAUUCUAGUGAAAGAACUCUUGGGGUAGAGUGAGGUUCUUGGGAAAAUUCUAUGAGUGGAUGUACAAGGGAUUUGGGAUUGGGUUAUGUCGAUUUAACUCAUGUGUACUUGUACUGUUAUUCUCAUAGUGAAGAGCAAUAUCUCUCCGGGGAUGUAGGCAGGUUUUUGCCGAACCUCGUAAAUUUCUCGGUGUCUUUAUUUUUUGUAUUUUAUUCUGUUCAACUGAGUGUGAUUAUGGUGAGGUUGUAAUUUGAAUAUCGAUUCCGCACUAACGAACGGGCCAAGGCACAACAACUAGCACAAAAUUGCAGACCCUAUCGAUCCAUUAUAAUAAAUUUCAAUGGUCCAAGUUGUAAGUUAAUUGUGCAAGAUAAAAACUUAUUUACAAUUAUCAACUUAACCACGUACCUAUGGAAGACAUCGUCUUGGAAAACUAGGAUUAAGAACUGAAGUUCUCCUGCAACUCUACACAACUGAAAGCAAGGCUUGCUCAAUGGGGCUUGAGUUUUCUAUAAACUUGCGUAUUUAGUGGAGAGAGCAGGGACCUCAUUUUUAUACAUGGAAUUCAAUAAGGAUCCCUCCCAUUAAGUGAUCCUUAUCAAAGAGUAGCAUUAUCACCGUAAAACACUUAUGCAUUAUAUCAGUUAAAAGAGUUUUAGUUUUAUUGGGAAUGUAUCUGAGUUGAAACUGUAAAGAUAUACAACUCCUGAUAAGUCUACCACAAGUGUCAAUCCUUAUCUCCUUAUCAUUCCACAUGUCUUUAAUCAAAUCACCAAGUGUUUGCUCUCAUAUAGAACUUACACAAGUCUCAUGUAAUUUCAUCUAACUUAUUUUCUACAACAGUAAAUAUAUUUUAAUGGCUCCGGUUUUCACAUGCCAGUCAGUCACACGCUCAACUCCUCAACGUUCGGGCUUAGUGGCUCGAAGAGAGCUUCCACUUCACUCUGAUUCACAUCCCUCUUACUUUGACGGGUUCCACUUCGGAUUCUGCAUUGACAAAAAACAGAAGCAAAAGAUAACGAUCUGUUCUGAUACAAGGAAAGUAAGAUGAUUGUAUAACUGUAGGUCUAGUAGAGGCUGUAAUGGUUUAUGUUGCAGCAACUCCGUCAGCAAGUGAUUUUAUAGUAAGGAAUCUUGAGCAUGAUUAACGAACCUGAUCCUUGUCCACCAAAACUGCCUGCACACCUUCAGCAAAAUCAUUCCGCAAAGACGAUCUUAUAGCACCGCGAUAUUCAGUUUUCAUCACACCAGUUAGCUGGUAUGGAUCAAGUAAAGCACAUGUUACUCGCUCAGAAAAAGUGAAAUACUACAACACAAAAUCUAUCAAAAGGAUGCAACCAUGCGAUGAAUGAAACGAAAAGGUAGAAAGUAAGACUCACUGGAUAAUUGAUUGUCAUUUUUCGCAAGCGCAGAUGCAACUUUGGAGAAGUAAUUUUGCGUCAAAUAAAGUGAAAGGGGAGCACCAUUUCCAAGACCUUGAAGAGGUUCUUUAGCCCACUCCACCGCUGCAACAGAAACAAUUUGAUAGAAAAUACUUGACAGCCACGUACAAGCCUCUCAAUAGAAGAGUAAGACAGAUUUCAUUUCAUCAUAGAUAAAUAAAUGGCAUUGACAAACUUACCAGUAGCAUCUGAACUCUGCUGCUGCUUUUUAAGUUCAUCAAUUGUCACAAGAACCGACUUAUUUGCACCAAAUGCUGAAGUUAUUUGAGGUAAAAGACUCCUGAGCUGCGCUUCGAAUCUGGGUUGCUGCUGAAUUUCGCCACAGUUGUAAUUGACAACAUUGACAAUUGCCUCUCUGACAAGGCAAUAGUACCUUCGUAAUGAUCCCGGUACCAACUGUGGCCCGAUAGGCCAAUACCGAAGGCCAUUGUUAUGCCCAUGAAGCUUAUACGUGGCCGUCAAGCCCGACAAGUGAAUAGCAUACUCUAGUGCUGUAGUACAUUGUGAGGAUUUUAUCCAAAAUUAAUUGACAAUGAGUGAAUAAGCUGAAAGAUUAUGUACUGACUUUAAUUAUGCAAAGACUGGAGACAAUUUUCACCAACCUCCAAUCAAGAAUUUGGACCUCACAAAUCACUACCCAAUAUGCUUUUCUCUCGUGCCCUUCAUUCAUGGAUCGAUAUUCUGGUGUCCUAGGACCCUGACAUGACAAGUUCCAACUUUUGUUCAAUUUCUCGACGGAACAAUCACAUUUACCCUUACGGAACGGCACGGCUCCGGGCAUAGAAUAUGGGUUGGGUUCCGUUACAGCUCCAUCACUAAUUAGCACUGUAGAGAAGGAAAUAAAAAGACAAGUUUGGAUUUCUUACAACGUUUGCGAUGAUGUGUUUUCUACGGGGAGAACAUACAGGAGUCAGCAGUUAUCUUUUCGCAACCGUCUUUGAUUAUGAAGGAAAGGAAAGAAAAGAAAAAAAACGAAUGUAGAAAGAAAACAUACAAGUUGGUUGACAAAAGGGGAAGAAAAAUUGAGAGAUACAGAGAAUAAGAAAGAAGAAAAUCGAUGCAAAUUUUAAUAUAAAUGUAGUAGAUCCAGGUAUCCAAAGGAUUCGGGGCUAAUGUACCUGCAUUGAUAAAAAACAAAUAUCAGAUUUUUGGAAACGCAUCACAUAGUAGUUAAAACACCCGGCCGUGAAUGAAAGGUCUGAGUUACCGCCAUUUUGGCUAAUACUAUUCUGUAUAUUUACGAAUGGUUUUAAGUUUGGGUUUAAUUGGAUAAUCGGAGAGUAGUGCAUCAAACUAUGGAUAUUCAGAAACCGAAAGCAUAAUUCAUAUUCCUCUAACAAGUCCACGCAAAUGACCACAAUCAGAAUGUUAGUUCAUAGCUGGCCAUAUAGAACGCAAUACAAAAGCACUAAAAGCAUCCAAGUGAAAGUGCUUUCUCCUCAUGUAGUUUCAUUUAACUUAGUUUCACAUGCCAGUCCGUCACACACUCAACUCCUCAACGUUCGGGCUCAAAGCAUUCUUUAUCCUUUCUGUACGAGAGACAAUAAAUUUAUAGUUCUUGUGAUGAAAUCAUGCAAAACAUUCAGAAAUCUUGAUUUAACCCUUUCUCAAGAUCAUAGGUUGUGUCAUCUCAACUUAUAUCUUAGGUCUUAUGAGUGCUCGUAAUACACUAAUAUGACACUUGUUUUCUGGCCAGGACAGAAACAAAAUCAUGCAGGAAAUUGUCACGACAACUUAAGUGUAAAAUGCGACCGGAAAAGCACUAAACAGGAUAGUUAUGCUCUCACAGUGUAAACCUUAACAACAAAGACUAUACCGUAUCUGUCACAGUGAUAUGCGACCAUAAGCCCAACUCCAAGGAUCAGCUUCCAAGAGCUUUGAAGGCUACAGAUCAAAAGUUACAUGCAGUGAUGACAUAAUCAUGAAAAAAUACAAUCAUAAAUUAAAGGAAAACAUACUGACUUCUAGUUCUGGCAAUUCACUAUUGGGCCAUAUAUUUGAACCACAGUAUGAUGGAUACCUACAAUACAGAUCACAAAUAAAAUCUGAGCAGACACAAAGUAUUAUGUUCUGUUUACGCAAAAUCUGUAAGUUCUCAAAUAGGAUAAAUAAAGAUAAACAUAUCCCAGCAUAAAGACGAUUUGUCCUGGUUAAUUCUAAGAAACCUUGUAUCAAAUGUAUGAUAGUUAUUCAUAACUAACACAAACAACUGUUUGGCCAAACAUUACUGGUAUGAGCCAUAUACUGUGUGACCUGAGACAAAACAGAUCCCACAUGUACUCGGAUUAUGAUUGAUGUCCCUAUUGACUUUUACCUUUGAAUUAGAGAUUCAUCUGUUGUAGGGCUAUCCAAUAUUGGAUUUGCAUAAAACGAGCCUUUUAACGUAUCUGCAAAACCAGAACACAAACGGAAAAUGAAUGAUCCUAAGUUCUUAGAGUUUCCAAAGAGACAAAAUUUAAAACAAAGAACAUAAAGUGAUACCCGGCUUUCCAAAUUCCAGCUUCUCUUUUCCAUGACUCCAUCCAAAAUUGUACCUAAACAUGGAUGGCAGGUAAAAAGAAGAUAAGCAAUAAAACUUUGUAAAGAUUCCCAAGAAAAGCAAUAAAACUACGUAAAUAUUAGUUAAUAAUGUCAAGACCAUAGUCUGUGACAAAUCCAAGAGUUGAGAUGAGACUAUCUUUCUGGCAGGAAUUUUUGGAAAUUUUCUCUAUUGUAAGGAGAUAGAUUGAUGUUUGUGUUUACACGAAAAUUAUGCCAACGGCUUAAGAGAAAUCAAAGUAUAACAAUGGGACUAAAAUGACUUACCUACUAUGAGGAUCUUCCAGUUCCUUCUUCACCUCUUCAGGCAGAUUGGCUAAUCUAAUAAACGAAAAGAAAACUCCCAUGAGCAGUGCUAUAACAAACUAUCUUCCUAAAUUCAUUAUGAGUUGCAGUUAAAACUUAAAAUGAACAUGAAAAUCCUAUGUAGAAGGGAUAUACCUAGGUUAAAAGCGUAGAAGAUUCCUGCGCAAGGAAGAAUAUCCCGGAACCUGCAAUUGGAAACUCAAUGAAACAAUUACAAAGAUGCUAGAAAGAAAAUACUUAUCAGUUUACAACAGAAUGCUAGCUCUCACAAGAAUCGAUUAGGUAUGAAGCAUCAAAACAAUAACAUGAGACAUCAUAAUUUAUGAGCUAUGAAUGGAAUAAUGGAGCAAAAUAUCGUAGCCCAAACAGCACAAUCUACGAUCUACAUGACGGAGAAAGUACCCCGGCAUUACAUAUGCAAGUUCAUGGGUUCACAUGUAAGCAUGUGGUUUAUCUUUUUAACCGAUUCGUUAACAAAUUCUUUCUGCACGUAUAGUUUCAACCCGAAACCUAAAAUUCCAUAGUCAAACAAAUAUGCAUAAUAGCAGAAUUAAGUAAAAAAACAACAUAUCACCAUACUGAUACUGAUGUGAUUCAGAAUUAAGCAUUUUAACUUACCAAAACUGGUAAUGGAAGAGAUAAUCAGUAAUUAACUAGGGUAAUCGCAUAACAAAAUCAUACUUGAGUGAUUGAUAGGAUUCCCAACCCAUUGGGUCCAAAUCCUUCUUCAAUCUUCACUGACAAGUCUUUGUCCUUGUCUUGUAUCAAUCAAUCCAAAAUAAAAAAACGAUAAUUAGAAAAAUCGAAUUCUCGACAUGAUUGACUGAGUUAAAACAUAGCAAUUAAACAAAACUAUGAAUAAAACAAUUAGAUUCUGUUUGGUUGCUGAGAAAAUGAAGAGAAUAACAACCAAAAAGUCAACUGAAAUAGAAUUUUGCUCUAAUUUCAACGAAUUCUCUUGAGUUUCUGAGCACCCAAACAGAAAAAAAAUUAAAGCCAAUCAAACCAAACUCUCAUGCUCAAUUUUCUCGCAACCACAAACAGAACUUAGAGGGAGAGACAGAGUUACUUGGAGCUCGGAGUAGGAUAUGGUGACUGGUGUGACGGUGGGGACGGCGAGGUCGGAGGACGGAGGCAUAGUUCGACAAGAAAUUUGGCGGGAAAGACGGCGGUUGGACUGUGACGGUGGGGAAGAAUCCGUGGGAACGAAGAGGAAUUUUGGUGCGGAAGGACGGCUUUUAUAUAGAAGGGAGGGAGAGAGGUUGAGAGCGAAAGGCGUGAUUGUCAAUUUCAAAUAUUUUUGAAGGAAUAAAGAAAGAAGGGAGGUUGAGCAUCAAUUCCCUUUCCCUCCGAACCAAAGAAUACACGCAACUUUAACGAAAAGUUUUCGGUACGGUUCAUUUUUACACUAAAAUGUCAAUCUUGAUACUAUUCACUUUACUCUUUAUUUUGUUCUUAUCGUUAAAACUCAAAGUUUUCAAGCCAUUUUCAUUAGUUUCCUUAAGAAUAUAUGCACGAUCACGAUGUGUGGCAAAACUUGAAGGUGGAGACGAAUAUAUUAAAUACAUAUAACUAUUACUGUAUUAGUUCAAUUUAAAAUUAAUUACAUACUUUAAGGAUUUGUUUGAAAGUAUUUUUCAAAUAAUUAAAAGUGUUUUUGAUUAACAUGUUUUUUAAAUCAAUCUUUAGUAUAACUAAGUGGAUCUUAAAAAAGAACUUGAGGUGCUUUCUACAAAAAAAUACAUGUCUGGAGCACUUGAAGUGUUUUUGGAACCCAAAAUCAAUUUAAUAAAAGUGGGUUUAAUCUUUUUUUUUUUUUUUUUUGAACAAACGAUAUCAUCUAUCUUUAAGGUGAGAAAAUAGGCUUAACCUCACAAUGGCCUAGCACAUAAAUAAUGUGAUUCAAAUUCGCUUUUGGUGAGAAUCGAAUCUAAGACUUCUCACUUACAAAUAAGGAGGAAUACCCUAAAUCAUAGUACUAAGUAAUGUGUUUAGUUAUUUUUAAAAGACUUCAAAACAAGCCCUAAUUUGUAUCAAAUUCAAAAAAUUUGAAUUGGGCGGAUGUAAUAUGUAUUGGGUAUUUCCUCAUUCAAUAAUAUUUACGUUGUUUUCGGCAAAAAAGAAAGAAUUCAAUUGGAAAAAAAUAAAAAAAUGGGAAAUAAGGAUAUUCUAGUUAAGGUUUUUAUUAAUUGUUUUAGGUGGAUGGUUCAUAUGAAGAUUAUGAAAACGCUUUAAUUCUCUAAUGUGAGGUUCCGUCUCGAUCCAAAGUUAAUCAGUGAAAAAUAUAAUUAAGAUUGUUAUUAAUUAUCAAUUCAUGUAUAUUUCCCCAUGUAUUACGUUACUAAGUUAGACAAUGAAAAAUACAUAUAAGGCGUUAUGAGAAUAUGCGUGGCUGUCAAGUCUGACACGCAAAUAGCAUGCUCAACUUGAAUUACUCUCUAAGGAUUUUAUCCAAAAUCGACGAUGAGUGAACAAGUUGAAAGAUUAUGCACGACUUUCAUUAUGUAACAAGUGAAGAGGCAAUUUUCGCCAACCCUGACACGACAAGUUCCACUUUUUGUACAUUUUCUUGACGAAACAAUCACAUUUACCCUUACGAUUCCGGGCAUAGAGUAUGUGUUGGGUUCCGUUACAGUUCCGACGCUACUUAGCACUGUAGAGAAGGAAAUAAAAAGACAACUUUGGAUUUCUUACAACGUAUUGAGUCUCUCUUCAUGGCUCUUGCUGUGUUGUUCUUAUCUCACGUCCUGUUUCUCGAGCUUGGUGUUUCCGGUUGCAAAUUUUGGUUCGCCGGUGUAGUGCUCAGGGGAGGGGACUGUCUCACAUUGUUCCAAGCAGACAGAGGCGGUUGACAACGAUUGCGAUAAUGUGUUUUUCUACUGGGAGAACAUACAGCAGUCAGCAGUUACCUUUUCACAACCGUCUUCAGUAUUUGGAGGCACCUCAAGAAAUUAUCAAGGACAAACGAAUGUAGAAAAGAAGAAAUAUCGAAGUUGAUUGACAAAGGGGGCCGAAAAGUUGAGAGAUACAGAGAAGAGGAAGAUAAGAAGAAACUCGAUGCAAAUUUUAAGCUAGAUUAGUUAUUUUUCAUUAACGAGCGAUACAGAGAAGAAGAAACAGCUGCAUUUGGAGAUAGCCGCUUUAGUUGCCUAGUUUGUAACAUUAGCUUUAUGUAAAUCCGGGGAAGAAACAGGAGUAAAAAAAACACAAUCAGGCAGUACCAAAGAAGAAAAAUGUACAGUUACGAACAAUCACCACUUCUCAAACUUUGUAGUAGAUCCAGGUAUCCGAAAGACUCGGGGCUAAUGUACCUGCAUUAACAAAAAACAAAGAUCAGAUUUGUGUAAGGGAGUCGCAUAGUAGUUAAAAUACUCGGCCAUGCGCGAAUGGUUUGAGAUACCACCAUAGAGGCAUCCUCCAGGUGUGAGUUUCUUUCGUAUCGGAUCACUUAUUGUAAGAAUAUCAGUAGUGAAAGUGAAAUACCAGCGUCGGUAUUGAAAAAUUGUGUCCUCCGUAUGAUGCUUGCAACAUGCAUCACCGAAUCAACUUGAAGCUCUCCACCUCUCCAUCUGUUAAAUGUUUCAUAAGCAGCAUUGUUAAAGUUCUCUCUGGUUGGGGCGAUAUUGCAGAUAGUUUUGAAUGAAGAAAGGCAAAAAUUCAUGCUGAAGGCAUAGUUUACAACUAGUAUUUGUAAAAGCUAAGCUCUAAAGGUCUCACCUUGAUUCUUUGGCACAAAUAGCUAAGUUUUGAGAUGGGACAAAAUGGGUCCCAAGACCCACAUACAGUGCAUCCGAUGGUGUUGAAAUCCUUUUCCCAGUAAGUCAAAGAUAAGCACCAAGAAAGACAUGACAGUGUUAAAACAAAUACAGAACUAAGAAUUGAUGCAUGAAGCAAACAGAGUAAUGGUACAGGCCAUUCUCUUUAUAUUCUUAUAAUCUAAACAGUUUCUCCUUAUCAACGUUGGAAAAACAGCUUGCUUCAGUCAUAGGAGGGAAAUUGCGCCCGAGUAUAGAAAAUACAUACCUACAGAUCCUCCUCCUGGACUCUUUGCCGCUAUACGUGAAAACCCAACAUCUGGGAACAAACAAAUUACAUUCUCUGGCAUUAGCAAGAACAGUCCUCUGAAAUGUAUCCAUACAAAGUUAAGACACAAAAAAUUCAAAAAGGCAAUGUAAUUCACAACAUUGACAAUCUCUGUCUGACAAGGCAAUAAUACCUCUGUAAUGAUCCAGUAGCGACCGUGACCUGAUAGGCCAACACCAAAGCCCAUUCUUAUGCCAUCCAUGAAGCUUAUAUAGGGCUUCUUGUACUCUGAGAUUUUGCAUAUUAGAGAAUACUCAGCAGUGAAUACCUGAAAAACGUGCAGCACAAGUAUCAUACCGGUAGCCUCUCAAUCUUAAGAAAUGGUAGCUUAGAAAAGAUAUGAAUCCUAUCCAACCAAUACAAAUCAUAUUACCCAAGUUCAAGCAAAAUCAAGACUAAACAAAUGAUCAGAUGUUGUAGGUUGCCCGAGAAUGUCAAACAUGAAAUUACAAAAGAAAAAAAAUAAUCGUAUGUAUUGAACAUUAAUAAAUACAUGCUGAAAGCACAAUCUUAGCCGCAAUUUAUGACAUUUAUACGAGAUCGAAUAGAAAAAGCAAUUAAAGAAGUAGCAGAACUCACAUAAGUGAUUUUCACUUUGAACUUUUAGGCUUAUCAACAAAUACAUCAUUACGAUUCUAAUGCAUGAAUUUUGUUAAAGGGGGCUUGCUUGCUUAUAUUAAGGCUUAAUCAUCAAUGAUUUUGCAAGGGUCAAUCAUCUUGCUAGUUGUAAAUCUAUUCACUAUGAAAAUGACCAAAAUACAUCUUAUAUGGUAGUGAAGGAAGUCAUCUUAUAUUAUCUGGAUUUUAGAAAACGGUGUAAGGUUAUAAGUCUGUUAUUCUAUAUAGUUAAAAGGACACAAUUAGACCUCAAUCAUAUUCGGUGGUUGGUUUUUGGCCGUGAUCUGCUUCACAUCACCGCCUGCAGGUAAACUAAAUCUGGGUUAUUACUUAUCAAUGAAUCAACGUGCCAACUUAAUGGACACCAUCUAUCUCUAUAUGGCAAAAAAACAACACAAAAAUGAACAAUGAAGUGAAACAAUAAACAACAUGAUGUGAAACAGCACGAACAUCAAAGACUAACAAUAUAUCACAUAAGCACCUAAACAAGAAACAACUUUGGUUCAAAGCAAAGCGUAAUGUAGAAACCUUCGGCAGAACAGGGGUGUUUUUGUCCUUUUGAAACAACCACUUUAAUAUCCUUUCCUGCAUUUACCAUGAUUGGUCACUCUUAAAACCUUACCUAAGAGACCCAAAAACAAAAAUAACCGCCGAAAGAGCUAAACAUACAUAUCUAGAAAAACUUAUUUAACUGAAUGCUAAAAUGGAAGUGUAAAAUUGCCAAGAAAGAUAAGAAACUAAUCAGAUACGAAUUCUGGGCGUUACCGCCACAAAAGGCACGAGCGGAGCGGCUAUCAACAAGAACACACUUCACAUUUGGGUCAGAUUCCCAUUCAUCCAGAUAGCUCUUGUAUUCCACAUCCAUAUCUGCAUUUUCCAACAAUUCCCACUUAAACAGAAUCACAAAUUUCUUAAAAAAAAAGAAGCUAGCUUCUUCGAAAUUUGAAUCCAACGUUUCGCCUUAUAAAAUGGAAGUGUAAAAACCUACUAUCACAAUCAAAUGCUUAUUUAACUGCAUGCUAAAAUGGAAGUGUAAAAUUGCCAAGAAACACACUUCACAUUUGGGUCAGAUUCCCAUUCAUCCAGAUAGCACUUAAACAGAAACACAAAAUUCUUAAAAAAAAAAGAAGCUAGCUUCUUCGAAAUUUGAAUCCAACAUUUCGUCUUAUAACAAAUGCAAGAACAUAGAUUUGUACUCAAUAAGAUGCCAUAAAGUUCAAGCUCAAAAUUUCAAAUCAGCUCCAAAUCAAAAGCAUUUACAGAUACAUACAUAUAUACAUAUACGUGUGUGUGUGUUUAUCUACAUACCUAGGUUCAUGGCGUUGAGAGCUCGGGGGGCGACCGAGGGUGAUGUCGGCGACGCCAUUUGGGUGGACGCUGCCCUUGACGAACGCCUCGGCGGAGGCCAUGAUCCCGAAUGUGCGGAGAAGGCGAGGGGAUUUGGAGGGUUUGUAAAGAGAGAGCUUCAAAUUUGGAAUGAGGAAGAAGAAAGCGGACGACUAUUUGCUCAGAAUUUGGGUCGCUCGUCAAUAAGCUUCCCAUUACUUCCGUUUGAGAGUAACUGUCAGUGUCGAGAGAGACAGAUAUUUUUGGUGCUUCUGGACCGGACUACCCUUGAUGUUUCGGUCAAAUUACCGGGAAAAGGAACCGCCGCAGUGGCUAUGGAGGGAAAGUUGGAAUUUGAAAGCAGUAAGUAUGGACUUGCCUUCAUUUAUUGAACUGAGAAAUCGAAAACUGAAAGAGGCGUUUGACGAACUGAGAAAUCGAAAACAUGUGAUGAUGACUAUGCAUCACCACCUUGGUUGUGCCUCUGGAUCAAAAACCAACCAUCACGAUCAAAAUCGUGGAUAUUUUCCUUCAUAGGUUUGUCCCAUACUAGAUUAACCCCUGUUCCUUGAAUUGUCGCAUAAUAAUUUUUAUAGUCCAUCUCUGGCAUUUCAAAAGUUAUAUCAACUUUAUCCCCGCUUUGCAAAUUGAGCUUAUCAUUCGAUAUUUGUCCCUGCCAAAGAAAACAUUCUUUAUAUACAACAUCGCGCAUUUUUAUAACCCAAUCUUCCUUGCCAAUGCAGGUCCGCAACUCAUUACGCUUGGUAUUAUUUAUAUCAAUACUGGCAUGAGGAUGAGCAACUUUACAUCUGAUAUGAGAGCUUGACUGAUGAAGAUCUGAGGAGUAAAAGCAUAACAGAGUCAGCCCUUCAAAAUUACGACCAUCACUCGGGGGGAUAUCAAAACUGACUUUAUCACCAUUGUUGACAAACUCGAACCAAUCAGGAACAUAAUUCCCAUUGAGAAAAAUGCCACCAUAUCCACAAGAAGUCCAUCCCUAUACAUACAGUGCAAAUGUCAUAUAUAUACAUGUGCGUUGUGUGUGUGCAUGUGCGCAAUAGGAAGGCAAUUAAAGAGAGAUACCUUUAGGACGUUCCUCCUAAAAUCAGCUGUGAGUUUGGGGCAAUCCCUCAUGUCAAUCCAUGUCAAGGAGUAUAAUGACUUAUCCAAGUCUGGAACCUCAGUGAGUGCGUAUGAAUUACAUACAAUCAGUUCUCUCAUAUUCGACAUUUUCGAAAAAUUGGGCAUUGUUACCAAAUGAAGGCAAUUAGGCGCACCCAGAAAUUUUAAAUUCGUUGGCAAAUCAUAAAUUGUACGAAGCUCCAAGCAAUCAUGUAACCAGAGACUUUCAAGCUUUGAAAGAUCACUUAGGCUGGGUAGGGUAUGAAGGUGAUGGAAGUUCCUUAACCGCAAACUUUCAAGCUUUGAAAGACCACUGAGGCUGGGUAGGGUAUGAAGGUGAUGGCAGUUACUUAACUGCAAACUUUCAAGCUUUGAAAGACCACUGAGGCUGGGUAGGGUAUGAAGGUGAUGGCAGUCACUUAACUGCAAACAUUCAAGCUUUGAAAGACCACUGAGGCUGGGUAGGGUAUGAAGGUGAUAGCAGUUACUUAACUGCAAACUUUCAAGCUUUGAAAGACCACUAAGGCUGGGUAGGGUAGGAAGGUGAUGGCAGUUACUUAACUGCAAACUUUUAAGCUUUGAAAGAUCACUGAGGCUGGGUAGGGUACGAAGGUGAUAGCAGUUACUUAACUGCAAACUUUUAAGCUUUGAAAGACCACUGAGGCUGGAUAGGGUAUGAAGGUGAUGGCAGUCACUUAACUGCAAACUUUCAAGCUUUGAAAGACCACUGAGGCUGGGUAGGGUACGAAGGUGAUAGCAUUUACUUAAUUGCAAACUUUCAAGCUUUGAAAUACCACUGAGGCUAGGUAGGGUACGAAGGUGAUGGCAGUCACUUAACUGCAAACUUUCAAGCUUUGAAAGAUCACUGAGGCUGGGUAGGGUACGAAGGUGAUGGCAGUCACUUAACUGCAAACUUUCAAGCUUUGAAAGACCACUGAGGCUGGGUAGGAUAUGAAGGUGAUAACAUUUACUUAACUGCAAACUUUCAAGCUUUGAAAGACCACUGAGGCUGGGUAGGGUUUCAAGGUGAUGGCAGUCACUUAACUGCAAACUUUCAAGCUUUGAAAGACCACUGAGGCUGGGUAGGGUAUGAAGGAGAUAGCAUUUACUUAACUGCAAACUUUCAAGCUUUGAAAGACCACUGAGGCUGGGUAGGGUAUGAAGGUGAUGGCAGUCACUUAACUGCAAAUUUUCAAGCUUUGAAAGACCACUGAGGCUGGGUAGGGUAUGAAGGUGAUAGCAUUGACUUAACUGCAAACUUUCAAGCUUUGAAAGACCACUGAGGCUGGGUAGGGUAUCAAGGUGAUGGCAGUCACUUAACUGCAAACUUUCAAGCUUUGAAAGACCACUGAGGCUGGGUAGGGUAUGAAGGAGAUAGCAUUUACUUAACUGCAAACUUUCAAGCUUUGAAAGACCACUGAGGCUAGGUAGGGUAUGAAGGUGAUGGCAGUCACUUAACUGCAAACUUUCAAGCUUUGAAAGACCAUUGAGGCUGGCUAGGGUAUGAAGGUGAUAGCAUUUACUUAACUGCAAACUUUUGAGCUUUGAAAGACCACUGAGGCUGGGUAGGGUAUGAAGGUGAUGGCAGUCACUUAACUGCAAACUUUCAAGCUUUGAAAGACCACUGAGGCUGGGUAGGGUAUGAAGGUGAUGGCAGUCACUUAACUGCAAACUUUCAAGCUUUGAAAGACCACUGAGGCUGGGUAGGGUAUGAAGGUGAUAACAUUGACUUAACUGCAAACUUUCAAGCUUUGAAAGACCACUGAGGCUGGGUAGGGUAUGAAGGUGAUGGCAGUCACUUAACUGCAAACUUUCAAGCUUUGAAAGACCACUGAGGCUGGGUAGUGUAUGAAGGUGAUAGCAUUUACUUAACUGCAAACUUUCGAGCUUUGAAAGACCACUGAGGCUGGGUAGGGUAUGAAGGUGAUGGCAGUCACUUAACUGCAAACUUUCAAGCUUUGAAAGACCAUUGAGGCUGGGUAGGGUAUGAAGGUGAUAGCAUUUACUUAACUGCAAACUUUCGAGCUUUGAAAGACCACUAAGGCUGGGUAGGGUAUGAAGGUGAUGGCAGUUACUUAACUGCAAACUUUCAAGCUUUGAAAGACCACUGAGGCUGGGUAGGGUAUGAAGGUGAUGGCAGUCACUUAACCGCAAACUUUCAAGCUUUGAAAGACCACUAAGGCUGGGUAGGGUAUCAAAAUCAUUGUUUGAGAGAUCUAAAUUUCUUAAAGAGUCUAAGCCGUGUAACGAAUCAGGAAAUCGCAAGGGAAACUCUGAUCCCACACCUGCUAGAGAUAAAUGAGUGAGAUUCAUCAACCUUACUGUGGAACGUGGUACUUGUCUUAUGGCUGUGAAAGAUGCUUUAAGUACUCUCAAUGAUAGCAUCUUCCCUAUAUCCUCGGGCAGUUCACUGAAUUGGCAACAUUCAUCAAGAACAAGAGUCUGAACGGAUUUUGACUUGUAGAAAUCUCCAGGAAGAGAAAUAAGAUUCUUGCAGCCUGUGAGGUUCACCAAAGAAAGUUUUUUAAGAUGACCAAUGGAGGGGUGAAUCUCGGACAAACUCACACACCAUUCCAACAUCAACUCUUCAAGAUUUGGGAGAUUUGAAAAGUCUGGUGAUUUUUUUAAGUCAAGGCAACUUCUGAGAUCAAGGAAUUUCAAGUUUUCAAGCGACUGUUGCACAAAAUCAAAGGAAAAUUAAAAUUAAUAUCCAAAAGGAAUAUCUCAUUAAAAAAAGAGAAGGAAAUCCAAAAGCAAAUAGAAUCAUAACAUCAUCAUGUGUAAUCGACUGUACCUUGGAACCCUCCCAAACUUGUACAAGUUUGCCAGACGUUAUCUCUAAACUAACUAGUCUUGGUUGAUCAAAGAAGUCAUCUGGUAUGGACUUUAAAGGGCAUCCAGACCAACUCAACCAUAUUAACUCUUUGGAAAGAUGUUUGUAUUCUCCAUUGAGCUGCACUUUGCAGAGCUGGAGCAGUCUCAGUUUCUUCAUAUUGGCAAAUCCUUCUGUACUGAAACAACUAAACUUAGAAGAAUGCUUCUGUACUGAAUCUGGAGCAAGUUCAACUUCUUCAGUUUCCUGUUAACAAAAGGUUAUAUUCAUGAGUAAGAAACGGAUUAUUUGCAAAUGCUUCUGUACUGAAAGAACUAGACUUGUUAGAGCUUUGUACCCGAGGAGGAGGGCCAUAUAGAGCAAGUCCUUCAACUUCUUCAGUUCCCUGUUAAGAAAAGGUGAUAUUCAUGUGUAAGAAACGAAUUAUUUGCAUACGUUUACAUGUAUGAAUACAUGCAAGUACUAUUGUUCGCUAAUUGAGAUGAAUGUUACUUAAUGUGUAAUACACAUCCGUGAGUUAUAUGUGCUUUUCAUGUACGAUGCAUUAAAUUCAAAAUUUUAUUAGGAAUGUACUUACAGAGUUAUCUCCUAAUACUUUAGUGACCUCUUGAUGGUUCCACAACCUACUCCAUUUUCCAGGGUGACGAGGGAAUUUUUCAGAAAUGAUUAAUUUGGCCAUUUCUCGAAGCAAAUCAUGCAUAUUCAACCUGUUAUGUUCAACAGUUACAAGGCAUCGUUCACGAAGGUCACUGAUUCCUACUGUUGCAAAAAACUCACAUCCAUCUAAUAUUUUUGCGACACGGUCCUUAUCCCAUCCAAUAAAGAAACAAGAUAUGUCAAGGAAUAUAUCCUUCUGUGUAGGAUCUAGCCUUUCAAAGCUUACUCUUAGCGGUUUCAUUAUUCCUUCCUCGGGAAAUUUUUUCAAUUUCUCCAACUGAUUUUUCCACUCCGUUGGGGUUCUUUCAAUCAUAGAACCACCUAAAACUUCAAGGGCUAGUGGCAAACCACCACAGUAAGAAACAACCUCCUUUGAGAGUUCAAGAUAUCCUUCAUUAGGCCAACUAUUUCCAAAGGCAUGCCAACUAAAGAGCUUCAGAGCUUCUUCGUCAUUCAUUUCCUUAAGUGGAUAUGUCUUGUCCACUUUCAUGUUCACUUGCUUUAGUAAACGUUCAUCUUGUGUCGUUAUGAUAAUUCUACUUCCUGGGCCAAACCAAUCACGAUUUCCAGCUAUUGCAUUUAGUUGUUCCACUCUGUCUACAUUGUCAAUAAUGACAAGUACACUUCUACGAUGGAGAUGAUUUUUUAUCGGACUGAUACCUUCAUCAACACUGGUUAUCUCAGGCUUGGUCUGUUUCAAGAUGUCAGAAACAAGUUUUUUUUACGAAACAACCAGAUCUUUUUCACUAACGUUGUCAAGGAAACUUUUGAAUUGGAACUCAUGAUGAAUUUUGUUAUAAAUGGCUUUGGCAGCUGUUGUUUUACCCAAUCCACCCAUCCCCCAAAUUCCAACCAUGCAAACAACAUCUGAUCCAGCAUUUGAAAGAUAAGUGAUGAUAUCUUGAAUGCGAGUAUAUAUUCCAACUGGGUGCUUGGCCAUUUGUAAUUCUUCUGCGAUCGGAAGCCAUUUCGGGAUAAUCUUGUCAACAAUUUCUCUAAUAAGCUUUGCUUCGCGCCUGAAAAUUAAAUUUGUGAGCAUUAGUGGGACUCGAUGAACACUAGGAGCUAUCAGUAUAUAGACAAUUUUCUUUCCCCCAUGGCCCCAUAUAUAUUCUAACUAGCUACUAGCUAGUAUAUGAUUUUUUGACCAACCUGAUAAAAGAAAGAACUUAAUUAAACUCCAAUUACGGUUUAGGAUUUAUAUGAGAGGUUAAGAUGUAUUAAUUUAAUUAAGCAUGUUAGCCAAUGUUUAAUUAGCUUCUGUAAAAUGUUAAUUAAGCAUGUUAAUUAUAUGAGAGAUUAAGUCAUUCACUAAAAUGUUUCAAAUCUUGAAAAGCAGGUGAAUGAUUACCCUUUGUCAGUGAUUUGAAGAUGUUGGCCAGACAAAUUUGCAGCUUCUGUAAGAGCCUUUCUCCACUGCUUUACCCUUUCUUGUCUAGUUUCACGUUCCUUGUCAUCUUUUUCUUCACGGAUGCCCUCUUCGUGCUUCUGAAAUGCUUGAGCUAAAUCUUCAUUCUGCUUCCUAACAUGUGAAGGAUCAACAUGAUAGAAUAUUGGUAAAACAUGUCGCCCCGGUUUGUAUCUGCACUCCAUGAUCUUCACCAGCUCAUCAAGACACCAACUCGAGUCCGCAUAACUCUUUGAGAAGACAAUGAUAGAGAUCCUCGCCUCUUUGAUUGCCCGGAACAGUUCCUCUUUUAUUUCUUCCCCUCUUUCUAGAUCAUCCUCAUCGAUAUAAGCCUGGUAUCCCCUGUCUGUUAAUGCCGCGUGGAGGUGGCCCGUGAAACCAUUGCGUGUGUCUACACCGCUGAAGCUCAAGAACACGUCGUAAUUCCAAAGUUUUGACUUGGAGGAGGAUGAAGAGGAGGCUUCGUGGGUUAUCAUGGCGAUAUCCACCGUUAUGGCACUGCAGUGGUUCAGAUCACGACUGCAAAAAUGGCAGUAGUUGUGUUCGUGCUGUCGAACAGAUGAUCCUGAAUUACCUAAACCCAAGUCAAGCUCCUUCAGUCAUCAAGAACAAAGUUUAAAAUAUAAUAAUGUUGGCAUAUGGACUUGAGAAACGACAUAAUGUUGCCGGAAGGUGCAGAGAAAGAGAGAGGAAAAGAGGAACGAAAGGACAAAGACUAUCCAAAAGAUUCUUGGCUGUGAUUACAGCUAUUCAUAUGAGAAACAACAGACAUAUUUUCAUAGGAGAAACAACCUGCCCAUCUUCAUAUAUAAUACAUUUCAAUGGACAUUUUAAUAGGAGAAACAACUUUAGUUUGUACUAGAAAUUUUUACCCGCGCGUUGCUGCGGUAUUUGAAAUUGUAUGAAAGAUUAUCUUUGAAAUAUAUAAUAGAUUGAGUGAUUGAAGAUUAAUACUAUUUACAUUGAAAAUGUUGGAAAAGUUUUACAUACAAAAGAUUUUACGAUACAAUCCACAUACAAAAGAUGGGAAAUUUUUUUCUAUCUAUAUGCAUUAUGUUAUGGAAUGAUAUAUAUAUAUAUAUAUAUAUAUAUAUAUAUAUAUAUAUAUAUAUAUAUAUAACUAAGUGCCAGAAUACGUAACUUCAUAACUUGGAAAUCUUUAGACAAAUUAAUCAGAUUCAACUGUGGGAUAGCAGCGUCGCCUAUAACGUUGUGAAGUCGUGGAAACAUAAAGGACAAAUAACAAAUGAGUUUUGAGAAAUUAUUCCACAAAUGUCAUUCUGCAAAAUGUAUUAAGAUUAGCAAUCAUGAGUAGUGUAACAACAUCAACAAAAUAACUAUAAACCAUAGUGGAACAUAAUUCAAAUUUCGGUUGCAAAAACAAAAGAAAAAGAAAACAGACUUACAAUAAUUCAGUCUCCAAUCCUGAAGUCCUACUCAAAGAGCAAAACUUGAAUGCAAGCUUUAAUCUUCCAAACAAUACAGAUAACAAGGUAACACUCUAGUAAAAAAUGAACCGAGGUGCGAGCUUUCUAAGAAACCCAGAUGACAAAAUCAACAAAAUAGAAUGGAAAAAUGACUUACAUUUUUAAGGCAUGCCCGAAUCUUGAUCUAAAAUUGGUGGUGGGUCGAUUGUUGGUCACCAACUCUAAAUGAAGAAUUCAUCAGAACCUAGAAAUUUAAACAAAGAAUUUUCCAAAAUCAACAACAACAACAACAACAACAAAGCCUUUUCCCACUAAGUGGGGUCGGCUAUAUGAAUCCUAGAACGCCAUUGCGCUCAUUUGUGUCAUGUCCUCCGUUAGAUCCAAGUACUCAAGUCUUUUCUUAGGGUCUCUUCCAAAGUUUUCCUAGGUCUUCCUCUACUCCUUCGGCCCCGAACCUCUGUCCCGUAGUCACAUUUUCGAACCGGAGCGUCAGUAGGCCUUCUUUGCACAUGUCCAAACCACCGGGACCGAUUUUCUCUCAUAUUUCCUUCAAUUUUGGCUACUCCUACUUUACCUCGGAUAUCCUAAUUCUCAAUCUUAUCCUUUCUCGUGUGCCCAUACAUCCCACGAAGCAUCCUCAUCUCCGCUACACCCAUUUUGUGUACGUUGAUGCUUCACCGCCCAACAUUCUGUGCCAUACAACAUCGCUGGCCUUAUUGCCGUCCUAUAAAAUUUUCCCUUGAGCUUCAGUGGCCUACGACGGUCACACAACACGCCGGAUGCACUCUUACACUUCAUCCAUCCAGCUUGUAUUCUAUGGUUGAGAUCUCCAUCUAAUUCUCCGUUCUCUUGCAAGAUAGAUCCUAGGUAGCGAAAACGGUCAUUUUUUUGUGAUCUUCGCUAGAUUGCUCCGGUCAUUAGUGUGGAUAAGUAUAUAAAAUGGAUAGAGAUAGGAAAGCAAACACAAGAUGUACGUGGUUCACCCAGAUUGGCUACGUCCACGGAAUAGAGGAGUUCUCAUUAAUUGUGAAGGGUUUACACAAGUACAUAGGUUCAAGCUCUCCUUUAGUGAGUACAAGUGAAUGAUUUAGUACAAAUGACAUUAGGAAAAAUUGUGGGAGAAUGAUCUCGUAGCCACGAAACUUCUAAGUACCGGAGUGUGGUAUCGUCUUGACUUGCCUUAUCUGUCUCAUAGGUAGAUGUGGCAUCUUCUCUGGAAGUACUCUUCCUCCAUCCAGGGGUGGUAUCUGUAACUGGUGGAGAUGCACAAGGUAAUGUAUCAAUUUCACUUGAAGCUUACUUGUAGUUUCAUGCUUGGUCAAGCGAGAUACAAACCAUGUAGUAGGAGUCCCCCAAGUCGCCGAGCUGGGGGAUCUGCUGAAAGAGGUGACAGACAAGGUAAGCAAUCAGAGCUCCGGCUGAUUGUUCACAUUCUCCCUAUCUUGCAGGCAGCAUGAAGGAUAAAGAGAAGAAAAAUGAGGAGAGAUGAUAUGGGAUACUUUUGCUUUUGAAGAAGUAACUUUCCACAGGCUUAUUCUUGAACUGGGCUGGAGGGUUUUCUGGUUUCCUCCAGAGUAUAAGGCCGACUGAAGAAUUUGAGGGUCAAAACAAGUCCAUCAAAUCUAGAGUACGUUCGACCCUGCUGAUAUGGGAUACUUUUGCUUUUGACAGAGUAGUGGAUGUAUCGGCACGUGUGCUGUUACGCUUGUCUCCACAUGCUUCCUUGUAUCCUUCUCACUUGCCCUAUCUGUUCCUCAGGCAGAUGCGGUAUCUUCCCUGGAAGCAUAAGAUGUUGAAGAUGAGUACUCGAGAGCAAUGCCAGGUAAGUAAUCAGGUAAGGGGUUCCAGGCAGUCAGUUCCUGGCUGGAAGCUUGAUUCCAAGUGCUGACUGAUUGCUCUCUUUCUCCUUGUCUUGCAGGUAAGAACAAGGCCAAAGGAAAAGACAGGGAAAAAGCAUGAUAUGGGAUACUCUUGCUUUUAACCCUGAUGAUAUGAGAUAUUCUUGCUCUAGUAUAGCUUGUUUACAGAGGUAUUAUCGGGGGGAAAAAAAGCUAAAUAUUUCGAAAGGCUUUGUUGGGAGUGCCCUCUCAGAUAAGAGAAAGGGUUGAGCAUUUUUGCAGGUCUGCCUGUCCGUUAGGGAUGGAAGGUCGACAUAUAUAGGAGUCUCCCUAACAUCAAGUAAUAAUGCUAUUCCUUUACCCUGCUUGGUUAUAGCACGGUAGUGGGAGCUGCCAGCUUCACAUGUUUUAACUCUGUCAGAGCACUUUGAAAAAGUGGUCUGUGGUAUCUGGAAAGCUGAUGUUGCGUGUGAAGAUUACAGACAAGCUGUCGGGGGUCUGGCUCUCGAGAUUCGGAGAACGAUGCCUCUUCGAUUUUUGAGAAAGCAAUCCUGCUGGGGGUCUGGCUCUCGAGAUUCGGAGAGCGGUGUCUCUUCGAUUUUUGAGAAAGUAAUCAUGUUGGGAGUCUGGCUCUCGAGAUUCGGAGGGCGGUGCCUCUUCGAUUUUGGAGCAAGCAAUCUUGUUGGGAGUGUUUUCUCGAAUGUGAGUAAAGGUUGGGCAUGUUUGCUAGUCUACCUUGCCACGAAGCACAGAGGUUGACACACAGGGACUUUCCAAUUAUCCAGCAGUGGUACUGUUCCUUUACCCUCUCUUCGAUUUUUGAGAAAGUAAUCAUGUUGGGAGUCUGGCUCUCGAGAUUCGGAGGGCGGUGCCUCUUCGAUUUUGGAGCAAGCAAUCUUGUUAGGAGUGUUUUUUUCUCGAAUGUGAGUAAAGGUUGGGCAUGUUUGCUAGUCUACCUUGCCACGAAGCACAGAGGUUGACACACCGGGACUUUCCAAUUAUCCAGCAGUGGUACUGUUCCUUUACCCUUGUGGGUAAUAAUAUGGUAGCUAGACCUUCAAAAUUUAUGUGUCUAAACUUUGUUAGUGUUGUUUCUUUGCAAUUCUUUUACCCUUCUUGGUCAGAGCGAUGUAGUGGGAGCUGCAAGCUUCACGUGUCUCAACUUUGUCAGAGAACUUUGGCAAAGUUAUCUGUGGUACCCAUGAGCUACUGUUGCGUGUGGGAAGUGGGUGAUUGAACAGUACGAUUCAUGUGCUUUCUACUUCGCCAGAAAUCUUCGACAGAAUGCCCAUAAUUUCCGCAAAGCUGAGUGUGCGUGUGACAGGUGCUGACAAGGCUGGAAAAGUAGGUGCCUCUUCGAUUUCUGAAAUCGGCCCUCGUGGUCUCUGAGCAGCCCAGCUUUUGAGAAAGCAAGCCUCUUCGAUUUUCUGAGAUCGGCCUUUGUGGUCUUUGAGCAGCCCAGCUUUUUGAGAAUCUCUGAGCAGCCCAGCUUUUGAGAAAGCAAACGCCUCUUCGAUUUCUGAGCAGGCGCCUCUUCGAUUUCUGAAGCUUCGUCGAGUGCAGAUUUUUAUAGGGGCUGACAUUAAGUUCCAAAGCACACUUGAAUAUCCACCAGUAGAAGCUCCAUUCUUGCACUUCUAAGAUCUUGAUUUGUCCGACCUCUUCUCUCUUCAACACCUUUGAAAAUGUCUGGCCCCUCCGACCGUCGUUUUGACUUGAACCUUGUUGAAGAGGCAGCCCCGCCUUCUCCAGACAACAUAUGGCGCCCAUCCUUCGUCUCCCCUACUGGUCCUCUUACCGUUGGGGAUUCCGUGAUGAAGAAUGAUAUGACCGCUGCGGUAGUGGCCAGGAACCUUCUCACUCCCAAAGAUAACAGACUAUUUUCCAAACGGUCUGAUGAGUUGUCUGUUAAGGAUUCUCUGGCUCUCAGUGUUCAGUGUGCAGGUUCUGUGUCUAAUAUGGCCCAACGCCUAUUUGCUCGAACCCGCCAAGUUGAAUCAUUGGCGGCUGAAGUGAUGAGUCUCAAACAGGAGAUUAGAGGGCUCAAGCAUGAGAAUAAACAGUUGCACCGGCUCGCACAUGACUAUGCUACAAACAUGAAGAGGAAGCUUGACCAGAUGAAGGAAUCUGAUGGUCAGGUUUUACUUGAUCAUCAGAGAUUUGUGGGUUUGUUCCAAAGGCAUUUAUUGCCUUCGUCUUCUGGGGCUGUACCGCGUAAUGAAGCUCCAAAUGAUCAAUCCUCUGAUGCCUCCUCCUUCUAGGGUUUUGUCCAAUACUGAGGCUCCGAAUGAUCCCCCUCCGGUGCCUUCUCUUUCUGGGGCUCUACCGACUGCUGAGACUUCUCCUAAGCAACCUUUGUGAAGGCUCCCUCUUGUUUGUUUAUUUUGACUCAAGUAUAUGUACAUAUUUGUAACUUAUCGGGGAUAUCAAUAAAUAAGUUUUUCCUUCAUUUCAACGUAUUGUGUUAAAUACACCAAAGCCUUCUUCGCUAAGUUCUUUGAAUUUUCUUUUGUUGAAGCUUGUAUGUUGAAGCUUUGUGAGUGGAGCAUAUAGGUUGAGGUAGUGUUCCCUUAAUUUCCCGAGUGAGGAAAACUUCUCGGUUGGAGACUUGGAAAAUCCAAGUCACUGAGUGGGAUCGGCUAUAUGAAUCUUAGAACGCCAUUGUGUUCUGUCCUGUGUCAUGUCCUCCGUUAGAUCCAAGUACUCUAAGUCUUUUCUUAGGGUCUCUUCCAAAGUUUUCCUAGGUCUUCCUCUGCCCCUUCGGCCCUGAACCUCUGUCCCAUAGUCGCAUCUUCUAAUCGGAGCGUCAGUAGGCCUUCUUUGCACAUGUCCAAACCACCGUAACCGAUUUUCUCUCAUAUUUCCUUCAAUUUCGUCUACUCCUACUUUACCCCGGAUAUCCUCAUUCCUAAUCUUAUCCUUUCUCGUGUGCCCACACAUCCAACGAAGCAUCCUCAUCUCCGCUACACCCAUUUUGUGUACGUGUUGAUGCUUCACCGCCCAACAUUCUGUGCCAUACAGCAUCGCCGGCCUUAUUGCCGUCCUAUAAAAUUUUCCCUUGAGCUUCAGUGGCAUACGGCGGUCACACAACACGCCGGAUGCACUCUUCCACUUCAUCCAUCCAGCUUGUAUUCUAUGGUUGAGAUCUCCAUCUAAUUCUCCGUUCUUUUGCAAGAUAGAUCCUAGGUAACGAAAACGGUCGCUCUUUGGUAUUUCUUGAUCUCCGAUCCUCACCCCUAACUCGUUUUGGCCUCCAUUUGCACUGAACUUGCACUCCAUAUAUUCUGUCUUUGAUCGGCUUAGGCGAAGACCUUUAGAUUCCAACACUUCUCUCCAAAGGUUAAGCUUUGCAUUUACCCCUUCCUGAGUUUCAUCUAUCAACACUAUAUCGUCUCUGCGAAAAGCAUACACCAAGGAAUAUCACCUUGAAUAUGUCCUGUUAACUCAUCCAUUACCAACGCAAAAAGGUAAGGACUUAAGGAUGAGCCUUGAUGUAAUCCUACAGUUAUGGGAAAGCUUUCGGUUUGUCCUUCAUGAGUUCUUACGGCAGUCUUUGCUCCUUCAUACAUAUCCUGUAUAGCUUGGAUAUAUGCUACUCGUACUCCUUUCUUCUCUAAAAUCCUCCAAAGAAUGUCUCUUGGGACCCUAUCAUACGCUUUUUCCAAAUCUAUAAAGACCAUGUGUAAAUCCUUUUUCCCAUCUCUAUAUCUUUCCAUCAAUCUUCGUAAGAGAUAGAUUGCCUCCAUGGUUGAGCGCCCUGGCAUGAACCCGAAUUGGUUGUCCGAAACCCGUGUCUCUUGCCUCAAUCUAUGCUCAAUGACUCUCUCCCAGAGCUUCAUUGUAUGACUCAUUAGCUUAAUUCCCCUAUAGUUCAUGCAAUUUUGUACAUCGCCCUUAUUCUUGUAGAUAGGCACCAAAGUGCUCAUUCGCCACUCAUUCGGCAUCUUCUUCGUUUUCAAAAUCCUAUUGAAAAGGUCAGUGAGCCAUGUUAUACCUGUCUCUCCCAAAAUUUUCCACACUUCGAUUGGUAUCGUCUGGGCCUACUGCUUUUCUAUGCUUCAUCUUCUUCAAAGCUACACCCACUUCUUCCUUCCGGAUUCUACGAUAAAAAGAGUAGUUUCUACACUCUUCUGAGUUACUCAACUCCCCUAAAGAAGCACUCCUUUCAUGUCCUUCAUUGAAAAGAUUAUGAAAAUAACCUUUUCAUCUGUCUUUAACCGCGUUCUCUGUAGCAAGAACCUUUCCAUCCUCAUCCUUGAUGCACCUCACUUGGUUUAGGUCCUAAAAUCAACAUUUACUAAAAACCAUUUACUUGGUUAUCAUGCAAGAUGGCUUGCCAAAGAUUGAAUUAAGGAAUGCACAACUUUACUUUUAUGAUUAUUUUCAAUGACAGCUAAAAGGUCAGAUCCAAAUGAAAAUAAAACUUUGGACUUCACAAAACCAAUUAAAAAUCUAAUUCCAAAGUUACAAACACCCACCAAAUGAUUCCAGAUAAAGUUUUAAACUCAAGGUCAGACCCAAAUGAAAUUAAAAGUUAGGACUUCACAAAACCAAUUGAAAAUCUGAUUCCAAAGUUCCAAACACCCACCAAAUGAUUCCGGAUAAAGUUUAAACUCAAAACACCAACAGAAACAAAAGCAUUGGUGUGAAUUAACUGUAUCUAAUUGAAGAAACUAAAACAAAAGUAAGCAAAGUACAUACCUCAAAAUGUCAAGCAACUAAGUUCUUCCUCCGACGACCCAAAACUCUGAAAAUUCCACACAAAAAAAAAGGUAAAUCCAUUAGCAAUUCAUAGCUUUCCAAAUUAGCAAAAACUUGGGCAACAAUAAAGAUGCGUUGAGAACCAUCACUCUUUCUCCUUAUGUAUUUGAAAAGAUAUUUUAUAAGCAGUUUAUGUAGUCAUUCUGAUCAUGUUGCAUAUAAAUUCCUUUUCUACAGAGUUCAAAAAUAUAUGGCAGUUUAUGGCAUCUGUUGAAUAACAUGGUUGAAAGAUUUAAAAUUGAUACAUUCAAUUUUCAUGUGUAAAACUAUAACAUAUAGCUAAAGCUAUUGGGUCUAUAUAUCCAUAUCAAUCAAGUCGUAAUUGAAUGUUUAUCGAUGUAAAAAGAUGAUUUCAGUCAUGUGAUAACAUGCUUCUUGAUAGUAUAGCUGAAGUUUGGUCUAAGUUGGAUACAAAUCGACCAAAAUCUAUAAGAGACUCUUUUAACUUUUAACCAAAAAAUAAGCACCACAAUACUACACUUAUAAGUUUUAUCAUGCACAAAAUACACAGCACUGAUUGCCACUUUUAGAGUAAGAACAAUACUUUACCAGAAGAAAACAACAAAACACUCAAAACCCAGAAACUAGAAACACACUUGGGAUUCAAACUCCUCAAAAACAUGAGAAAGAGAGAGAGUGUGUGUGAGGAAAGAGAAUAAAAAACAAUAUUAUUUUUCACACAAACUCAAAAUUGCUUAUAAAAUUAGAAAUCGAAACAAAUUAAUGCAAAUCCAAAAUUGACCUAAAUUAAAUCUGAUUAGUUAAAUGUUUGUUGCCCUACAAAUGUCAUUACACGUUGAUAUUUUGGUCAAUCCUGGGGAAAAGGAGUUAUUGGUGUUGGAGCAGUUGUCAUGGAGAAUACCAUCUCCCUGUUGAAUGAUCUAAAACAGGACUUACUGCUUUAGCUGGCCAUAAUAAUUUAGGAGGCCCUUCUCUCCAGAUUUUCUCAAUAACUUUCCUUUUCGUAGCUGGUAAGAUUGCAACUCUAAGAAUUGCUCCGAAGAUAUAUAUACAAACAAAAUCAACCUAAAACUAAGCUAUUGGAAGAAAUUUGGAAAACACAAACACCACUACACCUCAGAGUUAAAGUCAACAGAAACCAAAUGGUACAAGUUGAAAAAAUAUAUGGUCAUGAAUCGAGAACUUCAUCAAACUAACAGCAAUAAAAUCUCAUAUAAUCUAUCAAAAACCAAAAAAGAGAGAGGUAAUUUCAAGACCUUGUAACGCUGAGGCCUCGUACAGUUGUAGUACUAAUAUAUGGUUGAUGCACCUGUUGCUCAAUCAAAUCCUUUGUCUGGCUAGAAAAAAUAAAAUUCUAUAAAUACAUUCACGUCCAAUUUAUGAGAAAUCAUGGGAAAGCAAAUGCACUGAUAACAGAAUCAUGAAUAUGAAGAACUUGCCAAAAAGAAAAAGAAAACUUCUUAUAGUGUGCCAAGAACAUCCUCCUACUCCUAGCAAAUUUUUUAUGGCAUUAUCCACUUCUCAAUUCAUAAUUCAACCAGUAACCCAAAGUCUAUAGUGUAUGAAAUAGUGAUAUCUUAGUUGAUCAUGAUGAUAAUUAAGCAGAUUAAAUGAGGACCCAUAAAGCAUACAAAAAUUCAGAAAAGAAAAGGUCCAAAACUGCCAUGAGAAAACGCAGAAUAUAUAAACGGAAAAUCAAAAUAAGAGAAGCGAAAAAGGAAGACAAAACCAAACAAAAAGGCCACAAUCAUGAAAGUCAAACACAAACAAUCCAAACAUUUGUGGAAAAUACCAAUAAAUGCUCAACUAAAAACGAAAGAAAAUGUAGAAUAAGUUUACCUGUUCUUCCCCUAAUUAAACUGAAAUACAAUUCACCACUAAUAUUCUCGUCAUCCUCUUCAGCCUGAAAAAUUUAGUAGAACAUAAUGAUAAGAAUCUAGCAGUAUUUCCAUUGUUUAAAACCCAAAUUCCAGAAAUCAUGAAAAAUGGAAACUUUAUAUGGAAACUGAAGCUUUACCUGCAGAUCAGCAGCAGCAAACGGAAUCCAACGGGAUGUACCUCAAAAGUGAGAGAGAGAGGUGAGAGAUGAGUGAGAGAAUCGAUAAACAAAACCCCCCAAAAUCACAAAAGGAAAUUUGAACAGAAAACAAAUUUGAAAAUCCAAAAUCACAAAAACGAAAUUGAAACACCCACACUGAGAAAGCUGUAUAACUCACCAGGAAACGCUAGCCUUUCUGGGUAACAAAAUUAUUCCGAUCGAAUUGAAGAACGGAGGAAAGUUCUACUAGUUCAGAGGUUAUUCCAGUGUGCCAAGUACGAAUAUGAACGGGGAAUGGGGAGCUGGCUGAGGGAGACAGAAUUUGAGAAGCAGCGUUCUGAUUCUUUAUAUGAGAGAAAGCGGAAUGAAGAGAAUCGGGAAGGGGAGGAACCAUUUUAAGCGAUGACGGACGCGUGGGAAUUGAG